AACACUCAUAUAUACCUCAAUAAUUUAUACUAAAGCUUACCAAUUGAUUUUUCUCGCGAAGUCGAUCAGGAGGCAAACAACACAGGCUACUUGGUCAUAUUACUUUAUUUAUUUAUGCGAUAAAUAAUUUCGAACGAAGGAAAAGUUGAUUUAUUUCUGAUGUUUCUCGUUUUGGUUUAAUUAGGCAUACUCGGCAGGGUGGGCGACCAGGUAUGCCUCGACCAUCUUGAGCAGGUCGAGGUAUCCGGCGGCGAGCGCCGCCUCGUCCUCCGCCGACAGCGCCCCGCCGCCGUCCAGCCUCUCGUACUCUACCCUGAGCUUCGCCACGCAAGCACCAUCCCCGGCCGCCUCGAGCUUCAUCUCGACCGCCUGUGAGUUGAGCUGACCACUUACCUUGUCGCCCUCCAGCACCUCUGUCUUGAACACCCUGGCCGCGUUGUCGCGCGCCACCACGCGGCUCUUCAUCACGCCCGAGCCUGACAGCUCCGCCGCCGCCGGGCUGAGCGUCAUGGUGAAGACGCUGCCGGGUCCGCCGUCGCCCUCGACGUCCACAACGUAGAUGAAGCUGAAAUUCGGACAGCAGGGGAGACUGUUUUCUUUUUGAAAAAACCACACGUACGAAAGUGCAUUUGUCACAAAACCAAACGGCUUCAAUAUUUAUCUAUAUUAAUGCUUGAAGUAACUUACACACGAAAUACAAACUUAAAACAGGGAUGAAAAACUCAAUACACACCUCAAACAAUUUAUACUAAUGAUUACCACUUCAUUCUUCUCGCGAAGUCAACCACGAAGCAAACAACACCGGGCUACUUGCUCAUAUGAUUUCUUCAAAACAAAGAUAUGUACUCACCUUAAUAGUUUAUUUAUUUAUUCUUUCUUAUAAAGGAAGAUUGUUUUAUUUCUGAUGUUUGUCGCGUUGUUUUAAUUAGACGUACUCGGCAGGGUGGGCGACCAGGUAUGCCUCGACCAUCUUGAGCUGGUCGAGGUACCCGGCGGCGAGCGCCGCCUGGUCCUCCGCCGACAGCGCCCCGCCGCCGUCGAGCCUCUCGUACUCCACCCUGAGCUUCGCCACACAAGCACCGUCCCCGGCCGCCUCAAGCUUCAUCUCGACAACCUGCGACUUGAGCUGGCCGCUCACCUUGCCGCCCUCCAGUAUCUCCGUCUUGAACACCCUAGCCGCGUUGUCGCGGGCCAUCACGCGGCUCCUCAUCACGCCCGAGCCUGACAGCUCCGCCGCCGCCGGGCUGAGCGUCAUGGUGAAGACGCUGCCGGGUCCGCCGUCGCCCUCGACGUCCACAACGUCGAUGAAGCCCGCGCAGGCCUUGGGCAGGGCGGCCGUGUCCUCGCCGGAGAAGACCACCUUCCACAGCCGCUCUGUCGACACCGUCAGGGCACACUGCUCGGUGAUGACACAGCCGGCGACCAUCUUGUUCUUGUCCGUCGGUCACUGGCUCGCUGCACACUAGCGCUGCUGGCAAGUUCUAGUGAAGAGUGAAGACCGGUGAUGAGUGAGAGCAAGCAAGGGGCUGAUUUAUAUAGAGUAGGUGCAAAAGAAAAAUUCAGAGCAAGGCAAGAGAUCCAUAAAAUAGUAAUUGAUGAACUUGGACCGGAGAUCACAUGGUUGGACUCUUGAAGCGUUCAGGCUGCUAUUUCUUUCUGCAGCUGUUCAAUCUUCUUCCAUGUGUUCGUUCUGCUGACUGUUCGGUCUAUUCUAUAAGGGCUGAAAUUCGGACAGCAGGGGAGACUGUUUUCUUUUUGAAAAAUCACCGGGGGGGAUCAUGUGUUCUUGCCUGUUGGUUCCGAUCAGAUCUGUUGGUGCGUGCGCGUGCGAUUUGGGAAUCGCAUACGGGGGGAAGCUAACCUUGCCGCCGAUGCGUCGGCUAGAUCGAUUGCCUGCUUCUGCUGACCUAGCCUCGUGGCCCGAUCUCCAGCUUGCUAACCUCGGUUGCGUGCUUAAAUUGGAAAUAACCUGAGUGCAAACAUAACAUGAUCUGUCGGAUGUGCAUUCCAGUUUUAAUUUUACAGGCCUACUACAACUGUUGGAGCGGUUGUGUAUUGGCAGGGUUUGACUGAUACGUACCCAGAUUGUUUGCAACACUGUCUUGAUUUGUAAUUCGCAUUGCUAGUUUUGGUACUAAAUCUCAGUUAAAAAUUCUCCUCACAGAGAUGUCACUUGAAAACGUAAAUAUUGCAGUUUCGUCUAAAUUUAGCAAUGAUAGAGUUUACGUUUCCCUGGCUAGCAGGGGAGACUGUACUCCGUCAGGCCUAUGCCUCGCCGGAGGAAUAGAACAGAACGCCGCGCCCUUAUCUAAGCUGUGUGUUUUAGUCCCUCCGUCCCAAAAUAAAGAACGUGUGGCAGUAAUAUUGGGGUCAGGCUGGUUGUGAAUUUUUGAUAAGGGAAACGAUUCCGGAGGGUGCGCCGGCCUGUCCUGCCCGGGUAGUCUGAUCCCAUGCGUGGGAUCUUUUUUUUUUUUUUACUGUGAGACGUCAUUUUUGCUGUAAUUAUUAUCCUUUUUUACUACUAUCGAUAAGAUUUUUGCUAUAGUUGUUGUUGAUUUUUACUAUAUUUUAUUCAUUAAAAAGUUGCAUCCACGUUUAGUUGCAGUCCGAGUUCGUCGGAUUUUUUUCCAUACAACCGUGUUAAUUUUUGUUAAAACCGGUAUCCUUUUUUGCUACAAUCGUUAACUACAAAAGUUGCAUACACGCUCGUCAGAGUUGCAAUCCGAGUUCAUCGGAUUGUUUUGCUAUAACCCAUUUUGCUACCAUGCAUCAUCAGCGUCGUUUUUGGUACGACCACGUUUAUAUAUUUUUGUUACAAUCAUAUUUUUCCUUCAUCCGUGACCGAAAUUUGCUGCAUCGUGGUCGAAAUUUGUUGUAUCGAGGAUUUUUGUUGCAUGGUCAGAUCUGACGAUCAAACCAGAUUCAAUCUGACGGAUCAGGCGGCCCGCUGAAAAUUUCGGCCGACGCGCCGGCGCAGAGCACUGCUCUUUUGAUAAGACUUCGAAAAUUUUCAUUGCAUGCUGGUAGUCUAUGAAAACAUAAUUAAGAUUUGGAAUUGGUUGUUCAUUAUUUGACACUUCAAACUUCUGUCUAGCCAUCAAAAUGUUAUGCAUCAUUAACAAAAAUUCGACACAUAUGACUCGGUGAAAAGUAAACUUCGUAAUUGUUGCAAGUUCAAAAUUAAAUUAUUUUCCAGAGUAUAUUCAUGUGGGUUGUACCUUAUAAUCAAUCCAGUAUUGCACUCUCCUACAGUAUUAUGAGCAAAAGUUCCUAGGUAGUGCUAUCAAAAUUAACAUUUUUCAAGAAUUUUUUAUUUUGCAUCCGGUAAAAGAAAUUGAUGUACAUCAUGCACAGACAUACAGUGAAAUACUUCUUUAGACACUUGCACCCUUUUGAAAAAAUUAGAAGGACAUGGUUUGAUUAACCGGUGAAAAAAAAAUUGAAUUCUCUGUAUAGUAGUUCUCACAGCAAAGAAGCCAAACUAAUUUAGAAACUUCAUUUAAGAAAAAUCUGUCAAAUGAAAGUUUAAUUGUUUAUAUGGUAUAGUAGUUCCCACAUCAAAGAAGCCAAACUAUUACGAAACUUUUUAAUUUAAGAAAAGAAGACUUCACGGUGACUUGGAAUACAUCAAUGGAGAAUUCUGAAACUUGCCUUGAAAAUUGUGCAUGAAGAUCAUGAAUAUCACGUUAAAUUAGGCUACUGUGUGAAAUCCUACAAAUACACCAUACCACAUUUUAUUUUCCUAACAUGUAAGCCGGGAGAUGGCUGUAAAGCUGGUCACCAAUUCAGAACUAACAACACAUAAAUGUUCAUAGAUAGAGUUAUCCGAUCAAGGCGUGGAUCAAGUCCUUGACACAAUGGAGAAAUGACAUAAUGCAUUCUGUUUUAGUCCUGAAGCAACUAUACUUUUGGCUAUAAGAAGUUCAUCAAUUUUUCCUUUAGUUGACAACACCAGAAGAAAAUAUAGCGAUAAAUGCCAGAAAGUACACAUGAGCACGAUGUAAAUUAAAUGAAUAUACUGAAACAUGUCAAGCCUAGUUAAAUAAAAAAACAAGGACAUAUAAAGGUGUUUCUAAAUUAAUAAAUAACAAAAACAGAUCAGUGCCGUUCGUACUUUCAAAUUUAAAAUAUUGGAAUACAUACUGCGUAUUUAGCUUCUACCACCGAGCAAUAGAAAAAGAUUGCAAAUAUUGGCAUGGAUCCCAGAAUUGAACCCUCUUCUUUUCCUUACAUGCAGGUAAUAAAGUCUGAAUGAUAAGAUUAGAAUUUAAGGAAUACUUUUGUCAACUAUUAAAUUUUGAGUGACUAAUAGUUUUCAACCAACACCGUCUAAAAGAGGGGGAGAGCCGAGGAGAGAACAAUAUUUUAGGGGAGAAAGAAUAGGCACGACGUAAAUCUUAUGGUGGCUUCGCAGCUGUUCGCAUUAAGCGGUGAGAGAUAGAGCGAAACCUCAUCCUUUAGGUAUUUUGUGGCCGUGCGAACCAACCCGUGUGGUUGGAUAGUUAGGAGGACAGUGGUAUUUUUAGUCCGCCACGGUUUAAGUUUUAGAUUUAACAUUGAUGACUGGAUUUUUUGGAUAUACUUAACGCUUCUGGCGAUGUUCGUUUAGUGAGAGGAUACGUUUCUGUCGAUUGCGAGACGCCUCUGAUGAAAUCUAGAAUCUCAAGAUGCUAUGACGGUUCAGUCUUUCAAAGGUGUUUAUAGGGGUAAGGUGGGUGUGUGUUCAUAAAGGUGAAUGUAUGCUGAUGCACAACAAAUUCGAUUGUACUGUAUUAAAAAUAUUAUUUUAUGGUGCCUUAAGUAGUAAAUCCCUGCUAGAUAGUAAAAAAAUUCAAAAAUCUAUUUUUUUAGCACGUGUGAGUGUAUAAAAACUUACCUCAUAGAACUGGGAACAGGGGCGAUUCCAGCUAUAUGGCAAGGUUUGGCAGCUGUCAUACCUAAAAUUUAGGGGAAAAACAUAUAUUAUACUGUAUGUAUGAAGAUAUGAGCUGAGUCAAUGGAUUUCUUCUCAGUUUCGUCAAUUUGGAGGAGGAGAUGACUCGCACGGGAAUGCGACUCAGGGCCUGCAAUGUAUUUCGCGAGGUAGUUGUGAUGUUGAUAUGUAUUUCUGGCUCAUUAGAGGCCUAACUACAGCUGAAUGAGAGAAUUAAUCAAUAGAUGACUUGCAUCACAUAAGCCCAUGACAUUUUGCUAAAAAGAAAAGUUGAUUCGAGGCACAUGAUCUAUCUGUUUCUUUCGAGCGCAGCUAGAGAUCGGCUAGUGAGGCAACGAGCAAGAACACCACAUUUUUCUUUCAUGAAGCAUGCCAUACCAAGAAAAUAUUCCUUGCUCCACCACUGAAUGGGAACACACGAGAGGAGCUCCUCCUUAACCAUUUUAAUAUAGUUGUAUAUAUAUGGCUUACGGGGGCGACUACGCACAUGCCUAUUACCUUGACCUGAGUUUGUAUAUGUGAAUCCCUUGACCUGUCCGGGUUUUUUCCUUUCCUUUAUUGUUUUCAGCUUUUUCUUUCUGGGUUUCUUUGUUCUUUUCACUGGUUCCUCGGAUUUUCUUUUUUCUACGUUAUGUUAUUAGUUUUCUUUGGUUAUUCAAUGAUUUUCUUGGGUUUUCUUGGUUUUUCUUGGUUUUUCUUUUUUUUCUUUUUUUUCUUCCUAGGGGUUUUCAAGUUUUUCUGGUUUUUUCGCAUUUGUUUUUGUUUCUUUGCUAUUUUUUUUGUUUUUUGACACAUGUCUACUUUUUUACACACGCUUUACAUUUAUUGUCUACAUGCAAAAGCAUUUUUUAUGCAUGUUUAACUUUUUUAACAUUUCAUCUAAGCAUGUUUUGAAUAUUUUUUCAAAUUCAGGUUAACAUUUUUUCAAAUAUACGUUAACACAUUUUUCAAAUGACAAAUAACACUCUUUUUUAACUAUGAAUAUAUUUUUGUACAAUGUACAUAUUGUUUUGAAAUGACACAAAGACAACUUGGAAACAUGUUAACAUUUUAUAAAAUGUGACAUGCAUUUCUUAAAAUAAUUUGAAAAAUAUAGAUUAGACAAACAUUUUUUACAUUUGUGUAAAUAAUUUUUAAAAUUUUACAUACAUUAUUUCGAAAUAUGUUAUGUUUUUUAAAUUGUCGCAAACUUUUUUCAAACCUAUGAUUAACAUUUUCUACUGCCUUCGUCCCAAAAUAUAUGACGGUUUUUGACACUACCAGCAUGUCAAAAACAGUUUAACAUUUUGGGACGGAGGAAGUACUUUUUACAUUCUCAUUUAUACAUUUUUUGUAUACAUCAGAAACAUUUUAUGAUACAUAUUCAAAUCCUCAAAAAUGUAAGAUUAACGUUUCAUAAAAUUUAAGAAAAGUUUUUGCAAUAUUAAUAUUUAGGAUAUUAUCAACUAUAAGGAAAAAAAGAAAUAAAGGAAUAAGAAAAGGGAAAAUUGGAAAUAAUAAUAAUAUUUAAAAUUGUUAAAAUUUUGAAUUUUCAUACACUUGUGAAUUUUCCAAAUGCCUUAUGGAAAACAUAAAUUAAGUUUUGUCCACAUAAUUUCAGUUUGAAGAAUAUAUAUUGAAUAUAUUAAUAAAUUUUGAAAAUACACGUUUUUAUUUAUUUAUUUUUUGAAUAUUUUUCGAAACCAUAAUUUUAUUUUCAUUUUCUUCAAACUUUCGGAAAUUCCCAAACAAUUUUUGCCAAUGCACAUUCCUAAAUUUUCAAACAAUAUUUGAAAUUCCCAACACUUUGUUAAACACGCAGAUAUUUUUGAAAUUUCUGAGCAUUAUAUAAAAAAUAAACUGAUCCUAAAAAGGAAAAGGAAAAAAAACACAAAGGGAAAAACCAAAAAACACAAGACCGGUAAACGCAGCUCAAAUUUUAAAGAAGGUUCCAAAACCAAAGCGAGAACCCUUUUGUGCCCAUCGCUAAAAAAAUGGCUAGCCGACAUGCUUCGUUGGUGCGCUUUUCCUAUGCUAGCGGCAACAGUUCGCCGCAACAUGCAACAAACUUGCAUUCUGCUGUUUACUUAAGAGCUCCACCUAAGGCUUCCUCGUUCGGCCUCCCUCCCCCUCGCCGCCGGUAGCCAUGGUGGUCGACGCUGGGUAGGAUGGAGAUGUGGAUCAUAGGUCUAGUGUUGUAUGAGUGUCUCUCUCCGGAAAAAUAAAGUGGAGCUGUGUUUUGGAUCUUGUUUAGAUGGUUUUUUAACUCUCCCGUGGGGCCACGCUCGUGGAGACACGCAAAGAUGAUCUCUGGUUGCAGAUCCGUCGAUGGCAUCCCUGAGUCGGCUCCAUGGCGAAACUUGGGCUCGUCCGGUUUCGUCUCAACUUCUCCCCAUUUUUCUUGCUGUAAUAAAUCCCAAUCAUAUGGUGCACCACAUGCUCUUCUUUCUUGUAACACCCGUGUAAUUAAGCUACAGUAAACCCUCUGAUAUUAAGCUAAUAAUUUUGCCAAUCAGUGCUUGACCAUCUUUAGAAUCAUAUCUCAUUCCAUAUUCCAUUUUGAAAUUCAACAUUCAAAUAAAAAGUGCAUCAAAAAAUUCACAAACAUGGAAACUAAGAUGUUUCAAAGGUGCUAAAUAAUCUAAAGAUAAUUAUGAUGGAGGAACCAUCAUUUUUGUAAGUAACUAAAAGCUCUAAAACAAUUACAACGAAAGUGAAAACAAUAAUUUAAAUGUCUUUUAAAUUAUGAAAAAUCUAAGACAUUCCAAUUGCCUCCCAAACUUUUUGUGGCACUAUGCAAAAAUGCAAUGCUAAUUAUGGACCAAGUUAUAUAUUUUGUAAAACUAGUUUUCUUUUAAAAUUGAAUGCAAAACAAAACAAAAUAAAGAAAAAUAAAAAAAAGAAGAUGGAAAAAAAGGGCCACUAUGGACUGGGUCUUAGUCCAUAGUGAGGCCCAGCCCACCUAGCCCCCCUUCUCCUUCUUCUGUUUACCAAGAGGGGUGUGGACGCCGCCGAUGCUCGCCAAGGCCACGGUCUCCGUCCUGGCGGCCAUCCGCCGCCUCCUCGAGGUCUACAAGACCCCCACGGCCUCCCCCGAACCCUAGAUCGCCCCACUUCUCCCUCCUUGCACCGCUCCUUCCGACCCUCGCCAUGGCCACCUGUGCCGUCGCCUUGGCUCCAUCGUAGGCAUGGACACCGACCAUCAUUCGCCGUUCCGCGCUAUCUAGAAGCUCCGCUUUACUCCUCUUCUUCGCCUACGUAGACCAGCUCGAGCACGGCGCCAUCCCAACAAGCGGAUCGAGCUCUUCCCCGCCCCGGUUGUCGGCGCCUUUCCGAUCAAUUCUAAGCCACUAAUGCUACUAACCCAAUCAUCAAGCCAUCUUGAGCUCCGUGGUGAGCAUCCCCAUGAAACCCCUCUUUUCUUAGCUCGAUCUCGAGCUCGUAACAUGUUGAUGCUGCUGUCGAGCUUCCGUCACCUCCGUUGUGCUUGUCUUCGUCGUUCUCGGCCCUUCCGUCUCAAACCAACACUCGUGUGUGUUGUGCCCGUGGUGCGUCGCCCACGUGUGCUUGUUGCCACCCGCUCGCGAUCGUUUUGUUGCUGCUCCUGCCCUACUGCUCGCCGUGUCCGUGCUGCACCGCCCACUACCGUCGCGGUUGUCGACCCCGCCAUCGAUUCCGGCCAUCUUUGGCCACCCUGCGGCCACCAUCUGAUGCACCUUGUCACGCUGGACACGUGAUACGUGAUAACCCACAAGUAUAGGGGAUCUAUCGUAGUCCUUUCGAUAAGUAAGGGUGUCGAACCCAAUGAGGAGCAGAAGGAUCUGACAAGUGGUUUUCAGCAAGGUAAUCUCUGCAAGCACUGAAAUUAACGGUAACAAGUAGUUGUGUGGUGAGAUGAUUCAUAGCAAGUAGCAAGUAGCAAAAGUAACAACGGUACAACAAAGUGUCCAAUCCCUUUUGUAGCAAGGGACAAGCCUGGACAAACUCUUAUAGGAGGUAAAACGCUCCCGAGGACACAUGAGAAUUUCUGUCAAGCUAGUUUUCAUCAUGUUCAUAUGAUUCACAUUCGUUACUUUGAUAGUUUGAUAUGUGGGUGGACCGGCGCUUGGGUACUGAUGGGGUUAUAGUCCCAGGGUAGGGUCAUAGGCCUGCCCUAUAGGUCCUACCCAAGGACUACCCUUCAUAGAGGGCAAGGCCCUUAGACAGUUCCGACUGAACUAAGGACCCCCCAUCAUCUAGUCGGUGACGAGAAUUCGGAGCAUAUUUAUCGUACCGACUGAAUUCCACUCUGUACGUCGUAACCUCCCAGGAGGGCAACGGUCAUACGUUUUCAUACACCAUUAUUAGAAUUUAAGGCAUACGUUACCUGUAACGUAGGCAUUUAUUCGCCACUACUCCACCCCUGUCCACCGGGCCGUUGUGAAGGGCAGCGCACUCUAUAUAAGCCGCCCUUCCCCACUGGUGCAGGGGUUGGCUUUUACUGUAAUCCUAUAUUCCACUCGACACUAAGCUCCCAAGAGCACUGAGAUGUAGGGCUUUUACCUCCACCGCAGAGGGGCCCGAACUCAUACAACCUCUCCGUAGCUAAGGCUCUGCCCAUCCUUUCGUACCCUACACCUCUACUGUCAGACUUAUACCCACGACAGUUGGCGCCCACCGUGGGGCAGGCGUCUAAGCGACUUCCGGCGAGUUUGCAGCUUCAUCUUUUCAUCGUGUCGUCCGGCGGAGAGUUAUGAAUGGGUCGGGAGAUCCUCUUCGGCGCACACUCCUUCAUCGUCGACGAUUCGGCAUGGCUUCGGGAUGCGUCUCUCGACGUCGAGGUGCUCCCCAGUCGCGGGGCUACGCACUUCCGUGUCGGUGCCCGCGGCGUCCUUCUUCUCCAGCAGUCGGCCCCGGUGUCGACCUUCGCCCCCGUCAUGCACCGCAACAAGCGGUCCCGCCGUCUGCGGCUCCAGCGUUGGGUGCGACACGCCCAGGCGCGCCAGAACGCGUCCUCUCAAGUGGAGGUCCUCGAGUCGGUUGUGGUCGCGCCACCGUCCCAGUGCUUGACUCAAUUCCAACUGAGUUACUUUCCGAGUACUUGGGUCGCGGGCCUGCAGCCGAAGUUCUCAUGGCAAAUUCCCAUGAAAGUCCCCACCGGACUGGCCGGAACGAGCACGAGGUCGGCGAAUCGUUCGGCGCUCGCUGUCAACACCACCGUUCUGCCAGUCGACGCACUCGUCAGAGCAACGUCGAGGUGUUCCGUACACCCGUCCUCAACCUGGCUGCCGCUGCCAAGAUAGCCGAUUCCCUCCAACCGACUGAUUCGGAGGCUGGUAGAGGGAUCGAGCAGAUCCGUGCCCUGUUGCACACGGCGCAGUAGCAGAAUUCGGCGGUCUCCCAGUCACACAACAGGAUCCACAACAGUUCUGUUCACGCGAACACGCAUCGGUCGGUUUACAGUCCCCACUCUCAUCAGCGACGCAGAGGGGGCAGCCGUUCCACGAAUCCUGAAGAUCAUCGCCGUUCACGCACCACUCCGCGGGGUGGGGCUUACGGGCCCUGACAUCAUGAUGAUCGGCGUUCAGUCGGUCACACGUAUGAUCCAAGGCCCGACGCAAGAGGGUACAUCGCCCAAAGGAAGGUCGACAGGAGUCGAGCCCACCGUGAUGGUCACGAUAGAGACCGUCCGAGUGGAAGCAGGACCAUCGUCUCUGGCCCCGAGUGCUUCAGUCGGGCCAUCCGUUCUGCUGACAUCCCUCCCAACUUCCGAUUGGCGACGGGGAUCAGCAAGUUCACAGGAGAAUCCAAGCCAGAAACGUGGUUGGACGACUACCGAGUGGCGGUCCAAAUCGGUGGUGGAGAUGACCAGGUCGCCAUGAAACAUCUCCCUCUGAUGCUCGACGGCUCGGCACGAGCGUGGCUGAAUCAGUUGGCUCCAUCAAGCAUCUACAGCUGGACAGAUCUGUCCCGAGUGUUCAUCAGGAGCUUCGAGGGCACGUGCAAACGCCCUGCUGGUCUCGUGGAGCUCCAGCACUGCGUCCAGAAGCAGAAUGAGCCCCUGCGCGAUUUCAUCCAGCGCUGGACGACCCUCUACCACACGGUGGAGAACGUCACAGAGCAUCAAGCAGUCUACGCAUUCAAGGCAGGCGUGCGGUACAGAGAUCUGUACCUGAAGUUCGGUCGGACAGGCGACAUCUCCAUGAGCAAGAUGAUGGAGAUAGCCGCACGCUAUGCAAAUGGCGAAGAAGAGGACCGCAUACGUAGCGGCAAGCACAAGGCAGUCGCCGACGGAUAUGGGAACAACAAUCGGAAGCAAAAGCGGAAAGCUCCGUCAACUCCGCAGGCAGAGGCAACUGCCGUUACAAAUGCCAAGUUCAAGGGCAAGGGGAAAGCUCAGUACACCCCCAAGAAGAAGCAGUUCGGGAACUCCAUCCUGGAUCAGCCAUGUCCAAUCCACACGAAGAUGGAUGAAGAAGGCAACGCCAUAUUCCCGAUGCACACCACUCGGCAAUGUCGCCUCCUGAUCCAAGGGUUCGGCGAAGGGCAGCCGAGUGAAAAGGACAACGAGCAGGAUGAUGAGGACAAGGAGGAUCCGUUCCCCCAAAUCCACGCAACAUUGAUGAUUUUUGCUGACGUGGAAAGCAAGAGUCGACUGAAGCUGGUGAACAGGGAGGUGAACAUGGCCACCCCAACCAACCCCACGUUCCUCAAAUGGUCUCAGACUGCGAUCACCUUUGAUCAAUCGGAUCAUCUAGCACACGUGCCCACCCCGGGGAGGCAGGCUCUGGUAGUCGACCCGGUGGUGGAAGGAGUCCGACUGCGCAAAGUCCUCAUGGAUGGCGGCAGCGGCUUGAACAUCAUGUACGGUGACACUCUCAAGGGGAUGGGCAUUCCGAUGUCCAAACUUAGCGAGAGCAGCAUGCAGUUCCACGGAGUCGUCCCAGGACGAAAGGCCAAGUCACUCGGCCAGAUCGCGUUGGACGUCGUUUUAGGCUCCGACAAGAACUUCCGCAAGGAAAAGCUGACAUUCGAGGUGGUGGACUUCCUGAGUGCAUACCAUGCAAUUCUGGGCCGUCCGGCGUAUUCACGUUUCAUGGCCCGUCCAUGUUACGUGUAUUUAAAGCUGAAGAUGCCGGGUCCCAAAGGUGUGAUCACCAUCACAGGCAAUCGGCAGCGGGCGGAAGAGUGUCUGCAGCACGGGUCACGGAUUGCCGAUCAGCAGAUGGCUAUCCUCGAGCUGGAUGAGUACAAGAAGACGUCCGACCCCGCUGACUUGAUGCGUUCGAAGAAGCCAGCUUCGGAGUCCGCAUUCCAGUCGGUGGGCGACACGAAGAAAGUCAGCAUCCACCCGACGGACGACAUCGCCGCCCCGACGAACAUCUCCACCACCCUUGAUCCAAAAUAGGAAGCCGAGCUCAUCCAAUUCCUUCGUGAGAACUGGGACAUUUUCGCAUGGAAGACCGCUGACAUGCCAGGUGUACCCAGGGAGUUGGCUGAGCACCGACUGCAUGUGGAUCCUACCGCUCGGCCCGUCCGAGAAUGCCUGCGUCGGUCCGCCGCGCACAAAAGGAAGGCAAUCGGAGAGGAGGUGGCUAAACUUUUGGCAGCCAACUUCAUUCACGAGGUACACCACUCCGAGUGGCUCGCCAACGUUGUCAUGGUUCCCAAGAAGGACAAGUCCCUCCGUAUGUGCAUCGACUUCAAGCAUCUCAAUAAGGUUUGCCCGAAAGAUCAUUUCCCUCUCCCCCGCAUUGAUCAAAUUGUUGAUUCGACUGCGGGUUGCGAGCGUUUAUAAUUCCUUGAUGCCUAUUCGGUCUAUCAUCAGAUCCGUCUGUAUGGUCCGGAUGAAUUAAAAACAGCCUUCAUCACCCCAUUUGGGUGUUUUUGCUACAUCACUAUGCCAUUCGGUUUGAAGAAUGCAGGAGCAACUUUUAUGCGCAUGAUCCAGAAAUGCCUCCGUGACCAGAUCAGUCGAAAUGUGGAGGCAUAUAUGGACGAUAUCGUAGUCAAGUCAUGCAAAGGUUCCGACCUGCUGACUGACUUGGCAGAAACAUUCACCAACCUUCGUAGGUACGAUAUCAAGCUCAACCCUGCCAAGUGUUCAUUCGGUGCUCCCAGCGAAAAGUUACUCGGUUUCUUCGUUUCCGAACGAGGAAUCGAUGUCAACCCCAAAAAGAUCGGGACCAUCGUCCGAAUGGAGCGGCCGAUCAGAAUACAUGAUGUUCAAAGGCUCACAGGUUUCCUAGCGGCUUUGAGCAGGUUUUUUCACUCGACUCGGCGAGAAGGCGUUACCUCUGUACCGACUCAUGAAGAAAUCAGAUACUUUCGAGUGGACAGACGAAGCCCAGAUUGCCUUUGACGACCUCAAAGCCCUGCUUUCCACCCAGCCGGUUCUUACUGCCCCGCUCAGUAAAGAACCCCUUCUUCUGUACAUCGCGGCUAUAAAUCAAGUCGUCAGCACUGUUCUCACAGUCGAACGUGAAGAAGAAGGCAAAGCGUACAAGUUUCAGCGGCCAGUAUAUUAUGUCUCCGAAGUCCUGACUCCUUCCAAGCAGAGGUAUCCCCAUUAUCAAAAGCUUAUUUAUGGGAUCUACAUGACUGCAAAGAAGGUGGCUCACUAUUUUCAAGACCACUCGAUGUCUGUCGUUUCUGAUGCUCCGUUGUCGGAAAUCCUCCACAAUCGAGACGCAUCAGGCCGAGUGGCGAAGUGGGCUAUGGAGAUGUUAUACUGCGACAUCAAGUUUGAAGCCAAGAAGACUAUAAAGUCUCAAGCUCUGGCUGACUUCAUAGCAGAAUGGGUAGAACAGCAGCAACCGACUCACAUCUACUCAGCUCAUUGGACUAUGUUCUUCGAUGGGUCCAAGAUGCUGAAUGGCUCCGGCGCUGGCGUAGUGAUCAUAUCGCCAAAAGGUGAUAAGCUUAAGUAUGUGUUGCAGAUACAUUUCGAUUCUUCCAACAAUGAGGCAGAGUAUGAAGCUCUCCUUUACGGAUUGCGCAUGGCCAUCACACUCGGCGUCCGCCGCCUGAUGGUCUAUGGCGAUUCAGAUUUGGUGGUUAAUCAAGUGAUGAAGGAGUGGGAUGUGAGGAACCCCACCAUGACUGCAUACUGCAAUGCAGUAAGGAAGCUCGAGAAGAAGUUUGAAGGUCUGGAACUUCACCAUGUUCCUCGACUGAAGAACCAAGCAGCUGAUCAGUUGGCAAAACUCGGAUCCACUCGGAGACCAGUCCCGAGUGAUGUCUGCCUCGAGCACCUACAUCUCCCUUCACCGUUACAGAGGAACCGGUACAACCGAAGAGUUCAACAGAUCCGACUGAAGUCGAGGUCCCCGCUGUGGUUGAUUUGAUCAUGGAGAUUCUUGCUAUCAUCCCUGAUUGGACUGUGCCGUUCAUUGCAUACAUCCUGAGGCAAGAAUUACCAGAGGACGAAGUCCAAGCGAGGCAGAUCGCCCGCAGGUCGAAGUCCUUCACCGUCAUUGAUGGCCAGUUGUACAAGGAAAGUGUUUCAGGAGUCCUUCAGUGAUGCAUCUCCCCUGAGGAGGGACAGUUAAUCCUGGAAGAAAUUCACUCGGGAACUUGCGGCCAUCAUGCCUCCUCAAGAGCAAUCGUCGCCAAAGCAUUCAGAGUUGGCUUCUUCUGGUUGCAGGCGAAUGAAAUGGCAAAGGAUAUGGUCGACCGAUGCGAAGGCUGUCAGUUCUAUUCGAAUAAGUCCCACAAGCCAACGUCUAUGCUGAAGACAAUCCCUCUUGUUUGGCCGUUCGCAGUGUGGGGAUUACAUACAGUCGGUCCAUUCAGAACUGGCUAAGGGGGAUUCACUCAUCUGUUGGUGGCAGUCGACAAGUUCACCAAGUGGAUUGAAGCCAAGCCCAUCAAGAAGCUCGACGCCCUUACGGCCAUCAAAUUUGUCAGAGACAUCAUCUCCACAUUCGGAGUCCCGCACAGCAUAAUCACUGACAAUGGCACAAACUUUGACUCGGACAGAUUCAAAGGUUUUUUCACAGGCCAAGGUAUCCGAGUGGAUUUUGCAUCUGUGGCGCACCCUCAAACCAACGGGCAAGCAGAGCGGCGAAUAGACUUAUUCUUCAAGGGUUGAAGCCUCGACUCCUGUGAGAAGUUGGACAUGCCGCCGGCGUAUGGGUCACCGAGCUGCCUUCGGUAUUGUGGGGCCUCCGCACAACUCCGAAUAGAUCUACAGGGCGAUCCCCGUUCUUCCUCGUUUAUGGAGCACAGGCUGUCCUCCCGAGUGACUUGCUUCACAACUCUCCAUGAGUCGAACUCUUCUCCGAAGCCGAAGCGGAGCAGGCCAGGCAAGACGGAGUGGAUCUACUAGAAGAAGAGCACGAGAUGGCACUGACUCGCUCAACAAUUUAUCAACAAGAUCUGCGGCUUUUUCACGCGCGGCACGUCAGGAGUCGCAUAUUCCAAGCAGGUGACCUGGUGCUCCGAGUGGACCAGCAGAGGCCUCACAAGUUGGCUCCCGCCUGGGAAGGACCCUUCAUCAUCUCUAGGGUGCCGAACAACGGAGCAUAUCGACUCUACAAUCUCGAUAGGGAAACGGACGAGCCGCGAGCAUGGAACGGAGAUCUCCUGAAGCGCUUCUACACGUGACCGCCGACGGAGGCAAUGUAAAGAACAAGUAUCAUUGAAGUAAUACAAAGCAGACUGAUUUUUUGCAGGUCCAAAAUUCUUCCGCGUUUGGAGACUCCGGUCUAAAAAACUCUCUCCGAGUGUGCGCUAACAGCCGCACUCGGGGACUUAGCUGCGACCCAGAGUCGCCUAAGUAAAAAACUCUCUCCGAGUGUGCACUAAAAGUCGCACUCGGGGACUUAGCUGCGAUCCAGAAUCACCUAAGUACAAACUCUCUCCGAGUGUGCACUAAAAGUCGCACUCGGGGACUUAGCUGCGACCCAGAGUCGCCUAAGUAAAAAAAUUCUCUCCGAGUGUGCGCUGACAGCCGCACUCGGGGACUUAGCUGCGACCCAGAGUCGCCUAAGUAAAAAAAUUCUCUCCGAGUGUGCGCUGACAGCCGCACUCGGGGACUUAGCUGCGACCCAGAGUCGCCUAAGUAAAAAAAUUCUCUCCGAGUGUGCGCUGACAGCCGCACUCGGGGACUUAGCUGCGACCCAGAGUCGCCUAAGUAAAAAAAUUCUCUCCGAGUGUGCGCUGACAGCCGCACUCGGGGACUUAGCUGCGACCCAGAGUCGCCUAAGUAAAAAAAUUCUCUCCGAGUGUGCGCUGACAGCCGCACUCGGGGACUUAGCUGCGACCCAGAGUCGCCUAAGUAAAAAACUCUCUCCUAGUGUGCACUAAAAGUUGCACUCGGGGACUUAGCUGCGAUCCAGAAUCGCCUAAGUACAAACUCUCUCCGAGUGUGCACUAAAAGUCGCACUCGGGGACUUAGCUGCGACCCAGAGUCGCCUAAGUAAAAAAUUCUCUCUGAGUGUGCGCUAACAGCCGCACUCGGGGACUUAGCUGCGACCCAGAGUCGCCUAAGUAAAAAACUCUCUCCGAGUGUGCACUAAAAGUCGCACUCGGGGACUUAGCUGCGAUUCAGAAUCGCCUAAGUACAAAACUCGCUCCGAGUGCGCACCAAAAGCCGCACUCGGGGACUAAGCUGCGAUUCAGAAUUGCCUAAGUACAAAACUCACUCCGAGUGCGCACGAGAUGCCGCACUCGGGGACUUAGCUGCGAUCCAGAAUCGCCUAAGUAAAAAGCUUCCUUCGAGUGUAUCCUCGAGAUCCACUCGGAGGCUUAGCAGACCCUCAUUGAGGCUCAUGUGGAUGUGAAGACAACUGACAACUACAUGAGUAUCAACUCACUCCGAGUGCGCACGAGAUGCCGCACUCGGGGACUUAGCUGCAAUCCAGAAUCGCCUAAGUAAAAAAGCUUCCUUCGAGUGUAUCCUCGAGAUCCACUCGGAGGCUUAGUAGACCCUCAUUGAGGCUCAUGUGGAUGUGAAGACAACUGACAAUUACAUGCUCCGCAUGUUUGCCAUUGGCUUCACCAAGAAACGCCAAACAAAAACCACGAGCCAAAAUCGUGUCAGAAAAUAAACUUGGCGAAAGAAGAGCAAAAUAUUCGAUUCGAAUUCAAAGUUGGAUCUACGAUAGUCGGCUCGGUGUGGAUCAAGCUUAUCCACACCGAACCACGAAUGUGACGGCCAACAACAGUGGCCCAAGUUUGAUACAGAUACCACUCGGCAUACCGAGGUAAAGUUUUUCAAGCGUCAUCAGGACUGGCACCGGGACUGGCAGGCUCCACAAAGGUCUCAAGGUCGAUCCGUCCGCGAUACGAGUGGCUGUCUCGAGGAAGGUCUCCAUGAAAUCUUCGAAUCGAAUCUUCUUGGUGUUGGCGACCUGCAACGCCUUCAGCUUUUCUUCGCGGGCUUCCUUGCAGUGCACUCGGACCAGCGAUAGCGCCACGUCUGCACCACAACGAGCGGCAGACUUCUUCCAUGCCUGCACUCUGUUCGGGACGUCCUCCAGCCGAGUCAUCAACCCUUCUAUUUCCUGCCGGGAAUCGUCUUCGGGCCACAACUCCUUGUCGAUCCGGCCGAUGGCUUCUCUUAGACGGCCGAUGAAAGGUACCACUCUGCCAAGGCGAAUAUGUGCUCGGAGCAUGUCCCUAUUGGCUUCCUCGCUGAGUGGAACGUUCGGAACAACCGACCGUUCAAUGUCGGCUGCUUCAGCCUAAGCGUCGAGACAAAAAUCUGCAAAGAAAAGAAGAGCAGAAAGUAAGCGUAGAAUGAAUUACAAAGUCAAGAAGCACUCAGCAAAAAGCUUACCACCGAGCAGUGCAAUCCUCUUCCUUGCCCAGUCGUUGACAUACUUCUCCUGCGAAAUGCAUCGACGGUUCAUCACCUUCAUCUUACCCAUUAGUUCAGUUCUGUGCUUGCCCAUUUUCUCAAUUUCGGCCACCAAUGCCUUGUUGGUCUCCCGGGACUCCUCCAAAGACUUCUCUCGGUCAGCAAGAGCCCCCUUCACACCAGCCAAGUCAUUCACAACCGCCUCCAAUUCCGCAGCAAGCUGAGCCUUUUCAGCCUUCAGAGUAUUGUACGCGGAUCCCAUUUCGCAAGUCUUCUGCCAAAUCAGCGCAAAGGGAAGCUCAGACACAUUCAACAAGUAAAACAAACAAAUCUCAAAGUUCUUCAGACCCCUGCCGAUGCAAGCACUCGACAGCGGUCUCGGGGACUACACCCAGUGGGUUCACUAAGAGUGACCCCAGUGGCAUGAAGCUCGAACAGGCAGGCCCUAUUGAGCUACAUGACAAACAGACAAAUCUACGAGAAUGCUAUUACCCGACCUGAGUAACACUACUCUCGGGGACUACAUCCACUGGAUGCACUCCGAGUGCCCUCACUGGUAAUAUUCGGACAGACCAGCUCUGAUCUGCUCAGAUAACUGAAAAUGCAUAUAAAGACAACUGCCGGUGCAAGCACUCGACAGAAGUCUCGGGGACUACACCCACUGGGUUCACUCGGAGUGAACCCACUGCAAAAUAAUCCUACUGUAUCCAAGUAUAUCACUUAAACCCCCAGUGGGUUACAAGAGGAAAGUAAAUACUUACUAGCGCACUUACUCAGAUAUCGUCCCGGAGCUCCAAGCUUCUCUUGUACAAAGACGCGAUGGAGUCGUACGCUCCCUUGGCAUCACACACCAUCAACUCCACUUGCACCAUGGCCUCCUUGGCGGCUCCCACUUGGUCUUCCAGGAGGUGUCGGGCGUCGUACUGGACGGUCGACGGACCUGGCACGACAGAAAACUCCUUGGGCAUCCCAAGUCUCGCUCCAGUCGGUUCCGCCGCGAGGGGCAUCGCCUCAGUCGACGGCAUCGGCUCGGUCGGCGGCACGUCCGUGGUGGGAGCAGCAGCAGAUGGAACAACCUCCAGGACAGGCGCCAAAGUUGGCCCUGAUCCCCUUUGGUCGUCCUCCUCUAGAUGAAUCACCUCCGAAGGAAGCCCGACUGAACAACAUGAGGUUACAGAAAAAGGGCAAGAUUAAAGGCAGCACUCGCGAAACAAUAAUGCAAACUCUCGGAGUCAUCACAACGUACCUUGCUGGGAUGUGGCAGCGUUAUCCGUAUCCAUAGGAUCAUCGUCCUGGCGCGACAGAGAGGUGGCAGAGGUAGCAGCUCUGUCGAGUAAAAUCCACUCGACCGAUAAGCAUGAGUUCAAUCAAAUACUGAAAGAAGAUGGGAGAACAAGACACUUACGCUGAGGCAACUGGAACAGCGAUCCUCAUCCGAGGCAAAGCUUUCCGAGGCUUGGACCCACUCGGUUUGGCCACCUUGGACGUUUGGUCCGUGGGCUCGGCAGUAGCGUCCCUGGUCCUCUUCACGCUCCGAGCACUCGGAGCCACGGGAGGAGCUGGCGGAGCACUCGGCGCCACGGGAGAAGCCGGCGGAUCACUCGGAGCUGCUGGAGGAGCCGACGGAGCCGCGGGUUCGUGACGGCGCUUAGUUCGGGGCUCUGAUGGUGGAGGUGGCGAGCUCUGCUCCCCAACCUCGCCCUCCUCCUCUCCAGACUCCUCCUCCGUUUCCCCACUGUCGGAGACGUACUCGGCGCUAUCCAUGCUGCCCUCCUCUUCCUCAGUGGGAUUCCCGUUCGAGACGGGAGAGUGCCAGUUGGUCCACUCCUGCACAAAAUACAGUCGACAACGUCAGACACCAGGCGGCAACACAAGAAAAGCGAUAGAUCUAAGAAGAUUGAAGGCACUCGACAAGAUGCACUCACCUCAUUUGGAGGAGGAUUGUCGGCGCGGAAGGGCCUCACUCACCGGGCUCCUUGGGGGUUGUCACAUGCGCCUAUAAUGCCGCGGACCCACGCUGUCACGGUCUCCCCGGUCACGCACUCUAGAUGAGUCCGAGUGGAAUCCUCGGGCCCCACGUAGUGCCACAUGGCGUGGUGUCGGGCUUGCAGCGGCUGGAUGCGCCGACCCAGAAAGUCUCCAGCAAAUCUGUGCCGGUGACUCCCUUGCGGACGACAGCUAUCAGCGCAUCGACCAGAGGUUGGAUCUGGAUCUUUUCCAACUUUGAGAGCGCAAGCUGCCUGGGAGGGGCCGGAUGGUCUAGGCUAAAGGGAGGCAACCCAGUCACGGCAUUCGGACAAGCUAUGUCCUGGCAGUAGAACCAGGUCGACUGCCAGUUCCUAACUGACUCGGACAGUUGGAGAGGGGGUAGCUACUCUUUGUUUUCUUUUGGAAACCUAAGCCCCCGCAGAGCUGGAGGAGAUGGGUUUUAUCGUCCGACUGGCUAAGCUUUUUGACAGUCUGAGACCUAGCGGAGAAGAUGUACUUAAAGAGCCCCCAAUGCGGGGGGACAUCCAAUAAAGCACUCGCACAGAGUGACGAAUGCGGCGAGAUGGGCUAUCGCGUUGGGAGGAAAAUGAUGGAGCUGCGCCCCGAAGUGAUUCAUAAUACCUCUAAAGAAGGGGUGGGGAGGCAAGGAGAAGCCCCUGUACACGUGGCUGAGCAGCAAGACGCGCUCUGCCUCCUGCGGCGCGGCUCCAUCUCUCCCUCCGCCGGCAGCCUCCACGACUUGUUGGCAAUCAUGCCUUGCUCCACCAGCUCCAGCAGGUCGUCCGCCGUCACCGUGGAGGGGAGGAAAUCCCCCUGGAUCCAACCCGCCGGUAGUGCUCGCUGUCGCCGCUGAGCAGGAGCCGCCGCCUUCUUCUUCUUCUUCUGCGACUCGAGCUUGCUCGUCUGCCCCUUCGUCAUGGUGAAGGCAGCAGAUCCGCAGAGGAGGAGAGGAAGGAGGAGGCUUGGAACGCGCAGGGAGCUACGGGAGAAGCGAGGCGAGUGCGAGUAACAAGGGCAGCGCAACAAGAAACCCCCGCCGGAGAGGCUUAAAUCAGGUUCCGACUGGGUCACUAACAGGUGGCCCCGAAAUCUUAUCCCCCGAGCGGCUGCUGUGAUAUUAGUGGAGAAGAUAAAGGCGCGGUAAUCGAGGUGGCGGAAACUACUCGAUGACGAUGUCAACAUCCCCGCUGAGCGCGCGGCAACCGAAAUUUGAAGAUCCCAGAAAAUCCGCUGCUGUCAGUUUGACCUGUCACAUCGAAAGAUUCCACGGAAGCACUCGGUCCCUGACGGUUCGUUUCACUGGUAUAUUCACUCGGAUCACUGGUCUAAAGGAUAAAAUGGAUCGAGGCAAACAACGCCAAAGUCACAUCCAUACCAGUCGGAUCCGUACUCCAGGCACCACUUCGUCGUUCCAACCCCGAUCCAUUCGGGGACUAAUGAUGGGGUUAUAGUCCCAGGGUAGGGUCAUAGGCCUGCCCUAUAUGUCCUACCCAAGGACUACCCUUCAUAGAGGGCAAGGCCCUUAGACAGUUCUGACUAAACUAAGGACCCCCCAUCAUCCAGUCGGUGACGAGCAUUCAGAGCAUAUUUAUCGUACCGACUGAAUUCCACUCUGUACGUCGUAACCUCCCAGGAGGGCAACGGUCAUACAUUUUCAUACACCAUUAUUAGAAUUUAAGGCAUACGUUACCUGUAACGCAGGCAUUUAUUCGCCACUACUCCACCCCUGUCCACCGGGCCGUUGNNNNNNNNNNNNNNNNNNNNNNNNNNNNNNNNNNNNNNNNNNNNNNNNNNNNNNNNNNNNNNNNNNNNNNNNNNNNNNNNNNNNNNNNNNNNNNNNNNNNUGUUUCUUGACAUGAAUAAAUGAAUCAACCAAUCAAAGACGUGGGGCGUUUAUAUUUUUAACGACUUGGGACUACCUAUAUAUAUGGGCAUGCGAUGAAAUUGUUCUGAAACAAUUGUUAAUGCUAUAUAUAUGGGCAUGUAAUCCAGUAAAUGUUUUUCAUAUGAAAUGUUUUCGAUGCCAGUGGCAGCGGUUAGUACUGCCUAUUUUUCUUUUUAAUCUGCGUAUAAAAUUAGGCCAAAAUCAAACUUUUAAAGUUUGACUAACUUUUCAAAGAAUAAUAUCAACAUUCACAAUAUGAAAUCAACAUUAUUUGAUGCAUCAUGAAAUAAAACUUCUCAUAUGUGUGGUCCUUCUUAAUUAUUAACUUGCACGCCAUACAUAGAAUAUGUUCUUUAGGCCUGGCAGCAUGUAAAGCUGAAACGAAAAAUUAUGUCCUGGUCCUUCUUAAAUAGAGAUGCCACCACGUGGUUCCUUUUUUAAAGUCAUAGACAUGGAUACGAAACGAAGUCGUAUAAAAUUGUUCGUUGCCUCAGGUGGCACGCAAAGCAAGGAUGAUGAGGUUCUUCUGACAUUAUUCACCUACCUUUGGCACGAAUAUUUAUCUUAGUGGAUUUUAUUGGGGUUCCUAUAUUUCUGUGGUCACGUGAAUAUGUUCUGUGCUUGUGAAGCACGUAAUGAUUAGCACGUUGUGCUCCUUAAGGCAUCUAUAGCAUAUCCCAAAAGCUAUUUUGGGGGAAAUUUUGUUAGGGAUUAAGCAUUAGCUAGCAAAUUAUUUAUGACCGCCAUAAUGGACAGCCUCACUCCUGCCACACCCUGGGCACCAGAGUCUGUUGAAACUCGUCCACGGAUCGAUCACAUCAAAUCAUGAUAAACACGCGUACCUAAUUUUCCCUCUAUUAUUUUCUGUUCUCUCAACUCGAUCUUACAACUUCACGUCCCGGGCUGUAUAUACAUACAAACCUAAACGCUCAGCUCAGCUAACCUAGUCGGACACAACACUAAUCCUAAUACUACUCGAACCAGGACUCAACAGUUAACGCGUACUAACACUAUGACUAGGACUCCCGUGUACACAUCACACAAGAGUCCAAACCGGACUCACGCUGCAUGUACUACAUUGGGCAGGAUCAAACUAAUUAUCCUAGUCAAGAUUAAACCUAACAACCACUCCCUAAUCUUGACAUUGUCUUCCGCUCUUCUCCAGUCUUGGCUCGUUGAAGAUUCAUCCUUGUCAACUCAUCCAUCUCGCACCACGACAAGUCAAAUUGAUAGGCUUCAUUGAUCGUAAAAAUCUCCCCUUCAAUUUUAACUUGGCGAAUUUUACAGAUCACCUCAAAUAUGUCUUGGACUACCCAGCCUCGCCAGUAUCCUAUGGAAUGCACCACCCAGUGGACUAGACCAUCCACCCUAGCAAGAUACAUGCCGACUCCUUGUGGAUAAAACCAGCCCGUGGAAUACACCGCCCACUCCAGCCUCAUGUAGAUUUAUGACCUCAUUGAAGAGACUCACCUUCACUGGUUUACCACCCCCACAUACUUGAACUUGAUCAUCCCGUCGAGACACAUAGACGACAUCAGCUUCAUCUUCAACACCUCCUCACAGAGACGAGCACUUGGACACGACGACACUGACACGACGACGACGACGACCGAGAUGUGCUAACCCGCACGACACCUUGACUCCCCGGACGAUGAUCUUGACGGCUUUUUCGGCACCGCACCUCGGCACCACCGCUCCCGUGAACGAUAUUGUUAUACCGCCUUGCUGACGACAGCCUAUCAUCUCCCUCCAUGCCGCUCCGCCGAACGACAAUCGCCAGAUCCUUCUCAUCGCUACUCCACCCAGCGACUUCAUGGCCCGCCCCGAGGCGCUAGUAGGUCGCCACCCCGGGGCAAGCGUGCGGCUUCAAAGACCUUCUCUAGAUACCAAAUGUUGGAACUCGUCCACGGAUCGAUCACAUCAAAUCACGACAAACACGCGUACACAAAACCAUGUAGCUAAGGGCCCUUGUCGUGCCCUAAUUAACCUAGUCAACAUUAAACCUAACAGAGCCUCACUGUCAGCCACCAAUUUCACGCUGCAAAUACCCAAAGGUUUGUGCCAAAGGAAAUAGAGAUUGUAAAUAGAUGAUGUGACAUAGACCCGAGGGCUCUAGGUUUCACUAGCGGCUUCUCUAGAGAAAAUAGUCAACGUUGGAUAGACAAAUUACUAUUGGAUAAUUGAUAGAAGAGCGAAUAAUUAUGAUUGUAUUCAAGAUAAUGAUCAUGUAUAUAGGCAUCACGUCCAAGACAAGUAGAGCGACUUCUGCCUGCAUCUACUUCUGUUACUCCACACACAUCGACCACUAUCCAGCAUGCUUCUAGUGUAUUAAGUUCAUGGAGAAACGACAUAAUCCUUUAAGAACUAUGACAUGAUGUAGACAAGAUCUAUUCAUGUAUGAAUAGAUCCCAUCGUUUUAUCCUUAAUAGCAACGAUACCUGCAUGUCAUGUCUCGCUCUGUCACUGAGAUUGAGCACCGCAUGAUCGAACCCAUCACAAAGCACCUCUUCCCAUUACAAGAUAAAAGAUCUAGUUGGCCAGACAAAACCCAAAUAUCGAAGAAGAAAUACGAGGCUAUAAUAAUCAAGAAUGGAUAUAAUUACAUAGAACUGGUCAUAAACCCAGAAUUCAUCGAAUCCCAACAAACACACCAGAAAAGAUAGAGUUACGUCAAAUGGAUCUCCAAGAUACCAUUGUAUUGAGAAGAAAAACGAGAGAGAAAGCCAUCUAGCUACUAGCUACGGAUCGUAGGUCUGAUAUGAACUACUCACGCAUCACCGGAGGAGCACUAGUGAGGAUGAUGAACCCCUCCGUGAUCGUGUUCUUCUCCGGAACGGACUCUAGAUUGUAUUUCAUGGCUUCUCGAACUUGAGGCGGUUGAAACAAUUUUUCGCCUUCUCUUCUAAGGUUUAUGUCUGGAACCAGGAUCAAAGGGGUCAUACGAACCGGGACCAAUGGCCCACAAGGCCUGGCCGGCGCCCUGACCUCACGAACUGGGACGAUGCCUCAAGAGGUUCUGGUUCGUGAGUGGCGGUUCACGAGGGGCAUUGCUCCUUGCCUAACAGCAGCGGGCGGGCGCCACUUCUAUUGUAACGGCAUGAACAGCUGGAACGGAUGGACCAAUCAACUAGAGGGAAGUACGGGGAGUUUAUUACUUUGUUAGGGCAUGCAUGAGUCUCACUAGUAGAAAAAUGGCAUUUAGCCCCGGUNNNNNNNNNNNNNNNNNNNNNNNNNNNNNNNNNNNNNNNNNNNNNNNNNNNNNNNNNNNNNNNNNNNNNNNNNNNNNNNNNNNNNNNNNNNNNNNNNNNNUGAUGUAAACAGAGAUGCGAUAUUUUCUUCUUUUUGUAGGAAAUUUAAUCCAGCAACACAAAUAGCAGUAGCCAUCUUAAUCAAGUUUUUUCGAAUUCACAUUGUGAUUCUGAUCUUUGAGCGUGUGCAUAAACAAAAUAAACCAGAGCACUCUGACCAAUUGGGUUCUUCGAAGUACUCACUAGAGCAUUAGAGGUGCAGCUACUUAUGCAUUCUGAUAUGGACUGGAUUCCAGAAGCUUAAAAAGCCCCCCCCCCCCUCCAAAAAAAACANNNNNNNNNNNNNNNNNNNNNNNNNNNNNNNNNNNNNNNNNNNNNNNNNNNNNNNNNNNNNNNNNNNNNNNNNNNNNNNNNNNNNGAGGGGGAUGAUAGGCGCCGGCCCAAAACUUUCGGCCGGCCGCGUCCUGGCCACACGAUUAACCGACAUCUCCUAUUUGACGCCAUAAGCGUUAGUUAACGUGCAUUUUUGUUAAUUGGCAUUUGUGGCGUUCGUAAAUGGGCCAGCCCAUCUAGACGCCGGUUGAUUUUUGAAAUUUCUAUAAAGUUUUUAAAUAUCAAUGAACUUUUUUAAAUUUCAAUGAAUGUUUUUUUAAGAUUGAUGACCUUUUCUCUGAAAAUAAAUGAACCCUUUCUAAAAUAUUAAAAUUCUAUGAACUUUUUUGAAUAUCGAUGAACUUUUGCAUGCGCCCGUUGCCGUCGGACGCUCCGCANNNNNNNNNNNNNNNNNNNNNNNNNNNNNNNNNNNNNNNNNNNNNNNNNNNNNNNNNNNNNNNNNNNNNNACGCUCCGCACCAGCGUUGUUGUCGCUUGUUCCCCGGUGUCCUCCCCCCCAACGGCCGCACCCCUCUCUACGAUGUGGCUCUCAUCGGGUCCGUCACAUUCAGGUCCCGCGGGCAAAAGUCGCAGCUUCGGCGAACGCCAGUAGUUCACCGCCGGCCCCAUGGAGCUCGUCACUGCUGCAGCUCCGUCGUGAAGCCAUCGCAGUAGUCGGUUGCAUCAAUGGUGAGAUGCAAGCUCCAACUUUUUGUCGCUGGUCUCUGGUUGAAGCUUUUCAUNNNNNNNNNNNNNNNNNNNNNNNNNNNNNNNNNNNNNNNNNNNNNUGGUUGAAGCUUUUCAUGUCAAUGAUUGCAACAUUUGCGUUGUGUACUCACGGGUUGAAGCUUUAUAUAUAGCCGGUUGAAGCUUUUUAUAAAGUUGGUUGAAGCUUUCCAAUUCAACGCAUGUAGCUUAUUUUAUUUCGAACUGGUCGGAUGGAACUUCUUUAUUUUGCCGGUUGAAACUUUUUUUUAAUAUGGUUUGAAGCUUUCACACGAAUGGUUGUAGCAUUUUUUAGUGCACGGGGUAGUUCUCGAAGCUUUUUCAAACUACGAUUGAAGCUUUCAUAUGAAACGUUGUAGCUUUUUUCUGUGUGUGGUAUUUCGGUUUAAGCUUGAUAUACCGUCUGUUGAAUCUUUCGAAUCAAAUGGUUGUACUUUUUUGCAUCGUCGAUUGCAGCAUCGGUGGAGGAGCAACAUGCUUUCAGGUUCUUUGCAAGGAGAAGGUGGUUGCAGCGGUGGGGGAGGAGGUAACUCCAUUGUGGUUCUAGAAUCUCCGGCGGACGGUUCCAGCACAGGGAACUAUGAGCAGUACCUUCCUGAUCUCUCCAGCUGCAUCCAUUUGUCGUCGCGAUAUGUCAAUUUUGCAUCAUGAUUUUUUAUUGACAUUUAUACUUUUUUUGGUGAUUCUAAUGUCCUUCUCUCUCUCUCUCUCUCAAGGAGAAACACGAAGAGGAAGCAUGGAUCGAUGAAGCAUUUUUUCCCUCGUGGGGGCAUCUAUAGUUAUGUGAAAUACAAUGAAAAAAUCCACCAAAAUAUGGAUCGAGAGUACAUGAGUUUUUUUUAUUAGCCACAUAGAUAANNNNNNNNNNNNNNNNNNNNNNNNNNNNNNNNNNNNNNNNNNNNNNNNNNNNNNNNNNNNNNNNNNNNNNNNNNNNNNNNNNNNNNNNNNNNNNNNNNNNGGUGGUUCACAUUUCAUUCAUGGUGCUUUCCGUAAAACGCUUGCUAAGUACGAUGUCAACAAUAGAAUUGCGUCCCCCUAUCACCCUCAGUCCAAUGGUCAAGUAGAGCUAAGCAAUAGAGAGAUUAAACUAACUCUGCAAAAGACUGUCAACAGGUCUAGAAAGAAUUGGUCUAAGAAGCUCGAUGAUGCACUGUGGGCUUAUAGAACUGCCUAUAAGAAUCACAUGGGCAUGUCUCCGUACAAAAUGGUGUACGGUAAAGCAUGUCAUUUACCUCUUGAGCUAGAGCAUAAGGCUUAUUGGGCAAUCAAAGAGCUCAACUUUGAUUUCAAACUUGCUGGUGAGAAGAGGUUAUUUGACAUUAGCUUGCUUGAUGAAUGGAGAACUGAGGCAUAUGAGAAUGCCAAGUUGUUCAAAGAAAAAGUUAAGAGGUGGCAUGAUAAAAGGAUACAAAAGCGUGAGUUCAAUGUAGGUGAUUAUGUCUUGCUAUAAAAUUCUCGUUUAAGAUUUUUUGCAGGCAAGCUUCUCUCUAAAUGGGAAGGUCCCUAUAUUGUUGAGGAAGUAUAUCGUUUCGAUGCUAUCAAGAUCAACAACACGGAAGGUAAUUGUCCGAGAGUGGUAAAUGGGCAGAGAAUCAAGCAGUAUAUCUCAGGUACUCCCAUAAAUGUUGAAAGCAAUAUUAUCAAUACCAUAACUCCGAAGGAGUACCUAAGGGAUAUUUAUCACCCUGUUUCAGACUCCGAAAACGAAGAGGUAUGUUAUUCGGUAAGUAAACCGACUCCAAAACUUUUCGAGUAGGAUUUUUCCUCCGUUUUGGAAUUUUUAGAAAAAUAGAAAAUUUUGAAGUAGUCCGGAAAGCGCACGAGGAGGCGACAAGCCUGCCAGGCGCGAGCCAUCCCCCUGGCCGCGCAUGGGGGGCUUGUGGCCACCUCGUGUGCCUCCCGGACUCCGUUUUCUUGCGGAGUACUCCUUCUGGUCUGGAAAAAAUCAUUAUAUAUUGUCCCGAAAGGUCUGACCCUUGUAUCAUGCGAAUUUGCUAUGUUUUCGUUUCGAGCCUGUUUCUGUUGUAGAUCUAGAUUGCUAUGACGUCCCCAAAAGCUCCGAAGGACAAGAUCUUCGAGAAGGUCAUCAAUCCCUACCUCACGGGAGUGCUGCAACACCCUCAAUCUAUCGAGAUGGGUGAGGGGAUGUUGCACAUCCGUGAUGUUGAGGGGCCUAAGAAGACUGGAAGCAUGGAGGCGAGGCUUGAAGCAAUGGAGCAACAGGUCUUCAAGUGCCAAGGGAUGGUGGAGCGUGGACUCAACGCCAACCACAUGAUGAUCACGGAGUUCACCAACAAGCACAAGAUCGAUGCCAAUGACAUCGGGAAGCACCUCUCCAGGCUCUAUGACAGAAUUGAUCACCUCCAAGCCCAGAUCUAUGACCUGCAGAACCAAAACUGUGAGAAUGAGUAUAGAUUUAAAUCAAUACGGUUGGCUGCAGAUUUGAGGAUUCCGAAGACUCGGUCAUCUUUCCAUGAUGGAGCACCUAUGCCUUGGAAGAUGAAGGAUCAAACCUAUGUUGCAACAACUCCACCACCAUCACCUCCAAAGGAAGACAACUAAGCAUGGGUAUGGGCAAUCCCCUUGGCUUGUGCCAAGCUUGGGGGAGUUGCCCCGGUAUCGUAUCACCAUCACAUCUUUUGCCUUUACCUUUGUUUUAGUUUGUUCCUUUUCAGUUUUCUCUUUCUCUAGUAGAAUAAAGGUCUUAGUGUUUUAGGCUUGAGUUUUGCUUUGCGUCACCCCCGAUGUAUUCGAGUUCGUGAGUCAUAUAAUAAAGAGUGUCUUAGUUAAGGGCCUUGCCUCAUGUCAUGAUCAAAAGAAUGAGAAAAGAACAAAAGCAUGAAAGAUCAUGCAAUGAUCUUAUGGGAAGUGAUGGCUUCACAUAUAAGAAGAAUGAUGAUUGGAACUUGUUGAGGGUAGACAAACGUAGACCUUGGUCAUUGUUGCAAUUAAUAGGAAGUGAUACAGAAGGAGAGGUUCACAUAUAAAUAUAUCAUCCUUAACACCAUCUAUGAUUGUGAACACUAACUAAACUAUUACAUGCUUAGAAGUAGAUGUUGGACAAGGAAGACAACAUAAUGAAUUGUGUUUGCUUGGUUCCAAACAAUGUUAUAUGACUAGAGAUACCUUAGCAUGUGACGAUUGCUUCCACCUCAUAUUAGCCAAAACUCCUGCACGAAGUAGAAAUACUACUUGUGCAUCCACAAACCUUCAACCCAGUUUUGCCAUGAGAGUCCACCAUACCUACAUAUGGAUUGAAUAAGAUCCCUCAAGUAAGUUGUCAUCGAUGCAAGCAAUAAAAAUUGCUCCCUAAUAUGUAUGAUCUAUUAGUGUGUGGAAAAUAAGCUUUGUAUGAACCUGUGAUGAGGAAGACAUAAAAGCGACAGACUGCAUAAUAAAGUUCUUUAUCAGAGGAGGCAAUAUAAAGUGACGUUCCUCCACACUAAGAGGACACACAUCCAAACCUCAAAAGCGCAUGACAACCUCUUCUUCCGUCUGCGAAGGGCCUAUCUUGUACCUUUACUUUUUGCCCUUGAAAGAGUCAUGGUGAUCUACACCAAUUCCUUGUUUCGCCUUUAUCUUGGCUAACGUCAUAUGCUUGGGAAAGAUCUAUAUUCAUAUGUCAACUUGGCAGUAAGUAUUCAUGAACUAUUAUUGUUGACAUUACCCUUGAGGUAAAUGGUUGGGAAGCGAAACUAUAAGCCCCUAUCUUUCUCUGUGUCUGACUGAAACUUUGAUCUCUUGAGUACCACAUGAGUUGUAGCAAUUGUAGAAGACAAAAGGAUGAUUGAGUAUGUGGAUUUGCUUUACAAGCUCUUAUUUGACUCUUUCUGAUGUUGUGAUAAAUUGCAAUUGCUUCAAUGACUAAAGGCUAUCGGUUGUUAAUUCUCGGUAAGGUUCUUGAUCCAUGCUUUACUUUGUGAAGGAAUUGUCACUUUAGCAUAAGAGAUGAUAUGAUGGUAUUGCUGUUCUGAUCAUUAUCAUGAUGCCUGCAUGUUCGUAUCUUGUUCUGUCGACACCUCUCUCCCUAAACAUGUGGGCAUAUUUAUUGAUCUCGGCUUUCGCUUGAGGACAAGCGAGGUCUAAGCUUGGGGGAGUUGAUACGUCCAUUUUGCAUCAUGCUUUCAUGUUGAUAUUUAUCGCUUUUUGGGUUCUUAUUACACUUCACGGUACAAUACUUAUGCCUUUUCUCUCUUAUUUUGGAAGGUUUAUAUGAAGAGGGAGAAUGCCAGCAGCUGGAAUUCUGGCCUGAAAAGGGAGCAAGUUUGAGAUGCCUAUUCCACGCAACUCCAAAAGCCGUGCAAAAUCAACGUGGAUUUUCUUGGGAUUUAUAAAAAAUACUGGGUCGAAGAAGUGCCAGAGGGGCGCCAGCAGGAGGCCACAAGCCUGCUAGGUGCGCCUCCCCCCUGGCCGCGCAUAGGGGACUUGUGAGCUCCCUGCUGGCCCACUCGCCCCCCCUCUUUUGCUACAAGAAGGGUUUCGGUCUGGAAAAAAUUAAGAGGAGGCUUUUCGGAGGAUUCGCCGCCGUCACGAGGCGGAACAUGAGCAGAACCAAUCUAGAGCUCCAGCAGGACGAUCCUAUCGGGGAAACUUCCCUCCCAUAGGGGGAAAUCGUCGCCAUCGUCAUCACCAACACUCCUCUCAUCGGAGGGGACUCAUCACCAUCAACAUCUUCAUCAGCACCAUCUCAUCUCCAAACCCUAGUUCAUCUCUUGUAACCAAUCUCCGUCUCGCGACUCCGAUUGGUACUUGUAAGGUUGCUAGUAGUGUUAAUUACUCUUUGUAGUUGAUGCUAGUUGGAUUACUUGGUGGAAGAGUUUAUGUUCAGAUCUUUGAUGCUACUCAUUACCUCUCUGGUCAUGAUUAUGAUUAUGCUUUGUGAGUAGUUACUUUUGUUCCUGAGGACAUGGGAUAAGUCAUGCUAUAAGUAGUCAUGUGAAUUUGGUAUUCGUUCGAUAUUUUGAUGUGUUGUAUGUUGUUUUUCCUCUAGUGGUGUUAUGUGAACGUCGACUACAUAACACUUCACCAUUAUUUGGGCCUAGAGGAAGGCAUUGGGAAGUAGUAAGUAGAUGAUGGGUUGCUAGAGUGACAAAAGCUUAAACCCUAGUUUAUGCAUUGCUUCGCAAGGGGCUGAUUUGGAUCCACUAGUUUAAUGCUAUGGUUAGACUUUGUCUUAAUUCUUCUUUCAUAGUUGCGGAUGCUUGCGAGAGGGAUUAAUCAUAAGUGGGAUGCUUGUCCAAGUAAGGGCAGUACCCAAGCGCCGGUCCACCCACAUAUCAAACUAUCAAAGUAACGAAUGUGAAUCAUAUGAACAUGAUGAAAACUAGCUUGACAGAAAUUCUCAUGUGUCCUCGGGAGCGUUUUACCUCCUAUAAGAGUUUGUCCAGGCUUGUCCCUUGCUACAAAAGGGAUUGGACACUUUGUUGUACCGUUGUUACUUUUGCUACUUGCUACUUGCUAUGAAUCAUCUCACCACACAACUACUUGUUACCGUUAAUUUCAGUGCUUGCAGAGAUUACCUUGCUGAAAACCACUUGUCAGAUCCUUCUGCUCCUCGUUGGGUUCGACACUCUUACUUAUCGAAAGGACUACGAAAGAUGCCCUAUACUUGUGGGUUGUCACGUAUCACGUUCCCAGCGCGACAAGGCGCGUCAGAUGGUGGUCGUAGGGUGGCCGAAGAUGGCCGGAGUCGAUGGCGGGGUCGACAACCGCGACGGUAGUGGGCGGUGCAGCACGGACACGGCGAGCAGUAGGGCAGGAGCAGCAACAAAACGAUCGCGAGCGGGUGGCAACAAGCACACGUGGGCGACGCACCACGGGCACAACACACACGAGUGUUGGUUUGAGACGGAAGGGCCGAGAACGACGAAGACAAGCACAACGGAGGUGACGGAAGCUCGACAGCAGCAUCAACAUGUUACGAGCUCGAGAUCGAGCUAAGAAAAGAGGGGUUUCAUGGGGAUGCUCACCACGAAGCUCAAGAUGGCUCGAUGAUUGGGUUAGUAGCAUCAGUGGCUUAGAAUUGAUCGGAGAGGCGCCGACAACCGGGGCGGGGAAGAGCUCGAUCUGCUUGUUGGGAUGGCGUCGUGCUCAAGCUGGUCUACGUAGGCAAAGAAGAGGAGUACAACGGAGUUUCUAGAUAGCGCGGAUCGGCGAAUGAUGGUCGGGGUCCAUGCCUACGAUGGAGCCAAGGCGACGGCACAGGUGGCCAUGGCGAGGGUCGGAAGGAGCGGUGCAAGGAGGGAGAAGUGGGGCGAUCUAGGGUUCGGGGGAGGCCGUGGGGGUCUUGUAGACCUCGAGGAGGCGGCGGAUGGCCGCCAAGGCGGCGACCGUGGCCUUGGCGAGCAUCGACGGCGUCCACACCCCUCUUGGUAAACAGAAGAAGGAGAAGGGGGGCUAGGUGGGCUGGGCCUCACUAUGGACUAAGGCCCAGUCCACAGUGGCCCUUUUUAUUUUAUUUUCCAUUUUCUAAUUUUUUUUAUUUUUCUUUAUUUUGUUUUGCAUUCAAUUUUAAAAGAAAACUAGUUUUACAAAAUAUAUAACUUGGUCCAUAAUUAGCAUUGCAUUUUUGGACAGUGCCACAAAAAGUUUGGGAGGCAAUUGGAAUGUCUUAGAUUUUUCAUAAUUUAAAAGACAUUUAAAUUAUUGUUUUCACUUCCGUUGUAAUUGUUUUAGAGAUUUUAGUUACUUACAAAAAUGUUGGUUCCUCCAUCAUAAUUAUCUUUAGAUUAUUUAUCACCUUUGAAACAUCUUAGUUUCCAUGUUUGUGAAUUUUUUGAUGCACUUUUUAUUUGAAUGUUGAAUUUCAAACUCGAAUAUGGAAUGAGAUAUGAUUCUAAAGAUGGCCAAGCACUGAUUGGCAAAAUGAUUAGCUUAAUAUCAGAGGGUUUACUGUAGCUUAAUUACACGGGUGUUACAAGAAAGAAGAGCAUGUGGUGCACCAUAUGAUUGGGAUUUAUUACAGCAAGAAAAAUGGGGAGAAGUUGAGACGAAACCGGACGAGCCCAAGUUUCGCCAUGGAGCCGACUCAGGGAUGCCAUCGACGGAUCUGCAACCAGAGAUCAUCUUUGCAUGUCUCCAUGAGCGUGGCCCCACGGGAGAGUUAAAAAACCAUUUAGACAAGAUCCAAAACACUGGUGUGCUUUAUUUUUUCGGAGAGAGACACUCACACAACACUAGACCUACGAUCCACAUCUCCAUCCUACCCAGCGUCGACCACCAUGGCCGCCGGCGGCGAGGGGGAGGGAGGUCGAACGAGGAAGCCUUAGGUGGAGCUCUUAAGUAAACGGCAGAAUGCAAGUUUGUUGCAUGUUGCGGCGAACUGUUGCCGCUAGCAUAGGGAAACCGCACUAAUGAAGCAUGUCGGACAGCCAUUUUUUUAGCGAUGGGCACAAAAGGGUUCUCGUUUUGGUUUUGGAACCUUCUUUAAAAUUUGAGCUGGCGUUUACCGGUCUUGUGUUUUUUGUUUUUCCCUUUGUGUUUUUUUUCCUUUUCCUUUUUAGGAUCAGUUUAUUUUUUAUAUAAUGCUCAGAAAUUUCAAAAAUAUCAGCGUGUUUAACAAAGUGUUGGGAAUUUCAAAUAUUGUUUGAAAAUUUAGGAGUGUGCAUUGCCAAAAAUUGUUUGGGAAUUUCCAAAAGUUUGAAGAAAAUGAAAAUAAAAUUAUGGUUUCGAAAAAUAUUCAAAAAAUAAAUAAAUAAAUAAUGCGUCUUUUCAAAAUUUAUUAAUAUAUUCAAUAUAUAUUCUUCAAACUGAAAUUAUUUGGACAAAAACUUAAUUUAUGUUUUCCAUAAGGCGUUUGGGAAAUUCACAAGUGUAUGAAAAUUCAAAAAUUUAACAAUUUUAAAUAUUAUUAUUAUUUCCAAUUUUCCCUUUUCUUAUUCCUUUAUUUCUUUUUUUCCUUAUAGUUGAUAAUAUCCUAAAUAUUAAUAUUACAAAAACUUUUCUUAAAUUUUAUGAAACGUUAAUCUUACAUUUUUGAGGAUUUGAAUAUGUAUCAUAAAAUGUUUCUGAUGUAUACAAAAAAUGUAUAAAUGAGAAUGUAAAAAGUACUUCCUCCGUCCCAAAAUAUUAAACUGUUUUUGACAUCGUGAUAGUGUCAAAAACCGUCAUAUGUUUUGGGACGAAGGUAGUAGAAAAUGUUAAUCAUAGGUUUGAAAUUUUUUUGCGAAAAUUUAAAAAACAUAACAUAUUUCGAAAUAAUGUAUGUAAAAUUUUAAAAAUUAUUUACACAAAUGUAAAAAAUGUUUGUGUAAUCUAUAUUUUUCAAAUAAAUUUUAAGAAAUGCAUGUCACAUUUUAUAAAAUGUUAACAUGUUUCCAAGAUGUCUUUGUGUCAUUUCAAAACAGUAUGUACAUUGUACAAAAAUAUAUUCAUAGUUAAAAAAGAAUGUUAUUUGUCAUUUGAAAAAUGUGUUAACGUAUAUUUGAAAAAAUGUUAACCUGAAUUUUAAAAAACAUUCAAAACGUGCUUAGAUGAAAUGUUAAAAAAGUUAAACAUGCAUAAAAAUGCUUUUGCAUGUAGACACUAAAUGUAAAGCGUGUGUAAAAAAGUAGAUAUGUGUCAAAAAAACAGAAAAAAUAGCAAAGAAACGAAAACAAAUGCGAAGAAACCAGAAAAACUUGAAAACCCCUAGGAAGAAAAAAAAGAAAAACAAAGUAAAAAAGAAAACAAGAAAACCAAGAAAACCCAAGAAAAUCAUUGAAUAACUAAAGAAAACUAAUAACAUAACGUAGAAAAAAAGAAAAUCCGAGGAACCAGUGAAAAGAACUAAGAAACCCAGAAAGAAAAAACUGAAAACAAUAAAAGAAAGGAAAAACCCGGACAGGUCAAGGGAUUCAGAUAUACCGGCUAAAACUCACGUCAAGGAAAUAGGCCUACGCGUAGUCGCCCCCCAUAAGCCAUAUAUAUACAACUAUAUUAAAAUGGUUAAGGAGGAGCUCCUCUCGUGUGUUCCCAUUCAGUAGCGGAGCAAGGAAUAUUUUCGUGGUAUGGCAUGCUUUAUGAAAGAAAAAUGUGGUGUUCCUGCUCGUUGCCUCACUAGCCGAUCUCUAGCUGCGCUCGAAAGAAACAAAUAGAUCAUGUGCCUGGAAUCAACUUUUCUUUUUAGCAAAAUGUCAUGGGCUUAUGUGAUGCAAGUCAUCUAUUGCUUAAUUCUCUCAUUCAACUGUAGUUAGGCCUCUAAUGAGCCAGAAAUACAUAUCAACAUCACAACUACCUGGCGAAAUACAUUGCAGGCCCUGAGUCGCAUGCCCGUGCGAGCCAUCUCCUCCUCCAAAUUGACGAAACUGAGAAUAAAUCGAUUGACUCAGCUCAUAUCUUCAUACAUACAGUAUAAUAUAUGUUUUCUCCCCUAAAUUUAGGUAUAGCAGCUGCCAAACCUUGUCAUAUAGCUGGAAUCGCCCCUGUUCCCAGUUCUAUGAGGUAAGUUUGUAUACACUCACACGUGCUAAAAAAAUUAGAUUUUUGAAUUUUUUUUUACUAUCUAGCAGGGAUUUACUACUUAAGGCACCACAAAAUAAUAUUUUUUGAUACAGUACAAUCGAAUUCGUUGUGCACCAGCAUACAUUCACCUUUAUGAACACACACCCACCUUACCCCUAUAAACACCUCUGAGAGACUAAACCGUCAUAGCAUCUUGAGAUUCUAGAUUUCAUCACAGGCGUCUCGCAAUCGACAGAAACGUAUCCUCUCACUAAACGAACAUCGCCAGAAGCGUUAAAUAUAUCCAGAAAAAUCCAGUCAUCAAUGUUAAAUCUAGAACUUAAGCCGUGACGGACUAAAGGAUGAGGUUUCGCUCUAUCUCUCACCGCUUAAUGCGAACAGCUGCGAAGCCACCAUAAGAUUUACGUCGUGCCUAUUCUUUCUCCCCUAAAAUAUUGUUCUCUCCUGGGCUCUCCCCCUCUUUUAGACGGUGUUGGUUGAAAACUAUUAGUCACUCAAAAUUUAAUAGUUGACAAAAGUAUUCCUUAAAUUUUAAUCUUAUCAUUCAGACUUUAUUACCUGCAGGUAAGGAAAAGAUGAGGGUUCAAUUCUCGGAUCCAUGCCAAUAUUUGCAAUCUUUUUCUAUUGCUCGGUGGUAGAAGCUAAAUACGUAGUAUGUAUUUCAAUAUUUUAAAUUUGAAAGUACGAACGACACUGAUUUGUUUUUGUUAUUUAUUAAUUUAGAGACACCUUUAUAUGUCCUUGUUUUUUUUAUUUAACUAGGCUUGACAUGUUUCAGUAUAUUCAUGUAAUUUACAUCGUGCUCAUGUGUACUUUCUGGCAUUUAUCGCUAUAUUUUCUUCUGGUGUUGUCAACUAAAGGAAAAAUUGAUGAACUUCUUAUAGCCAAAAGUAUAGUUGCUUUAGGACUAAAACAGAAUGCAUUAUGUCAUUUCUCCUUUGUGCUCAAGGACUUGAUCCACGCCUUGGUCGGAUAACUCUAUCUAUGAACAUUUAUGUGUUGUUAGUUCUGAAUUGGUGACCAGCUUUACAACCAUCUCCCGGCUUUCAUGUUAGGAAAAUAAAAUGUGGUAUGGUGUAUUUGUAGGAUUUCACACAGUAGCCUAAUUUAACGUGAUAUUCAUGAUCUUCAUGCACAAUUUUCAAGGCAAGUUUCAGAAUUCUCCAUUGAUGUAUUCCAAGUCACCGUGAAGUCUUCUUUUCUUAAAUUAAAAAGUUUCGUUAUAGUUUGGCUUCUUUGGUGUGGAAACUACGAUACCAUAUAAAAAAUUUAAAUUUCAUUUGACAGAUUUUUCUUAAAUGAAGUUUCUAAAUUAGUUUGGCUUCUUUGCUGUGAGAACUACUAUACAGAGAAUUCAAAUUUAUUUUCACCGGUUAAUCAAAUCAUGUCCUUCUAAUUUUUUCAAAAGGGUGCAAGUGUCUAAAGAAGUAUUUCACUGUAUGUCUGUGCAUGAUAUGAAUUUAGCAUCUCUUUUGUUGAACAAACCGUCGGUACAUUAAUUUCUUUUACCGGAUGCAAAAUAGAAAAUUCUUGAAAAAUGUUAAUUUUGAUAGCACUACCUCGGAAACUUUUGCUCAUAAUAAUGUAGGAGAGUGCAAUACUGGAUUGAUUAUAAGGUACAACCCACAUGAAUAUACUCUGGAAAAUAUUUUAAUUUUGAACUUGCAACAAUUACGAAGUUUACUUUUCACCGAGUCAUAUGUGUCGAAUUUUUGUUAAUGAUGCAUAACAUUUUGAUGGCUAGACAGAAGUUUAAAGUGUCAAAUAAUGAACAACCGAUUCCAAAUCUUAAUUAUGUUUUCAUACUCUACCAGCAUGCAAUGAAAAUUUUCGAAGUCUUAUCAAAAGGGCAGUGCUCUGUGCCGCCGCGUCGGCCGAAAUUUUUGGCGGGCCACCUGAUCCAUCAGAUUGAAUCUGGUUUGAUCGUCAGAUCUGACCAUGCAACAAAAAUCCUCAAUACAGCAAAUUUCGACCACGAUGCAGCAAAUUUCGGUCACAGAUGAAGGAAAAAUAUGAUUGUAACAAAAAAAUAUAAACGUGGUCGUACCAAAAACGACGCUGAUGAUGCAUGGUAGCAAAAUGGGUUAUAGCAAAACAAUCCGAUGAACUCGGAUUGCAACUCUGACGAGCGUGUAUGCAACUUUUGUAGUUAACGAUUGUAGCAAAAAAGGAUACCGGUUUUAACAAAAAUUAACACGGUUGUAUGGAAAAAAAUCCGACGAACUCGGACUGCAACUAAACGUGGAUGCAACUUUUUAAUGAAUAAAAUAUAGUAAAAAUCAACAACAAUUAUAGCAAAAAUCUUAUCGAUAGUAGUAAAAAAGGAUAAUAAUUACAGCAAAAAUGACGUCUCGCAGUAAAAAAAAAGAUCCCACGCGCGGGAUCAGACUAUCCGGGCAGGACCGGCCCGGCGCACCCUCCGGAAUCGUUUCCCUUAUCAAAAAUUCGCAACCAGCCUGAUCCCAAUAAUACUGCUACACCUUUUUUAUUUUGGGACGGAGGGAGUAAAACAUACAGCUUAGAUAAGGGCGCGGCGUUCUGUUCUAUUCCUUCGGGCGAGGCAUAGGCCUGACGGAGUACGGUCUCCCCUGCUAGCCAGGGAAAUGUAAUCUCUCUCAUUGCUAAAUUUAGACGAAACUGCAAUAUUUGCGUUUUCAAGUGACAUCUCUGUAAGGAGAAUUUUUAACUGAGAUUUAGUACCAAAACUAGCAAUGUGAAUUACAAAUCAAGACAGUGUUGCAAACAAUCUGGGUACAGAAUCAAUCAAACCCUGCCAAUACACAACCCCUCCAACAGUUGUAGUAGGCCUGUAAAAUUAAAACUGGAAUGCACAUCCGACAGAUCAUGUUAUGUUUGCACUCAGGUUAUUUCCAAUUUAAGCACGCAACCGAGGUUAGCAAGCUGGAGAUCGGGCCACGAGGCUAGGUCAGCAGAAACAGGCAAUCGAUCUAGCCGACGCAUCGGCGGCAAGGUUAGCUUCCCCCCGUAUGCGAUUCCCAAAUCGCACGCGCACACACCAACAGAUCUGAUCGGAACCAACAGGCAAGAACACAUGAUCCCCCCCCGGUGAUUUUUCAAAAAAAAAAACAGUCUCCCCUGCUGUCCGAAUUUCAGCCCUUCUAGAAUAGACCGAACAGUCAGCAGCAUGAACACAUGGGAAGAAGAUUGAACAGCUGCAGAAAGAAAUAGCAGCCUGAACGCUCCAAAAGUCCAACCAUGUGACCUCCGGUCCAAGUUCAUCAAUUACUAUUUUAUGGAUCUCUUGCCUUGCUCUGAAUUUUUCUUUUGCACCUACUCUAUAUAAAUCAGCCCCUUGCUUGCUCUCACUCAUCACCGGUCUUCACUCUUCACUAGAUCUUGCCAGCAGCGCUAGGGUGCAGCGAGCCAGUGACAGACGGACAAGAACAAGAUGGUCGUCGGCUGUGUCAUCACCGAGCAGUGCGCCCUGGCGGUGUCGACAGAGCGGCUGUGGAAGGUGGUCUACUCCGGCGAGGACACGGCCGCCCUGCCCAAGGCCUGCGCAGGAUUCAUCGACGCCGUGGACGUCGAGGGCGACGGCGGACCCGGCAGCGUCUUCACCAUGACGCUCAGCCCGGCGGCGGCGGAGCUGUCAGGCUCGGACGUGAUGAAGAGCCGCGUGGUGGCGCGCGACAACGCGGCCAGGGUGUUCAAGACAGAGGUGCUGGAGGGCGACAAGGUAAGUGGCCAGCUCAAGUCACAGGCGGUCGAGAUGAAGCUCGAGGCGGCCGGGGAUGGUGCUUGCGUGGCAAAGCUCAGGGUAGAGUACGAGAGGCUGGACGGCGGCGGGGCGCUGUCGGCGGAGGACCAGGCGGCGCUCGCCGCCGGGUACCUCGACCUGCUCAAGAUGGUCGAGGCAUACCUGGUCGCCCAUCCUGCCGAGUACGCCUAAUUAAACCAAAACGAGAAACAUCAGAAAUAAAUCAACUUUUCCUUCGUUCGAAAUUAUUUAUCGCAUAAAUAAAUAAAGUAAUAUGACCAAGUAGCCUGUGUUGUUUGCCUCCUGAUCGACUUCGCGAGAAAAAUCAAUUGGUAAGCUUUAGUAUAAAUUAUUGAGGUAUAUAUGAGUGUUUAAUCCCUGUUUUAAGCUCACAUUUCGUGUGUAAGUUGCUUCAAGCAUUGAUGGAGAUAAAUAUUUGAGCAGUUUGGUUUUGUGAUAAAUGCACUUCUUUCUUAUCAGUCAAUUCAAAUUAAAUGGCGAGACAAGCCAAACGUAUAAAGGGCAAUAUCGAUCAUGUAACCAUUUUCAUAUGUGUGAUGAACUGUCGAUACAUAUACGCCAUACGUACAAGCUGGUAGAGGACCAAAAACAAAAGGUAGGGCAAAUCUGACAUAAAAAGUUGAUGUCACUAUAAGUAAUAGCGACGGACCGAAAGACUAAGUUUUAUUGGGGUGUGAGACAACGAUAGAGCUUGACGUGACUUAUAACUAAUGCAUUUAGUUUUUAUAGGGAAUGCACUCAUAUUUUCUAAGUGGAACAUGUGCUUGCAAAAACCAAAUGCCCUAUCGUGCGUGACUGAGGUGCAUCACCGAUUUUGCGGCCACUUGAGCUUAAGUGCUAAACUGAUGGCCAACAACCCAGCAACAUGAGUUCAUACAGAGGGCCUCGUUGUGUUUAUCUUAUUUUCCCAGCUAAACCAUGACUAGUUCAAAGAAAACCAUCCAGUCGAACAAGACAUAUAUCUCAAUGUACGCCUUUUAAAAAAUCAAGGUGAGGCGGCCGCCCAACCUUGCCUUACCGGCUCCUCCGUCCUUAACGAGCAUACGUUCGGUUUAACUAUGUAUCGGCCCCUCGCAAGAAAAAAAAACAAAAUCUCCGGACCAAUCCAAUCCAUAGUCAUCAUCACGACUUUGACCGGCGGGCAUCAUGAGUCGUCGCCUCCCCAGCGUCGACCUCGCUCGAGUUCACGUCGUCGUUGGGCUCAUCUGCGUCGUUGCACGUGGCGCCAUCCAGCAACCCUGCUCUCACGCGGCACUGUCGUCGUCGCCCUACCCGUCAUUGGAGGUGACAAGCACACCGUCUUUGUUGCACCUGCCCGCAAGACGUCAUGUGAUGCACUUUCCCACUCUUCCAAAUCGUCGACCAAGACGAGGAAGACGUCGAUGCUGGAAUUUUUGGCCAGCCCAAUAUAUAAUUUCAAAAAAUUUCUAAUAAAUCCUAGAGGCCCACGCAGCCCAUUUGUGCAAGGCAGGAGGUGGAAAUGUUUAGUCCCACGUUGCUAGUUUAGUGGGAGUCGGAUCUCCUUAUAUGGGAGGAUGUUUCCACACAUGUAUGAGCUUGAGAACAAGAGAGACAUAUAGGCGUGCUCCUCCUCCUCCAUCACCUGCCGCGCCUCGUCACGAUGCGCCGCGGGUUGCGGGAAUGAGCCGAACUAAAUUUUUGCCACGCACAACUGGUAUACGAAAGGUCACUCGGAGAAGUUGAACUCUUCGGCUGUUGUCUAUUCGUUUCGUCUCUGUCGCUGGCCUCUCGCCUCCUUCUCUUGCGUCUAUAAAAGAGAGGUCGCUCCUCUCCAGAGAAGACGCAUCAGAACUUCCUCUCGUCACCUGUUCCUUUCUCUGUGAUGCUGCUACGUUCUUUCCCAUCCCGUCUUGCGACGUGCACCGUAGGUUGGGACAGUAGGCCUCUGAAACUCCGUCUCUUUGAGUCCUGUACGGGAGAAAGACGAUAAGGUAUUUGGGGGGCGCUCAGCGCGACUACUGGCUUCCAUCACGGACACCGACGAUCUCUUCCCGGACGACGACUACUUCCCUGACGUCGACCACCUCUUCGGGAACAUGGUCAACGCCAACACCAACCCUAUUGCUGCUGCAACUCAGUACGUACUCAUGUUCUUUUUUUUUGAGUUCCUACCACAACUUCUUACUAUAGUUUCACUUCUAGAUAUGUUCCGUUUCUGCUCAUCACUCCAUAUGAUAUCUUGUGUAUAUAGAACGGUUACACAUAUGUUCUUUUCUAGAUCAUAUGUGCACAUGUCUUUUGUCGUCUCAUCUCUAUUUUGCAUGUCUUCUUUCAUCUUUAUUAUGAUGGUCAUGUUUAUCCUAACUUUUAUUUUAAUAAAAUCCGGUGGUAAAUUGCUCAUAUUUCCAACAAUCCAAAAACCUUAUUAUAGGCAUUUACCCCGAGUGGUUUUGCUGCUUCCAUGAGACCUCAUAUUUUUGAGGGUAUCCACUAUAAGAGGUGGCGCGUGAGAGCUGUUCUAUGGUUUCAAACCAUGAGCUGCUAUGACACCACUCUUGGCAAACGUGAAAGAGAUCAUGAUGCUCAACAGGAACUAGCUUUCCAGAAAAUGGAUACCUUGUUUAAGGCUGCUCUCUUGAGCGUUCCUGGUGAGAACAUAGUUGAUGCUUAUGCGUCAAUUGAUAAUGAAAAAGAAAUGUGGGAUGCACUCAAGGCCAAGUUUGGGGUCUCGGAUGCUGGCACUAAGUUGUACAUCAUGGAACAAUUCUAUGACUACAGGAUGAAUGAAGAGCGCUCUGUGGUUGAGCAAGCUCACGAGGUACAGUCAUUUGCAAGAAAAUUUGAGCACUUCAAUUGCAUGCUAUCCGACAAGUUUGUUGCCAGAGGCAUCAUCACUAAACUUCCUCCUUCGUGGAGGAACUUUGCUACCUUACUAAAGCAUAAGAGGCAAGAGUUUUCUGUUUCGGAUCUCAUAGGUACUCUUGAUGUGGAAGAAAACGCGAGAGCAAAAGACACACGUGCUCGAGGUAUUGAGGGAGGUUCUAGUGCCAAUCUGGUACAGAAGAAAAACUUCCAGCCCCACAAUUUCAAGAACAAGGGCAAGUUUGAUGGUAAAGCAAAGUUCGAUGGGAAGAACAAGGCUGUACAACACACCAACUUCAAGAAGAAGAAUGACAAGAAGAAAGGUGUUUGUCAUGUGUGUGGAGAUCCUGAUCAUUGGGCACCUAACUGCCCUAACCGUUAUGACAAGCGUCAACAUGGGAAAGGUGGCAAGUCCGUUAAUGUUGUCAUUGGUGACACAGACGUGGACGAUGCUGGGUAUGGUAUAUUUUCCACUAUCCUUUCAGUAUGUCAUUUUCCCGAUUGGUUGAUUGACACGGAUGCUAAUGUGCAUGUAUGCAGUGAUAUUUCCAUGUUUUCGUCUUAUCAGUCCAUAGGGACUUCCACCGUGCUUAUGGGCAACGGUUCAAGUGCUUCUGUUCGUGGUGUUGGCACGGUCGAUCUGAAGUUUACUUUGGGGAAGGUCGUGCGGAUGAAGAACGUGCACUAUGUCCCCUCUGUGAAUAAAAAUCUUGUUAGCGGAUCUCUUUUAUGUAGAGAUGGCUACAAGUUUGUCUUUGAGUCGAAUAAAUUUUUAAUAUCCAAGUAUGGAAUUUUUGUUGGUAAAGGCUACGAGUCAGGAGGCCUGUUCCGGUUAUCCUUGGCAAACGUUUGCAAUAAAGUUGUUAAUCAUGUUUACAACAAUAGUGAAUCAAAUGUGUGGCAUUCACGUCUCUGUCAUGUUAAUUUUGGUUGCAUGUCGCGACUUGUCAAAUUGAACUUAAUCCCUAGCCUCACCACCGUCAAGGGAUCUAAGUGUCAAGUUUGUGUGGAAGCCAAGCAACCUCGUAAGUCUCACACGACUGCCGGAACGAGAAAUCUUGCACGACUAGAGUUCAUACAUUCAGAUCUAUGUGAAAUUGAAAGGAUCGAUAUGGUUGGCUAGAGGGGGGGUGAAUAGACAACGACCACUUUUUAAUUAAUCUUAGCAAGUUAACGUAAACACCCUAGGGUUCACAAAUAAUACGACAAUGAGGUGAACCCUAUAGAAGCUAACAACGAGAGCUAUUAAGACAAGUAAGAUAUAGUCACAGGCAUAAGCAAAUACAAAGUAAAGGAUAGAGAUAACCACAAGUGGAACCGAUGGAGACGAGGAUGUGUUACCGAAGUUCCUUCCCUUUGACAGGAAGUACGUCUCCGUUGGAGCGGUGUGGAGGCACAAUGCUCCCCAAAAAGACACUAGGGCCACCGUAUUCUCCUCACGCCCUCGCACGAUGCAAGGUACCGUGAUUCCACCAUAGGUGCCCUUGAAGGCGGCGACCGAACCUUUACAAACAAGGUUGGGGCAACUCCACACAAAGCUUGGAGGCUCCCAACUGAACCACGAAGCUUCACCACAAUGGAAUAUGGCUUCGAGGUGACCUCAACCGUCUAGGAUGCUCAAACACCCAAGAGUAACAAGAUCCGCAAGGGAUUGGUGGGGGAAUCAACUUUUCUCUUGGUGGAAGUGUGGAUCUAGGCCUUCUCAACCAAUCCCUAAAGAAUCAACAAGUUUGAUUGGCUAGGGAGAGAGAUCGGGCACUUUUGAGCUUGGGGCGCAACAAUGGAGCUUAGAGAGGUAAGAGAUAGGGUUCCUCAGCUAGAAGAACCCUUUAUAUAGUGGGGGGGAAAAUCAGACCGUUUUCCCACUCUCUGCCAGAGCUCCAGCGGUACUACCGCUGGCUGCAGCGGUACUACUGCUGGCACUCCAGCGGUACUACCGCUGAACAGGGGCGGUACUACCGCCGCCUGGCGGUACUACCGCUGGAUGCAGCGGUUCUACCGCUGGGGCUCCAACGGUACUACCGCUGACACCAGCGGUACUACCGCUUGCCCUUAUGUAGUGCAGAAGCACUACUACCGUCAAGAAAGUCUUCGCAAAAAGGUCCGUCCACGAACUACCGCUAGGCAGGUGGAACAAAGCUCCUGGAGCGGUACUACCGCUGGCCAGGGGCGGUACUACCGCUAGCUAGCGGUACUACCGCUGGCUGCAGCGGUACUACCGCCAGCAAUCCACUGGUACUACCGCUAGAGCUAGCGGUACUACCGCUGGGGACCAUUUUGCAAAGAUGCGAGAAACAAAGUGACGGGGGCCGCUCCAAAGAUGAAGGAAAGGGAGAAUGUGAAGUGUGCGUGUGUAAAGAUAGAUUCCACCCAAACCUUUCCACUACGGAUCCCCUCUUAAUAGUACGGCUUUCCUAUGACUCAAAUAAAGAGAAUCGUAGAGAGCGUCGNNNNNNNNNNNNNNNNNNNNNNNNNAGAGAAUCGUAGAAAGCGUCGUGCUUCCGUUCCAUGAAUGAGGAGACGAGUCGUCUUGUGCCAUUGACGUGUGUUACCUGAAACCUUAACACACACGGUUAGUCCUGUACGGUACUGUCAUCAAUCACCAAAAUUACUUAGGCAUAAACUAUGCCCCAACAAUCUCCCCCUUUUUGGUGGAUUGAUGACAAUACCGGAUUUGCACAGAGAAUAAUAUGAGAAUAAAAGGAUAGAGAUAUAUGACAAUACGGGGCAUAUGACUCACAGCAUAUGAAGGAAAUAAAUCUCUCAUAAGUUCAUGUCUCACACAAGAUAGCAAACUAAGCAAACCAUAAGAAAUAAAGCAAAGCAACGCAAAGUUCGAAUAAGAAAGCAAAUUCAGCUCCUAGACUCUCUCCCCCUUUGGCACAAGACACCAAAAAGGGGCACACCUAAUGCCACAGGUAGCUACUCGUCAUCCUUAGCAUCGCCAGACUCAUCGGUCCCCUCCUGAUCGGCCUGCUCCUCCUCGUCCGCCUCAUCCCCAGACCACUGGUAUCCUUGGGCCUGCAUCCAAGUAGCCUCUGGAGUGAUAUCGUCCUCAGAUCCGCUGGAGAUGUCCACAUCAAGAGUCCUGAGGACACGCUUAUGCCUCUGGCGGCUCUCCUUCUGAGCCACGUGCAUCUGGUACUCACCCUUAGCCUGCAUACAGAAUAGAGUCUUCAUCUUGUCCUGCAGCUUGAUGGCCCAAGAUGGCAUGGCAGAAGACCGGGACUGAGAGGCGGUUCCUCUGUCAGCAGGAGUCUCAGUGUCAGUAUCCAUGUGCUGAGAGGAAGUGGAUGGGUUGGCCCAUUUGUCCUUGACGCGAAGCUUGAUCGGGUCGUGCACAAUGUAGUCUGACUGAGCGUAGAGCACCUCCUCCGGAAAAGCCUCUUGCCACUUAUGGCGAAUAUAUGCGAACAGGUAGGGCCCGUAGAUGGGAACCUUACGCAUGAUGAUGCAGUUCCAUAGCUCCGUGAACAUCACAUCAGAAAUAUCCAGAGGGGCAGACUCCUGAGACAUAGCCUCCUCACAAAGCAGCAGCAUCUCAGCCAAGGAACCAUGAACCUCGUCGAAGUUACCAAUGCGAGGGAAGAGGGUGUUGCNNNNNNNNNNNNNNNNNNNNNNNNNNNNNNNNNNNNNNNNNNNNNNNNNNNNNNNNNNNNNNNNNNNNNNNNNNNNNNNNNNNNNNNNNNNNNNNNNNNNCUCAAAUGACUAGAGAGAUGUACUUUUUGAGUGGGAGUUCUUAAGUAAUAUGAUUAAUUGAACUAAUUGUCAUGAACAUAGUCUAAUGGUCUUUGCGAAUUACGAUGUAGCUUGCGCUAUAGCUCUACUGUUUUUAUAUGUUCCUAGAGAAAAUUUAGUUGAAAAUUGAUAGUAGCGAAACUUUGCAGACUGGGUCUGUAAAACCGAGGAUUGUCCUCGUUGCCGCGCAGAAGGAUUAUGUCCUUAAUGCACCACUCGGUGUGCUGCACCUCGAGCGUCGUCUGUGGAUGCUAUGAACAUCCGACAUACACGUUUCUGAUGACUACACGAUAGUUCAGUGCAAAAUACUUAAUGGCUUAGAAGCAAGGCGCCGAAAACGUUGUAAAACGUCACGGAACAUAAGUGAUGUUCUAAAGAGAUGAAAUUGUGAUUUCAUGCUUGUGCCCUUGUUAAGAGGUACGAGACCUCCGACAAGAUUCUUUGUCCACAAAGUAAAGGAGAAAAGCUCAAUCUUUGAGCGUGUGCUCAGAUUGUCUGAGUACGACAAUCGCUUGAAUCAAUUGGGAGUUAAUCUUCCAGAUGAGAUAGUGAUGGUUCUCCAAAGUCACUGCCACCAAGCUGUGAGAGCUUCGUGAUGAACUAUAACAUAUCAAGGAUAGAUACAAUGAUCCUUGAGCAAUUCGCGAUGUUUGACACUGCGAAAGUAGAAAUCAAGGAGGAGCAUCAAUAGUUGAUGGUUUGUAAAACCACUAAGUUUCAAGAAAGGCAAGGGCUAGAAGGGAUACUUCGUGAAAUGGCAAAACAGUUGCUGCACUAAUGAAGAAAUCCAAGAUUAAACCCAAACCCGAGACUAAGUGCUUCUGUAAUGAGGGGAACAGUCACUAAGGCGGAGCAACUCUAGAUACUUGGUAGAUAAGAAGCUGGCAGAAGUCGAAAGAAGUAUAUUUGAUAUACAUAAUGUUGAUGUGUACUUUACUAGUACUCCUAGUAGCAUGAGGGUAUUGGAUACCGGUUCGGUUGCUAAGUGAUUAGUAACACGAAAAGAAAGCUACGGCAUAAAUGGAGACUAGCUAAAGGCGAGGUGACGAUACGUGUUGGAAGUGUUUCCAAGGUUGAUAUGAUCAAACGUCGCACGCUCCCUCUACCAUCGGGAUUGGUGUUAAACCUAAAUAAUUGUUGUUUGGUGCUUGCGUUAAGCAUGAACAUGAUUGAAUCGUGUUUAUUGCAAUACGAUUAUUCAUUUAAAGAGAAUAAUGGUUACUCUAUUUUUCUUGAAUAAUCACCUUCAAUGGUUUAUUGAAUCUUGAUCGUAAUGUUACACAUGUUCAUAAUAUUGGUGCCAAAAGAUACGAGUUAAUGAUGAUAGUACCACUUACUUGUGGCACUCCGCUUGAGUCAUGUUAGUAUAAAUUGCAUGAAGAGGCUCCAUGCUGAUGGAUCUUUGUACUCACCUGAUUUCGAAUCACUAGUGACAUGCAAAUCAUACCACAUGAGCAAGGCCUUGUUUUCAUUGAGAUGAAAUAAGAUAGUAACUUGUUGGAAGUAAUACAUUUUGAUGUAUGCAAUCCAAUGGGUGCUGAGGCACGCAGUGGAUAUCGUUAUGUUCUUACUUCACUGACGAUUUGAGUAGAUACAGGAGUAUUUACUUGAUGAAUCACAAGUCUGAAAUAUUGAAAAUUUCAAUUCCGUUUCAGAGUGAAUUUCGUCGUAACAAGAGGAUAAACUGUCUACGAUAUGAUCAUAGAAAUGAAUAUGUGAGUUACGAGUUUUGGUACGCAGUUAAGACAAUGUGGAUAUUGUUUCGCAGUUCAUGCCACCCGGAACAUCAUAGUGUGAUGAUGUGUCUGAACGUCAUAGCCAUGCACUAUUUGGUAUGGUGCAUGCUGUGAUGUCUCUUAUCGAAUUACCACUAUCGUUUAUGGGUUAAGCAUUAGAGACAACCGCAUUCACUUUAAAUAGGGCACCACGUAUUUCCGUUGAGAUGACACAGUAUAGAUUGAGGUUUAGAGAAAUCUAAACUGUCGUUUCUUGAAAGUUUGGGGCUUCGACACUUAUGUGAAAAAGUUUCAGUCCGAUAAGCUCGAACCCAAAGCGGAUAAAUGCAUCUUCAUAGGAUAUCCAAGACAGUUGGGUACAUCUCCGAUCUCAGAUACAAAAGCAAAGCGUUUGUUUCUAGAAACGGAUCCUUUCUCGAGGAAAGGUUUCUCUCGAAAAAUUGAGUGGGAGAGUAGUAGAACUUGAUGAGGUUAUUGAACCAUCACUUCAACCAGUGUGUAGCAGGGCGCGGGAAGUUGUUCCUGUGGCGCCUACACCAAUUGAAGUGGAAGCUGAUGAUGGUGAUCAUCGAGCAUCGGAUCAAGUUACUACAAACCUCGUAGGUUGACAAGGUCGCGUACUACUGCAGAGUGGUAUGGUAACCCUGUCUUGGAGGUCAUGUUGUUGAGCAACAGUGAACCUACGAGUUAUGGAGAAAGGAAUGGUGGGCCCGGAUUCCGACAAAUGGCUAGAAGCCAUGAAAUCCGAGAGAGGAUCCAUGUAUGAAAACAAAGUGUAGNNNNNNNNNNNNNNNNNNNNNNNNNNNNNNNNNNNNNNNNNNNNNNNNNNNNNNNNNNNNNNNNNNNNNNNNNNNNNNNNNNNNNNNNNNNNNNNNNNNNAGAACAUCACCCAAAACUUGAAAACUUCACAACACAAAACUUAAACAGAAACUCGUGAUAACAUUAGCACAAGAAAACAAACUACCACCUCUUUUGGUACUGUAGCGAACUUGAAUUCUAUCUAUAUUGGUGUUGGGCUACUGUAUUCUCACUUUUCCAUGGNNNNNNNNNNNNNNNNNNNNNNNNNNNNNNNNNNNNNNNNNNNNNNNNNNNNNNCAAGGGUAGUUCCCCCCCCCCCCCGAUACUAACCAUAGUUUCAUCAAAACAAGCAACCAACUCAACAAAAAACAGAAUCUGUCAAAAAUAGACUAGCCUGUAGCAAUUUGUAUACUUCGUAUACUUCUGGUACCUCACAAAUUCUGAAACAUUACGACUGCCUGGGAAAAAGGCAUAUAAACCAGCAGAAAAAAGAAUUAGCUCAAAAUCUCUUUCUGAAUAAAAAUGAAAAAUCAUCUCGUGAGCGAAAAGUUUCUGUCUUUUUCCAGCAGGAUCGAACAACCAUCACCAAGACUAGUCAUAAAGGUUUUGCUUGGCUCAAACACAAAAAGAAACACAAAAAACACAAUCGCAACAGAAUUAUGAUGGUGUGGACGCAAAAAAAGAAAGAAAAAGAUAAAUUCAUUGGGUUGCCUCCCAACAAGCGCUAUUGUUUAACACCCUUAGCUAGGCAUUGAUAAUUCAAUGAUGCUCACAUAAAAGACAAGAAUUGAAGCACAACGAGAGCAUCAUAAAGCAUGUGAAAAUCAUAUCUAGGUCUAACAUACUUCCUAUGCAUAGGCAUUUUGUAGGAAAACAGAUUGUCAAGACAACCAAUAGUAAAAUCACAUCUAAGUCUAACAUCUUCCUAUGCAUAGGCAUUUUAUAGGAAAACAGAUUGUCAAGACAACCAAUAGUUACCAUAUGCAAGGAAGAAAAAAGAGACAAUAGCAAUCUCAACAUAACGAGAGGUGAUUUAGUAACAUGAAAGUUUCUACCACAAUCUUUUCCUCUCUCAUAAUAAUUACAUGUGGGAUCAUAUUCGAAUUCAACAAUGUAACUAUCACAUAGGAUAUUCUUUUCAUGAUCCACAUGCAUGCAAAGUUGACGCACUNNNNNNNNNNNNNNNNNNNNNNNNNNNNNNNNNNNNNNNNNNNNNNNNNNNNNNNNNNNNNNNNNNNNNNNNNNNNNNNNNNNNNNNNNNNNNNNNNNNNNNNNNNNNNNNNNNNNNNNNNNNNNNNUUGCAAAUAUCAUAUUCAUCAUGAGGCUUAAAUAAAUUUUCAAUAUCAUAAGAAAAAUCAUCGCCCCACUCAUGAUCAUUGCAACAAGUAGUGGACAUAGCAAAACUAGCAUCCCCAAGCUUAGGGUUUUGCAUAUUUUUAGCAUGAUUGUCAUUAAUAGAAUUUAUAAUGAAAUCAUUGCAAUCAUGCUUUUCAUUCAAGGAGCCCUCCUGANNNNNNNNNNNNNNNNNNNNNNNNNNNNNNNNNNNNNNNNNNNNNNNNNNNNNNNNNNNNNNNNNNNNNNNNNNNNNNNNNNNNNNNNNNNNNNNNNNNNUUUCCCUCAGUUUGAGAACCAAGGUAUCAAUCCAGUAGGAGAAUCAAGCCAAGUGUCCAGAGUACCUGCGCAAACACAAACGAGCUUGCACCCAACGCUAUAAAGGGGUUAUCAAUCCCUUCAAGAUUGAUUCCAAAGUGAGAUCUGAAGGCGGAAAGUGCAACGAAGUAAAAGUGUAAGGCUGAAAAUAUGAUGUGAAGUAGACCCCGGGGCCAUAGUGUUCACUAGAGGCUUCUCUCAAAAUAGAAAAUAUCACGGUGGGUAAACNNNNNNNNNNNNNNNNNNNNNNNNNNNNNNNNNNNNNNNAAAAUAUUACAGUGGGUGAACAAAUUACUGUCGAGAAAUUGAUAGAACCGCGCAAAGUCAUGACGAUAUCUAAGGCAAUGAUCAUACAUAUAGGCAUCACGUCCGAGAGAAGUAGACCGAUACUUUCUGCAUCUACUACUAUUACUCCACACAUUGACCGCUAUCCAGCAUGCAUCUAGUGCAUUGGGUUCAUGACGAACAGAGUAACGCCUUAAGCAAGAUGACAUGAUGUAGAGGGAUAAACUCAAACCAAGAUGUACACCCCAUUCUUUUACCCUUGAUGGCAACAACACGAUGCGUGCCUCGCUACCCCUUCUCUCACUGGGUGAGGACACCGCACGGUAUGAACCCAAAACCAAGCAUUUCUCGCAUUGCAAGAAUCAUAGAUCAAGUUGGCCAAACAAAACCCACAACUCGAAGAGAAUUACAAGGAUAUGAAAUCAUGCAUAUAGGAGAUCAGAAGAAACUCAAAUAAGAUUCAUAGAUAAUCUGAUCAUAAAUCCACAAUUCAUCGGAUCUCGACAAACACACCGCAAAAUAAGAUUACAUCGGAUAGAUCUCCAGGAAGAUGAUGGAGAACUUUGUAUUGAAGAUCCUGGAUAGAUCUCCAUGAAGAUCAUGGAUAACUUUGUAUUGAAGAUCCAAGAGAGAGAAGAAGCCAUCUAGCUACUAGCCAAGGACAGGAAGGUCUAUGGUGAACUACUCACGCAUCAUCGGAGAGGCAAUGGUGUUGAUGAAGAAGCCCUCCGUUUCAGAAUCCCCCCCUUCGGUAGGGCACCAGAACGUGCCCCAGAUGGGAUCUUACGGAGACAAAAGCUUGCGGCGGCGGAAAAGGACCCAGAUGGGAUCUUGCGGAGACAGAAGCUUGCGGUGGCGAAAAAGUAUUUUCGUGGAUCUCUCAUGCAGUUUUGGAUUUUUCGGGAAUUUAUAGGCGGAAGAGGUAGGGCACACGAGCCGCACGGGGCCCACAAGCCUGCUAGGCUGGCCCCUUGGCCGCGCCUAGGGGGCUUGUGGCAUCCCCUGGUGGCCUCUGCCUUGGUUCUCACGUCCCGUGCGUAUCUUCUGUUCUGGAAAAAAAUCUUUUCGGAAGCUUUCUUCCAUUUGGACACCUUUUAAAAAUCCUCCUCUGAAAAGGUUCAAAAACACGGAAAAAACAGGAACUGGCACUUGGCACUGAGUUAAUAAGUUAGUCCCAAAAAAGAUAUAAAAGGCAUACAAAACAUCCAAAGUUUGACAAGAUAAUAGAAUGGAACCAUAAAAAAUUAUAGAUACGUUGGAGACGUAUCACCUGGUUCCUCACCAAGUUGCGCGCCCCGGAAGGUAACUCCUCCCAGUGCCAGCCCGACGGAGCCCAGUCCCGCACACGCUGGCGCAUAUCAAGCAGGUGGCCGCCACCGAGUCGACGACGAGGAUACUGGCCGGGCAUCGUAUGUCCUACUANNNNNNNNNNNNNNNNNNNNNNNNNNNNNNNNNNNNNNNNNNNNNNNNNNNNNNNNNNNNNNNNNNNNNNNNNNNNNNNNNNNNNNNNNNNNNNNNNNNNAUGAUGGCGGCGCUCCGAUGCAUCCCCGCGCGCGGCCUGACCGGACCAAAUCCAAUCUGGCGAUGCCCCCUCUCUCCGUUCGGCUGCUGUGUCAACAUACACCGACCGCUGUCGUCGAAGGUGGCAGUGGUGGCGGCCACGUCAUGGUUGUUGAAGACGGGCGGCUGGGCUGGCGCAUCCUGCCGGAUUCCCUUCGUGUGGGGGUGGUAUUGCAGCGAGGCGGCGGCGCUCGCCCAUGCGCAGCGACUGUCGGCGAGAUACUCGGUGGCGUCGAUGGGUUGAGGGGGCGGAUGUACAGUGUUGGCUGAAGGCGACGGUGCGGAACCUACAACAAUGGCGGGUCCUGCUGGUGUGAUUGAAUAAAGGUGGCGGUCCUAGGGUUCCUCUUUAUGACAGCCCGGGACCGAUGCUCCAGAAGAUUCCCCUUUUAUUUCAUUGUCGCUGUGUGAUUAGGUUGUCUGUCGCAUUGAUCAUCGCAUCAUUCGUAUCAUAUGUAUUGCAUCGGCACUUUGUUGUCGUCAGUUUUCAAACUUGCAUCCGUUCGUUGAGCGUUUCGAGACCAACAACACAUGCACGCACCCGUGGCAUCACUAAUAAUUUGUUUUUAAAGGUAUCCAAAAAAUAUUUUUGAAUUGGGUUGAAACUUGACGUGCGGUCUUAUUUUAGUGUAGGUAGACCGCCUGCCAAAUUCCGUCGCAAUCGCAGUUCCCCAAGGCCCGGCCCAGGAUGAGCACCCCUAUUCCCCGCCCAGGCGCAACUACCCGUUGAUCUGUUGGGCCAGAGCCAAAUUUGGCAUAAUAGACUUUUUUCCUGUCAUGCGAUUUGUCAAUUAUUCUAGAUUUUAAUAAUUUCAGAAAAACAUGCAUAUUUACAAAUGCACGUAGUUUUUGAACGGUGCGUUGGAUCGCGGCAAAUUAUAUGUGUUAAACGUGUUGAAUUUCGCUUACAUUAAUAUUUUCCUACUCUCAUGCAUAUUUAAAGUUGUUUAGCAUGUUGUUUGCAUCGGUUUGCGUGUCGAUAUGAUACAAAUAGUUUAGUUCGUAAUUAAUGAAGCGAAGCUCCGUUGGAGAUGAGUCACAUAUGUAAAUGGACUAGAACGACGAGUAGAAUCAUGUGAACCACUUUGUUUUGCUGUUUAACAAACAUAAAAUGGGGUUAGGACAAAUCUGAACAGAUUACAAAGUUAACGCGUGGGGUCGAUUCGAAGAUGCUAUAUGUCAUUUCCGGCCUCAUUUAAAAUGCUUAGAUAGGUAGUUUAUUUGUGCUUCACCCCCUCGACAUAUUAACGAUAUUUUAAUGUUGCCGUGUUAAUAAACAUGAGUGAACUAAAUAAUUAAAUGUGGAGUUUUGUUAAUAUGCAACUCGUUGCAUAUUGAGCUUCACUUAAUGUGAAGUGUUUGAUUGUUGUGAAUUGCCAUGCCAUGCCUUGCAUUUUUAAACCGUUCAUGCAUCAUAUGUGAAUUGCAUCAUGUGAUGCAUGUGUUGUGGUGAAUAUUGUGUGUUGAUUCUUGUUUCCAGUUUGCUUCGUCUGGAUCGAGUUCCUUACGCGUGUCGAAAUGUGAGGAUCCAUUCAACUACGUCGGUUCGUCUGCUUCACGGAGUCGUUCUUUUCCAAGCGGGAUCACAGGCAAGAGGAUCAUUUCCUUAGAUACCAUCACUAUCAUUGCCAUGCUAGUUGUUUCGUUUCUAUCGUUAUGUCUCGCUGCCUACCACCUGUUAAAUAUCAGCCUCCCAACAUUGCCAUGUAAACCCUCAACCUUUCUACAACCUAGCAAACCAUUUAUUGGCUAUGUUACCGCUUGCUUAAGCAUUGGAUAGCAUUUCUAGUUGCAGGUGUAGUUGCUCCCAUGUGCAAACAUGAGUUCCUUGAUAUAUCAUCAUAUUAAUGCUAAUUAAUUUGCACAUGGUUCCUUGAUAUAUUACCAUAUUAAUGCUAAUUAAUUUAAUGCACCUAUAUACUUGGUAAAAGGUGAAAGGCUCGGCAUUUCUAGCCUGGUGUUUUGUUCCACCUUUGCCCCCUUAGUUUCGGCUACCGGUGUUAUAUUCCAUAAUUGAGCGCUCCUAACACGAUCGGGGUUGUCAUGGGGCCCCCCUUGAUAAUUCGUUUUAGAUUAAAACUGGUCUAGCAAGGCCCAACUUUGGUUUUACAUUUUCCUAAUAACUAAUAAAUAGCAUAGNNNNNNNNNNNNNNNNNNNNNNNNNNNNNNNNNNNNNNNNNNNNNNNNNNNNNNNNNNNNNNNNNNNNNNNNNNNNNNNNNNNNNNNNNNNNNNNNNNNNGGAACGAUAUCCGUCAGACGGAUAUUCGGUGGAAUCCGGGGGUGCCGAGCCUACCGAAAUGAAUGGCAACAUUCAAUAACAAACAUAUGCAAUCAAAAUGAUGCAUGAGCAUGGCAUGAGAAUGCAAGUGAUAGGUUAUUAUAAUCAAGAUGUUUUAGGUUUAGAGUUGAUUUGAAUCACAUUCGAAUAGCAAUUCAAACGGGUAUUCUCGGAUACCGGUUCAAUUGAUUCGACCUGAUGCUUAGAUCAACCUAAUGUUAACAUGCAUGAAAUGUCAUGUUAUGGUACUGAUUUAUAUCUAGGGCAGUGUGUGAUCAUUGUAUUUAUAAUGAAAUUUGGAUAUUUUUGCAAAUUCCAUUUAUAAAGUGAUUAAAGAAUUGAAUUAUUCCUUAUUUCACAAUUUAGGGUCCUGUAACUUUUUCAAACAUAGGUGAAAAUACCAUAAUCAGAAUCCUUGAAUUUUUCUGAUACUUUUUCAUAUAUAACUUAUUUUCAUUGGAGUUACAGAUUAAUUUCUAUGAUUUUUGCAAUUUUUAGCAAUUUCCUGAAUUAUUUUUAUACUGGAAAUUCCAUUUAUUGCAUCAGGCUGACGUCAGCACGUCAGCCGACCUGUGCAGGUCAAACCUGACAGGGGGGCCCCACUGGUCAGCCUCUCUGGGACUAAUCCCGCGCUGACCAGCCCCUAAUUGGGGUUUGACCAGGCGUGGGGCCCUCUGUCAGCGACUGAGGGGUGGGAGAUUACGCCCUAAUGGUCGGCCACGUCGACGGCCACCGGAGGGUGGUCGCCGGCGACCAGACCCGCGGCGGAGGGCUCGCCGGAGGCGACCUAGACGGCGCUGCACAGCACCAAAACGCACGCGGUUUGCAGCUACAGCAUGCUCGCGAAGUGGCCGAUCUGGCAGGACCAUCUGGGGAGGCUAGGGUCGCCGGAAGAGGCGUCGGCGACGAGCCGGAGCGGCGGUCGAAGCUCGGGCGUCGUCGGGGGCUUUGAAUCAGAGGGAUCCACGCUCAGUUCUUAGCUGCUACGGCAUCUACGCGUCGUCCUGGAGCUGCUGGUGCUCUCGGGAGGACGAGCUGGACAUCGGAGGGCUAGCGGCGACGAGCGGCAGCGGCGGUCCUCGUCGGGCUCCGGUGAAACUAGGGCUAGAGGAGGGGAUCGACGGGGAAAACCUAGGGAAAACGACCGCAUGCUCACAGGGAGUGCAGGGCAGAGCUCAGACGGCUCGGGGAAGGCCUGGGGGCGACGAAUCGANNNNNNNNNNNNNNNNNNNNNNNNNNNNNNNNNNNNNNNNNNNNNNNNNNNNNNNNNNNNNNNNNNNNNNNNNNNNNNNNNNNNNNNNNNNNNNNNNNNNUUAUUGCUUUGCUAAUUAUUUCAGCUCCAAAACAAAAAGUAAAAACUAUUUUAGACCUCCUGAAAUAUUUGUUAUAAUAUCCCCACUCAUUUCCAAGACUUUCAACAUUUUUGGAAAAUUAUAGUUUCUGAUUUCAAAUUUUAAAUUUGAAACCAGUGGCUUUUGCAUUUAUUUAAAAUGCUUAAAGUGUCAAAAAAAAUAGUUUUCUCCAAUGCUCAUUUACUUUCAUGAUUUAUCAGAAAGUUUGAACAUUUCUUGAGGCCAUUUUGGGUUCAUUGAUUUUGAACUAGUUGAAAUUUCCUUUAAUUGAAAUGGUGGCUAGGGUUUUGAGUUUUUCCUUUGCCACUUUGUUGUUUUUGUUGAAACUUCUUAGAUGCAAAUGCAAAGAAGACAUGAGCACAAUGCUAUCUUGCUUAAGGGUUAGGGAUGUGACAAGCAUUUUCAGGAUUAGAGGAGAACUUAUUAUUAUUGGUAAGAGGAUUUCUAUAAGUCUUGUAUCGUAGGAGCAUUUUCUUUUUGUUGUGUCACAAUCAUCCUUGCUGCACACCUUUUGAGAGAGACACGCACUCAUCGUGAAUUUGCUAGAAUACUCAUUGUGCUUCACUUAUAUCUUUUGAGCUAGGCAAUUUUGCUCUUUGUGCUUCACUUAGAUCUUUUAGAGCACGGUAGUGCGUAACUUGGUAGUUGGCUUGUGCUAUGAAAGUAGCCCCAAAGGUGAUAGGUACCCAAAGAGGAUACAAUAAAACAUCCAUCUUCAUGUGCGUUGAGUAGAAAGAGAAGUUUGAUUCCUCCCAAUUAGUUUUGAGACGUGGAUUUGGUAAUAUUAAGAGUUAUGUUAGUAGGGUGUUGUGAAUCUAGAAAUACUUGUGUUGAAGUUAGUGAUUCCCGUAACAUGCACGUAUGGUGAACCGCUAUGUUAGGAAGUCGGAGCAUAAUUGGUCUCUUGAUUGUCAUCCUCUGUGUUGCGGUCGGGAUCGCGCGAUGGUUUACACCUACCAACCCUUCCCCUAGGAGUAUGCGUUUAGCACUUUGUUUCGAUUACUAAUAAAAACUUUCGCAACAAGUAUGUGAGUUCUUCAUGACUAAUGUGAGUCCAUGGUAUAGAUGCACUUUCACCUUCCACCAUUGCUAGCCUAUCUAGUACCGCGCAAUUUUCGCCGGUGCACAAACCCACCAUAUGCCUUCCUCAAAACAGCCACCAUACCUACCUACUAUGGUAUUUUCAUAGCCAUUCCAAGAUAUAUUGCCAUGCAACUCCCACCGUUCCGUCUCAUGACUUGUGCCGUCACUCUCAUAUUGCCAUUACAUGAUCGUAAGAUAGCUAGCGAGAUGUUUCAACGUCAUACGCCAAGCUAGAUAGUUGCACAUCCCGGUACACUGCCGGAGGAAUUUCCUAUAGAGUCAUCAUCGUUCUAAGCUUUGAGCUGUGAGUAAAUAAAAGUGUGAUGAUCAUCAUUAUUAGAGAAUUGUCCCAUGUGAGGAAAUAAAAAAAAGGCCAAAGUUCCCCACAAAAAAAGUAGAUAUGGAAAGAGGCCAAUGAGCGCGAACAAAAAAAGAGAAAAAGAGAGAAGGGACAAUGCUACUAUCUCUUUCCACACUUGUGCUUCAUAAUAGCACCAUGUUCUUCAUGAUUGAGAGUUUCUUGUUUCGUCACCACCAUAUGCUAGUGGGAAUCUUCAUUGUAUAACUUGGCUUGUAUAUUGCAACGAUGGGCUUCCUCAAAAUUGCCCUAGGUCUUCGUGAGCAAGCAAGUUGGAUGCACACCCACUAGUUCCCCUUUUGAGCUUUCACAUACUUAUAGCUCUAGUGCAUCCGUUGUAUGGCAAUCCCUACUCGUCCACAUUGAUAUCUAUUAAUGGGCAUCUCCAUAGCCCUUUGAUGCGCCUAGUCAAUGUGACCAUCUCCUCAUUUUUGUCUCACAACCUCCACCACACUCUAUUCCACCAUAGUGCUAUAUCCAUGGCUCACGCUCAUGUAUUGCGUGAGAGUUGAAAAAGGUUUGAGAAAGUAAGAGUGUGAAAACAAUUACUUGGCCAAUACCGGGGUUGUGNNNNNNNNNNNNNNNNNNNNNNNNNNNNNNNNNNNNNNNNNNNNNNNNNNNNNNNNNNNNNNNNNNNNNNNNNNNNNNNNNNNNNNNNNNNNNNNNNNNNAACCCCUUAUAUAGUGGGGGGGGGAAUCCAACCGUUUUCCCACUCACAGCCCGAGCCUAGCGGUACUACCGCUGGCACUCCAGUGGUACUACCACUGGCUGCAGCGGUACUACCGCUGGCACUCCAGCGGUACUACCGCUAGGCCCAUGGUAGUGCAUAAGCACUACCNNNNNNNNNNNNNNNNNNNNNNNNNNNNNNNNNNNNNNNNNNNNNNNNNNNNNGCAUAAGCCCUCCCGGGCCAACCGCCGCCAAGAAAGUCUUCGCAAAAAGGUCCGACUAAGUACAACCGCUAGGAAGGCGGUACUAAGCUCCUGGAGUGGUACUACCGCUGACCAGGGGCGGUACUACCGCUAGGGCUAGCGGUACUACCGCUAGGGCUAGCGGUACUACCGCUAGGCACAGCAGUACUACUGCUGAGGGACCAUUUGCUUAGAUGAGAUAAACACAGAGGCGGGAGCCACUCCAAAGUUGCAGGUAAGGGGAAAGGAGAUAAAGUGUGUGCGUGCAAAAUUGAUUCCACCCAAACCUUUCCACUACGGGUCCCCUCUUAAUAGUACGACGUUCCUAUGACUCAAAGAAAGAGAAUUGUAGAGUACACCGUGCUUCUGUUCCAUGGAAAUCCUAUGACUCAAAGAAAGAGAAUCGUAGAGUACACCAUGCUUCUGUUCCAUGGAAAGAGGGGGCGAGUCGUCUUGUGCGGUUGACAUGUGUUAUCUGAAAUCUUAACAUACACGGUUAGUCCUUUGCGGUACUGUCAUCAAUCACCAAAGUUACUUAGGCAUAAAUUAUGCCCUAACACAAGCCAAAUUAUAUAAUGAAGAUUCCCACUAGCAAAUGGUAGUGACAAAGCAAGAAGCUCUCAAUCAUGAAGAACAUGGUGCUAUUAUGAAGCACAAGUGUGGAAAAAGAUAGUAGCAUUGUCCCUUCUCUCUUUUUCUCUUUUUUUGUUCGCGCUCAUUGGCCUCUUUCCAUAUCUACUUUUUUUGUGGGGAACUUUGGCCUUUUUUUUAUUUCCUCACAUGGGACAAUUCUCUAAUAAUGAUGAUCAUCACACUUUUAUUUACUCACAGCUCAAAGCUUAGAACGAUGAUGACUCUAUAGGAAAUUCCUCCGGCAGUGUACUGGGAUGUGCAACGAUCUAGCUUGGCGUAUGACAUUGAAAGAUCUCGCUACAGUGUACCGGGAUGUGCAACGAUCUAGCAUGGCGUAUGACGUUGAAAACAUCUCGCUAGCUAUCUUACGAUCAUGCAAUGGCAAUAUGAGAGUGACUACACAAGUCAUGAGACGGAACGGUGGGAGUUGCAUGGCAAUACAUCUCGGAAUAGCUAUGAAAAUGCCAUAGUAGGUAGGUAUGGUGGCUGUUUUGAGGNNNNNNNNNNNNNNNNNNNNNNNNNNNNNNNNNNNNNNNNNNNNNNNNNNNNNNNNNNNNNNNNNNNNNNNNNNNNNNNNNNNNNNNNNNNNNNNNNNNNAAGAUGAUCUUUGGACUGCGUUGAAGGAAAAUUUCACCCUACCGCCAGAGGAGGAUCCGAAUAAGCCAAGUAUGGAGCCACUGGUCAAGGCAUGUGCUCUUAAGAAGAUGGCAAAACUAUUCAGGAGGUGGAAGAAAGAGUUGAAAUCAAAGUAUGUCGACAAUGGGAAGACUCCAGAAUUCGUCCGCCGAUUUGAGAAGAUGAGAGAUCACUGGCCCGCAUUUGUGGCCUACAAGACAUCGGACAAGAGUAAGGAAAUGUCAGAGAGAAACAAGAACAAUGCUGCAAAGAAGCAGUAUCACCAUCACACAAGGUCAGGUGGCUGCCUCAAAGGCCGUCCGUUGUGGGACAAAGCUGAGAAUGACCUGAUUGCUAAAGGGGUCCAACCACAGACAUGGAACUGGCCCAACCGUUCAAGGAAUUGGUUCUUCGGGGUUGGGGGAACUUUGGACCCUGAAACAGGGGAGUGUCGUUGGAUGGACGAGCAACUUGCAACAUCCAUCAACAAGCUUCAACAGUGUAUCACCGCAACGCAUGAAGGGGCGUUCUUUCCCGAAAGAGAGAAGGAUGAGCUCACUGAUGCCCUAGGGAAUGCUGAGCACCCUGGACGAACACGAGGCACACCAGGCUCCGUUCCAUAGAAUAUUGAGUUUCCCGACGCAGCCGGUUAUAGAAGUCGAGCGAGAAAGAGGAAAGCAGAGCUGAGCGACAUGCACAAGAUCAAUGCAAGACUACAAAUUUUAGAGGAACUUGAGAGCCAGCGAGUUGCCGACCAACCAUCUCAGCGGCACGAAACUACCCCAGAAUUUACCUCGCCAUCUCAGGGAGAAGCAGUGUGGCUGCCACGGAGCUCGUUCAGCCUGACUUCACGGCUCCUAGCUACCCCGUGGAUACUAUCACGGAGUCUCAACUUUGCGAGCUUUUGACGAAAUGUCGGAACCUCACUUUCAAGGCUGCUAUCGGCGUUGUUGCACCUCCUCAAUCCAACGGAACUUUUCACUGCCGUCUGAUUCCACGUGGCUAUGUUGUUGUGAUGGUGGAUGAAGUAAAGGAGGAAUUGAGCAGCUCGAGCUUGACCACCCUACAGGUGAAGAUGAGAAUAAGCCGGUUCAUGCUUUGAGGAUUACAUGUCUAUGGCCGAAGGAGUACAUCAAGCUUCCAAACUAGACGCCUCCUCCUCCUCCUCCUCCAGCGAGUGAUCAGGGCACUCCUCAUCCUCCUCCGGCGACUGAUCNNNNNNNNNNNNNNNNCUCCUCAUUGAUACGUCUCAAACGUAUCUAUAAUUUUUGAUGGUUUCAUGUUGUUAUCUUGUCAACUUUGGAUGUUUUAUAUACCUUUUGUAUCUUUCUUGGGACUAACUUAUUAAUUCAGUGCCAAGUGCCAGUUCCUGUUUUUUCUGUGUUUUUUGACUCUUUUCANNNNNNNNNNNNNNNNNNNNNNNNNNNNNNNNNNNNNNNNNNNNNNNNNNNNNNNNNNNNNNNNNNNNNNNNNNNNNNNNNNNNNNNNNNNNNNNNNNNNACGACUUUAGCAACUCAACCUCGGUCUCUUUGGUUUCAUUUCGUAUCGACAAUACAUUUACCGAUUCUGGACUAAUGAACCCAACGUUGAAGAUUCCUGCUUUGUUUAAUUCGACGAUCUUCAAUCUGCAUAAUAUAUAUAGUGAGGAUAAUUAUAGAUACAUGCAAUGAACAAGCUGAGCUAGAGACUUAACUAUAAAAGUAAUACUUACAAACAGUAGGAAGUCAAGAGUUGUUUGUCGAGGGCCAGUUCAUUGUAUAACUGAAAUAACUCCUCAAAUUGAACAAGCAGCGCUGUAGCUCCAAUGAAAUUGUGAUCUUUUUUCACUCUCAUAUACACAUAGUCUUUCCUAGUCUGUCUGAAGAUGUUCAUGUACCACUCAUGCAAUUCAUGCAUCCUCGGUGUUAGAGAAGGAUGACCAGGUUUCACGAGAGGCUUCCCGAGCACGUAUUCAUAUGUUUCUUCAUUUGUUACCUCAGCUAUCCCAAAAAUUACUGAAUUGUUCACAUAAUAACCAGGAUUGGUACCGGGCAGCAACCCCGAAUCAUUAGCGAUGAUGAUAUCGCUAGACGCCUUGAGCGGGGGGCACGAUUGCUUCUUCUAUUGGCUGAGCUGGGGAAUUGUUUUCCCACUUCUUCGUUUUGCUAACAUUGCAUCACUGCUAGCCGCCAGAGCGACGGCGGAGUCUAUCUUCCGCUUGAGAGAAGGAGGAGGAGGCGACAGCUUUCUUACUUGUGUAAUAUUCGGCGGAGAAGCGAUGGCGUCUGUCUUCCACCAUUGCAGAGGAGGCAGACUGCUCCGACGCGCCUGAGGAGGAGCCGAAGGAGGAGGACUGCUCCGACGCGCGUGAGGAGGAGCCGAACGAGGAGGACUGCUAUGACGCGCCUAAGGAGGAGCCGAAGGAGGAGGACUGCUCUGACGCGCUGGAGGAGGAGCCGAAGAAGGAGGCGGAGUGCUCCAAUGCGCCGGAGGAGAAGCCGAAGAAGGAGGCGUACUGCUCCGACACGCCGGAGGAGGAGUCGAAGAAGGAGGCCGACUACUCCGACGCGACAGAGGAGGAGCCGAAGAAGGAGGCGGACCGCUCCGACGCGCCGGAGGAGGAGUCGAAGAAGGAGGCGGAUUGCCCUCACGCCGGAGGAGGAGCCGAAGAAGAAGGCCGAGUGCCCUCACGCGUCAGAGGAGCCGGAGUGCCCUGAUCAUCCGCCGGAGGAGGAUGAGUGCUACUGCGGCAACAGACCUUCCCUGGCAACGGCGCCAGGAAUCCUUCUGCGACGGACUACGCCUAUAGGGACUUCCUUGGCAAAUAUGCAAAGGAUUUCCCCGCGGCCUUGGAGCCUUGCGUUGGUAUUCCCUUGAAUAGGAAAGGGUGAUGUAGCACAGCGGCGGUAAGUAUUUCCCUUAGUUUGAGAACCAAGGUAUCGAUCCAGUGGGAGGAUCGCGUCAAGUCACAAGUACCUGCACAAACACAAAGAGCUUGGACCCAACGCUAUGAAGAGGUUGUCAAUCCCUUAUAGAUUGUUUGCAAAGUGAGAACUGAAAGCAAAGAGUAAACAAAGCAAAGUAAAAGUAAAGGUGGAGACGAUAGUUGUGAAUAGACCCGGGGGCCGUAGUGUUCACUAGUGGCUUCUCUCAUGAGAGCAAGUAGAUGGUGGGUGAACGAAUUACUGUCGAGCAAUUGAUAGAACCACGCAAAGUCAUGAUGUUAUCUAUGGCAAUGAUCAUAUCUAUAGGCAUCACGUCCAAAACAAGUAGACCGAUACUUUCUGCAUCUACUACUAUUACUCCACAUGUCGACCGCUAUCCAACAUGCAUCUAGUGUAUUAAGUUCAUAAGAACAGAUUAAUGUCUUAAGCAAGAUGACAUGAUGUAGAUGGACACUCUCAAAUCUAUGAUGAAAGCCCAUCUUGUUACCCUUGAUGGGAACAACACGAUGCGUGCCUUGCUGCCCCUUAUNNNNNNNNNNNNNNNNNNNNNNNNNNNNNNNNNNNNNNNNNNNNNNNNNNNNNNNNNNNNNNNNNNNNNNNNNNNNNNNNNNNNNNNNNNNNNNNNNNNNAUCUUGUGGAGAUAGAAGCUUGUGCGGCGGAAAAGUACUUUUGAUGAUCUCCAGAUUUUUUUGGGAUUUUUAGGGAAUAUAUAGGCACAACCCCUAGUGCAGAGGGCGUCCAGGGGGCCCACAAGCCUGUGGGCCGCGACCUCCCCCCUGGCCAUGGGGUGGGGGCUUGUGGGGCCCCUGGGGCCCCCUGCCUUAGUUCUCAAGUCUCCUGAUCUUCUUCCGUUACGGAAAAAAUCUUUUCUGGGAUUUUAUUCCGUUUGGACUCCGUUUCAAAAUCUCCUCUGAAAGGGGUCAAAAACAUGGAAAAAACAGGAACUGGCACUUGGCACUGAGUUAAUAAGUUAGUCCCAAAAAAUAUAUAAAAGGCAUACAAAACAACCAAAGUUUGAAAAGAUAAUAGCAUGAAACCAUCAAAAAUUAUAGAUACGUUGGAGACGUAUCAAGCAUCCCCAAGCUUAACUCCUUCUCGUCCUCGAGUAGGGAAGUGAUAAAGAAUGAAUUUUUGAUGUGGAAUGCUACCUAGCGUAGUUGUCCUUUGCAACUUCUUUCACGUGACAUGAAUGUUCAGAUCCGUAAGAUUCGAAACAAUAGUUUGCUAUUGACAUGAAAACAAUAAUACUUCAAGCAAACUAGCAAGGUAAUCAUGAACUUUCAAAAUAACAAGGACAAUGAAAGUUAUCCCUACAAAAUCAUAUAGUCUGGCUAUGCUCCAUCAUCCCCACACAACGAAUUUAAAUCAUGCACAACCCCGGUAUUGGCCAAGUAAUUGUUUUCGCACUCUUACUUUCUCAAACCUUUUUCAACUCUCACGCGCCAAGUAAUUGUUUUCACACUCUUACUUUCUCAAACUUUUUAUAACUAUCACGCAAUACAUGAGCGUGAGCCAUGGAUAUAGCACUAUAAGUGGAAUAGAGUGUGGUGGUAGUUGUGAGACAAAAAGGAGGAGAUGGUCACAUUGACUCGGCGUAUCAAAAGGCUAUGGAUAUGCCCAUUAAUAGAUAUCAAUGUGAAUGAGUAGGGAUUGCCAUACAAGAGAUGCACUAGAGCUAUAAGUAUGUGAAAUCUCAAAAGGAGAACUAGUGGGUGUGCAUCCAACUUGCUUGCUCACGAAGACCUAGGGCAAUUUUGAGGAAGCCCAUCAUUGGAAUAUACAAGCCAAGUUAUAUAAUGAAGAUUCCCACUAGCAUAUGGUAGUGACAAAGCAAGAAGCUCUCAAUCAUGAAGAACAUGAUGCUAUUAUGAAGCACAAGUGUGGAAAAAGAUAGUAGCAUUGUCCCUUCUCUCUUUUUCUCUCUUUUUUUAUUUGGGCUCUUAGGUCUCUUUUUUUUUGUUUGGGCUCUUUGGCCUCUUUUUUUAUUUCCUCACAUGGGACAAUGCUCUAAUAGUGAUGAUCAUCACACUGUUAUUUACUCACAGCUUCAAAGCUCAAAAUGAUGAUGACUCUAUAGGAAAUGCCUCCGGUAGUGUACCGGGAUGUGCAACGAUCUAGCAUGGCGUAUGACAUUGAAAACAUCUCGCUAGCUAUCUUACGAUCAUGCAAUGGCAAUAUGAGAGUGAUGGCACAAGUCAUGAGACGGAAUGGUGGGAGUUGCAUGGCAAUAUAUCUCGGAAUGGCUAUGAAAAUGCCAUAGUAGGUAGGUAUGGUGGUUGUUUUGAGGAAGGCAUAUGGUGGGUUUGUGCACCGGCAAGAAUUGCGCGGCACUAAAGAGGCUAGCAAAGGUGGAAGGUGAAAGUGCAUCUAUACCAUGGACUCACAUUAGUCAUGAAGAACUCACAUACUUGUUGCGAAAAGUUAUAUUAGUAAUCGAAACGAAGUGCUAAACGCAUAUUCCUAGGGGAAGGGUUGGUAGGUGUUAACCAUCGCGCGAUCCCGACCUCAACACAAAGGAUGACAAUCAAUAGAUCAAUUAUGCUCCGACUUCCUAACAUAGCGGUUCACCAUACAUGCAUUUCUUCGCGAGAUCACGAAGUUCGUAAACUGUUGUGGGGUAACCCACACUACGAUAGUUCCAACAUAGGAUACUCAUUUUGCCCAGCGGUACUCCUCGAGGGAGCCCGCCGAUGAUGCCUCUAUUGGGGUUUCUGACUUGUAUUCUCCUCCACUACCUCCUGGGUUAGUUUCCAUCUCCAGAGGAUCAACCUAUUGGGGUUUCUGACUUGUAUUCUCCUCCACUACCUCCUGGGUUAGUUUCCAUCUCCAGAGUAUCAACCUUCUCCAAAACUCCUGCCUUGUUCGUGAGUUUUUUUGGCCUUUUAUUGUCCUUCCCUGGGGAUACAUAAACCGGUGGCAUAGGAGGCACCGACUGAUCUCCCAGUAUAACCAACGAGUUAUUGUACUCAGCCUGGUUGUUCAACACACCUUCCUCCUGAGUUUUAGAGGAACUCAAGGAGUUUUCCACCGCAAGGCGUUUGUUUCCCUGAACCCCCUCCUCCUUCUCUGUUUCCAGAUCUUAGCUCUCGCUAGGGAAUCAUCUUUCCCUCCUCUUCCAACCAUCUGGUCAUUGCUCCCCGCUUGGUUUUGCUGUUGAGAAUUGAAUCUCCAUCUCUAGUUUGGGUUAUGUGGUUCAAGGCCUCUACCACUGUGAUAGCCUGGCUUAUUAGGAUGAUAGACUACUCAUAUCAAUAAGGAAUUCCUACUUUUCCGGGAGCCCGUUCGAAUAGAAAUUCCAGGUUAAGCGUGCUCAGCUUGGAGUAGUUCUAGGAUGGGUGACUGAUGACCCAAAAGCGUAUGGGAUCGCAACAGUUUUCGAGGGUAGAGUAUUCAACCCAAAUUUGUUGGUUCGCCAAGGGAAGCGAAAGAAUAUUCUCAAGUAUUAGCAGCUGAGUUUAUCAGAUUCAACCAUGACUGAAAGAUUAGUGUCUGCAAGCAAAGUAUCAGUAGCAAAGUAGUAUGAUAGCAACGGUGCCAGAAAUGAUCUGUUGACGGCAGACUAUUCCUAAUUGUUGUAUCAAUGGCGCCAGUAAGUUGCCUGUGGACGAGUAACUAUUCUUCCCCGACAACAGUGCCGGAAAAGAUCUUGCAACAAGUAACAACGAGGUAGCAAGGAAAAACAGGAGCAGCAGCAGCAGAGUAACAACAGUAGCAACAGUAGUAGCAAAGUGACAACAGUAGCAGCAAAGUGGCCUAGACAAAGUAACGUUGCAAGGGACAAGCCUAGACAAAGUAACGUCGCGAGGACCAGUAGUAGAAGACUCGUAGGCAGUGGAUCGGUGAUGGAUGAGUAUGACGGAUGUGAUUCAUCAUGUAGCAGCUAUAACACGGAGAGAUAAGUAACUAGCUCCCGUUCGUCAAUCUAAUGUAGGCAUGUAUUCCGUAUGUAGUCCUACGUGCUUAGGGAAAAGAACUUGCAUGACAUCUAUUGUCCAUCCCUCCCGUGGCAGCAUGGUCCUAAUGGAAACAACGGGAUAUUAAGGUUCUCCUUUUAAUAAAGAACUGGACCAACACAUGAACACGCGGUGAAUACAUGAACUCCUUAGACUAUGGUCAUCUCCGGGAGUGGUUCCGGCUAUUGUCACUCCGGGGUUGCCGGGUCAUAACACGUAGUAGGUGACUACAACUUGCAAGAUAGGAUCUAAAACACACAUAUAUUUGCGACAACAUAAUAGGUUCAGAUCUGAAAUCAUGGCACUCGGGCCCUAGUGACAAGCAUUAAGCAUGGCAAAGUAGUAGCAACAUCAAUCUCAGAACAUAGUGGAUACUAAGCCAAGUAGUAGCAACAUCAAUCUAGAACAUAGUGGAUACUAGGGAUCAAUCCCCGUCAAAAACUAAAUCGAUUACAUGAUAGAUCUCAUCCAACUCAUCACCGUCCAGCAAGCCUACGAUGAUAUUACUCACGGACGAUGAAGAGCAUCAUGGAAUUGUCAAUGGAUAAAGGUUGAUGAUGACGAUGGCGACAAUUUCCCCUCUCCGGAGCCCGAAACGGACUCCAGAUCUGCCCUCGAGAUGAAGAACAGGAUGUGGCGGCGCCUCGGUAUCGCAAAACGCGAUGAAACCUUCUCUCUGAUUUUUUUUCCGGGCGAGACGGAAGAUACAGAGCUGAGUUUGGGGGCGGUGGAGCAACGUGGGCCCCACAAGCCCUCACGGCGCGGCCAGGGGGGUGGCCGCGGCCUGUGCGCUUGUGGCCCAGUGGUCCACCUCCUCCGGUGGUUCUUUGCGCAAGUAUUUUUCUUUUAUUCCAGAAAAAAUCUCCGUAAAUUUUCAGGACAUUCCGAGAACUUUUAUUUCUGCAUAAAAACAACACCAUGGCAAUUUUGCUGACAACAACGUUAGUCCGUGUUAGUUCCAUUCAAAUCAUGCAAAUUAGAGUCCAAAACAAGGGCAAAAGAGUUCGGAAAAGUAGAGACGACGGAGACGUAUCAGUGACUAACCGUGAAGUUGAUCCCGGGUGCGCAUGAGUGAGGACAAAGUGCGUAGAAAAUACUAGUAAUGAUAUGUGGGGCCAGUCUAGAUCCCGCCAGGAGUAACGACCGCCGACGGGUGUGUCCGGGGCAUUACAAGUUUGGUAUCACAGCCGACCCUCGCGGUUACACGGAUGUUUGCGGACAGGUGUGCGGUCAUGUUAUUCAUGACGUUUGUGACCCGUCGUGGCACACGACAUGGUACAUGUACUGUACUGGAUGCACAGACGUUUGUGCCAAGAGGGAAUGUUCUUGUGGCCCGACGAGGACGUCGGUUCCUCUGAGUGGUGGUGUAUGUGAUAGCCCGGCUUAUUAGGGAUGAUAGACUACUCAUAUCAAUAAGGAAUUCCUUCUUUUUCGGGAGCCCAUUCGAACAUAACUUCCAGGUUAAGCGUGCUCACCUUGGAGUAGUUCUAGGAUGGGUGACCGACCGGGAAGUUGAUCCCGGGUGCGCAUGAGUGAGGACAAAGUGCGCAGAAAAGAGUAGUAUUGGUAUGUGGGGCCAGUCUAGAUCCCGCGAGGACUAACGACCGUCGGCGGGUGUGUCCGGGGCAUUANNNNNNNNNNNNNNNNNNNNNNNNNNNNNNNNNNNNNNNNNNNNNNNNNNNNNNNNNNNNNNNNNNNNNNNNNNNNNNNNNNNNNNNNNNNNNNNNNNNNGCAUGCACGCACUGUUUAGAUAAGACUAAAUGUACAUAUUUGGAAAACUCUAAGAAGGUUGUCUACCUGGGUGUCGUCAAUUUCUACCGACCAAUCAUCCCGUAAGAAAGAAAGGCAAGCUUUACAACGGUGAGGCAGAUCGCCGGAAGAAGCCUAACCUCCCUACUGGUGAUGAGUUAUUGGCUAUGGUCAAGGAUUUGGAUCAAAUAGUAAUCUUUGGAAAGGGUCCUGGUGGUCAAUCUGUUCCGAAAGACGACGUUACCGGACACGUGCCCAUGUGGAAAAAUAAAUCUUUAUUUUGGGAGCUACCCUAUUGGAAACACCUAGAGGUCCGGUCUUCAAUCGAUGUGAUGCACGUGACGAAGAAUCUUUGCGUGAACCUGCUAGGCUUCCUGGGCGUGUAUGGGAAGACAAAAGAUACAACAGAACCACGGGAGGAGCAGCAACAUAUGAAAGACCCAUACGACAAGAAGACUGAUAAAGGGCGUCAAUACUUAAGCAGCUACGCUCUUAGCAAAGCAGAGAAUGAAAUAUUUUUUGAAUGUCUGAGCAGUAUGAAGGUCCCCGCUGNNNNNNNNNNNNNNNNNNNNNNNNNNNNNNNNNNNNNGAGCAGUAUGAAGGUCCCCGCUGGCUUCUCGUCUAAUAUAAAGGGAAUAAUAAAUAUGGGAGAGAAAAACUUCCAGAACCUGAAGUCUCAUGAUUUCCACGUGAUUAUGACGCAGUUGUUUCUGGUUGCAUUGAGGGGGCUUCUACCGGAAAAUGUUUGAUUACACAUUGUGAAGCUAUGUGCAUUCCUCAAUGCAAUAUCUCAGAAGGUAAUCGAUCGAGAACGUCUGGAAAGGCUACAGAAGGAUGUGGUCCAAUGUCUUGUCAGUUUUGAGUUGGUGUUCCCCCCGUCCUUCUUCAAUAUUAUGAUGCAUCUCCUGGUUCACCUAGUCGACGAGAUUUCCAUUUCGGUCCUAUAUUUCUACACAAUAUGUUCCCCUUCGAGAGGUUCAUGGGAGUCUUAAAGAAAUAUGUUCAUAACCGUGCUAGGCCAGAAGGAAGCAUCUCCAAAGGCUAUGGAACAGAGGAGGUCAUUGGGUUCUGUGUAGACUUUCUUCCUGACCUUAAGCCGAUUGGUAUUCCUGAAUCGCGGCAUGAGGGGAGAGUGAGUGGAAAAGGCACACUAGGAAAGAAAGAAGUGAUAUAUAGGGAUGGGCAUUAUUUCACUCAAGCACACUACAUAGUUCUAAAAAGUUCCACCUUCGUGGCUUCGUAUAUCGAGGAGCACAAGNNNNNNNNNNNNNNNNNNNNNNNNNNNNNNNNNNNNNNNNNNNNNNNNNNNNNNNNNNNNNNNNNNNNNNNNNNNNNNNNNNNNNNNNNNNNNNNNNNNNCCUGGUCCUCCGCCGACAGCGCCCCGCCGCCGUCGAGCCUCUCGUACUCCACCCUGAGCUUCGCCACACAAGCACCGUCCCCGGCCGCCUCAAGCUUCAUCUCGACCACCUGCGACUUGAGCUGGCCGCUCACCUUGCCGCCCUCCAGUAUCUCCGUCUUGAACACCCUAGCCGCGUUGUCGCGGGCCAUCACGCGGCUCCUCAUCACGCCCGAGCCUGACAGCUCCGCCGCCGCCGGACUGAGCGUCAUGGUGAAGACGCUGCCGGGUCCGCCGUCGCCCUCGACGUCCACAACGUCGAUGAAGCCCGCGCAGGCCUUGGGCAGGGCGGCCGUGUCCUCGCCGGAGAAGACCACCUUCCACAGUCGCUCCGUCGACACCGCCAGGGCGCACUGCUCGGUGAUGACACAGCCGGCGACCAUCUUGUUCUUGUCCGUCGGUCACUUGCUCGCUGCACACUAGCGCUGCUGGCAAGUUCUAGUGAAGAGUGAAGACUGGUGAUGAGUGAGAGCAAGCAAGGGGCUGAUUUAUAUAGAGUAGGUGCAAAAGAAAAAUUCAGAGCUAGGCAAGAGAUCCAUAAAAUAGUAAUUGAUGAACUUGGACCGGAGAUCACAUGGUUGGACUCUUGAAGCGUUCAGGCUGCUAUUUCUUUCUGCAGCUGUUCAAUCUUCUUCCCAUGUGUUCGUUCUGCUGACUGUUCGGUCUAUUCUAUUAGGGCUGAAAUUCGGACAGCAGGGGAGACUGUUUUCUUUUUGAAAAAUCACCGGGGGGGAUCAUGUGUUCUUGCCUGUUGGUUCCGAUCAGAUCUGUUGGUGCGUGCGCGUGCGAUUUGGGAAUCGCAUACGGGGGGAAGCUAACCUUGCCGCCGAUGCGUCGGCUAGAUCGAUUGCCUGCUUCUGCUGACCUAGCCUCGUGGCCCGAUCUCCAGCUUGCUAACCUCGGUUGCGUGCUUAAAUUGGAAAUAACCUGAGUGCAAACAUAACAUGAUCUGUCGGAUGUGCAUUCCAGUUUUAAUUUUACAGGCCUACUACAACUGUUGGAGCGGUUGUGUAUUGGCAGGGUUUGACUGAUUCCGUACCCAGAUUGUUUGCAACACUGUCUUGAUUUGUAAUUCGCAUUGCUAGUUUUGGUACUAAAUCUCAGUUAAAAAUUCUCCUUACAGAGAUGUCACUUGAAAACGUAAAUAUUGCAGUUUCGUCUAAAUUUAGCAGUGAUAGAGUUUACAUUUCCCUGGCUAGCAGGGGAGACGAGUAACGCUACACGUACGGGAAAUUACGGGCAAGGACUAAUUACAGGCUGAGUUGGCUUAACAGGAUUGUAAACAAGGAGAGUGAGGCGGGACCAUCCCGGUUGAAAUCAGGGGGUGGGGCGAAGAGAUUUAAGGAAAGAGUCCGUAAUUGUCUGUAAGGGUCCGUACGUCUAGAAUUAUUGCAGGGGAGACUGUACUCCGUCAGGCCUAUGCCUCGCCCGUAGGAAUAGAAUAGAACGCCGCGCCCUUAUCUACGCUGUGUGUUUUACUCCCUCCGUCCCAAAAUAAAGAAGUUGUGGCUGGUUACAAAUUUUUGAUAAGGGAAACGAUUCUGGAGGGUGCGUCGGCCGGUCCUGCCUGCAUAGUCUGAUCCCGCGCGUCGUAUCUUUUUUUUUUUUACUGCGAGACGUCAUUUUUGCUGUAAUUAUUAUCUUUUUUACUACUAUCGAUAAGAUUUUUGCUAUAAUUGUUGUUGAUUUUUACUAUAUUUAAUUCAUUAAAAAGUUGCAUCCACGUUUAGUUGCAGUUCGAGUUCGUCGGAUUUUUUNNNNNNNNNNNNNNNNNNNNNNNNNNNNNNNNNNNNNNNNNNNNNNNNNNNNNNNNNNNNNNNNNNNNNNNNNNNNNNNNNNNNNNNNNNNNNNNNNNNNUUAACAUCACAUGCAAUUCAUAAGUGACAUGAUAUGGCCAUCAUCACGUGCUUCUUGAUCUCCAUCACCAAAGCACCGGCACGAUCUUCUUGUCACCGGCGCCACACCAUGAUCAUCCAUCAACGUGUUGCCAUCGGGGUUGUCGUGCUACUUAUGCUAUUACUACUAAAGCUACAUCCUAGCAAAAUAGUAAACGCAUCUUCAAGCACAUAAGUUAGUAUAAAGACAACCCUAUGGCUCCUGCCGGUUGCCGUACCAUCGACGUGCAAGUCGAUAUUUCUAUUACAACAUGAUCAUCUCAUACAUCCAAUAUAUCACAUCACAUCAUUGGCCAUAUCACAUCACAAUCAUACCCUGCAAAAACAAGUUAGACGUCCUCUAAUUUUGUUGUUGCAUGUUUUACGUGGUGACCAAGGGUAUCUAGUAGGAUCGCAUCUUACUUACGCAAACACCACAACGGAGAUCUAUGAGUUGCUGUUUAACCUCAUCCAAGGACCUCCUCAGUCAAAUCCGAUUCAACUAAAGUUGGAGAAACCGUCACUUGCCAGUCAUCUUUGAGCAAGGGGGGUACUCGUAACGAUGAAACCAGUCUCUCGUAACCGUACGAGUAAUGUCGGUCCAAGCCGCUUCAAUCCAACAAUACCGCGGAAUCAAGAAAAAACUAAGGAGGGCAGCAAAACGCACAUCACCGCCCACAAAACCUUUUGUGUUCUACUCGAGAAAACAUCUACGCAUGAACCUAGCUCAUGAUGCCACUGUUGGGGAACGUCGCAUGGGAAACAAAAAUUUUCCUACGCGCACGAAGACCUAUCAUGGUGAUGUCCAUCUACGAGAGGGGAUGAGUGAUCUACGUACCCUUGUAGAUCGUACAGCAGAAGCGUUAGAGAACGCGGUUGAUGUAGUGGAACGUCCUCACGUCCCUCGAUCCGCCCCGCGAACAAUCCCGCGAUCAGUCCNNNNNNNNNNNNNNNNNNNNNNNNNNNNNNNNNNNNNNNNNNNNNNNNNNNNNNNNNNNNNNNNNNNNNNNNNNNNNNNNNNNNNNNNNNNNNNNNNNNNCGUGUCUAUCUGCUGUGAUCAACUUGCGAGUUUGUGACAAUUGGGAACCUAUGCAAAUCGGUUGGCACACGUGGAUUCAUGUGAGUACUUGAUGUAUGUUUUGGUGAUCAACUUGCGGGUUCGUGACAUUGGGAACCUAUGCACAAGGGUUGGCACACGUUUUGACUCUCUGGUAGAAACUUUGGGGCACUCUUUGAAGUUCUAUGUGUUGGUUGAAUAGAUGAUUUUGAGAUUAUGUGAUGCAUAUCGUAUAAUCAUGCCCACGGAUACUUGAGGUGACAAUGGAGUAUCUAAGUGACAUUUGGGUCUUGGUUGAUAUGUAUCUUAAGGUGUUAUUCUAGUACGAACUCUUGAAUAGAUCGAUGAGAAAGAAUAAAUUUUUGGUGGUUUCGUACCCGAAAAUAAUCUCUUCGUUUGUUCCCCGCUAUUAGUGACUUUGGAGUGACUCUUUGUUGCAUGUUGAGGGCUAGUUAUAUGAUCCAAUUAUGUUAUCAUUGUUGAGAGAACUUCACUAGUGAUAGUAUGAACCCUAGGCCUUGUUUCCACGCAUUGCAAUACCGUUCGUGCUCACUUUUACCAUUUGUUACCUUGCUGUUUUUGUAAUUUCAGAUUACAAAAACNNNNNNNNNNNNNNNNNNNNNNNNNNNNNNNNNNNNNNNNNNNNNNNNNNNNNNNNNNNNNNNNNNNNNNNNNNNNNNNNNNNNNNNNNNNNNNNNNNNNAGUUAGUGAUUCCCGUAGCAUGCACGUAUGGUGAACCGCUAUGUUAGGAAGUCGGAGCAUAAUUGAUUUAUUGAUUGUCAUCCUUUGUGUGGUGGUCAGGAUCGCGCCAUGGUCACCUACCAACGCUUCCCCUAGGAGUAUGUGUUUAGCACUUUGUUUCGAUUGCUAAUAAAACUUUCGCAAUAAGUAUAUGAGUUUUUCAUGACUAAUGUGAGUCCAUGGUAUAGAUGCACUUUCACCUUCCACCAUUGCUAGCUUCUCUAGUGCCGCGCAACUUUCGCCGGUACACAAAACCAUCAUAUACCUUCCUCAAAACAGCCACCAUACCUACCUAUCAUGGCCUUUUCAUAGCCAUUCCGAGAUAUAUUGCCAUGCAACUCCCACCGUUCCAUCUCAUGACAUGUGCCGUCACUUUCAUAUUGCCAUUGCAUGAUCGUAAGAUAGCUAGCGAGAUGUUUCAACGUCAUUGAUAACCCACAAGUGUAGGGGACCGCAACAGUUUUCGAGGGUAGAGUAUUCCACCCAAAUGUAUUGAUUCGACUCAAGGGGAAGCGAAAUAAUAUUCUCAAGUAUUAGCAGCUGAGUUGUCAAUUCAACCACACCUGAAAGAUUAGUGUCUGCAAGCAAAGUAUCAGUAGCAAAGUGGUAUGAUAGAAACGGUGCCAGAAAAAUGUCUAUUGACAGCAGACUAUUCCUUACUUGUUGUAUCAAUGGCGCCUAAAAAAGUCUUGCAACAGGUAACAACAAAGUAGCAAGUAACAGNNNNNNNNNNNNNNNNNNNNNNNNNNNNNNNNNNNNNNNNNNNNNNNNNNNNNNNNNNNNNNNNNNNNNNNNNNNNNNNNNNNNNNNNNNNNNNNNNNNNGUUCCGGCUAUUGUCACUCCGGGGUUGCUGGGUCAUAACACAUAGUAGGUGACUACAGCUUGCAAGAUAGGAUCUAAAACACACGUAUAUUGGCGACAAAAUAAUAGGUUCAAAUCUGAAAUCAUGGCACUCGGGCCCUAGUGACAAGCAUUAAGCAUGGCAAAGUAGUAGCAACAUCAAUCUCAGAACAUAGUGGAUACUAGGGAUCAAUCCCCGUCAAAACUAACUCGGUUACAUGAUAGAUCUCAUCCAACCCAUCACCGUACAACAAGCCUACGAUGUGAUUACUCACGAACGGUGAAGAGCAUCAUGGAAUUGGCGAUGAAGGAAGGUUGAUGAUGACGAUGGCGACGAUUUCCCCUCUCCGGAGCCCAGAACGGACUCCAGAUCUGUCCUCCAGAUGAAGAAGAGGAGGUGGCGGCGCCUCCGUAUCGUAAAACGCGAUGAAUCCUUCUCCUUGAUUUUUUCGGGGCAAGGCGGACUAAAUAGAGCUGAGAUUGGAGGCGGUGAAGCAACGUGGGCCCCACAAGCUUGGUAGGCGUGGCCAUGGGGGUUGGCCGCGCCUCCUGGGCUUGUGGCCCACAGGCUCACCUCCUCCAGUGGAUCUUUGCACAGGUAUUUUUCAUUAAUUCCAGAAAAAUUCGACGUAAAUUUUCAGGUCAUUGUAAGAACUUUUAUUUCUACACAAAACAACACCAUGGCAAUUCUGCUGAAAACAGCAUUAGUCCGGGUUAGUUCCAUUCAAAUCAUGCAAAUUAGAGUCCAAAACAAGGGCAAAAGAGUUCGGAAAAGUAGAUACGACGGAGGCGUAUCAACUCCCCCAAGCUUAAUGCCUUGCUUGUUCUCAAGCAAUUCAAUUGACAAACUGAAAGAGACAAAAGAAAAACUUUGACGAACUCUGUUUGAUCUUGUUGUCGCAACUAUGUCUAACUCAUAACUAGAAUUUCAGCAAGAUCACAAGCAAACCACAUAAGCAAUUGACAUCAAGGUCUUACGUAAACUCAUAUCAAUGGCAUAAUCAACUAGCGAGCAAAUAAUAAUAAGUCUCAAAUGUCAACACUUCAAUCAAAACUAUCAUGAAGCAGUACGAAUAGAUGGUAUCUCGAUAGCUCUUUCUGAGACCGCAAAACAUAAAUGCAAAGCACCUUCAAAGACCAAGGGCUGACUAAACAUUGUAAUUCAUGGCAAAGAAGAUCUAGUCACAGUCAUACUCAACACAGUUAAAAGCAAAGCAUAAAAAUGACCGAGGUGCUCUCUAAUUGGUGCUUUUGUAAGAGGAGGACGACUCAACAGGAACAUAAAUAGACAGGCCCUUCGCAGAGGGAAACAUUGAUUUGCACAGGUGUGAGAGCUCAAGAUUUCAAAACAGAGACAAUAAUUUUUGGUGGCAUGCUUUCAUUGUCAACGCAAUGACUAAGAGUUCUCAUCAUCUUCCAUGCUACACAUGCUAUAGGCGGUUCCCAAACAGAAAAGUAAAGUUUUGACUCCCCCACCACCAAUAUAUGACACACCAUGACUAGCCGAAUCCCCGGGUGCCGUCCAUACCAACAUCAAUCCUGGGGGAGUUUUGUUUGCAAUUAUCUUUUCGAUUUGAGCAUGGAUCUAGGAAUUCCAAUUACCGGCCCCUUUCUCGUGAAUGAUAGUGAAUAAACACAUAUCAAGGAUAACACGCCUAGCAUGGUAGAUACUGAUAGCCCCCUGUCACCACAUGAGCGGUUCGGGCAUGCAAAACAGAUUAUUUCUUGAAGAUUUAGAGAGUGGCACAUGAAAAUUUACUUGGAAUGGCAGGUAGAUACCACAUAUAGGAGGUAUGGUGGACUCAUAUGGAACAACUUUGGGUUUAUGUAAGUGGAUGCACAAGCAGUAUUCCCGCUUAGUACAAGUGAAGGCUAGCAAAAGACUGGGAAUCGACCACCUAGAGAGCAACAACAGUCAUCAAAAUGCAAUGAGAUUAACUAACAUUGAGUGCAAGCAUGAGUAGAACAUAAAUCACCAUGAACAUGAAUAUCAUAGAGGCUAUGUUGAUUUUGUUUCAACUACAUGCGUGAACAUGCGCCAAGUGAAGCCACUUGAAACAUUCAAAGGAGGAUACCAUCCUAUCACACUACAUCAUAGUCAUCUCAAAAUUCAUGUGGGCAUCCAAGACAAACCAUUAUAAACUCCUUGCUAAGUAAGCAUGGCAUCAACAACUAUGAUCUCUAAGUUUUCAUUGCAAACAUGUUUCUCUCACAACAAAGCUGAAUCAGGCACGAUGACCUAGUCAUAUUUACAAAAACAAAAUAGAUCGAGUUCAUACCAGCUUUUCCAGGCUUAGUCACUUCAUCAUAUAUCGUCAUUGUUGCCUUUCACUUGCACGACCGAACGAUGUGAACAAUAAUAAGAGUGCUCGUGCAUUGGACUAAGCUGGAAUCUGCAGGAAGACACAAAGGAGAAGACAAAGUAAUAUGGCUAUUUAAGAGGUAAACAGGUAUGCAUGCGAGAGGCACUAAACAUUGUAACCAUUAUCUUCUACCUUGACCCAAAGAAAAAGGAAACUAUUUACACGGGAAAGCUCCCAACAAGCAAAAGAAGAACAAGAAAAUCUUUUUGGGUUUUCUCAAACUAGACAGUCACAUGAAAAAAAAACGAGAAAAAGAAAAUAAACUAGCAUGGACGAUAAAGUGGCAAAGGGUAAACACCGACGAACAAAGUGAAAGCAUAAGCAAGAAUGUAAAGUCGGUGAGAAACAGGUACUCCCCCAAGCUUAGACUCUUGGCCUAAGUUGGUCUACUCCCAUGGAUGGUCCGGGCGAUACCCAAAAUCAUAAUGGGGGUUAUACGUGAGCGCUGCAGCCACUGCCUGAAUAGCUGCCUCACGUAGACGAGGAGCCUUUGCCUCCCUCUCAUUCUCCUCUGGUUUUGUAAUAUCUCCGUUUUACCUGAAAGUCAAAGAAGGCAGGAGCAGGAAGGGUAAUAUGGAAAACAUGAUGCCGGUUAAAUAUCAAACGGUAUAGGAGGGAUUCAUCAUCCCUCUCAAGGAACUAGUAGCGUGUUAAAGCGACGCGGUCAAGGAAAGCUGUAUGGAGAGGGGGAUCUCCUUCGCGGAUGGGUACUCCAAGAAAAAUUUCUAUGCGAGUGGCAUAGAUCCCACCAAAGAAAUUCCCUUCAUUAGCAUUAUUAUUCAGCCUCCUUGCUAUAAUAGCUCCCAUGUUGAAACUUUUAUCACCCGUUACUGCGCUCUUAAGGAUAUAAAGGUCGGGUGCGCAGAGGUGACAAUGCUCAAUCUUGCCAUUAAUGCAUCUGCCUAUGAAGAGGGCAAAAUAAUGCAAGGCAGGAAAAUGAAUGCUCCCCAUGGUAGCCUGCGUAAUAUCUCUAGUUUCUACAACAGUUGUACCAGAGAAAAAACCUCUAACCGAAGGCUUAGGAGGAUCAUUGAGACUACCCCAAAUAGGUAUCUUGAAAAUUCUAUUGAAAUCCUCUAAAUCCAUGGUAUACGAUUUUUCAUAGAGAUCAAAAAGUACAGAUGUAUCACGGCCAACUGAAAAUUUGAAUCUACGAACAAAAGAGGCAGUGAGAGCAACAUACUGUUCACAUUUAUCGGAGAUGAAUUCUUCGAGUCCGACGUUGUGAACAAGUGCAUCAAACUCAUCUUUGAAACCUGCCUCAAUCAUAAAUUCAUCAGAAGGCCAUUCACAUGGUUGUACCUGUGCGUCCCUUGGUUGGUAAGGAUCGGGCUCCCGAAUCGCAAGACGAGGACCUCUCUUGCUUGAGGAACCACCAUGAUAGUUUCUCCUGAACAUCUUCCUUUUCUGAAAUUUUCAGUGACCCAAAGGAAAAGUGAACAAGGGUCAACUAAACUUGUAGCAACUACUCCCACAAGUGCCUAGAGGCCAUAUUACGCAUCAAAACUACUUUGGACCAGCUAAAAUUAGCAUGCAAAGCUCAAGAACAUGGUCACCAAGGUAGCAAAAAUACGCGAAGUAUAAGGCACUAGAGCAAAAACUAAUUGGACCAAUGGAGGAGUCACUUACCAAGGAGUAAUUUCCCCAAAACAGUUCGGAGAAUGGUGCUUUGAGCAAAGAAAUAGAAAAUCCCAGCAAGAGGAGCAAGAACACGGGUUUGAGCUACGAAACGAUUUUUUCUGUGGGUAGGAGAACCAGAUGAGAGCACGAAUGAGUGGAGGGGGUGCACGUGGGCCCCACAAGCCAGGUAGGCGCGGCCAGGGGGGUGCCCGCGCCUCCAGGGCUUGUGGCCCAUUGGUGCAGCCCCCAGACUAGCUCUUCGUCUCAGUAUUUUUCAAAAAUUCCAAAAAAAAUCAUACUAGAUUUUCUGGAUGUUCGGAGAACUUUUAUUUUUGGGGUACUUUUCUACGGGACGCUAAGACAGAAAACAGGGAAAACUAAACUAAAUCUAUCAUUUUUCUUCUAAGCAACCUAAGGUGAAAGCUUGGAACAGAGGUUUGUGACUCCUCGAUUCAUCCAUCUCANNNNNNNNNNAGAAAUUCGUCGAUGAGGUUGAUCAAGUCUCCUUGACAAACUUUUUCGAAUCGCAAAAGAAGACGGAGAAUUUUCGAAUAGUCACUAGGUCACCUCAAUGGGGAUGUGUAUCUCCCCAACAAGCAAAUCAUACUUCAUCUUUACACGAGGAAUAGGGCAUUCAAAGCUCCCAAUAAGAAUCGAUGAAGUUUUUUCGAUAGCAUUGAUGCAAUGUACUCGAUAUUGUUUCUUCGGAAAGUGCACCGUAUGCUAAUUACCGUUGACAUGGAAAGUGACAUUGCCUUUGUUGCAAUCUAUAACAGAUCCUGCAGUGUUUAAAAAGGGUUUUCCGAGGAUGACCACCAUGACAUCGUCCUCGGGAAUAUCCAUAAUAACAAAGUCUGUUAAGAUAGUGUCGUGGGUAUAAGUCUGACAGUAGAAGUAUGGGGUACGAAAGUAUAUGGGCAGAGCCUUAGCUACGGCGAGGAUGUAUGAGUUCAGGCCCCUCUGCGGUGGAAGUAAAAUCCCUACGUCUCAGUGCUCUUGGGAGCUUUGUGUCGAGUGGAUUAUAGGAUUACAGCAAUUGCCAACCCCCGUACCAGUGGUGAAGGGCGGCUUAUAUAGAGUGCGCUGCCCUUCAUAAUGGCCCGGUGGACAUGGGUGGAAUAGUGGCGAGUAAAUGCUUACGUUACAAGUAACGUAAGCUUUAAAUGCUAAUAAUGUUGUACGAAAACGCAUGACCGUUGCCCUCCUGGGAGGUUACGAUGUACAGAGUGGAUUCCAGUCGGUACGUUAGAUAUGCUCCAAGUGAAUCGUCGCCGACUGGAUGAUGGGGGCGUCUUUAGUCCAGUCGGAGCUGUCUAAGGGCCUUGUCUUCUAUGAAGGGUAGUCAUUGGGUAGGACCUAUAGGGCAGACCUAUGACCCUACCCUGGGACAAUAACCCCAUCAUUAGUCCCCGACUGGAUCGGGGUUGGAACGAUGAAGUGAUGUCUGGAGUUUGGAACCGACUGGUAUUGAGGUGACUUUAUCGUUGUUUGCCUUGAUCCAUUUUAUCUCUUCAUCUAGUGAUCCAGGUGAAUAUGCAAGCGAAACGAACCGUGAGGGACCGACUGCUCUUGCGGAAUCUUUCGACGUGACCGGUCAUACUGACAGCGCCGGAUUUUCCGGGAUCCUCAAAUUUCGGUUGUCGCGCACUCAGCGGGGAUGACAACAUCGCCAUCGAGUAGGUUUCGGCUCCUCGAUUACCGCACCGUUAUCUUCUCCACUAAUCUUGCAGCGGCCGGUUGGGGGAUAAGAUCCCGGGCCCACCUGUAGGUGACUUAGUCGGAAGCCUAUUAAAGCUUCCCCGGCGGACUUUCCUGUUGUGCUGCUCAUCCUCCUCCCAUUAAUCUCGCUCCUCCUGCAGCUCUUUGCACACCUCAAGCCACCUCCGUCCCCUCCUCCUCUGCGGAUCCGUCGCCCUCGCCAUGACGAAGGGGCAGACCAGCAAGCUCGAGGCGCAGAAGAAGAAGAAGAAGGGGCGGCCUCCACUCAGUGGCCGCAGCGGGCGUUGCCGGCGGGCUGGAUCCAGGGGGACUUCCUCCCCUCCUCGGUGACGGAGAACGACGUGCUGGAGCUGGUGGAGCACGGCAUGGUCGCCAACAAGUCCUGGAGGCUGCCGGAAGGCAAGACGGAGCCGGCGCCGAAGGAGGGGGAGCGCAUUCUGCUGCUCAGCCACGUGGCCAGAGGUUUCUCCUUGCCUCCCAUCCUUUCUUCCGAGGUAUCAUGAAUUACUUCGGGGCGCAGCUCCUUCACUUUCCUCUGAAUGCGAUAGCUCAUCUUUCCGCAUUCGUCACCCUCUGCGUGUGCUUCAUAGGAUGUCCUCCCCACUGGGGGCUCUUUAAAUAUGUCUUCUCUGCUAGAUCCCAAACUCUUAAGAAGCUUAGCCAGUCGGAUGAUAAGACACACAUCCUCCAGCUCUGUGGGGGUUUAGGAUUCCAAAAGAAAACGAAGAGUAGCUAUCCCUCCCUUCAGCUAUCCGAGUCAGAUAAGAACUGGCAAUCGUCCUGGUUCUAUUGCCAGGACAUUGCUUGUCCGAAUGCUUCGAGUGGGUUGCCACCCUUCAGUUUAGACCGUCCGGGGCCUCCCAGGAAGCUUGCGCUCUCUAAGGGAGUAAGAACCCAGAUCCAGCCUUUGGUCGACGCGCUGAUAGCCGUCGUCCGGAGGGGAGUCACCGGCAUGGACCUACUGGAGACUUUUCUGGGUCGGCGCAUCCAGCCGCUGCAGGCCCGAGACCAUGCUAUGUGGCAUUACACGGGGCCUUCGGAUACCACUCGGUCUCAUCCUAAAGACGUGAACGAGGAGACUGUGAGUGCGUGGGUCCGCGGCAUCACAGGCACGUGUGAUAACCCCGUGGGAGCUCGGCGGGUGAAGGCCUUCCGCGCUGAAAAUCCUCCUCCGGAUGAGGUGAGUACAUGUCGUCGAGUGCUUUUAACCUUCUCAGCUUUAUUGCUUUUCUUGUCUCACUGACUGACGUUGCCGAAUGUGUUUUGUGCAGGAGUGGACGAACUGGCACUCUGCACUCUCGAAUGGGAAUCCAGUCGAGGAAGAGGAAGGCAGCAUGGAGGGCAGCGCGGAUAGCGCCGAGUACGUCUCUAACAGUGGGGAGACAGAGGAGGAGACGGAAGAGGAGGAGGAGGAGAGUGGAGAGCAGAGCUCGUCACCCUCACCACCAGAGCACCGAACCAAGCGCCGUCAUGACCCCGCUGCUCCACCGGCUCCUCCCGUGGCCCCGAGUGCGCGGAGUGUGAAGAGAACCAGGGGCUCUUCUGUCGAACCCGUGAACUAGCCAUCCAAGGUGGCUAAACCCAGCGGGUCUAAACCUCGAAAAGCCUUGCCCCGGAUGAGGAUCGCUGUUCCGGUCGCCUCAGUGUAAGUAUCUUUACUCUUCCAUCUUCCUUCAGUAUCCGAUUGAACUCUUCUUUUUGGGAACUCAUGUUUAUCCGUCGAGUGGAUUUCACUCAACAGAGCUGCUACCUCCGCCACCUCUCUGUCGCGCCAGGACGAUGAUCCCAUGGACACUGAUAACGUCACCACGUCCCAGCAAGGUACGUUGUCACAACUCCGAGAGUUGUAUUACUGUUUCGCGAAUGCUGUCUUUGAUCUUGACCUUUUUUUGUAUUUUUAUUUUGUUUAGUCGGGCUUCCUUCGGAGGUGAUCCAUCUGGACGACGACGACCAAAUGAGGUCGGAACCAGCUUUGGCGCCUGUCCCUGGGGUUAUCCAACCUGCUGCCAAUCCCGCCAUGAACGUGGCGCCGACUGAGACGGUGCCGCCGACUGAGACAGUGGCCCUCACGGCGGAACCAACUGGAGCAGAGCUCGGGAUGCCCAGGGAGCCUUCUGCCACGCCGGGUCCGUCGGUUGUUCAAUAUGAUGCCCGACGCCUCCCGGAAGAUCAAGUAGGAGCCUCCAAGGAUGCCAUGGUGCGGGUGAAGCUGAUGGUGGGCGACGCCAAGGGAGCGUAUGACUCCAUCGCGUCUCUGUACAAGAAGAGCUUGGAGCUUCGGGAUGAUAUCCGAGUAAGUGCGCUAGUAAGUGUUUACAUUCCUCUUGGUACCCACUGGGGGUUUCAGCGAGGUACUCGGAUGCAAUAGGAUUAAUUUUGCAGUGGGUUCGCUCCAAGUGAACCCAGUGGGUGUAGUCCCCGAGACUUCUGCCGAGUGCUUGCGCCGGCAGUUGUCUUUAUAUGUAUUUUCCAUAAUCUGUACAUAUCAGAGCUGAUCUGCUCGAAUGGUACCAGUGGGGGCACGCCGAGUGCACCCACUGGGUGUAGUCCCCGAGAGUAGUGUUACUCGGGUCGAGUGAUAGUAAUCUCAUAGUGUUGUUGGUUUUCUAUGGAGCUCAAUGGGACCGACCUGUUCGAGCUUCAUACCAGUGGGGUCACUCUCAGUGAACCCACUGGGUGUAGUCCCCGAGACCGUUGUCGAUUGCUUGCAUCGGCUGGGGUCUGAAGAAUCUUGAGUUUUGAUUGUUUUGUAAUAUCUGUCGAGACUUUUUUGUUGUUGAAUCUGGCUGAUCCUCCCUUUGGGUCUCUUUGGCAGAAGACUUGUGAAAUGGGAUCGGCUUAUAAUGCUCUGAAGGCUGAGAAGACCCAACUUGCUGCCGACUUGGAGGUGGCUGCGAAUGACCUGGCUGGCACGAAGGUGGCUCUCGCUGAACGAGAAAAAUCUUUGGAGGAAUCUAGGGAGGCAAACAAGGCACUGCUAGCCGAAGUAUAAAAAAUGAAGAGGGAGAGAUCCGAAUGGAUGGGCCAGCUGAAGGAAGAUGGUCGCACUGCUUGGUGGUAAGUUCUUGCCGAGUGCUUUUUGACUUUGGAGUUCACUCCGCGCUUAUUUUCUGCUUGUCUUUUCUUUGCAGAUUUCUGUCGAGACAUUGAGGCCGAAACAGCCAAAAUUGAAUGGUCGCUUGUUCCGAAUGUUCCACUCGGCGAUGAAGCUAACCGGGACAUGUUCUGAGUGCAUUCUCGCCUUAACAUGGUGGGCCCUUUCAUUGGUCGGCUGAGAAGAGUUGUCGGCCGAAUCGACAAAGAGCUGUGGCCUGAAGAUAACUCCCGGAACGAGAUAGAGGGGUUGAUGACUCGAUUGGAGGACGUGUUGGAAUUAUGCCCUAGAGGCAAUAAUAAAUGUAUAGUUAUUAUUAUAAUUCCUGUAUCAAGAUAAUAGUUUAUUAUCCAUGCUAUAAUUGUAUUGAAUGAAGACUCAUUUACAUGUGUGGAUACAGAGAAAAAACACCGUCCCUAGCAUGCCUCUAGUUGGCUAGCCAGUUGAUCGAUGAUAGUCAGUGUCUUCUGAUUAUGAACAAGGUGUUGUUGCUUGAUAACUGGAUCACGUCAUUAGGAGAAUCACGUGAUGGACUAGACCCAAACUAAUAGACGUAGCAUGUUGAUCGUGUCAUUUUGUUGCUACUGUUUUCUGCGUGUCAAGUAUUUAUUCCUAUGACCAUGAGAUCAUAUAACUCACUGACACCGGAGGAAUGCUUUGUGUGUAUCAAACGUNNNNNNNNNNNNNNNNNNNNNNNNNNNNNNNNNNNNNNNNNNNNNNNNNNNNNNNNNNNNNNNNNNNNNNNNNNNNNNNNNNNNNNNNNNNNNNNNNNNNCAUCUUGAGGAAGCCAAGAUCAUCAUCAUCUAGCUCAAGAGGAUGAGGUGCAAGGUAUAGGUUUGCCCUUGAUAGGUUUUCUGUUUAGGAUAGAUUGUUGUACUAUCAAGGGGGGCUCUCAAGUGAGUAGCUUGAUCGUAUCGUUCGUUGAGAGCUCAAACCAUUUGCAUCCUUGCAUCAUACUUCUUGGUUCUUGUUUGGUGUUUCUCUUUGUGAGUUUUAGAGCUUAUGGUCAUCUUCGUGACAAGCUCGAGUUCAUCGAAAACGGAGUCCAUAUGCAUCUACUAUGAUGUUUUCGAUGUUGGAGUUUUUUCUGGUUCUUCAUUCAUAGAGGACUCACAUAUCUAUAUCAUUGGCAUUUUUAUAUCUGCAUGGCCUUAUGAUUUCCAACAAGCUUGGGUUUGCUCGAUUAGGAGCUCGUAUGCGAAAGUUAUGACUGUUUCAGUGGCGAGCGGUAGUACCGCUGGACCUAGCGGUAGUACCGCUAGAGUUGGCGGUAGUACCACUGGCCCUAGCGGUAGUACCGCUAGAGCUGGAGGUAGUACCGCUGUCCCAGCGGUAGUACCGCCCCUGGCCAGCGGUAGUACCGCUCCAAGUUUUUAGUACCGUCAUCUUUGUGAUUGUACUCCGUCGGACAUUUUUGCGAAGACUUUCUUGGCGGUGGUUGGCCUGGUAGUAUCUUUGCGCUACCAUGGGCUCAGCGGUAGUACCGCUGCAGCCAGCGGUAGUACCGCUGGAGGGUUAGCGGUAGUACCGCUAGAGCCAGCGGUAGUACCGUUGGACUCGGGCUGUAAGUGGGGGUAACGGUCUGAUUCCUCCCCCCACUAUAUAAAGGGGGUCUUCUUCCCCCUUGGCCUCAUCCAUCCAUUGAGCUCUUGUUCUACCUCCAUUGUUGACAUUCUUAGAGCUUGCUUACUCUCAAUCCCUCCAAUGAUUCUUGCUUGUUCUUGAGGGAAAAGAGAGAGGAGAUCUAGAUCCACAUCUCCACCAAUCACUUUCUCCUCUAUGUGAGGGGAACCCCUUGGAUCUAGAUCUUGGAGUUGUUUGUGAGCUCCUUGUUCUUCCUCUCAUAUUUCUCCAUAGCUUUCGUUGUUGUGGAGGGAUUUGAUUGUGAGGGACUUGACCACUUCGUGUGUUCUUGCCAUUGCAUUGGUUGCAUCGGUUUGAGUUCUCCACGGUGAUACGUGGAAGUGAAGUUUGAGAAGCUUAUUACCUUUGGUACUUAGUACCCUAGAUAUUGUUCUUCGUGGAUGCUUUGGCGUCCUAGAAGCUUGGUGGUGUCUCGGAGCUCAAUCAUUGUGGUGUGAGGCUCCGGGCAAGCGUCGGGGUCUCCAAUUAGGUUGUGGAGAUUGCCCUGAGCAAUUUGUACGGGUACCGGUAACCGCCCCCAAGGGUUGCCAUGUGUACGGGUUCGGUGACCGCCUCCAAGGUUUGCCAUUUGUACGGGUUCGUUGGCCGCCCUCAAGGGUCCCUUAAUGGAAUCACGACAUCUUGCAUUGUGCGAGGGCGUGAGGAGACUACGGUGGCCUUAGUGGCAUCUUGGGGAGCAUUGUGCCUCCACACCGCUCCAACGGAGAUUAGCAUCCGCAAGGGUGUAAACUUCGGGAUACAUCAUCGUCUCCGCGUACCUCGGUUAUCUCUUACCCGAACCCUUUACUUAUGCACUUUACUUUGUGAUAGCCAUAUUGUCUCUUGUCAUAUAUCUUGCUAUCACUUAGUUGUUUAUCUUGCUUAGCAUAAGUUGUUGGUGCACAUAGGUGAGCCUAGUUGUUUGAGAUUUUGUGCUUGAUAUAUUAAACGUUAGUUUUAUUCCGCAUUUGUUCAAGCCUAAACCUUAAUUAUUUUAAAGCGCCUAUUCACCCCCCUCUAGGCGACAUCCACGUCCUUUCAGAGUGUGUCAUACUGCUACCUUGAGUGUGUCAUACUGCUACCUCUUAAGCUUGCGUUGGUUUUUCCCUUGAAGAGGAAAGGGUGAUGCAACACAGUAGUGAUAACCCACAAGUAUUGGGGAUCACAACCGUUUUUGAGGGUAGAGUAUUCAACCCAAAUUUAUUGAUUCGACUCAAGGGUAAGCGAAAGAAUAUUCUCAAGUAUUAGCAGUUGAGUUGUCAAUUCAACCACACCUGAAAGAUAUAGUGUCUGCAUCAAAGUAUCAGUAGCAAGGUAGGGUGAUAGCACCAGUAGCAACAGAGUAACAGCAGUAGCAACAGAGUAACAGUAGCAGCAACAAAGUAACGUAUCAAGGACCAGUAGUAAAAGACUCGUAGGCAUUGGAUCGGUGAUGGAUGAUUAUGCCGGAUGUGAUUCAUCAUGCAACAGUGAUAACACGGAGAGAUAAGUAACUAGCUCCAGUUCGUCAAUCUAAUGUAGGCAUGUAUUCCGUAUGUAGUCAUACAUGCUUAGGAAAGAAGUUGCAUGACAUCUAUUGUCCAUCGCCUCCCAUGGCAGCGGGGUCCUAAUGGAAACUACGGGAUAUUAAGGUUCUCCUUUUAAUAAAGAACCGGACCANNNNNNNNNNAAACUGGGUGAAUACAUGAACUCCUCAUACUAUGGUCAUCUCCAGGAGUGGUUCCGGCUAUUGUCACUCCGGGGUUGCCGGAUCAUAACACAUAGUAGGUGACUACAACUUGCAAGAUAGGAUCUAAAACACACAUAUAUUGGCGGCAACAUAAUAGGUUCAGAUCUGAAAUCAUGGCACUCGGGCCCUAGUGACAAGCAUUAAGCAUGGCAAAGUAGUAGCAACAUCAAUCUCAGAACAUAGUGGAUACUAGGGAUCAAUCCCCGUCAAAACUAACUCGGUUACAUGAUAGAUCUCAUCCAACCCAUCACCGUACAACAAGCCUACGAUGUGAUUACUCACGAACGGUGAAGAGCAUCAUGGAAUUGGCGAUGAAGGAAGGUUGAUGAUGACGAUGGCGACGAUUUCCCCUCUCCGGAGCCCAGAACGGACUCCAGAUCUGUCCUCCAGAUGAAGAAGAGGAGGUGGCGGCGCCUCCGUAUCGUAAAACGCGAUGAAUCCUUCUCCUUGAUUUUUUCGGGGCAAGGCGGACUAAAUAGAGCUGAGAUUGGAGGCGGUGAAGCAACGUGGGCCCCACAAGCUUGGUAGGCGUGGCCAUGGGGGUUGGCCGCGCCUCCUGGGCUUGUGGCCCACAGGCUCACCUCCUCCAGUGGAUCUUUGCACAGGUAUUUUUCAUUAAUUCCAGAAAAAUUCGACGUAAAUUUUCAGGUCAUUGUAAGAACUUUUAUUUCUACACAAAACAACACCAUGGCAAUUCUGCUGAAAACAGCAUUAGUCCGGGUUAGUUCCAUUCAAAUCAUGCAAAUUAGAGUCCAAAACAAGGGCAAAAGAGUUCGGAAAAGUAGAUACGACGGAGGCGUAUCAACUCCNNNNNNNNNNNNNNNNNNNNNNNNNNNNNNNNNNNNNNNNNNNNNNNNNNNNNNNNNNNNNNNNNNNNNNNNNNNNNNNNNNNNNNNNNNNNNNNNNNNNAAAAAAUCCGACGAACUCGAACUGCAACUAAACGUGGAUGCAACUUUUUAAUGAAUUAAAUAUAGUAAAAAUCAACAACAAUUAUAGCAAAAAUCUUAUCGAUAGUAGUAAAAAAGAUAAUAAUUACAGCAAAAAUGACGUCUCGCAGUAAAAAAAAAAAAGAUACGACGCGCGGGAUCAGACUAUGCAGGCAGGACCGGCCGACGCACCCUCCAGAAUCGUUUCCCUUAUCAAAAAUUUGUAACCAGCCACAACUUCUUUAUUUUGGGACGGAGGGAGUAAAACACACAGCGUAGAUAAGGGCGCGGCGUUCUAUUCUAUUCCUACGGGCGAGGCAUAGGCCUGACGGAGUACAGUCUCCCCUGCAAUAAUUCUAGACGUACGGACCCUUACAGACAAUUACGGACUCUUUCCUUAAAUCUCUUCGCCCCACCCCCUGAUUUCAACCGGGAUGGUCCCGCCUCACUCUCCUUGUUUACAAUCCUGUUAAGCCAACUCAGCCUGUAAUUAGUCCUUGCCCGUAAUUUCCCGUACGUGUAGCGUUACUCGUCUCCCCUGCUAGCCAGGGAAAUGUAAACUCUAUCACUGCUAAAUUUAGACGAAACUGCAAUAUUUACGUUUUCAAGUGACAUCUCUGUAAGGAGAAUUUUUAACUGAGAUUUAGUACCAAAACUAGCAAUGCGAAUUACAAAUCAAGACAGUGUUGCAAACAAUCUGGGUACGGAAUCAGUCAAACCCUGCCAAUACACAACCGCUCCAACAGUUGUAGUAGGCCUGUAAAAUUAAAACUGGAAUGCACAUCCGACAGAUCAUGUUAUGUUUGCACUCAGGUUAUUUCCAAUUUAAGCACGCAACCGAGGUUAGCAAGCUGGAGAUCGGGCCACGAGGCUAGGUCAGCAGAAGCAGGCAAUCGAUCUAGCCGACGCAUCGGCGGCAAGGUUAGCUUCCCCCCGUAUGCGAUUCCCAAAUCGCACGCGCACGCACCAACAGAUCUGAUCGGAACCAACAGGCAAGAACACAUGAUCCCCCCCGGUGAUUUUUCAAAAAGAAAACAGUCUCCCCUGCUGUCCGAAUUUCAGCCCUAAUAGAAUAGACCGAACAGUCAGCAGAACGAACACAUGGGAAGAAGAUUGAACAGCUGCAGAAAGAAAUAGCAGCCUGAACGCUUCAAGAGUCCAACCAUGUGAUCUCCGGUCCAAGUUCAUCAAUUACUAUUUUAUGGAUCUCUUGCCUAGCUCUGAAUUUUUCUUUUGCACCUACUCUAUAUAAAUCAGCCCCUUGCUUGCUCUCACUCAUCACCAGUCUUCACUCUUCACUAGAACUUGCCAGCAGCGCUAGUGUGCAGCGAGCAAGUGACCGACGGACAAGAACAAGAUGGUCGCCGGCUGUGUCAUCACCGAGCAGUGCGCCCUGGCGGUGUCGACGGAGCGACUGUGGAAGGUGGUCUUCUCCGGCGAGGACACGGCCGCCCUGCCCAAGGCCUGCGCGGGCUUCAUCGACGUUGUGGACGUGGAGGGCGACGGCGGACCGGGCAGCGUCUUCACCAUGACGCUCAGCCCGGCGGCGGCGGAGCUGUCAGGCUCGGGCGUGAUGAGGAGCUGCGUGGUGGCGCGCGACAACGCGGCCAGGAUGUUCAAGACGGAGGUGCUGGAGGGCGACAAGGUAAGUGGCCAGCUCAAGUCGCAGGUGGUCGAGAUGAAGCUCGAGGCGUCCGGGGAUGGUGCUUGCGUGGCGAAGCUCAGGGUAGAGUACGAGAGGCUGGACGGUGGCGGGGCGCUGUCGGCGGAGGACCAGGCGGCGCUCGCCGCCGGGUACCUCGACCUGCUCAAGAUGGUCGAGGCAUACCUGGUCGCCCACCCUGCCGAGUACGCCUAAUUAAACCAAAACGAGAAACAUCAGAAAUAAAUCAACUUUCCCUUCGUUCGAAAUUAUUUGUCGCAUAAAUAAAUAAAGUAAUAUGAUCAAGUAGCUUGUGUUGUUUGCCUCCUCAUCGACUUCGCGAGAAAAAUCAAUUGAUAAGCUUUAGUAUAAAUUAUUGAGGUAUAUAUGAGUGUUUAAUCCCUGUUUUAAGCUCGCAUUUCGUGUGUAAGUUGCUUCAAGCAUUGAUGGAGAUAAAUAUUUGAGCAGUUUGGUUUUGUGAUACAUGCACUUCUUUCUUAUCAGUCAAUUCAAAAUUAAAUGACGAGACAAGCCAAACGUAUAAAGGGCAAUAUCGAUCAUGUAACCAUUUUCAUAUGUGUGAUGGACCGUCGAUACCUAUACGCCAUACGUACAAGCUGGCAGAGGAUAAAAAAAAGGUAGGGCAAAUCUGACAUAAAAAGGUUCUGUCACUACAAGUAAUAGCGAUGGACCGAAAGACUAAGUUUUAUUGGGAUGUGAGACAACGAUAGAGCUUGACGUGACUUUAUAACUAAUGCAUUCAACUUUUAUAGGGAAUGCACUCAUAUUUUUGAGUCGAUGCAGUGGAACAUGUGCUUGCAAAAACCAAAUGCCAACUUAAGUGCUAAAUUGAUGGCCAACAACCCAACAGGGCGAGUUCAUACACAGGGCCUCGUUGUAUUUAUCUUAUUUUCCCAGCUAGACCAUGACUAGUUCAAAGAAAACCAUCCAGUCGAACAAGACAUAUACCUGAAUGAACGCCUUUUAGAAAAUCAAGGUGAGGCGGCCGCCCAACCUUGCCUUACCGGCUCCUCCGUCCUUAACGAGCAUACGUUCGGUUUAACCAUGUAUCGGCCCCUCACAAGAAAAAAAAAACAAAAUCUCUGGGCCAAUCCAAUCCAUAGUCGUCAUCACGACUUUGACCAGCAGCCAACAUGAGUCGUCGCCGCCCCCAGCGUCGACCCCGCUCGAGUUCACGUCGUCGUUGGGCUCAUCUACGUCGUCGCACAUGGCGCCAUCCAGCAACCCUGCUCUCACGCGGCACUGUCGUCGUCGCCCUACCCGUCAUUGGAGGUGCGAAGUACACCGUCUUUGGUGCAUUUCCCCGCAAGACGUCAUGUGAUGCACUUUCGCGCUCUUCCAAAUCGUCGACCAAGACGAGGAAGACGUCGAUGCUGAAAUUUUUGGCCAGCCCAAUAUAUAAUUUUAAAAAAUUCCUAAUAAAUCCUAGAGGCCCACGCAGCCCAUUUGUGCAAGGCAAAAUGUUGAAAUGUUUAGUCCCACAUUGCUAGUUUAGUGGGAGUCGGAUCUCCUUAUAAGGGAGGAUGUUUCCACACAUGUAUGAGCUUGAGAACAAGAGAGACAUGCACGCGUGCUCCUCCUCCUCCAUCGCCCGCCGCGCCGCGGGUUGCGGGAAUGAGCCGAACUAAAUUUUUGCCAUGCACGACUGGUAUACGAAAGGUCACUCGGAGAAGCUGAACUCUUCGGCUGUUGUGUGUUCGUUUUGUCUCCGUCGCUGGCCUCUCGCCUCCUUCUCUCGCGUCUAUAAAAGAGAGGUCGCUCCUCUCCAGAGAAGACGCAUCAGAACUUCCUCUCGCCACCGGUUCCUUUCUCUAUGAUGCUGCUACGUUCUUCCCCAUCCCGUCUUGCGACGUGGGAUACGUCUCCGUCGUAUCUACUUUUCCGAACACUUUUGCCCUUGUUUUGGACUCUAAUUUGCAUGAUUUGAAUGGAACUANNNNNNNNNNCGUUGUUUUCAGCAGAAUUGCCAUGGUGUUGUUUUUGUGCGGAAAUAAAAGUUCUCGGAAUGACCUGGAAAUUUACGAAGAAUUUUUCUGGAAUUAAUGAAAAAUACCUGCGCAAAGAUCCACCGGAGGGGGUGAGCCAGUGGGCCACAAGCCCAGACGGCGCGACCACCCCCAAGGCCGCACCAACCAGGCUUGUGGGGCCCACAGGACUCCACCGCCUCCAAACUCAGCUCCAUAUAUUCUGUUUCGCCCGGAAAAAAAUUAGAGAGAAGGAUUCAUCGCGUUUUACGAUAAGGAGGCGCCGCCACCUCCUGUUCUUCAUCUGGAGGGCAGAUCUGGAGUCCGUUCUGGGCUCUGGAGAGGGGAAAUCGUUGCCAUCAUCAUCAUCAACCUUCCUCCAUCGCCAAUUCCAUGAUGCUCUUCACCGUUGGCUUGCUGGACGGUGAUGAGUUGGAUGAGAUCUAUCAUGUAAUCGAGUUAGUUUUGACGGGGAUUGAUCCCUAGUAUCCACUAUGUUCUGAGAUUGAUGUUGCUACUACUUUGCCAUGCUUAAUGCUUGUCACUAGGGCCCGAGUGCCAUGAUUUCAGAUUUGAACCUAUUAUUUUGUCGCCAAUAUACGUGUGUUUUAGAUCCUAUCUUGCAAGCUGUAGUCACCUACUAUGUGUUAUGACCCAGCAACCCCGGAGUGACAAUAGCCGGAACCACUCCCGGAGAUGACCAUAGUAUGAGGAGUUCAUGUAUUCACCAAGUAUUAAUGCGUUGGUCCGGUUCUUUAUUAAAAUGAGAACCUUAAUAUCCCGUAGUUUCCAUUAGGACCCUGCUGCCACGGGAGGGAUGGACAAUAGAUGUCAUGCAAGUUCUUUUUCCUAAGCACGUAUGACUACAUACGGAAUACAUGCCUACAUUAGAUUGACGAACGGGAGCUAGUUACUUAUCUCUCCGUGUUAUAGCUGUUACAUGAUGAAUCACAUCCGGCAUAAUCAUCCAUCACCGAUCCAAUGCCUACGAGUCUUUUACUACUGGUCCUUGCUAUGUUACUUUGUCACUACUGUUGUUUCUUGCUGCUGCUGUCACUACUGCUGUUACUUGUUACUUUGCUGUUACCUGCUGCAAUACUAUUUACUGGCGCCAUUGAUACAACAAGUUACGAAUAGUCUGCCGUCAACAGACCUGUUUCUGGCACCGUUGCUAUCAUACCACUUUGCUACUGAUACUUUGCCUGCAGACACUAAUCUUUCAGGUGUGGUUGAAUUGACAACUCAGCUGCUNNNNNNNNNNNNNNNNNNNNNNNNNNNNNNNNNNNNNNNNNNNNNNNNNNNNNNNNNNNNNNNNNNNNNNNNNNNNNNNNNNNNNNNNNNNNNNNNNNNNUACCAUGGGAUCACUUGAUCCCUCUCGGUACAUCUUGUACGCUUUGUGUGUUGAUCAUCUUGAUUUACUCUUUGUCUGAGAUCUUGAUCAACCAUGUGUCUCUAUGACCAUUCUUUGGAUAAUACCUUGAAUACCAUCUUGGUCAUCAUAUAAACUCCUUGAACCCAACAGAUGGACUUCAAGAAGUGCCUAUGGACAAAUCCUAUAAAUGUAACUUAAGGCAACCAUUAGUCCAUAUGAGUUGUCAUCAAUUACCAAAACCACAUAUGGAGAUAUAUGCUCUAACACACUCAAGGAGAAAGGUUUCAAGCCUGGCUCACUCGAUCCUACUCUUCUUAAUAAAUCAUAUGAAGGUGAACUGUUUGUAUGUCAAAUCUAUCUUGAUGACAUUAUCUUCAGCUAUACUAACAACCGAUAUAGUGAUGAGUUCAAAGGGCUUGAAGUUUGAUCUCAUUGGUUAUUCAAAUUCAUAUUUUGCUGGUGAUAGAGUUGAUCGCAAGUCUACAUGAGGCACAUGUCAAUUUUUGGGUCGAUCUCCUGUAUGUUGGUCUUCGAAGAAGCAAAACUACGUCUCACUCUCCACUGCUAAAGCUGAAUACAUUGCUGUUGGCGCGUGUUGUACACAACUUCUAUGGAUCAAGCAAACUCUCAAGGACUAUGGCAUCAACGAUAAGAAAGUACCACUCUACUACAAUAAUGGGAGUGCUAUCAAGAUUGCCUACAACACUCGGAGACAAAGUACAUUCACACACGACAUCAUUCUCUUCGUGACCUUGUGUUGAAGGGAGACAUCAUCAUCGAACUUCUGAAGUGAGAGGAGCAAUUGGUUGAUAUCUUCACGAAGCCUUUGCAUGAGAGGAGUGUCAGUUAUGAAUCUGGCAUAUCUCGUAGUAGUGUCCCUAAGCUAGGCCUCUUGGAGCGAUGGUAGCAUGGACACAUGAUUUACAUAGGUUCGGGCUCCCUCGUACAGAUAAUACCCUACGUACUGCUUUCGAUUAUAUUGAUAUGGGGAUAGUACAUAGUACAUUUAUCUACCACGAGAUUGUUGUAAUGAAUAUGAGAUCAUCUACUGACUAGCCUGGCUUCGGUUUAUAUAAUUUAACAGAGGCCUAGGGUCUAGAGAGUCCUUGUCUUGUGCGCCAAGUCUUGUGGAAUCUCCCUUGUAUGCAUCAUGUGCUUCCCAAAGAGGACCAUUAGUGAACUGUCGUGGGGGUCCUCGGCCCGACCUACCGGGAGACGACGUGGUGUGUACUAACUAGUCCAGGACUCCGUUAGUAGCCCCCUGAACCAGUUUUCAAAUAGGGGACGCUCCUCAGUUCUUCCGAACAAUUCUUCGUCUUCGCCUGUCGGUCUUUGAAAGGCGGUUCAAUAGAUCUUCCCAUCUCCGAUCUUGAGGAUUGAUGACCUGUAUCCGAAGAGUUUACAUGUCGGGUAUCCGAGGAGUUCGCACAUCGAGCGUCCGAGGAGUUCAAGCGUCGAGCGUCCGAGGAGUUCAAGCGUCGAGCGUCCGAGGAGCCCUUUUUAUUUCUUGGGCUUUAUAAAUGCCUUGUUAUUUUUACACCACAUUUCAGGUCUCAAUGUUUUCCCCAUGCAGUGGUGUCCUCUUGCAUCUGAGCUUCACUGAUGGACUACAUCUGAGGUGUCAUUUUUGGCAGCCAAGCUCUAACUCUGGUCGACACCCGAGGGAUCAUAGAUUACCUUGAUCUUGAAAAAGUUCAAGGAGUUCAGUUGAUCUUAAUGCUGGAAACGUCAUCUACGGAACCAGCCACUCACAUUCAUGCUUUAUGCUAGACUGAUUCCGAGAUCAUCAAGGAGUGAAUAUCUGAUUUUUGUAACAUCCUUUAUGGAACCACCUCGGCCUUCGCUAUGUUUUGCAGAGUUUUUUUCGAUCGGGGCAAUUUAUUCAAUAUCGAGAUGUAUAGCCAGUAACCCCCGAGUCACUGUUUGGGAGGUAACACGUGAUCAGGGGAUCAAUGUACCCCUUUAAUUGAGAAGAGAAAAUCCCAAUUAAAUGUUGGGUACUCUAAUGAUUCUAUGUAUUCAAGUACUUUACAUCAUUAACGCUCAGAUCUGUAUUGUACAAACUUUGUUGACCGACCAUCAGCUUCAACCUCCUCGACCAAUAGCCGGGGAAUGUUUUCGUACUUUAUAAAUCCUUUAUGAGGGCAAAAGUUUAUGGAAAACAAGGUAAUCUGGUCAUACAUUUUUAUAAACAAAGGUACACCAAGAGAUAUGUUAUAUUAGUUUUUAACAUAAGAAACAUGUUGUGGGAAAAUAGUUCAUUUAUAAGUUCUUUUCUCUAGGCUAUCAUGUUGACUGUGAGCAUGAAAUCUCACCUUCGAUCAAUGUGGGAGGAAAGUAUGUGACCAUGCUGAGGUGCCUCAAGGAUCCCUUGGUAUGUGAUACGUCUCCAACGUAUCUAUAAUUUUUGAAGGUUCAAUGCUAUUAUCUUGUCAACUUCGGAUGUUUUAUAUGCAUAAAUAUGCUAUUUUAUAUCUUUUUGGGACUAACCUAUUAACUCGGUGUCAAGUGCCAGUUUCUGGUUUUUUUCGUGUUUUUGGCCCAUUUUCACAUGGAGUCCAAAUGGAAUGAAACUUUACGAUGAUUUUUUUGGACCAAAAGAGACCCCCGAAGCUUUGGGAGAAGGCCAGAUGGGCCACGAGGGAGUCACAAGCCCUCACGCCGCCACCCCCCACCCCCGAUGGUGGCGAGCACGCUUGUGACCUCCUCAUGGGCCCAACUGACGCAAUUCCACCGCCAUAAAUUCCUAUAAAUUCAGAAACCCCCAAAAAGAAACCUAGAUCGGGAGUUCCGCCACGGCAAGCCUCUGUAGCCACCAAAAACCAAUCUGGAGCCCGUUUUGGCACCCUGCCGGAGGGGGAAUCCAUCUCCGGUGGCCAUCUUCAUCAUCCCGGCGAUCUCCAUGACGAGGAGGGAGUAGUUCUCCCUCGGGGCUUAGGGUAUGUACCAGUAGCUAUGUGUUUGAUCUCUCUCUCUCUCUCUUGUGUUCUUGAGAUGUCUUGAUCUCGAUGUACCAUGGGCUUUGCUACUAUAGUUGGAUCUUAUGGUGUUCUUCCCCCUCUCCCUCUUGUAAUGAAUUGAGUUUCCCCUUUGGAGUUAUCUUAUCGGAUUGAGUCUUUGAGAACACUUGAUGUAUGUCUUGCAAGUGUCUAUCUGCUGUGAUCACCUUGCGGGUUUGUGAAAAUUGGGAACCUAUGCAUAUGUUGGCACACGUGGAUUCAUGUGAGUACUUGAUGUAUGUUUUGGUGAUCAACUUGCAGGUUCGUGACAUUGGGAAUCUAUGCACAGGGGUUGGCACACGUUUUGACUCUCUAGUAGAAACUUUGGGGCACUCUUUGAAGUUCUAUGUGUUGGUUGAAUAGAUGAUUUUGAGAUUAUGUGAUGCAUAUCGUAUAAUCAUGCCCACGGAUACUUGAGGUGACAAUGGAGUAUCUAAGUGACAUUUGGGUCUUGGUUGAUAUGUAUCUUAAGGUGUUAUUCUAGUACGAACUCUUGAAUAGAUCGAUGAGAAAGAAUAAAUUUUUGGUGGUUUCGUACCCGAAAAUAAUCUCUUCGUUUGUUCCCCGCUAUUAGUGACUUUGGAGUGACUCUUUGUUGCAUGUUGAGGGCUAGUUAUAUGAUCCAAUUAUGUUAUCAUUGUUGAGAGAACUUCACUAGUGAUAGUAUGAACCCUAGGCCUUGUUUCCACGCAUUGCAAUACCGUUCGUGCUCACUUUUACCAUUUGUUACCUUGCUGUUUUUGUAAUUUCAGAUUACAAAAACCUAUAUCUACCAUCCAUAUUGCACUUGUAUCACCAUCUCUUCGCUGAACUAGUGCACCUAUACAAUUUACCAUUGUAUUGGGUGUGUUGGGGACACAAGAGACUCUUUGUUAUUUGGUUGCAGGGUUGCUUGAGAGAGACCAUCNNNNNNNNNNAUAUAUCUACCAUCCAUAUUGCACUUGUGUCACCAUAUCUUUGCCGAACUAGUGCACUUAUACAAUUUACCAUUGUAUUGGGUGUAUUGGGGACAAAAGAGACUCUUUGUUAUUUGGUUGCAGGGUUGCUUGAGAGAGACCAUCUUCAUCCUACGCCUCCUGCGGAUUGAUAAACUUUAGGUCACCCACUUGAGGGAAAAUUGCUACUGUCCUACAAACCUCUGCACUUGGAGGCCCAACAACGUCUACAAGGAGAAGGUUGCGUAGUAGACAUCAAGCUCUUUUCUGGCUCCGUUGCCGGGGAGGCUAGGUAAGCGGCACUAACAUCCCGUCAAUGAAGCUCUUUUCUGGCGCCGUUGCCGGGGAAGCUAGGUAAGCGGCACUAACCUCCCGUCAACGAAGCUCUUUUCUGGCGCCGUUGCCGGGGAGGUUAGAGCUUGAAGGUAUAUCUAUAGAUCUUGCAAUCGAAUCUUUUUGUUUCUUGUUCUUUCGCUGAAAAUUACAAAACAUGGAAUUGAGGAUGCCUCAUAUGCUCCAUCUUUUCAAUGUCUUUCGUGAGCAUGAUGGGAAGGAAAAUUGUGCUCAAGUGCUGAAAGAAGAAUUACAUAGAAUGCUUGGCAUAGAAUAUGUGAAUGAUGAGCAAGAUUGCAAUGUUGUUAGCAUGAAUUCUAUGAAUACCCAUGAUGCUAAUGAUAUGCAAAGCCACAAGCUUGGGGAUGCUAUAUUUGAUGAAGACGAUCUUUUUAGUUCUUCCACUUUGAAUGAUCAAAAUUAUUUUGAUGAAAGCAUGCCCCCUAUCUAUGAUGAUUAUUGUGAGGAUACUUAUGCUUUGAAGAAGAGGGAUGAUAAAACUUGUCAUACUCUCGAGAACCCCUUUGCUAAACCUUGCUUUUUCAUUGUGGACAUAAUUUGUAGUGCUCAAGUCUUUUACGAUACUCCCACCACUAUUCUUGAGAAUAGAUUUCCUUAUGUGGAGAGUAGUAAAAUUUCUAUGAUUGUAGAUCAUGAAAAGAAUGCUUUAGGUGCUGGUUAUAUUGUUGAAUUCAUUCAUGAUGCUACUGAAAAUUACUAUGAGAGAGGAUCAUAUGCUUCUACUUAUUGCAAUAGUAUCAAGCUUCCUCUCCAUAUGUUGAAAUUUUUGAAGCUAUGCUUGUUUUGCCUUCCUAUGCUAGUUGAUUCUUGCUCCAAUAAAUUGUUUGAUCACAAAAUCCCUAUGCAUAGGAAGUGGGUUAGACUUAAAUGUGCUAGCCAUUUGAUCCAUGAUGCUCUCGUUGUGUUUCAAUCCUUACCUUUUAUGUGAGCAUCAUUGAAAUCAAUGCCUAGCUAAGGGUUUUAAACGAUAGCGCUUGUUGGGAGGCAACCCAAUGAAUAAAUUUUUCUUUGCUUUUUGCUUCCUGUUUUGUUUUCUCCACACCAUCAUAAUUCUGUUAUGAUUGUGUCUUUUGUGUUUUUGCCAAGCAAAACCGUUAUGAUUAGUCUUGGGGAUGAUCGUUUGGUCAUGCUGGAAAAGACAGAAACUUUCUACUCACGAAAAGAAUUUUAUUUUUUUUCUGUAAAAGCUUUUAAGUUGAUUCUUUUUGCUUCUGAUUGCUACACAAAUACUUGAGACUGUCGGAAGUUUUCUGAAUUGUUGAAGUACCAGAGGUAUACGAAAUAUACAGAUUUCUACAGAGUGGUCUGCUGUUAACAGAUUCUGUUUUUGUUGUGUUGGUUGCUUAUUUUGAUGAAACUAUGGAUAGUAUCGGAGGGUACUAGCCAUGGAAAAGUGAAAAUACAGCAACCCAACACCAACAUAAGUAGAAUUUAAGUUUGCUAUAGUACCUAAGGAAGUGGUGAUUUUCUUUCUUAUACUAAUGAUAUCACGAGUUUCUGUUUAAGUUUCGUGUUGUGAAGUUUUCAAGUUUUGGGUGAAGUUCUUAUGGACAAAGAGAUAAAGAGUGGCAAUCAAGCUUGGGGAUUCCCAAGGCACCCCAAGAGAUUCAAGGAUGCCUUAAAAGCCUAAGCUUGGGGAUGCCCCGGGAAGGCAUCCCCUCUCUCGUCUUCAAUCCAUCGGUAACGUUACUUGGGGCUAUAUUUUUAUUCACCACAUGUUAUGUGUCUUUGCUUGGAGCAUCUUGUAUCGUAGGAGUCUUUUAUUUUUGUUGUGUCACAAUCAUCCUUUCUGCACACCUAGAGAGAGAGACAUGCACUCACCAUGAUUUUGUCGAGCUUCACUUAUAUCCUUUGGUAGACAAUUCAGCUCACAUGUGCUUCACUUAUAUCUUUUGAGCUAGAUACUUUUGCUCUAUGUGCUUCACUUAUAUCUUUUAGAGCGCAGUGGUGCGUAGCUUGGUAGUUGAUCUAUGCUUUGAAAGUAGUCUCAAAAUGGGUAGUUAUCCAAAGGGAUACGAAAACUUCCACCUUCAUGUGCAUUGAAUAGUUAGAGAAGUUUGGUUCAUCUCAAUUAGUUUUGAGUUGUGGUUUUGGUAAUAUUGAAGUCAUGCUAGUAAGGUGUUGUGGAUCUAGAAAUACUUGUGUUGAAGUUAGUGAUUCCCGUAGCAUGCACGUAUGGUGAACCGCUACGUGAUGAAGUCUAAGCAUGAUUAGUCUUUUGAUUGUCAUCCUUUGCGUGGCGGUCGGGAUCGCGCGAUGGUUUAUACCUACCAACCCUUCCCCUAGGAGUAUGCGUUGAAUGCUUUGUUUCGAUUACUAAUAAAACUUUUGCAACAAGUAUAUGAGUUCUUCUUGACUAAUGUUGAGUCCAUGGUUUAGAUCCACUUUCACCUUCCACCAUCACUAUCUUCUUAGUGCCGUGCAACUUUCGCCGGUGCAUAAAACCCACCAUUAGCCUCCCUCAAAACAGCCACCAUACCUACCUACUAUGGCUUUUUCAAAGUCAUUCCAAGAUAUAUUUCCAUGCAACUACCACCAUGACAUGUGCCAUCACGUCUACAUUGCUAUUGCAUGAUCAUAAGAUAGCUAGCAUGAUGUUUCCAUUAAUGUCUAUGCCAUGCUAGAUCAUUGUCACGGUACACUACCGAAGGCAUUCCAUAUAGAGUCAUCAUUGCUCUAAGUUUUGAGUUGUAAGUGUGAUGAUCAUCAUUGAUGGAGCAUUGUACCAUGUGAGGAAAUAAAAGAGGCCGGCGAUACCCAUAUACAAAAAAGAGGCCAAAGAUUCCCACCAAAAAAAAGAGGCCAAAGAGCCCACCAAAAAAAAUGAGAGAAAAAGAGUGAAGGGACAAUGCUACUAUCUCCUUUCCACACUUGUGCAUAGUAAGCACCAUGAUCUUCAUGAUUGAGAGUCUCUCAUUUUGUCACCAUCAUAUAGCUAGUGGGAAAUUUUCAUUAUAUAACUUGGCUUGUAUAUUCCAAUGAUAGGCUUCCUCAAAAUUGCCUUAGGUCUUCGUGAGCAAGCAUGUUGGAUGCACACCCACUAGUUUUCCUUAAGAGCUUUCACAUACUCUUAGCUCUAGUGCAUCAUUUGUAUGGCAAUCCCUACUCAUUCACAUUGAUAUCUAUUGAUGAGCAUCUCCACAGCUCAUUGAUAUGCCUAGUUAAUGUGACCAUCUUCUCCUUUUUUUGUCUUGCAACCUCCACCACACUCCACACCAUCUAUAGUGCUAUAACCAUGGCUCACGCUCAUGUAUUGCGUGAGAGUUGAAAAGGUUUGAGAAAGUAAAGGUGUGAAACAAUUACUUGGCCAAUACCGGGGUUGUGCAUGAUUAAAUUCGUUGUGCAAUGAUGAUAGAGCAUAGCCUGACUAUAUGCUUUUGUAGGGAUAACUUUCUUUUGGCCUUGUUAUUUUGAAAGUUCAUGAUUACCUUGCUAGUUUGCUUGAAUUAUUAUUGUUUCCACGUCAAUAGCAAACUAUUGUUUUAAAUCUAACGGAUCUGAACAUUCAUUUCACGUGAGAGAAGUUACAAAAGACAACUAUGCUAGGUAGCAUGCAAAAUCAAAAAUUCAUUCUUUAUCACUUCCAUGCUAUUAUCUUGUCAACUUUGGAUGUUUUAUAUGCAUGAAUAUGCUAUUUUAUAUCUUUUUUGGGACUAACCUAUUAACUCAGUGCCAAGUGCGAGUUUCUGUUUUUUUCGUGUUUUUGGCCCAUUUUCCGACGGAGUCCAAAUGGAAUGAAACUUUACGAUGAUUUUUUUGGGACCAAAAGAGACCCCCGAAGCUUUGGGAGAAGGCUAGAUGGGCCACGAGGGAGUCACAAGCCCUCACGCCGCCACCCCCCCCCCCCCCNNNNNNNNNNCGCGAAUUGAUAAACCUUAGGUCACCCACUUGAGGGAAAAUUGCUACUGUCCUACAAACCUGUGCACUUGGAGGCCCAACAACGUCUACAAGGAGAAGGUUGCGUAGUAGACAUCAUUAUGGUUUACUUUGACUCCAUUGCGACUACUUAUAAUCUGAAAGUGACCCAUCACCAACUUCCACCCCUUUGUAGAUGCUACGCAGGGUGUUUUCAUACUAUCAAGACAACCCUUAGCCGACGUCUCGGUGCUCGGAGGCUGUUGUGUUAGUGGAAACAAGGAAAUCAGAAAUUCGGGAUUUAUAACUUCACUUUGUCAUGGGAGCUUAUGUUCGGGGGCAAAUUAAUAGCCUCCGGUAUAUGUCGACUCCUCAGAUCAUUUGAGGUCGAACCACCAACAACUUGGCCUUCUCAAGGAAGAGAGGCCCUUCAUUUUACUCGGAUAACCUUGAUGAACUAUAUUUGGUGUAACACCGCGUGUAGUUUCCUAACUGAUGUAUGCAUGUUGUGAUAGUCAAAUUUCGGCUUUCUCCAAGUGAGGCACUUAAUCGAAGUGGUUCUCCCUUUACCUCCUUGGCCGAACUAAGCGGAAACGUAAGGGGUAAGCACAGGAGAUGAGCAAUCCAGCUAUUAACUAAAGACACAACUUGAAAUCAAUGCAUAUAAGUGCAAAAUACUGAGGAUGUUUUGCUGGGGACUUCAUGGAGUACUUUGGCUUUUGGUGGGUUCGGCUCUAGUCGCAGCCCCCUGUUAAAAUAGCCGAUAAUUUUAAGGCAUUUGGCGUUGUAUUGCGAUAGUUAUGCUUGGAAAAACCAAAAAAAUUGUGUAAAAAAUCUAUGUCUAAAUAGAAUCAAGUUUGUUGGUGCAAAUACGAAUUUGGUCUUAAAAAAAUAUGAGCUUCCGUUGUGCUUUGUCAUGACUCAUCCGAUCUCUAGACUUCAAGCGGGUCAGCCUUCGGCUUCAACCUCCCUUCCCAAAGGCGAAGUGCUUCUGAGGCCAGUUUAGCAAACUAAACUUGAUCGGCUCUAGAGAGAAAUCAGGUUGUCUCACUAUUUGACCAUAGGCUCGAGUCGAAAAAGGAGUAGCACAGAAAGACUUUGCAACGACUAGGAAGAGAACACUUUAAAAUAAGGCACAUAAAAGUUUGUGAUCCCUAGUUAACUUGAGGAGAGAAAGUUGUUUUUAAUAAACUACAUUUUUAACAAACAAUAUUUUUGUUUUAAAAUAUAAUGCUUGGUUGAACCAAGCAAAAAAAUUGAAAAAUUGAAAAACUGAAAAUAAUUGAGCAUGAAAGCAACUUAGCUGAUUAAUGUGUUCGGUGAUGAUGAUGUGGUCCGAGUUUGCGGGGGUCGAGGUCCUGCCCCCCAAGCCGGUCCCGAGGUGCCCGAGCGAAGAGCUCGACUUGAUGAAGUAACAACACAAUGCUACCGAAGUGGCAGUGAAGCCCCCUUCCAGCACAGGUGAUGCGCCAGGUUGACAAUAUAACUUUGGCUGACGAAGGCGAGGCGACAACGUGAGCAUGCCGAGGUGACCGCGUGACGCAGCCGAAGUUGAUUACCUACACUCAUGAAGUAGGACAAGCUAAAUAAUAAUAAGAAAAUAAAUAAAAAUUAUUUGUAGAAUUAUUUAUGUGAAAUAAAUUAUUUAGAAGAGAUGUGGCUUGGCGCGAUGCCGAUGUUGACACACACGGUCGGCACAACGAGGUAUAAAAUCCGAAUUCGAUGGGUCAUCGAAAUUUGUGCUAGGGUGACUACAGAAAUUGGUCCAUGGAGGUGGGGCAACGACGUCGGUACACCAGGGUGACAAUGAUAUCCGGUCUAAAUCCUUUAUCUGCACAUCUCAAAUAAUGCAAGCCAGAGAUAAUAAUAAUAUUUUUUACGUAAUAUUACACAGAGUAUGAAUAAUAAAACAAACAUGGCUUCCGUGUAGCAUAAGUAGAAUCAAGAACACUGUGAUGUCGAUGCAGAUAAGAGUCCGUUGGUUCAGCAGAAAUAACUUGGUUGAUGUCAUGUAGCUUGACAACUCGUGCCUGCUACCGUGGGGCGAAAGAUACUCUACCGAAUCACAACAACGAAGCUGGUUUCCCGAGGUGUCAGAUUAAAAUUGUGUCGACUGACGCAGGAGAGUUCGCAGCGAUCUCAGGUUAAUAAACACAAGCAAAGGAUGAGAGGCAUAGUUUAUCCAUAAGAUCUCGUAAUGUGUGCUGCAACCUAGCAUUCAAUUAACCUAAAUAAUAACGCCCACAUGUGCGGCACGAGGCAACAUGGUCCACACGCCUCUAUAAUCAUUCAUCUUGCCACAUCAAACAUAUGACAUCAGCGAAACCUUUUUGGACUUUUAGAUUUAAAAAUGUUUAAUCUCUUAAAUAAAAACCCCAAUUAAAAAUUUAUUUACACCAUUAAAUCCGUCUCGACGAGAUCUUUAAAACUAGAUACCAUAUUGAUAUGUUUCGACGAUAUUUUUUGGGGGCUACAAGUUGCCACAUGUUUACACUAAAGUUGCCAUAGGGUUUACAAUAAAGUUGCCACGACAUGUUUCAUCUUGUUUUUUCUUCUAGAUUUAAAGCUACCAUUGUAUUUGAACUACUUUUCAUGGUCUUUUUUAUUAAUUCGUCAUGACAAAUUUUAGUAAUUAACCAUGACAAAUUUAAUUCAUGAAUCAUGGAAACUUUUGGUAAUUCAUCAUGUCAAAUUGAGUCUAUAGAUCAUGGCAAUUCUAGUAUUUUGAACACGAAAAACAUUUUUUGUAUGAAUCAUGGCAAAUUUUAGUGCAUGUAUCAUGGAAAAUUUAAGUAAUUCAGCAUGGCAGUUUUAGUUUAUUGUUAAUGGCAAAUUUGAGUCAAUGACCAUGCAUUUUUAAAAUAACUAGCGACAUUUAUUUUUUACUUAUGAACCAUGUCAAAAUUAUUUCAUGGAUCAUGGAAAAUUUAGUAAUUCAUCAUAGCAAGUUUAGUUUGUCAAUUUCCUUUUUUAUAACAUGUAAAAGUUUAUUUUGAACAUAGAAGAAAAAGUAGUUAAAAUAUAUCAUGGCAACUUCAGCGUAAUCAUGAUGGCAAUUUUUGUGCAAUAGAAAUGGCAACUUUUAACCCCAAAAAUGUCGUCAAAAUAUAUCAAUACGAGAUCUAAUUCCAAGAUCUCGUUGCGGCGGAUUUAAUGGUGAAAACGGUUUUCCAAUUGAAUUUUUUAUUUAAGAGAUAAAACAUUUUACAAACUAAAAAGGCAAAAGAUUCUUGUUGACAUCAUCAGUUUCGUCACUUGUGCAUGCAUGCGGUGAUGUAUCACAACCUCUCAUCAUUGAGAGUGUGGGCUCUUGUUACUCCUAUCACACAUGUGGGCGUUAUCGCCACCCUUAAUUGAUGCAUUAGUACUCGUCUACGCUUGCAUCAACAGAAAUUAAUGGCCUCACAUCGACAAUCUUGAUAAUUCAGAAAAAAUAAAGGAGAAAAAGGAAAGAAUAUCCCUGAUGUGUGCUCUCAUCGAUCCGAGUUCCUCCCAUCACACUGCUUAACUACUCCGCAUGGUCUCCUCGGCUGGAUCGCCCAUCGGCUGUAUUGCAAAGUCCGAACAGCGGGCACCACCGUUGUUGAACUUUUUUUGAUCCGAUCAUACUACAAACAACAUAGCACGAUACGGCAGCAACGGUUCUGCAAAAGAAAUAAUUUAUGUGGAAUAGACCUAAUUGAAAAAGCAUCACUUGAUUAUCCCAUCGAACCAUGACGAUCACCCAACAUGCUCUCAAUGAAAACACCAAUAUCGGUUAUCAAUCUGGCAUAUCUUGUAGUAGGGGACCUCAGCUAGGCGUCUUGGAGCGAUGAUAACAUGGAAACAUGAUUUUACCCAGGUUCAGGCCCCCUCGAGGAUAUAAUACCCUGCAUCCUGCUUUUGAUUAUAUUGAUAUGGGGAUAGUACAUAGUACACGUAUCUACCACGAGAUUGUUGUAAUGAAUGUGAGAUCAUCUAUGGACUAGCCUGGCCUCAGUUUAUAUAACGUACUACGUGCCUAGGGUUUAGAAGAGUUCUUGUCUUGUGCGCCAAGUGUUGUGGAAUCUCCCUUGCAUGCAUCAUGUGCUGCCCGAAGUGGUCCAUUAGCAAACCGCUAGCCUUAACAUACAAACCAUACCUUCUACAUGAUGAUGUGCUUUCUCGUCCUAGCUACUCCCGUUGCUAAGUUUUUUGCUCUCCGAAAAGUCUUGAUUUAUUUAUGUGAAAGAAGGAAUGGGACUUCAUCGGGUAUAGCAUCAACAUGGUUUUGAUCAUCUAGAAACCUCACAAAAAACCAUACUACACGAGAUUUAUCUAAUUUCACAUUGAAAUGAGAAUCCGAGUAGAAUCGAGUCUCGAGUCUUAGCCUACGGUAGCAGCCACCCAUGGUUAAGAAUUGCUUUGCCGUUUCCCAACCCUGAAACAAAUAAAUCUCCUCAAGCGUAUUCUUCCCGAAGCACCUUUUCCUUGUUUCAUCCUUUCUCUUCUAAUGUUGAAGCAGCACUCUUUUUUGCAUAGUUAUGGUCGAACACGUAGGGCUCUUCCUUUGAACCAAACAUCACUGCAAUUAUCUUCCAAUGCCUAUCCAAUAUUUCUUGCUGAUAUUCAGCUUGCCCAAUAUCUUCAUCAUCAUCACUCACCGUGUCAACUGCCCACUAGGAGCACUGCCAACCUCCUAUGCAAAAUUAGAAAUAAACAUAUGUAAGUUGUUGUCACUCGGUUGUUAUAUCAUUCCCUGCCAUACAAAUUAUUCACUAUACUUGGCUCGCGUCAUCAACAUAAGAUUCGUCGAGAUCGUUCUGCCCAUUGUCAACAUCAACGUCUACGUGUAGAGCUUUAAAAGUAAGACAUGUAAGUUCCGAGUUGCUUGUUAAAAAAACUAUCAACAAAUGCGUCACUUACAUUAGCACUCUCGGCUUUGGCCUCACUGAUAUGGGUGUCUUCGGGAGGUAGGUUUUCAUAUGACAUCCAAGAUUAAUUCUAACUAGUAGAUUCAUAGCCAGCAUAUCCGAUUUGAUGCUCCAUCCAAACACCUUCAAAUGGAGUCCCGGAGCAAUCUAAACACCGCACAACAAUAUCAGUGACAUAUUCCAUUCAAAUACAAAAUCGAUGAUGUCCUAUGAGGAACAAAAUAAUAUGUCCAAAAGCAAAUUUUAUGUUAGAAACCACUGUUAAGAUGAUUUUUUCGGCACCAUAUCAAUGUGCGCAAAGGGACCACCAAAUGGUUAAGUUAUAUAAACAAAGUAGUGGUUUUUUUGGCACCAUUACAAUAUGCACAAAAAACAGGGGUGCCAAGAUCAAACCUUCUGUUGAUUAAGUUCCAACGUAGGCCGGGGGUCGAUUGUUAGAAAUAUGAGCAAUUUACCAUAGGAUUUUAUUAAAAGAAAAGCUAGGAUAAACAUGACCAUCAUAAUAAAGAUGAAAGAAGAAAAUGCAAAAUAGAGAUGAGAUGACAAAAGACAUGUGCACAUAUGAUCUAGAAAAGAACAUAUGUGUAACCAUUCUAUAUACACAAGGUAUCAUAUGGAGUGAUGAGCAGAAACGGAACAUAUCUAGAAGUGAAACUAUAGUAAGAAGUUGCGGUAGGAACUCAAAGAAAAAGAACAUGAGUACAUACUAAGUUGUAGCAGCAGUAGGGUUGGUGUUGGCGUUGGGCAUGUUACCGAAGAGGUGGUCGACGUCGGGGAAGCAGUCGUCGUCCGGGAAGAGAUUGUCGGUGUCCGUGAUGGAAGCCAGUAGUCGCGCUGAGCGCUCCCCAAAAACCUUAUUGCCCUUCUCCCCUACAUGACUCAAAGAGACGGAGUUUCGGAGGCCUACUGUCCCGACCUACGGUGCAAGCCGCAAGACGGGAUGGGAAAGAACGUAGCAACAACACAGAGAAAGGAACCGGUGGCGAGAGCAAGUUCUGAUGCGUAUUCUUUGGAGAGGAGUGACCUCUCUUUUAUAGACGCAAGAGAAGGAGGCGAGAGGCCAGCGACGGGAGCCGAAGAGAUCGAGGGAGCCGAAACGAACAGACAGCAGCCGAAGAGUGUAGUGUUCGCUUCCAAUAUCCACUACAGCAAAAAAAACGUUCAGCUUCUCCGCGUGACCUUUCGUAUAACAGUCAUGCGUGGCAAAAAUUUAGUUCGGCUCAGCUCAUUCCCGCAACCCACGGCGCGGCACGACGAGACGGGUGGCGGCGGAGGAGGAGGAGGAGCACGCAUGUUUGUCUCUCUUGUUCUCAAGCUCAUACAUGUGUGGAAACAUCCUCCCUUAUAAGGACAUCCAACUCCCACUAAACUAGCAAUGUGGGACUAAACAUUUCCACCUCUUGCCUUGCACAAAUAGGCUGCAUGGGCCCCUAGGAUUUAUUAGGAAUUUUCUGAAAUUAUAUAUUGGGCUGGCCAAAAAUUCCAACAAUCCCUCACCAGAUCCGAGAGGCACACAAAAUUUUCCUUUGGUUCCAAAACACUGUUUUAUAUACUGAUAUUGCAGUGGAGACUGUUAAGUUGAACUUCCACCUAGAACUCUAUGCUACACCAGUAGGCAACUUUAAAAGUGGACUAGGCCUUGAACUGCAAGUUUUCUGCGAAUCUAGCUUCACACUGAGCCUUGAUCGAUACUAGGCUAGCGUGGGACUUCCCCUGGGUGGAGCUUAUGCGUCAUACUCCGAGACCUUUCAUGAGUUUACUAGAGAGCACCCUACUCUCAUAGAUAGCGACGUUAACAAUCGGACUCAUAUAGGUAUGUUCUUCAAAAGAUGUUCUGCAGGACAACAUCUCUUCUUCAAUAAGCCACUUAGAACAUAUUAAGAUGUAUAUCAACCUGCCAUGCAGUUUAAGAAAGUAUUGCAUCUUCAUGGAGUGGUAUUAUCAAUGAUAAGGAUACUUUCCUCUCGGCUGAUCAAUAGCUUGUCUUCCACAUCUAAUUCACGGGAUCUCCGAUCACAAAGAAUAGGUUACCACUGUGAACAACUCAAAUUGUGGGUCUCAUACCCAUCUCCCUCGAUGCAUUAUCUAUCACAUUACGUGAUAGACCCUUAGUAAAAGGAUCUACCAGAUUUUAGGAUGUUUGGAUAUAAUCCAAUGCAAUAACUCCGGAGUUUCUCAUUUUCCUGACAGAUUUUAACCUUCUCUGAACGUGUCUUGAUGAUUUCAUGUUAUCCUUUGAGCUGCUCACUUUUGUGAUCACAGUUUGAUUGUCGCAGUUCAUAAGGAUACCCGGUACAGGUUUCUCGACAACUGGGAAGUCACUCAAGAGCCGGCAAAGUCAAUCUACUUCGACCGUAGCUGUAUCUAGUGUUGUGAGUUCUGCUUCCAUUGUUUACCUUGUUAAGAUCGUUUGCUUGCAAGACUUUCAAGAAACAACUACACCUCCAUGAGUGAAUACAUAUCCGCUCGUGGCAUUUAUCUCAUCAGCAUGAGAGAUCUAGUUUGAAUCACUAUACCCUUCAAGCACCUUUGGGUGUCCAGUAUAGUGAAUUCCAUAAUUUGCAGUGCCUUUUAAAUAACGCAAAACUCUCUCUAGAGCUUUCCAAUGCACAUCUCCUGGUUUUGAGACAAACCGACUCAGUUUGCUAACAUCAAAAGAGAUGUCAGGUCUUGUAGCACUGGCUAAGUACAUAAGCGAGCCAAUAAUCUGAGAAUAUUUCAAUUGGUCUCUAGCAAUUUUUCGAUUCUUUCGAAGCAGCACGCUCGCAUCAUAUGGUGUGGGAGAGGACUUGCAGUCACUAUACCCAAAGAGACUCGAGAUCUUUUCCAUAUAGUGAGAUUGAAGCAACGUGAUCCCACCAUCUUCGUUUCUCAACAACUUGAUGUUCAGAAUGACAUCAGCCACUCUUAAACCCUUCAUCUCAAAAUAGUGAUAUAGGAAAUCCUUGACCUCUUUAAUAACAUUCAGAUUUGUUCCGAAAAUCAGUAUGUCAUCAACAUACAAGCAAAGGAUAACUACCUCGCCCCCACCAUGGCGAUAGUACAUACAUUUAUCAGCUUCGUUUACAACAAAGCGUGCAGUUGUUAGAGUUCCUUCAAACUUCUCAUGCCACUGCUUGGGUGCUUGCUUAAGUCCAUAUAAAGACUUCAGCAACUUGCAUACUUUUCCUUCCUGACCAUCUACUACAAACCCAUCUGGUUGUUCCAUGUAAAUUUCCUCAUCCAACUCUCCAUUUAGGAAAGCAGUCUUAACAUCCACUUGAUGAACCAGAAGACCAUGUGAGGCGGCUAGUGAAAGUAGUACUCGAAUAGUGGUCAGUCGAGCCACAUGUGAGUAAGUAUCAAAGAAGUCUUCGCCUUCCUUUUGGGUAUAACCCUUAGCCAUGAGCCAUGCCUUGUACUUUUUGAUAGUACCAUCAGGCCUAAGUUUCAUCUUGAAUACCCAUUUACAUCCUAUAGGUUUGCACCCAUAAGGACGAUCAGUGAUCUCCCAAGUUUCAUUUGCCAAGAUGGAAUCCAUCUCACUACGGACUGCUUCCUUCCAGUAGUCAGCAUCUUCAGACGCAUAGGCCUCUAAAAUAGAGCUGGGAGUGUCAUCUAUGAGAUACACAAGAAAAUCAUCACCAAAGGACUUUGAAGUCCUUUGUCUCUUGCUCCUGGUAGGAACUUCAUUGUUCUCCUCCACAAUAUUUUCAAAGUGUUCCAUCGAAAUGAUAGGUUCAUGAAUUGUAACUAAUUCAUGAUUCGAUGAAUUAGGCAUAUCCUGAUUAGAUGAGGUAGCUUUAUCUUUCAUGGGAAAUAUAUCUUCGAAAAAAGUCGCAUCAUUCGACUCCAUGAUUGUACCGACAUGCAUGUGAGAUACAUCGAAUGGAGAAAUCUCUUUAUUCUUUGUGGGAACUUGGUUUAGGACAUGACAUGCAGUCAAUAUCGCCUCCCCCCCCACCAUGCCUUGGAGAGACCCGAUGUGUCUAACAUGGCGUUAACCAAAUCAGUUAGAGUACGGUUCUUUCUUUCAGCUACCCCAUUUGACUGAGGUGAAUAGGGAGGCAUCCUCUGAUGGAUUAUACCAUGUUCCUCACAGAAGUAAUCAAAUUCAUUUGAGAAAUACUCUCCACCAUGAUCGGACCUAAGCCGCUUGAUCUUCGAUCAAGUUGAUUUUCUACUUCAGCUUCAUAGAUCUUGAAAAAGUUCAAAGCCUCAUCCUUAAAUUUCAGAAGAUACAAUCGACAGUAUCUAGUGGAGUCAUCAAUUAACGUCAUGAAAUAUUUCUUUCCACCUUUUGUCAAAAUACCAUUCAUUUCACAUAGAUCUGAAUGUAUGAACUCUAGUGGUGCAAGAUUUCUCGUUUCGGCAGUCGUGUGAGACUUAGGAGGUUGCUUGGCUUGCACACAAACUUGACACUUAGAUCCCUUGACGGUGGUGAAGCUAGGGAUUAAGUUCAAUUUGACAAGUCGCGACAUGCAACGAAAAUUAACAUGGCAGAGACGUGAAUGCCACACAUUUGAUUCACUAUUGUUGUAAACAUGAUUAACAACUUUAUUGCAAACGUCUCCCAAGGAUAAACGGAACAGGCCUCCUGACUCGUAGCCUUUACCAACAAAAAUUAAAUACUUGGAUAUUACAGAUUUAUUCGACUCAAAGACAAGCUUGUAGCCAUCUCUACACAAAAGAGAUCCGCUAACAAGAUUUUUAUUCACAGAGGGGACAUAAUGCACGUUCUUCAGCCACACGACCUUCCCCGAAGUAAACUUCAGAUCGACCGUGCCAACACCACGAACAGAAGCACUUGAAACAUUUCCCAUCAGCACGGUGGAAGUCCCUGUGGACUGAUAAGACGAAAACAUGGAAAUAUCACCGCAUACAUGCACAUUAGCACCCGUGUCAGUCAACCAAUCGGGAAAAUGACAUACUGAAAGGAUAGUGGGAAAUAUACCACACCCAGCAUCCUCCACGUCAGUGUCACCAAUGAUAACAUUAGCGGACUUGCUGCCUCUCCCAUGUUGAUGCUUGUCAUAGCGGUUAGGGCACUUAGGUGCCCAAUGAUCAGGAUCUCCACACACAUGACAAACACCUUUCUUCUUGUCAUUCUUCUUCUUGAAGUUGGUGUGUUGUACAACCUUGUUCUUUCCAUCGAACUUUGCUUUACCAUCAAACUUCCCCUUGUUCUUGAAAUUGUGGGGCUGGAAGUUUUUCUUCUGUACCAGAUUGGCACUAGAACCUCCUUCAAUACCUCGAGCACGUGUGUCUUUUGCUCUCGCGUUUUCUUCCACAUCAAGAGUACCUAUGAGAUCCGAAACGGAAAACGCUUGCCUCUUAUGCUUCAGUAAGGUAGCAAAGUUCCUCCACGAAGGAGGAAGUUUAGUGAUGAUUCCUCCGGCAACAAACUUGUCGGGUUGCAGGCAAUUGAAGUUCUCAAAUUCUCUUGCAAAUGACUGUAUCUCGUGAGCUUGCUCAACCACGGAGCGCUCUUUAGUCAUCCUGUAGUCCUAGAAUAGUUCCAUGAUGUACAACUCAGUGCCAGCAUCAGAGACCCCAAACUUGGCCUCGAGUGCAUCCCACAUUUCUUUUCCAUUAUCAAUUGACGCAUAAGCAUCAACUAUGUUCUCACCAGGAACGCUCAAGAGAGCAGCCUUAAACAAGGUAUCCAUUUUCUGGAAAGCUAGUUCCUAUUGAGCAUCAUGAUCUCCUUCAGGUUUGCCAAGAGUGGUGUCAUAGCAGCUCAUGGUUUGAAACCAUAGAACAGCUCUCACGCGCCACCUCUUAUAGUGGAUACCCUCAAAAAUAGGAGGUCUCAUGGAAACAGCAAAACCACUCGGGGUAAAUGCCUAUAAUAAGGUUUUUGGAUUGUUGGAAAUAUGAGCAAUUUACCAUAGGAUUUUAUUAAAAGAAAAGCUAGGAUAAACAUGACCAUCAUAAUAAAGAUGAAAGAAGACAUGCAAAAUAGAGAUGAGAUGACGAAAGGCAUGUGCACAUAUGAUCUAGAAAAGAACAUAUGUGUAACUGUUCUAUAUACACAAGGUAUCAUAUGGAGUGAUGACCAGAAAUGGAACAUAUCUAGAAGUGAAACUAUAGUAAGAACAUGAGUACGUACUGAGUUGCAACAGCAAUAGGGUUGGUGUUGGCAUUGACCAUGUUCCCGAAGAGGUGGUUGACGUCACGAAAGUUGUCGUCGUCCGGGAAGAGAUUGUCGGUGUCCGUGAUGGAAGCCAGUAGUCACGCUGAGCGCUCCCCAAAUACCUUAUCGCCCUUCUCCCAUACAUGACUCAAAGAGACGGAGUUUCGGAGGCCUAGUGUCACGACCUACGGUGCACGUUGAUAACCCACAAGUGUAGGGGAUCGCAACAGUUUUCGAGGGUAGAGUAUUCAACCCAAAUUUAUUGAUUCGACUCAAGGGGAAGCGAAAGAAUAUUCUCAAGUAUUAGCAGCUGAGUUGUCAAUUCAACCACACCUGAAAGAUUAGUGUCUGCAAGCAAAGUAUCAGUAGCAAAGUGGUAUGAUAGCAAUGGUGCCAGAAAAAUAUCUGUUGGCAGCAGACUAUUCCUUACUUGUUGUAUCAAUGGCGCCUAAAAAAGUCUUGCACCAGGUAACAACAAAGUAGCAAGUAACAACAGCAGUGACAGCAGUAGCAAGGAACAACAGUAGUGACAACAGUAGCAAGUAACAGCAGUAGUGACAGUAGUAGCAAGUAACAGCAGUAGUGACAGUGGCGACAACAUAAUAGGUUCAUAUCUGAAAUCAUGGCACUCGGGCCCUAGUGACAAGCAUUAUUCAUGGCAAAGUAGUAGCAACAUCAAUCUCAGAACAUAGUAGAUACUAGGGAUCAAUCCCCGUCAAAACUAACUCGAUUACAUGAUUGAUAUAAUCCAACUCAUCACCGUCCAGCAAGCCUACGAUGAGAUUACUCACGAACGGUGAAGAGCAUCAUGGAAUUGUCGAUGGAGGAAGGUUGAUGAUGACGAUGGCGAUGACUUCCCCUCUCCGGAGCCCAGAACGGACUCCAGAUCUGCCCUCCAGAUGAAGAACAAGAGGUGGCGGCGCCUCCGUAUCACAAAACGCGAUGAAUCCUUCUCCCUGAUUUUUUUCCCAGGCGAAACGGAACAUAUAUAGCUGAGAUUGGAGGCGGUGGAGCCUCGUGGACCCCACAAGCCUGGUUGGUGCGGCCAGGGGGUCGCCGCGCCAUCUGGGCUUGUGGCCCACUGGCUUACCCCCUCCGGUGGAUCUUUGCGCAGGUAUUUUUCAUUAAUUCCAGAAAAAUUCUCCGUAAAUUUUCAGGUCAUUCCGAGAACUUCUAUUUCUGCCCAAGGCAAAACCAUGGCAAUUCUGCUGAAAACAGCAUUAGUCCGGGUUAGUUCCAUUCAAAUCAUGCAAGUUAGAGUCCAAAACAAGGGCAAAAGAGUUCGGAAAAGUAGAUACGACAGAGACGUAUCAACUCCCCCAAGCUUAAAGCCUUGCUUGUCCUCAAGCAAUUCAGUUGACAAACUGAAAGAGACAAAAGAAAAACUUUGACGAACUCUGUUUGAUCUUGUUGUUGCAACUAUGUCUAGCUCAUAACCAGAAUUUCAGCAAGAUCACAAGCGAACCACAUAAGCAAAUGACAUCUAGGUCUCACGGUAAACUCAUAUCAAUGGCAUAAUCAACUAGCGAGCAAAUAAUAAUAAGCCUCAAAUGUCAACACUUCAAUCAAAACAACGUGAAGUAGUACGAACAGAUGGUAUCUCGCUAGCUCUUUCUGAGACCGCAAAACAUAAAUGCAGAGCACCUUCAAAGACCAAGGGCUGACUAAACAUUUUAAUUCAAUGCAAUGAAGAUCCAGUCACAGUCAUACUCAGCACAGUUAAAAGCAAAGCAUAAAAAUGACAGAGGUGCUCUCUAAUUGGUGCUUUUAUAAGAGGAGGAUGACUCAACAGGAACAUAAAUAGAUAAGCCCUUCGCACAGGGAAGCAUUGAUUUGCAGAGGUGCCAGAGCUCAAGCUUUGAAAACAGAGAUAAUAAUUUUGGGUGGCAUGCUUUCAUUGUCAACGCAAUGACUAAGAGUUCUCAACAUCUUCCACGCUACACAUGCUAUAGGCGGUUCCCAAACAGAAAAGUAAAGUUUUGACUUCCCCACCACCAAUCAAUCACACUCCACGGCUAGCCGAAUCCUCGAGUACCGUCUAUACCAACAUCAAUCCUAGGGGAGUUUUGUUUGCAAUUAUCUUUUUGAUUUGAGCAUGGAACUGGGAAUUCCAAUUACCGGCCCCUUUCUCGUGAAUGAUAGUGAAUAAACACAUAUCGAGGAUAACACGCCUAGCAUGGAAGAUACCAAUAGCUCCCUGUCACCACAUGAGCGGUUCGGGCAUGCAAAACAGAUUAUUUCUUGAAGGUUUAGAGAGUAGCACAUGCAAAUUUACUUGGAACGGCAGGUAGAUACCGCACAUAGGUAGGUAUGGUGGACUCAUAUGACACAACUUUGGGUUUAUGGAAGUGGAUGCACAAGCAGUAUUCCCGCUUAGUACAAGUGAAGGCUAGCAAAAGACUGGGAAGCGACCAACUAGAGAGCGACAACAGUCAUCAAAAUGCAUUGAGAUUAACUAACAUUGAGUGCAAGCAUGAGUAGGACAUAAAUCACCAUGAACAUGAACAUCAUAGAGGCUAUGUUGAUUUUGUUUCAACUACAGUGUGAACAUGCUCCAAGUCAAGCCACUUGAAACAUUCAAAGGAGGAUACCAUCCUAUCAUACUACAUCACAGUCAUCUCAAAAUUCAUGUGGGCAUCCAAGACAAACCAUUAUAAGCUCCUAGCUAAGUAAGCAUGGCAUAAGCAACUAUGAUCUCUAAGUUGUCAUUGCAAACAUGUUUCUCUCACAACAAAGCUGACUCAGGCAUGAUGAGCUAGUCAUAAUUACAAAAACAAAAUAGAUCGAGUUCAUACCAGCUUUUCCAGGCUCAGUCACUUCAUCAUAUAUCAUCAUUAUUGCCUUUCACUUGCACGACCGAACGAUGUGAACAAUAAUAAGAGUGCCCGUGCAUUGGACUACACUGGAAUCUGCAGGCAAACACAAAGGAGAAGACAAAGUAAUAUGGCUCUUUGAAAGCUAAACAGGUAUGCAUGCAAGAGCCACUAAACAUUGUAACCAAUAUCUUCUACCUUGACCCAAAGAAAAAGAAAACUAUUUACACGGGAAAGCUCCCAACAAGCAAAAGAAGAACAAGAAAAUAUUUUUGGGUUUGCUCAAACUAGACAGACACACAAAAACAAAACUAGAAAAAGAAAAUAAACUAGCAUGCAUGAUACAGUGGAAAAGUGUGAACACCGGCGAACAAAGUGAAAGCAUAAGCAAGAAUGUAAAGUCGGUGAGAAACACGUACUNNNNNNNNNNNNNNNNNNNNNNNNNNNNNNNNNNNNNNNNNNNNNNNNNNNNNNNNNNNNNNNNNNNNNNNNNNNNNNNNNNNNNNNNNNNNNNNNNNNNGUGUUUCCUUCAUCUUUGCAAAGGGUCCCCCAGCGGUAGUACCGCUGGGCCUAGCGGUAGUACCGCUGGCCUUAGCGGUAGUACCGCUGGAGUGCUAGCAGUAGUACCGCUGCAUCCAGCGGUAGUACCUCUCCAGGAGCUUAGUACCACGUGCCUAGCGGUUGUACGUGGACGGACCUUUUUGCGAAGACUUUCUUGGCGGUGGUAGUGCUUAUGCACUACCAGGGGCCCAGCGGUAGUACCGCUGCACCCAGCGGUAGUACCGCAGGAGUGCCAGCGGUAGUACCGCUGCAUCCAGCAGUAGUACCGCUAGGCACGGGCUGUGAGUGGGAAAACGGUUGGAUUUCCCCCCCCCCCCACUAUAUAAAGGGUUCUUCUAGCUGUGGAACUCUAUCUCUGACCCUCCCAAGCUCCAUUGUUGCUCCCUAAGAUCAAAAGUGCCCGAUCUCUCUCCCUAGCCAAUCAAACUUGUUGAUUCUUUAGGGAUUGGUUGAGAUGGCCUAGAUCCAUACUUCCACCAAGAGAAAAAUUGAUUCCCCCACCAAUCCCUUGCGGAUCUUGUUACUCUUGGGUGCUUGAGCAUCCUAGAUGGUUGAGGUCACCUUGAAGCCACAUUCCAUUGUGGUGAAGCUUCGUGGUCUUGUUGGGAGCCUCCAAGCUUUGUGUGGAGUUUGCCCCAACCUUGUUUGUAAAGGUUCGGUCGCCGCGUUCAAGGGCACCUGUAGUGGAAUCACGGUACCUUGCAUCGUGCGAGGACAUGAGGAGAAUACGGUGGCCUUAGUGGCUUAUUGGGGAGCAUUGUGCCUCCACACCGCUUCAACGGAGACGUACUUCCCGUCAAAGGGAAGGAACUUCGGUAACAUAUCCUCUUCUUCAUUGGUUCCACUUGUGGUUAUCUCUAACCUUUACUUUGUGUAUGCUUAUGUUGUUGUCUUUCCCUUACUUGUCUUAGUAGCUAUUGCUGCUAGCUUCAUUACGGUUCACCCCAUUGUUGUCAUAUUUGUGAACCCGUAUGUUGUUUACCCUAUCUUGCUAAGAUUAAUUAAAAAGUGGUCGUUGCCUAUUCAAACCCCCCCCCNNNNNNNNNNNNNNNNNNNNNNNNNNNNNNNNNNNNNNNNNNNNNNNNNNNNNNNNNNNNNNNNNNNNNNNNNNNNNNNNNNNNNNNNNNNNNNNNNNNNNNNNNNNNNNNNNNNNNNNNNNNNNNNNNNNNNNNNNNNNNNNNNNNNNNNNNNNNNNNNNNNNNNNNNNNNNNNNNNNNNNNNNNNNNNNNNAGAUCCGAUCUUGCAAGUUGUAGUUACCUACUAUGUGUUAUGAUCCGGCAACCCCGGAGUGACAAUAACCGGAACCACUCCCGGUGAUGACCAUAGUUUGAGGAUUUCAUGUGUUCACAAAGUGCUAAUGCGUUGGUCCGGUUCUUUAUUAAAAGGAGAACCUUAAUAUCCCGUAGUUUCCUUUUGGACCCCGCUGCCACGGGAGGGAUGGACAAUAGAUGUCAUGCAAGUUCUUUUCCCUAAGCACGUACGACGACACACGGAAUGCAUGCCUACAUCACAUUGACGAACGGGAGCUAGCCACAUAUCUCUCCAUGUUAUAGCUGUUGCAUGAUGAAUAUCAUCCAAACAAAUAUCGACCCAUUGCCUACGAGUUUGUCCUACUGUUGCUACUAGUGUCGCUUGCUACUGCUGCUACUUGCUACUGUUGUCACUACUGUUGUUCCNNNNNNNNNNGCCGUUACUCGUUACUUUGCUGUUACUACAGUGCUUGCAGAUACUAAUCUUUCAGGUGUGGUUGAAUCUGACAAAUUCAGCUGCUAAUACUCGAGAGUAUUCUCUCACCUCCUUUUGGCGAUCUACAAAUUUGGGUCGAAUACUCUACCCUCGAAAACUGNNNNNNNNNNNNNNNNNNNNNNNNNNNNNNNNNNNNNNNNNNNNNNNNNNNNNNNNNNNNNNNNNNNNNNNNNNNNNNNNNNNNNNNNNNNNNNNNNNNNCGAAUGCUAGUAUCCGACUGGACGAUAUAGGACCCGUUCCUGACUUGAUAAUGGGGAUUCCUUAAUUCAGUCGGGGUAGACUUAGGGUCUUGUCUUUGUGUGGGGUAGUCCUUGGGUAGGACCUGUAUGGCAGGCCUAUGACCCUACCCUAGGACUACGACCCCAUCAUUAGUCCCCGAAUGGAUCGGGGUUGAAACGACGAAGCAGUGCUUGAAGUUCGGAUCCGACUGGAGUAGAUUCGUCUUGGGCGUUGCUUGCCUCUAUCCAUUUUACCUUUUCUGACCAACGAUCCGAGUGGAAGUGCUUGCGAAACCGACUGUUGGGAACCGAGUGUUUCCGCUGCAUCUUUUGACGCGACCGGUCAACUCACAGCGGUGGGUUUCCCGGGAUCUCAAAUUUUAGGUUCCGCGCGCUCAGCGGGGACGACGUCAGCGCACUCGAGUAGCGUCUGACGCCUUGAUUCUCGCGCCUUCAAGUCCUCCACUGAUAUCGCCGCAGCCGGUCGGGCGGAUAAGGUUUCGGGGCCACCCGCCAGUGACCUAGUCGGAACUCUAUUUAAAUCUGGGCGGCGAGGUUUCUUCGUUACGCUCGCCGAAUCUUUCGCUCUCGCCUGCUCCGUCUUCCUCGCCACCUCCAGCGCUCCCAUACUCCCUCCUUCUCCUUCCUCUCGAGAGUUCGCCGUCGCCUCCAUGACCAAGGGUCAGACCAGCAAGAUGGAGGCGAGGAAGAAGAAGGGCAAGGCGGCGGCAGCGGCCGCUGCCGGCGGGGUGGAUCCAAGGAGACUUCCUCCCCUCCAGAGUGACGGAGGGAGAUCUGCUGCAGCUGGUGGAGCAUGGAGUGCUCGUGCACAAGUCCUGGAGACUGCCGGCGGAGGACGAGGUCGAGCCAGCGCCCCGGGAGGGGGAGCGCGUCCUGCUCCUCAGCCAUGUCCACCGAGGUUUUUCUUUGCCCCCGCAUCCUUUCUUCAAGGGCAUCAUGAAUCACUUCGGUGCCCAACUUCACCAUUUCCCUCCGAAUGCCAUCGCGCACCUUUCUGCCUUCAUAGUCUUAUGUGAGUGUUUUAUCGGCUGCCCUCCCCAUUGGGGUUUGUUCAAACACAUCUUCUCCGUCUGAUCCCAAACCAUCAAACGACUUAGCCAGUCGGAUGAUAAGACGCACCUCCUCCAGCUCUGUGGGGGUUUAGGAUUCCAGAAGAAGAGUCGGAGUAGCUAUCCUGCUCUCCAGUUAAGUGAGUAGGUUAGGAACUGGCAGUCGACGUGGUUCUACUGCCAGGAUAUCGCCUGUCCAAAUGCGUCGACUGGUCUGCCUCCUUUUAGUCUAGACCGGCCCGCCCCGCCUAAGCAGCUCGCGCUCUCGAAGGCGGAGAAGAACGAUGUCCAGCCCUUGGUUGAGGCGCUCGUGGACGUCGUCAGGAGGGGGUCACCGGUAUAGACCUGCUGGAAGUCUUCCUUGGUCGGUGGAUCCAGCCUCUGCAGGCUCGCGACCAUGCCAUGUGGCAUUACACGGGGCCCGAGGAUUCCACUCGGACCAAUGUUGUGGGCGUGACUGAGGAGAGGGUGACCUCGUGGGUGCUCCAGAUCACGGGCCCCUGUGAGAAUCCCAAAGAAUCACGGCGAGUGAAGCCCUUCUGCGCGGAUAAUCCCCCGCCGAAUCAGGUGAGAGACUCUUGUCGAGUGCUCCUAAUUGUCUUAAUCUUGUCGUUUGCUUGAAUCUGUGUGUGAUGUUUGAUGUCGCCGACUGAAUUUUAUGCAGGAGUGGACCAACUGGUUUUCUCCCGUCUCGAACGGGAAUCCGACCGAGGAGGAGGAGGGCAGCUAGGAGGGCAGCGUGGAGAGCACGGAAUAUGUCUCCGACAGUGGGGAGUCGGAGGAAGAGUCCAGCGAGGAGGAGGAAGAAGACGAGGAGCAGGACUCGCCACCCCCACAACUGGAGCAUCGGACCAAGCGCCGACACGAACCCGCUGUCCCCUCAGCUCCUCCCGCGUCUUCGAGUGCUCCGCCUACUGCUCCAGUGGUCCCGAGUGUUCGAAGCGCUAAGAGUACCCGGGAUGCCGCCGCUGAGCCUGCAGGCCAAUCUUCUAAGGCGCCCAAGACGAGUGGGCCUAAACCUCGGAAGGCUCUGCCGCGAAUAAGGGUCGCUGUCCCCGUCACCUCCACGUAAGUGUACUCAGCUUUCAGUUUUUCUUCUGAUAUCCGAGUGAAUUUCUGCUUACUGGCCGACUGGAUAUCACUCGACAGGGUCGCUACUUCUGCCACCUCCCCGGCGCGUCAGGAAUACGACCCCAUGGACACGGACAACGUCGUCUCGUCUCAGCCAGGUGCAUUGUAGGAACGUCGAGUGUUUUAUACCAUCGCUUCUUUCUUUUUCUGAGACCUCGUGUCAUUCGGCCUGUCAGGGGCGAUCUGCCUGGAUGAGGGCGGCCAGGGGAGAGCCAACCCAGCUGUGGAGCCUGUUCUUGAGGCUGCUCCUCCCGCUGCCGCCCUCGCCGCCGACGUGCUGCCGACGGAGGCACCGCCGCCGACUGAACCAGUGCUGGUGGAGGAGGAGCCGACUGGGGCGGGCCUUGGAAUGCCUCAGGAACCUCCGACGAUUCCAGGUUCGUCGCAUGCUGAAUUCAGCAUCCAGCGUCUUCCAGAGGAGUAGGUGGGAGCGGCCAAGGGGGCUAUGGUGCAGGCGGAGCUGAUGACUGGAGAAGCCAAGAGGGCCUAUGACUCCAUUGCGGCCUUGUACCAGCGGAGCUUGGAGCUACGCGAUGAUAUCCGAGUAAGUGGUCUAGUAAGCAUUUACUUUUCCCCUGUAACCCUCUGGGUGUUAUUGAAUAUCAGCUGUUGUUUGCAAUGGGUUCACUCUGAGUGAACCCAGUGGGUGUAGUCCCCGAGACUUCUGUCGAGUGCUUGCACCGACAGUUGUCUUUAUACACUUUGCCUUGAGUUUGGUUGUGUCUGUAAAUAGGAUUACCGAGUGCGAGUAAUUGUUGCAGUCGGAGUGCACUUACGGUAAGAGUCCCCGAGAGUAAGUUGUACUCAGGUCGGGUAGUAUUGGCCUCGGAGGCGUAGGUGAUAACAUGCAUUUCAAUAGGGCAAGCCUGCUUGAGGUGCAUGCCAGUGGGGUCACGCUUAGUGAACCCACUGGGUGUAGUCCCCGAGACCGCUGUCGACUGCUUGCGUCAGCAGGGGUCUGAAGAACUUAGACUGUUAACUGUUGAACUUUCUGAUUGUCCCUUGUUUGUUGUUGGCAGAAAACUUGUGCAAUGGGAUCAGCCUAUGAGACUCUCAAGGCGGAGAGGAAUCAGUUCGCUGGCGAACUUGAUGCGGCCAUGCUUGCAAUGGCUGGCAUUAAGGAUUCCCUGGCGGAACGGGAGAAAUCAUUGGAGCAGGCGCGUGAAGUGAACAAGGUGUUGACUGAGGAAGGGGAAAAGAUGGGGAAGCAGAGGACUACGCUGAUGAGUCAGAUGGAUGUGCUGAACAAACGAUGUAGAGCACAAGAGAAAUAUGUCAGCGACUGGGCUCGGCAGAUGAUGACGCGUCUGGCUGGUAAGUCCUUAUUUUUCCGAGUGGUUGUGCUAUGCGCGUAGCACUCGGCGCUUAUUGUCUGUUUGUCCUAUUGUCGCAGAUUUUUGCUUUGACGCCGAAGCUGAAGCGGCUGACGUGGAGCGUUCGAUUCUUGAGAACUUUCCACUCGGCGACGACGCCAAUCGGGAUCUGCUCCGUGCGCACAUCCGCGUGGGCAAAGUUGGUCCUUUCAUCGGUCGACUGAGAGAAGUCGUCGGCCGAAUCGACAAGGAGCUUUGGCCAGAAGAUGAGUCGCGGCAGGAGAUGGAGAACCUGAUGACCCGACUGGCGGAGAUUCCCAACAGAGUGCAGUCGUGGAAGAAAUCUGCAGCUCGUUGUGGUGCAGAUGUUGCUCUGUCCCUGGUCCGAGUCCAUUGCAAGGAGGUGCGUGAGGAAAAAAUGAAGACGCGGAAGGUCGCCAACACGAAGAAGCUUCGAUUCGAAGACUUCAUGGAGACGUUCCUUGAGAGUGCUACCCGCAUCGCCGACGGAAUCGACUUGGACACUUUCGUGGAGCCCUCCAGUCCUGGUACCGGCCCAGCUGACGCGUAAGAAACUUUAUCCUCGGUAUGCCGAGUGUUUAUCUGUAAGGUACUUUGGCCACUUCUGUUGUCCGUCACACUUUUAAAUCGGUGCGGGCAAACUUGAUCCGCACCGAGUUAGCUAUCUUUGCGAGGAUUUUGGAAUCCGAUUUUUGCUCUUCUGUUGCAAUGUUGAUUCGAGUUUUUGGUUGGCGUUUCUUGGUGAAGCCAAAGGCAAACAGCCGAUGCUGGAUUGCUGUUAAGCUCCCUCCGAGUGUAACGUGAAGUGCACACUCGGAGAAGGUUAUUACUUAGGCGAUGCUGGAUCGCAGCUAAGCCCCCGAGUGUGACGUGUAGUGCACACUCAGAGAAGGUUAAUACUUAGGAGAUGCUGGAUCGCAGCUAAGCCCCGAGUGUGACGUUAAGUGCACACUCGGAGAGAGUGAAUACUUAGGCGAUGCUGGAUCGCAGCUAAGCCCCCGAGUGUGACGUUAAGUGCACACUCGGAGAGAGUUAAUACUUAGGCGAUGCUGGAUCGUAGCUAAGCCCCCGAGUGUGACGUUAAGUGCACACUCGGAGAGAGUUAAUACUUAGGCGAUGCUGGAUCGCAGCUAAGCCCCGAGUGUGACGUUAAGUGCACACUCGGAUAAAGAUAAUACUUAGGGGAUGCUGGGUCGCAGCUAAGCCCCCGAGUGAGACGUUAAGUACACACUCGGAUAAAGUUAAUACUUAGGCGAUGCUGGACCGCACCUAAGCCCCCGAGUGUGACGUUAAGUGCACAUUUGGAGAGAGUUAAUACUUAGGUGAUGCUGGAUCGCAGCUAAGCACCCGAGUGUGACGUUAAGUGCACACUCGGAGAGAGUUAAUACUUAGGCGAUGCUGGAUCGCAGCUAAGCCCCCGAGUGUGAUGUUAAGUGCACACUCGGAGAGAGUUAAUACUUAGGCGAUGCGGGAUCGCAGCUAAGCCCCCGAGUGUGACGUUAAGUACACACUCGGAGAAAGUUAAUACUUAGGCGAUGUUGGAUCGAAGCUAAGUUUUUUUUUUAAGACCGGAGUCUGCGACCGCGGAAGAACUUUGAACCUGCAAAAAACUCAAUCUGCUUUAUAUUACUUCGCCAACACUUGUUCUUUACAUCGCUUUAGUCGACGGUCACGUGUAGAAGCGCUUCAGGAGAUCUCCGUUCCAUGCGCGCGGCUCGUCAGUCUCUCUUUCGAUGUUGUAGAGUCUGUAUGCUCCGUUGUUCAGCACCUUGGAGAUGAUGAAGGGUCCUUCCCAGGCCGGAGCUAACUUGUGAGGUCUUUGUUGAUCCACUCGGAGCACCAGGUCGUCUGCUUGGAACGUCCGACUUCUGACGUGGCAUGCAUGAAAACGCCGCAGAUUUUGUUGAUAAAUGGUCGAGCGAGUUAAUGCCAUCUCGCGUUCUUCCUCUAGAAGAUCUACUCCAUCUUGCCUUGCUUGUUCUGCCUCAGCUUCGGAGAAGGGUUCGACUCGUGGGGCAUUAUGAAGCAGGUCACUCGGAAGGACCGCUUCUGCUCCAUAAACGAGGAAGAACGGUGAUCGCCCCGUUGAUCUGUUCGGAGUGGUGCGGAGGCCCCAAAGCACUGAAGGUAACUCGAUGACCCAUGCGCCAGCAGCGUGUCCCACCUCUCGCAGGAGUCGGGGCUUCAAACCUUGAAGAAUAAGCCCAUUCACCCGCUCAGCCUGUCCGUUGGAUUGAGGAUGUGCUACGGAAGCAAAAUCCACUCGGAUACCCUGACUCACGCAGAAACCCUUGAAUCUGUCCGAGUCGAAGUUUGUCCCGUUGUCCGUAAUUAUGCUGUGAGGUACACCGAAUCUGAAGAUGAUGUCCCUGACAAACUUGACGGCUGUCGAAGCGUCGAGCUUCUUGAUGGGCUUCGCUUCGAUCCACUUCGUGAACUUGUCGACUGCCACCAACAGAUGUGUGUAUCCACCUUGGCCUGUCUUGAAUGGGCCGACUGUAUCUAAUCCCCACACUGCAAACGGCCACACAAGAGGGAUCGUCUUCAAUGCAGACGUUGGCUUGUGGGACUUGUUGGAGUAGAACUGGCAGCCCUCACAUCGAUCAACCAUAUCCCUAGCCAUCUCAUUAGCCUGUAGCCAAAAUAACCAGCCCUGAACGCCUUGGCUACGAUUGCUCUCGAAGAAGCGUGAUGACCGCGGGUUCCCGAGUGAAUAUCCUCCAGAAUCAGCUGCCCCUCCUCUGGGGAGAUGCAUCGUUGAAGAACACCCGAGAUACUUUCCUUGUACAAUUGGCCUUCAAUGACAGUGAAUGACUUCGAUCUGCGGACUAUCUGCCUGGCUUGGCUUCGUCUUCUGGAAGUUCUUGCCUCAAGAUAUAUGCCAUGAUCGGCACAGUCCAAUCGGGAAUGACAGCCAGAAUCUCCAUGACCAGAUCAACCACCACAGGUACAUCGACUUCAGUCGGACCUGUUGCGCUCUUGGGUUGUACCAAUUCCUAUGUGAAAGGAUCUUCUUUGACUGACGGGAGGUGGAGGUGUUCAAGGCAGACGUCACUCGGGACUGGUCUCCGAGUGGAUCCGAGUUUUGCUAACUCGUCAGCUGCUUGGUUCUUCAGUCUUGGAACAUGGUGGAGCUCCAGACCUUCAAACUUCUUCUCUAGCUUCCUCACUGCAUUGCAGUAUGUGGUCAUGGUGGGGUUCUUGACGUCCCACUCUUUCAUCACUUGAUUGACCACCAAAUCUGAAUCGCCGUAGACCAUCAAGCGACGGACGCCGAGUGAGAUGGCCAUGCACAAUCCGUAGAGGAGAGCCUCGUACUCUGCCUCGUUGUUGGAGGAAUCAAAGUGUAUCUGCAACACGUAUUUGAGCUUGUCGCCCUUUGGUGAUAUGAUCACAACGCCAGCGCCGGAGCCAUUCAACAUCUUAGACCCAUCGAAGAACAUUGUCCAAUGAGCCGAGUAGAUGUGGGUCGGUUGCUGUUGUUCUACCCAUUCUGCUAUAAAGUCAGCUAGGGCUUGAGACUUAAUAGCUUUCUUGGCCUCGAACUUGAUGUCACAGUACAACAUCUCCAUUGCCCACUUCGCCACUCGGCCUGAUGCGUCUCGAUUGUGGAGAAUUUCCGACAACGGAGCAUUAGAAACGACAGAUACCGAGUGGUCUUGGAAAUAAUGAGCCACCUUCUUCGCAGUCAUAUAGAUCCCAUAGAUAAGUUUUUGAUAAUGGGGAUACCUCUGCUUGGAAGGAGUCGGGACUUCGGAAACAUAGUAGACUGGCCGCUGAACUUUGUAUGCUUUGCCUUCUUCUUCUCGCUCGACUGUAAGAACAGUACUGACAACUUGAUUUGUAGCCGCAAUAUAUAGAAGAAGGGGCUCUUUACUGAGCGGAGCAGUAAGAACCGGCUGGGUGGAAAGUAGGACUUUGAGGUCGUCGAAUGCGACUUGGGCUUCAUCUAUCCACUCGAAGGUAUCUGAUUUCUUCAUGAGUCGGUACAGAGGAAGUGCUUUUUCGCCGAGUCGACUGAUGAACCUGCUCAAAGCCGCUAGGCAACCUGUGAGCCGUUGAACAUCGUGUAUUCUGACCGGCCUUUCCAUUCGGACGAUGGUCCCGAUCUUUUCGGGGUUGACGUCGAUCCCUCGUUCGGAAAUGAAGAAACCGAGUAACUUUCCGCUGGGAACACCGAAUGAACAUUUGGAUGGGUUGAGCUUGAUAUCGUACCUACGAAGGUUGGCGAAUGUUUCUGCCAAGUCAGUCAGCAGGUCGGAACCUUUGUGUGACUUGACUACGAUAUCAUCCAUAUAUGCCUCCACAUUGCGACCGAUCUGGUCAAGGAGACAUUUUUGGAUCAUGCGCAUAAAGGUAGCUCCUGCAUUCUUCAGACCGAAAGGCAUAGUGAUGUAGCAGAAGCACCCGAAUGGGGUGAUGAAGGCUGUCUUUAACUCAUCGGGACCAUACAGACGGAUCUGAUGAUANNNNNNNNNNNNNNNNNNNNNNNNNNNNNNNNNNNNNNNNNNNNNNNNNNNNNNNNNNNNNNNNNNNNNNNNNNNNNNNNNNNNNNNNNNNNNNNNNNNNCGGUACUAGAUCGUGGGACUGAUCGCGGGAUUGUUCGCGGGGCGGAUCGAGGGACGUGAGGACGUUCCACUACAUCAACCGCGUUCUCUAACGCUUCUGCUGUACGAUCUACAAGGGUACGUAGAUCACUCAUCCCCUCUCGUAGAUGGACAUCACCAUGAUAGGUCUUCGUGCGCGUAGGAAAAUUUUUGUUUCCCAUGCGACGUUCCCCAACAAAAACUGGGUUGGAGGUUUAUGGAUGCACAAGUAGUAUCUCUACUUGGUGCGGGAGUUUUGGCUAAUAUGAGGUGGAAGCAAUCGUCACAUGCUAAGGGAUCUCUAAUCAUAUAACAUUGUUUGGAACCAAGCAAACACAAUUCAUUAUGUUGUCUUCCUUGUCCAACAUCUACUCCUAAGCAUGUAAUAGUUUGGUGAGUGCUCACAAUUGUAAAAAGUGUCUAAGAUGAUAUAUUUAUAUGUGAACCUCUCUUUCCUUAUUACUUCUUAUUAAUUGCAACAAUGACUGAGNNNNNNNNNNNNNNNNNNNNNNNNNNNNNNNNNNNNNNNNNNNNNNNNNNNNNNNNNNNNNNNNNNNNNNNNNNNNNNNNNNNNNNNNNNNNNNNNNNNNGCACACUUAAGGUUCGACAUUGUUUUAUGCGUAUUUGAGUUAUAUGGUUUGUUACCGAAUGUUGUUCGGAGUCCCGGAUGAGAUCACGGACGUCACGAGGGUUUCCGGAAUGGUCUGGAAACGAAGAUUGAUAUAUAGGAUGACCUCAUUUGAUUACCGGAAGGUUUUCGGAGUUACCGGGAAUGUACCGGGAAUGACGAAUGGGUUCCGGGAGUUCACCGGGGGGGGCAACCCACCCCGGGGAAGCCCAUAGGCUUUGGGGAGACACACCAGCCCUUAGUGGGCUGGUGGGACAGCCCCAAGGGGGCCUAUGCGCCAAGGAGAGGAAAUCAAAGGAAAAGAAAAAAAAAGAGGGAAGAAGUGGGAAGGGAGGGGGACUCCUCCCACCAAACCAAGUCCAACUCGGUUUGGGGGGGGAGUCCUCCCCACCUUGGCUCGGCCGACCCCUUGGGAGUCCCUUGGACCCCAAGGCAAGGUCCCCCUCCCUCCUCCUAUAUAUAUGGGGCUUUUAGGGCAGAUUUGAGACGACUUUCUCACGGCUGCCCGACCACAUAUCUCCAUAGUUUUUCCUCUAGAUCGCGUUUCUGCGGAGCUCGGGCGGAGCCCUGCUGAGACGAGAUCAUCACCAACCUCCGGAGCGCCGUCAUGCUGCCGGAGAACUCUUCUACCUCUCCGUCUCUCUUGCUGGAUCAAGAAGGCCGAGAUCAUCGUCGAGCUGUACGUGUGCUGAACGCGGAGGUGCCGUCCGUUCGGCACUAGAUCGCGGGACGGUUCGUGGGACGGUUCGCGGGGCGGAUCGAGGGACGUGAGGACGUUCCACUACAUCAACCGCGUUCUCUAACGCUUCUGCUGUACGAUCUACAAGGGUACGUAGAUCACUCAUCCCCUCUCGUAGAUGGACAUCACCAUGAUAGGUCUUCGUGCGCGUAGGAAAAUUUUUGUUUCCCAUGCGACGUUCCCCAACAAAAACUGGGUUGGAGGUUUAUGGAUGCACAAGUAGUAUCUCUACUUGGUGCGGGAGUUUUGGCUAAUAUGAGGUGGAAGCAAUCGUCACAUGCUAAGGGAUCUCUAAUCAUAUAACAUUGUUUGGAACCAAGCAAACACAAUUCAUUAUGUUGUCUUCCUUGUCCAACAUCUACUCCUAAGCAUGUAAUAGUUUGGUGAGUGCUCACAAUUGUAAAAAGUGUCUAAGAUGAUAUAUUUAUAUGUGAACCUCUCUUUCCUUAUUACUUCUUAUUAAUUGCAACAAUGACUGAGGUCUAUGUUGAUUUAUUCUCAACAAGUUUCAAUCAUCAUACGUGUCAUAAGUGAAGUUAUCACUUUCCAUAAGAUCGUCUCAUGAUCUUUCAUGCUAUCGUUCUUUUCAUACUUUUGAUCAUGGCACAAAGCAAAGCCCUUGACUAAGACACUCUUUAUUAUAUAGCUCGUAAGCUCGAAUACAUCGGGGGAGAGACAAAAGCAAAAGACUCAAACUAAAAACUAAAGACUUAUUCCUCUAAAAGAAAAAAUAAAAACUGAAAAGGAAAGAACUAAAACAAAGGUAAAAGCAAAAGAUAUAAAGGUGACACGAUACCAGAGCAACUCCCCCAAGCUUGGCAGAAGCCAAGGGGAUUGCCCAUACCAAUGCUUAGUUGUCUUCCUUUGGUGGUGAUGGUGGUGUUGUUGGAGCAGUUUUGAGCUUGUCUAAUUUCCACUUGAGCAAAAAGUUUUGCUCCCUUAGAUCGUCAUUUUCCUCCUCAAGUUUCAAAACUCUAUGGCAAAGCUCCUGCUUACUCUCCUGCAAGAAACGAGAAGGGAUAAACAAGGUCUUAGGCUUCUUCCUAUGGUCAGGGAGGCUUGACUUCUUGAACUCCAUAUGGGUGUUUGCAGGUUGAGGUAGAGGAGCCUCCUCUUCAUCGGAACACGUUUGCUCCUUCCCUUUGGGCUCAUAGUCCUCUUCCUCAUCAGUGGUCCAGCCAUAUGGUUCCAAGUCCCCAUUAAUCCUAGAGUUAGCACAAUCAUCGGCCACAUAGAUCUCUUCUUCUGAAUCUUGAGAAGACAUCUUGACCUAAAUCUGUGGCACACAACAAGCUCGAAACGAAAACAGAGGAAAACUACGCGAUACGGAGAUCAAAACCUUCGGGCGACUAUAUAUUGAUUUUUUUUCUGGGCCAGAAGGAGUAUUCCGCAAGAAAACGGAGUCUGGGAGGCACACGAGGUGCCCACAAGCUUGCCCUCCGCCACCAGGGGGUGGUGGCGGAGUGGGCCCUUGUGGCUGCCUCGUUCGCUCUCCGGACUGCUUUUUAUUUUUCUAAUUUUCAAAAAAUUCCAAAACGAAAGAAAUUUCCUAUUGGAAAAGUAUCGGAGUCCAAUUUCUUGCCGAAACAGAUACAUCUUCGUUUUGAAGGUCUGAAACAGGCUGAUAAACAUCCCUUAUGUACUACUCUGGAGUUAUGACAUUGAUGAUAUUGGUCUCAACAUUUAUGGGAGUACCAGAGAUGUGAUGCUUGAUUCUUUGCCCAUUUACCACUCUAGGAAAAUUUCCUUCCGUGUUAUUGAUUUUGAUGGCACCAAAAUGAUAUACUUCCUCGACAACAUAGGGACCUUCCCAUUUAGAGAGAAGCUUGCCUGCAAAGAAUCUCAAACGAGAAUUGUAUAGCAAGACAUAAUCACCUACAUUGAACUCUCGUUUCUGUAUUCGUUUGUCGUGUCAUCUCUUAACCUUUUCCUUGAACAACCUGGCAUUCUCAUAUGCCUGGGCUCUCCAUUCAUCUAACGAGCUGAUAUCAAACAACCGCUUCUCACCGGCAAGUUUGAAAUCAAAGUUGAGCUCUUUGAUUGCCCAAUAAGCUUUGUGUUCCAGCUCAAGAGGUAAAUGACAGGCCUUACCGUAAACCAUUUUAUACGGUGACAUGCCCAUGGGAUUCUUAUAAGCAGUCCUAUAAGCCCAUAGUGCAUCAUAAAGUUUGCUAGACCAGUUCUUUCGAGAUCUAUUGACGGUCUUUUGUAAGAUCAACUUGAUCUCCCUAUUACUCAACUCAACUUGACCACUAGACUGAGGAUGAUACGGAGAUGCAACUCUAUGGUUGACAUCAUACUUAGCUAGCAUCUUGCGGAAAACACCAUGAAUGAAGUGUGAACCGCCAUCAGUCAUCAAGUAUCUAGGGACUCCAAAUCUUGGGAAUAUGACUUCUCUAAGCAUCUUAAUAGAGGUGUGGUGAUCAACAUUUUUAGUGGGGAUAGCUUCUACCCACUUAGUAACGUAAUCCACAGCAACUAAGAUGUGAGUGUACCCAUUGGAACUCGGGAAGGGUCCCAUAUAAUCAAAGCCCCAGACAUCAAAUGGUUCAUUGACAAGUGAAUAGUUCAUAGGCAUUUCCUCACGCUUACUGAUUUCCCUAUCCUUUGUCAUUCGUCACAAGACAAUACAAACUUACGUGCAUCCUUGAAGAGAGUGAGCCAAUAGAAACCUGAUUGCAAUACCUUAUGGGCAGUUCUAUCUCCAGCGUGGUGUCCUCUGUAGGCUUCGGAAUUACACUUCUGCAGGAUCUGUCCCUGUUCAUGUUCAGGCACACAACGUUUAAUAACACCAUCUACUCCUUUCUUAUAAAGGUGAGGAUCAUCCCAAAAGUAGUGUCUCAAAUCAAAGAAGAAUUUCUUCUUUUGCAGAUAGGUGAAACUGGGUAGUAUGUAUUUGGCUACGAUAUAGUUUGCAUAAUCGGCAUACCACGGUGCACUAAGUGAAGUGCGGAUGACAUUUAUUUGCUCAUCAGGAAAGCUAUCAUCAAUAGGUAGUGGGUCAUCAAGGACAUUCUCUAGCCUAGACAAGUUAUAUGCUACAGGGUUAUCAGCACCCUUUCGGUCAAUGACGUGCAAAUCAAAUUCCUGUAGCAGAAGAACCCAUCUGAUCAGCCUAGGCUUAGCGUCCUUCUUCUCCAUGAGGUACUUAAUAGCAGCAUGAUCAGAGUGAAUAGUGACUUUGGAGUCAACUAUGUAAGAUCUGAACUUUUCACAUGCAAACACGACUGCUAAAAAUUCCUUCUUCGUAGUGGCAUAGUUUCUUUGGCCACUGUCUAGAAUUUUACUAGCAUAGUGAAUGACAUUCAACUUCUUGUCAACUCUUUGUCCUAGAACAACACCAACAGCGUAAUCACCCUCGUCACUCAUGAUUUCAAAGGGCAAGUUCCAGUCAGGUGGUUGAACAAUAGGUGCGGUUAUCAAAGCCUUCUUAAGUAUUUCGAAAGCUUCCUCACAAUCCUCAUCAAAAACAAAAGGAACAUCCUUCUGCAAGAGGUUGGUAAGAGGCCUAGAAAUCUUAGAGAAGUCUUCAAUAAACCUUCUAUAGAAACCAGCAUGACCUAGGAAACUUCGUAUACCUCUGAUAUCUAUGGGGCAAGGCAUUUUCUCAAUUGCAUCAACCUUAGCCUUAUCAACUUCAAUGCCUCUUUCAAAUAUUUUAUGUCCUAAGACGAUACCUUCAUUAACCAUAAAGUGACACUUCUCCCAAUUCAACAUGAGGUUGGUUUCUUCGCAUCUCUGUAAGACUCGAUCAAGGUUGCUGAGGCAAUCAUCAAAGGAAGACCCGUAAACGGAGAAGUCAUCCUUGAAAACCUCGACAAUCUUUUCACGAAAGUCAGAGAAUAUAGCCAUCAUACAUCUUUGAAAGGUGGCAGGUGCAUUGCAUAAGCCAAAAGGCAUACGUCUAUAGGCAAAGGUACCGAAAGAGCAGGUGAAAGUGGUAUUCUCUUGAUCAGAUUGUGCAACAGGUAUUUGCGAGAAACCUGAAUAACCGUCUAGAAAGCAGAAGUGUGUGUGUUUUUAUAGCCUUUCUAGCAUUUGGUCGAUGAACGGCAAAGGAUAAUGAUCUUUCCUUGUUGCCUUGUUCAGUUUCCGGAAGUCUAUCACCAUUCUAUAGCUGGUAAUAAUCCUUUGUGGGAUUAGUUCAUCCUUAUCAUUAGGAACGACGGUGAUACCUCCUUUCUUAGGUACGCAAUGUACUAGACUUACCCAAUCACUAUGAGCAACAGGAUAAAUGAUUCCUGCUUCCAAAAGCUUUAAUAUUUCUUUUCUAACGACCUCUUUCAUCUUAGGAUUUAAUCUCCUUUCAUGAUCAACAAUUGGUUUAAAGUCAGGAUCGGUUUUAAUCUUGUGUUGACAUAGAGUAGGACUAAUACCCUUAAGAUCAUCAAGAGUAUAUCCAAUAGCAGCGCGGUGCUUCCUCGGAGUUUUUAGUAACUUCUUCUCUUCGCGCUCUGAGAGGAGAGCACUAAUAAUGACAGGACAUAUCUCCUUCUCAUCAAGAUAGGCAUACUUAAGAGUAUCAGGCAACUUUUAAGCUCGAACACAGGAUCACCCUUUGGUGGGGGAGGAUCCCCAAGUAGUUCAACAGGCAGAUUAUUCUUGAGAAUAGGAUAUUGUUCUAAGACAAUUUUAUCUCUCUCAUCUCUCUCCUCCAUAUGCAUAUCAUUUUCAUGCUCAAGCAGAUAUUGCUCUAAAGGAUCCGUAGGAGGUACGGCAAUAGAGGCAAGAGAAAUGAUUUCAUCUCUACCAGAUGACUCUCUUUCAUGGGGAUGUCUUCCAAACUUGGAGAAGAUAAAUUCAUGAGACACACCCUCGAAACUUACUGUGACAGUCUGCUUAAUGCAAUCAUUGUGAGGAUUGACAGUGUUGAGAAAGGGUCUACCAAAUAUGAAGGGACAAAAGCUAUCUUGUGCAGUACCAAGGAUGAGGAAAUCAGUAGGAUACUUCGUCUUACCACAUAGGACUUCUACGUCUCUCACAAUUCCCAGAGGGCAGAUAAUGUCUCUAUUAGCUAGCGUAAUAGUGACAUCAAUGGGUUCUAACUCAGCAGGUGCAAUCUCAUCUUUGAUUUCAUCAUAUAGAGAAUGGGGUAUUGCACUAACACUACCUCCCAUAUCACAUAAACCAUGGUAACAUUGAUCUCCUAUCUUAACAGGAACAACGGGCAGGCCAACUACAGGUCCGUGUUUGUCUUUCGCGUGAGGUUUAGCAAUUCUAGCGGAGUCCUCAUAGAAUUUGAUAACAUGCCCAUCUAUGUCCUCGGCUAAAAGAUCUUUGAUAAUAGCAACAGUAGGUUCAACUCUAAUCUCCUCAGGGGGUGCAAGUGGUCUAAUGUAACCCCUAUGUAUAACAGUUCGAGGUUUAGAAUAAUCCUUUAUCCUAGCAGGGUAUGGUGGUUUCUCAGUGUAAGCACAAGGAACAACAGGAUCACUAAAAGCUAUGAUUUUCUCCUGAACUAGAUUGGUUUUGGCUAUGUUGCUUUCUACAGGAAGAUGAUAUUAAAACCACUUCUCUUUGGGAAUAUCAACAUGAGCAGCAAAAGAUUCACAUAGAGAAGCUACUAUCUUAGAGUCAAGUCCAUACUUAGCGCUAAAAUCUCUAGAAGUGUUUGUCUCAACAAAAGAUUUAACGCAAUCAAACUGGAAAUUCAUACCUGACUCCUUACCUUCCUCCAGCUCCCAAUCUUCAGAGUUGCGUUUGAUUCUCUCCAAUAAACUCCACUUGUCAUUGAUACGUCUCCAACGUAUCUACUUUUCCAAAGUCUUUUGCCCUUGUUUUGGACUAUAAUUUGCAUGAUUUGAAUGGAACUAACCUGGACUGACGCUGUUUUCAGCAGAAUUGCCUUGGUGUUAUUUUUGUGCAGAAAUCAAAGUUCUCCAAACGUCCUGAAAAUUUACGGGGAGCAGUUUUGGAAAAUAUCAAAAAUAUCUGCGCCAAGUUCCACCUCAGGGGGUGGGCCAGUGGGCCACAAGCCCCUGCUCCGCCACCACCCCCUGGUGGCGGUGGGCAGGCUUGUGGGGCCCAUAGGCACAUGCCGCCCCCAACUCCAGCUCUAUAAGUUGUCUUUCGUCCCAGAAAAAAUAAAAAGAGAAGUUUUCGUCGCGUUUUCGAUACGGAGGCGCAGCCACCACCUGUUCUUCAUCCGGAGGGCAGAUCUGGAGUCCGUCUUGGGCUCCGAAGAGGGGAAAUCGUAGCCAUUGUCAUCAUCAACCUUCUUCCCUCUCCAAUUCCAUGAAGCUCUUUGUCGUUCGUGAGUAAUCUAUUCGUAGGCUCGCUGGGCGGUGAUGAGUAGGAUGGGAUCUAUCAUGUAAUCGAGUUAGUUUUGAUGGGGAUUCAUCCCUAGUAUCCACUAUGUUCUGAGAUUUGAUGUUGCUACUACUUUGCCAUGCUUAAUGCUUGUCACUAAGGCCCGAGUGCCAUGAUUUCAGAUCUGAAAUUAUUAUGUUGUCACCAAUAUAUGUGUGUUUUUGAUCCGAUCUUGGAAGUUGUAGUUACCUCCUAUGUGUUAUGAUCCGGCAACCCCGGAGUGACAAUGACCGGAACCACUCCCGGUGAUGACCAUAGUUUGAGGAGUUCAUGUGUUCACCAAGUGCUAAUGCGUUGGUCCGGUUCUUUAUUAAAAGGAGAACAUUAAUAUCCCAUAGUUUCCUUUUGGACCCCGCUGCCACGGGACGGAUGGACAAUAGAUGUCAUGCAAGUUCUUUUCCCUAAGCACGUAUGACGACACACGGAAUGCAUGCCUACAUCACAUUGAUGAACGGAGCUAGCCACAUAUCUCUCCGUGUUAUAGCUGUUGCAUGAUGAAUAUCAUCCAAACAAAUAACCGACCCAUUGCCUACGAGUUUGUCCUGUUGUUGCUACUACUAUCGCUUGCUACUGCUGCUACUUGCUACUGUUGUCACUACUGUUGUUCCUUGCCACUGCUAUUGCUCGUUACACUGCCGUUACUCGUUACUUUGCUGUUACUACAGUGCUUGCAGAUACUAAUCUUUCAGGUGUGGUUGAAUCUGACAAAUUCAGCUGCUAAUACUCGAGAGUAUUCUCUCACCUCCUUUUGGCGAUCUACAAAUUUGGGUCGAAUACUCUACCCUCGAAAACUGUUGCGAACGCACGCGCUGGUGGGCCAUCAACAACAUUCUUCCAGUUUCAUUGUCGUGGAGUGCCAUCAGCAUUCUUCUGGUGCCGUUGCAGGAGAAGGUUUGUUGUCAUAAGCAUUCGUGUAGUUAACGCCAGAGAUUGCGCAGAUCAGCAUUUUUCUGGCGCCGUUGCCGGGGAGGCAUUGCUAUAUUCUUUGAGUCACUUGUGAUUUAUAUCUUCUGAUCACUAUGAAGAAUCUGAAGGAUCCGAAGACCAAAGUCUUUCCCUCAACUACGAGGGGAGGUAAGGAAUUGCCAUCUAGCUCUACACUUGAUUCACCUUCAGUUAUGAGUAAGUUUGCGACAUCACCUCCUGCUAGAAAUCUUGAUAUGUCGCCUGUGCUUGAUGAUGCUUGUGAUACUACUGCUAGAGAUUCUAUGCUUGAUACUAUGCCUGAUGAUACUAUGCAUGAUACUACUAGAGAUGUUAUGCUUGAUACUAUGCCUGAUAUUGCUAUAGAUGCUAUGCCUGAUACUGCUUUGCCUGAUGAUGCUAGAGAUGCUAUUUUUCCUGAUGAUGCUAUGCUUGAUACUGCUAGAGAUACUACUUUGCGUGAUGUUCCACUAGGAGUGUUCCUUGAUGCUCAUAUUGCUAGAGUUACUGCCAAUGCUCGUGAUGCUUCUAAAACUACCGAUACUAUUGAGAUAGAACCUGCUUUUGCUCCUGCUAGAUCUAUCUCUCCUAGAUAUGAAUUGCCUGAUAUACCUGAGGGUUACGUUGUGGAUGGAGAGAUAGUUGAGGAUUUUCUUGCGUGUAAGGAUUCUAUGACGCUGAGAAAUUAAUUCUCAAGUGGAAGGAAAAAUCUCGUGAAGCUAGGAUGAAAAAUGACCCGAAGUUGGCCACUUCGGCUAUCUUUGUCACCGAUAAGGAUUAUGAAUUCUCUGUCGACCCUCAGAUAAUCUCUCUAGUCGAAUCUGAUCCUUUUCACGGUUAUGAGUCUGAGACGGUCAUAGCCCAUCUUGCCAAACUAUCCAAAAUAUCCAACCUUUUCACUAAUGAGGAGAAGAUCCGCCACUACUAUAUCCUUAAGUUGUUUCCUUUCUCUCUAAAGGAUGACGCUAAAGCCUGGUUCACCUCUCUUGCUCCUGGAUGUGUGCGUAGUCCCCAGGAUAUGGUCUAUUACUUCUGUGAGAAAUAUUUCCCUGCCCAUAAGAAGCAAGCUGCCUUGCAGGAAAUAUACAACUUUGCUCAACUCCAAGAAGAGAGUCUUCCACAAGCUUGGGGGAGGCUCGUCCAGCUACAGAAUGCUUUGCCUGAUCACCCUCUUAAGAAGAACGAGAUACUUGAUAUCCUCUAUAACGGACUUACCGAUGCCUCUAGAGACCACCUAGAUAGUUGUGUUGGUUGUGUUUUUAGGGAACGGACUGUAGAACAAGCUGAGACCCUACUGAAUAACCUCUUGAUCAACGAUAAUGCUUGGACUAUUCCUGAACCACCUCCUAAGCCAACUCCUAAGAAAAGUGGUAUUCUAUUCCUCAGUCCCGAAGAUAUGCAAGAAGCCAAGAAAUCUAUGCAAGAGAAAGGCAUUAGAGCUGAAGAUGUCAAAAAUCUACCACCUAUCAAAGAGAUCCAUGGUCUCGAUAACCCGAUAGAGGUAGUAGAAGUGAAUUAUCUGCAUAGGUUUUAUGAGAGUGAUAUUCCUUUUGAUAAACCUGCUAGCCUAUGCUUUGAUGAAUUUGACAACUUUGUUGCCAAACAACAAAGUUUCAAUGAUUAUGUUAGCAGACAUUUGGAACAAAGUACUCGUAUGCUUAGCCAUUUAAGUGCUUGUGUAGACAGAAAUGUCAAUGCUCUGAAGCUUCUGAGUAAACAUGCCUCUAUGAUUACUACUCAGGUAGAACAAGUACUUAAAGCUCAGAAUGACCUGCUCAAUGAAUUAAAUGACAAGUUUGGCGGAAUCAUUACUAGAGGAGGCAAAAUGACUCAGGAACCUUUGUAUCCUAAAGGUCAUCCUAAGAGAAUUGAUCAAGAUUCUCAAGGAAUCAAUGCUGAUACACUGAGUCAUCCUAAGGAGAAGAAGAAGGAUGAUAGAAACCUGCAUGCCAGUUCACCAAAUACUGUCACACCUGAAGAACCUAAUGAUAUUUCUACGUCUGAUGCAGAAACACAAUCUGGUGAUGAACAUGAACGUGGUGACAAUAUGGACAAUGAUGUUCGUAAUAAUGCUCAACCUAGCCAUGAUGAGGAUGUGGAGAUUGAACCUAUGGUUAAUCCUGAUAAUCCACAACCUAAGAGAUACGAUAAGAAUGACUUCACUACAACGAAGCAUGGUAAAGAAAGAGAGCCAUGGGUUCAGAGACCUAUGCCCUUUCCUCCAAAGCCAUCCAAGAAAAAGAAUGAUGAGGAUUUUGAGCGCUUCGUUGAGAUGAUAAGACAUGUCUUUCUGCGGAUGCGGUUAACUGAUAUGCUCAAGAUGUCUCCGUAUGUCAUGUACAUGAAAGAUAUCGUGACUAAUAAACGGAAGAUACCAGAUCUUGAGAUCUCCACCAUGCUUGCCAAUUAUACUUUCAAAGGUGGAACUCCUAAGAAACUUGGUGAUCCCGGAGUGCCCACCAUACCUUGCUCCAUUAAAGGAAACUACGUAAGAACUGCCUUAUGUGACCUUGGAGUCGGUGUUAGUGUUAUGCCGCUCUCUCUUUAUUGUAGACUUGGAUUAGAUAAGUUGACACCCACUGAAAUUUCUCUGCAAAUGGCCGACAAAUCAACUGCUUUCCCUAUCGGCAUUUGCGAGGAUGUGCCUGUUGUGGUUGCUAAUACCACUAUCUUAACAGACUUUGUUAUCUUGGAUAUCCCCGAGGACGAUGUCAUGGCUAUUAUCCUUGGAAGACCCUUUUUAAACACUGCAGGGGCUGUUAUAGAUUGUAACAAAGGCAAUGUCACUUUCCAUGUCAACGGUAAUGAGCACACCGUGCACUUUCCGAAGAAAUGAUAUCGAGUACAUUGCAUCAAUGCUAUCGAAAAGACUUCAUCGAUUCUUAUUGGGAGCUUUGAAUGCCCUAUUCCUCGUGUCAAGAUGAAGUAUGAUUUUGUUUUUGGGGAGAUACAUAUCCCCAUUGAGGUGACUUAGUGGUUAUUUGAAAAUUCUCCGUUCUCUCUUGCGAUUCGAGAAGGUUUUGUCAUAAGGAUUUGAUCAACCCCAUUGACGAAUUUCUUCCGAUGACCAUGAAACGGAUGAAUUAAAGAGUCACAUACCUCUGUUUUGAGUCUUCAUUUUCUGUUGCUUAGAAGAAAAAUGAUAGAAUUAGUUUAGCUUUUCCUGUUUUCUGUUUUAGCGUCCCGGAGAAAAAUACCUCGAAAUAAAAGUUCUCCGAUGGUCCUGUAAAUUUAGUAUGAUUUUUUCUGGAAUUUUUGAUAAUUUCUGGGCCUGAGAGCUGGUCAGGGGGCCUGUCCAGUGGGCCACAAGCCCCUCCCCCACCGCCACCUACCCCCCUAUUGGCAGGGUGCAAGCUUGUGGGGGCCAUAGGCAUCCCCUCCACUCAUUCCAGCUCCGAGCCUCUUCUUCCACCUCCAGAAAAAAUUGUUUCGCAGCUCAAACCCGUGUUCUUGCUCAUUUGGCUGUGAUUUUCAAUCUCCUUGCUCAAAGCACCAUUCUCCAAACCGUUUUGGGGAAAUUUCUCCUUGGUAAGUGACUCCUCCAUUGGUCCAAUUAGUUUUUUCUCUAGUGCUUUAUCCUUCGCGUAUUCUUGCUACCUUGGUGACCCAGUUCUUCAGCUAGAAAUGUUGAUUUUAGCCGGUCCCAUGUAGUUUUAGCGCGUGAUACGGUCUCUAGGCACUAGUAAGAGUAGUUGCUACAAGUUGGGUUGAUCCUUGUUCACUUCUCUUUCGAAGUCUCUAAAAAUUUAAGAAUUUUGCAGAGCUAGAAAAAGGAAAAGAUGAGGAGGUUCUUGAGAGGCUCUUCAAGUCGUAACCACAAGGAGGAUGAGAAGAACCACCCCAAGUACGCAGUCCCUCGAGUCACAGAAGUUCGAGCGUGCGAGUGGCCAAGUGAUGAAUUUUUGCGAGCCAUCGGACUUUAUGAAGACUUGGUGGAGAAUGCAGGUCUUACUGCAUUCGUUGAAGAUAAGUGCCUACAAUAUCUCCUCCUCACCAAUAUUUUCGUCCAAAGCUUCAACUUUUAUCCGAGAAAGAAUCCUCCCAUGGUUGAGUUCAUGAUUUACGAUGUCCCCCGGUGCAUGACGUUGCAUGACUUUUGCAAUGUAUGCAAAUUACCUUAUGUUGGGAAUAUCCGUGACCCUCGUCCACGGGACUUGGAGGAUUUCAUUGGUUCUAUUGCUGUUGGAGAGGAGAGAGGAGUGUCUCGCGCUAGAAUUGCUAGCAUACAUUUUCCUGUGCUUCGGUACUUCUCACUAUUUGUGGGAAAAUGUUUGAUUGGCCGUGGGGAGGCUGGAUCACUUAGUUCUCCAGACCUUGCUGUUUUGCACGAAGGCCUUUAUAACGAUAAGACUUAUAGCUUGGGCGCUAUAGUAGCUCAACGGUUAAACUUGAACCGUUCCAAGGGUGUUGUCUAUGGAGAUAUCUAUGCUACCCUUCUUGCCAGACACUUUGAGAUACUGAUUAGACUGGGAGAGGAAGGAGAGAUGCUUCUCCCUAAGAGAUAUCUGGAUUAUGACAGCAUGGUUCGCCAUGAUUUUCUGGAUAGAGAUGCUAGUAGACGGAUGAUUUAUAACCUGGUGUUUAGUCAGGGUACUCGAGAGACUAUUACUUUGCGUGCUCCUUCUUUGUUUGAUCUUCAUGCAGGCAGGUGCACUAUUAUGCCCGCGGACAUCUACGCAUAUUGGGGCUUGGCCCAACCACAGGCGCCCGUGCCCGAGCCGCCAGUCGAGUACCAGACGCCAGUUUAUCAGUGGGAGCCAGAGGAGCUCACAAAGCAGUGGCAUCCACAGUCUGCUCCAGAGUAUCCUGCAGCUGGUUAUUUCCCACCAUGGGAGUAGACCAAGCUAGGCCAAAAGCCUAAGCUUGGGGGAGUACGUGUUCUCACCGACUUUACACUCAUGCUUAUGCUUUCACUUUGUUAGCCGGUGUUUACACUUUGCCACUGUAUUAUCCAUGCUAGUUUAUCUUUGUUUUCUUGUUUUCUUGUUUUGUGUCGUUUUGAGAAAACCGAAAAAGAUUUUCCUUUCUUCUUUUGCUUGUUGGGAGCUUUCCCAUGUAAAUAGUUUUCUUUUUCUUUGUGUCAAGGUAGAAGAUAUUGGUUACAAUGUUUAUUGGUUCUUACAUGCUUACCUAUUUAGCUUUCAAAGAGCCAUAUUAUUUUGUCUUCUCCUUUGUGUUUGCCUGCACAUUCAGCUUAGUCCAAUUCGCUUAUUAUCAUUUUCAUCGUUCGAUCGUGCAAAUGAAAGGCAACAAUGAUGAUAUAUGAUGAAGUGACUGAGACAGAAAAGCUGGUAUGAACUCUAUCUAUUUUGUUUUUGUAAUUAUGACUAUCUUGUCGACCCAGAUUUAGCUUUGUUGUGAGAGAACCAAGUUUGCAAUGACAACUUAGAGAUCAUAGUUUCUGAUGCCAUGCUUAUUUAGCAAAGAGCUUAUAAUGGUUUGUCUUGAUUGCCAACAUAGAUUUUGAGAUGACUAUGAUGUAGCAUGCUAGGAUGGUAUUCUCCUUUGAAUGUUUCAAGUGGAUUGACUUGGCACAUGUUCAUGCAUGUAGUUGAAACAAAAUCAACAUCGCCUCUAUGAUGUUCGUGUUCAUGGUGAUUUAUAUCCUGUUCAUGCUUGCAUUUAAUGUUAGUCAAACUCAUUGCAUCUUGAUGACUGUUGUCGCUCUCUAGUUGGUCGCUUCCCUGUCUUUUGCUAGCCUUCGCUUAUACUAAGCGGGAAUACUGCUUGUGCAUCCACUUCCAUAAACCCAAAAGUUUUUCCAUGAGAGUCCACCAUACCUACCUAUUUGCAGUAUCUACCUUCCGUUCCAAGUAAAUUUGCAUGUGCCACUCUCUAAACCUUCAAGAAAUAAAUCUGUUUUGCAUGCCCGAACCGCUCAUGUCGUGACAGAGGGCUAUUUGUAUCUUCCAUGCUAGGAGUGUUAUCCUCGACAUGUGUUUAUUCACAGUCAUUCACAAGAAAGGGGCCGGUAUUUGGGAUGCCCAGUUCCAUGCUUACAUCGAAAACAUAAUUGUAAAACAAGACUCCCCCCAUAUUGAUGUUAGUAUGGACGGUACCCGAGGAUUCGGCUAGCCGUGGAGUGUGAUUGAUUGGUGGUGCAGGAGUUAAAACUUUACUUUUCUGUUUGGGAACCACCUAUAGCAUGAGUAGCAUGGAAGAUAUUGAGAACUCUUGGUCAUUGCGUUGACAAUGAAAGCAUGCCACCCAAAAUUAUUAUCUUUGUUUCGAAAGCUUGAGCUCUGGCACCUCUGCAAAUCAAUGCUUCCCUCUGCGAAGGGCCUGUCGAGUCAUCCUCCUCUUAUAUAAGCCCCAAUUAGAGAGCACCUCUGUCAUUUUUAUGCUUUGUUUUGAUUGAUAUUGAGUAUGACUAUGACUGGAUCUUCGUUGCUACAAAUUACAAUGUUUAGUCAGCCCUUGAUCUUUGAAAGUGCUCUGCAUUUAUGUUUUGCGGUCUCAGAAAGAGCUAGCGAGACACCAGCUAUUCAUAUUGCUUCAUGCUUGUUUUGAUUGAAGUGUUGUUAUUUGAAACUCAUAAUUAUUUGCUCGUUAGCUGAUUAUGCCAUUGAUAUUAGUUUACCGUGAGACCUUUGUGUCAUUUGCUUAUGUGGUUAACUUGUGAUCUUGCUGAAAUUCUGGUUAUGAGUCAGACAUAGUUGCAACAACAAGAUCAAACAGAGUUUGUCAAAGUUUUUCUUUCUCUCUCAGUUUGUCAACUGAGUUGCUUGAGGACAAGCAAGGUUUUAAGCUUGGGGGAGUUGAUACGUCUCCAAUGUAUCUACUUUUCCAAACUCUUUUGCCCUUGUUUUGGACUAUAAUGUGCAUGAUUUGAAUGGAACUAACCUCGACUGACGCUGUUUUCAGCAGAAUUGCCUUGGUGUUAUUUUUGUGCAUAAAUCAAAGUUCUCCAAACAUCCUCAAAAUUUACGGGGAGCAGUUUUGGAAAAUAUCAAAAAUAUCUGCGCCAAGUUCCACCUCAGGGGGUGGGCCAGUGGGCCACAAGCCCCUGCUCCGCCACCACCCCCCUGGUGGCGGUGGGCAGGCUUGUGGGGCCCACAGGCACCUACCGCCCCCAAAUCCAGCUGUAUAAGUUGUCUUUUGUCCCAGAAAAAAUCAAAAGAGAAGUUUUCAUCGCGUUUUCGAUACGGAGGCGCCGCCACCACCUGUUCUUCAUCUGGAGGGCAGAUCUGGAGUCUGUCUUGGGCUCCGGAGAGGGGAAAUCAUCGCCAUUGUCAUCAUCAACCUUCUUCCUCUCCAAUUCCAUGAAGCUCUUCGUCGUUCGUGAGUAAUCUAUUCGUAGGCUCGCUCGGCGGUGAUGAGUAGGAUGAGAUCUAUCAUGUAAUCGAGUUAGUUUUGAUGGGGAUUGGUCCCUAGUAUCCACUAUCUUCUGAGAUUUGAUGUUGCUACUACUUUGCCAUGCUUAAUGCUUGUCACUAGGUGUUGGGGCAUAGUUUAUGCCUAAGUAAUUUUGGUGAUUGAUGACAGUACCACAAAGGACUAACCGUGUGUAUUAAGAUUUCAGAUAACACACGUCAACGGAACAAGACGAGUCGCCCCCUCUUUCGUGGAACAGAAGCACGGUGUUCCCUACGAUUCUCUUUAUUUGAGUCAUAGGAAAGCCGUACUAUUAAGAGGGGAACCGUAGUGGAAAGUUUUGGGUGGAAUCAAUCUUGCACGCGCACACUUCACAUAUUUUCCCCCUUGCCGGCAACUUUGGAGUGGCUCCCGCCGUACUGUUUCCUUCAUCUUUGCAAAGGGUCCCCGAGCGGUAGUACCGCUGGGCCUAGCGGUAGUACCGCUAGCGUGCUAGCGGUAGUACCGCCCCUGGUCAACGGUAGUACCGCUCCAGGAGCUUAGUACCGCCUGCCUAGCGGUUGUACGUGGACGGACCUUUUUGCGAAGACUUUCUUGGCGGUGGUAGUGCUUAUACACUACCACGGGCCCAGCGGUAGUACCGCUGAAGCGAGCGGUAGUACCGCUGGAGUGCCAGCGCUAGUACCGUUGCAUCCAGCGGUAGUACCGCUAGGCACGGGCUGUGAGUGGGAAAACAGUUGGAUUUUUCCCCCACUAUGUAAAGGGUUCUUCUAGCUGUGGAACCCUAUCUCUUACCCUCCCAAGCUCCAUUGUUGCUCCCUAAGCUCAAAAGUGCCCGAUCUCUCUCCCUAGCCAAUCAAACUUGUUGAUUCUUUAGGGAUUGGUUGAGAAGGCCUAGAUCCACACUUCCACCAAGAGAAAAGUUGAUUCCCCCACCAAUCCCUUGCGGAUCUUGUUACUCUUGGGUGCUUGAGCAUCCUAGAUGGUUGAGGUCACCUUGAAGCCACAUUCCAUUGUGGUGAAGCUUCGUGGUCUUGUUGGGAGCCUCCAAGCUUUGUGUGGAGUUUGCCCCAACCUUGUUUGUAAAGGUUCGGUCGCCGCCUUCAAGGGCACCUAUAGUGGAAUCACGGUACCUUGCAUCGUGCGAGGGCGUGAGGAGAAUACGGUGGCCUUAGUGGCUUAUUGGGGAGCAUUGUGCCUCCACACCGCUUCAACGGAGACGUACUUCCUGUCAAAGGGAAGGAACUUCGGUAACACAUCCUCGUCUUCAUUGGUUCCACUUGUGGUUAUCUCUAACCUUUACUUUGUGUAAGCUUAUGUUGUUGUCUUUCCCUUACUUGUCUUAGUAGCUACCGUUGCUAGUUUCAUUACGGUUCACCCCAUUGUUGUCAUAUUUGUGAACCCGUAUGUUGUUUACCCUAUCUUGCUAAGAUUAAUUAAAAAGUGGUCGUUGCCUAUUCAAACCCCCCCCCCUCUAGUCAACCAUAUUGAUCCUUUCAAUUGGUAUCAGGGCCACGUCUCUUUAUUAAGGGUUUCACCACCCGAAGAGUAUGGAAGGCGAAGAGGGAAUUAACCAUGGGCAACCCGAGGCCAUGGACUUGACUACGGUCACAAGGGACGACUUGAAUACGGCUAUGGCCGCCUUCAAGACGUCCUUGAUGAACGAAGUCAAGACCAUGCUUAAAGAGUUAAUUGAGGGAUUUAAAAGUCGACCCGAACCGGCAUUAGUGGUUAAACCCACCAACACCGAUUCGGAGGCUAAUUCCUCUAAGGAAGCGGCUAAAGGUAUGCGACCUUCCUCAUCUCACGAAAAGGAUGGGACUGGAACAUAUGCCUCAGUUCCACCCCCAUGGUCUAUGGAGGAUCCGUUCCCGCACCGCGUCUUAAUCCUGUUGGUCCUCCUCCUAAGCUUGUGAAAGGUGACUUUGCUAACUGGGUAUUUUCUAUUAAGUCUCAUUUGAAUCACAGCUCAACCAACUUGUGGAGAAUCAUCGAGCAAGGAUAUUAUCCCCAUGACCCAAGCAACCUCACUCCAAGAGAAGAUGCAGACAAUCAAUACAAUCACUCCGCCUUGUUUAUUCUCCAGUCUGCAGUGCCACCUGAAGAUCUUCCUCACAUGCGUCCCUUCACUUUGGCCAAAGAUUGUUGGGAGCAUAUUAUGGUGUUGUACAAGGGAAGCUCAAGCAUUCAACGAUCCAACUAUGAAGUGAUCCUUGAUAAGGCCGAUGAGUUUGUGAUGAAGGAAGACGAGGACCCUCGUGAUCUCUAUCGGAGGGUGACUUCUAUUGUUGUGGCACUCAAGGAUCAUGGGAGCAAGGAUGUGGAUGAUACAUGGGUCAAGCGCAAGUUUCUCAAAGCCAUCAUGCCUUUCAACAAAGCCAUGUCAUCUGUCAUUCGUUAGCGGCCAGACUUCCACUCCUUGUCUUCCAGUGAGGUGUUGGAUGAAUUCAUUGCAAUGUCAAUCAUGAACGAAACAGCCGACAAUGCACUUGCUCGUGUUCGCUCAAAGACAACUUCACCCAACCUUGCACUAAAAGCAAAAGCAAUGUUUGAAGAAGAAGAAGAGGAUGAGGAAGAGGAGAGUUGCCCUGAAGACACAAAGUAUGCCUAUCAUGAGCACAUGGCUCUUGCGUCAAGGCAAUUCUGGGGCAACAAGAGGAACUCAAGACCCACCUUCACCAAGAACAACUCGAGUGGUUUCAAACCCAAGCAACGAGUGAGGACAUGUUAUAACUGUGGUAACGUGAGCCACUUCGUGGCCGAAUGUCCCUAUGAAAAAAGGGAAGACAACGGGGGCAAGCUCAUUCGCAAAGACAAAACCAAAUCAUUUCCAAUCAAGAACAACUUUGUGAAGAAACCCCACCCAAAAGGGAUGGUGGCCCUUGAAGAGUACCCUUCCGAUGAUGAUGAUGAUGAUGCAGUGGCAACGGCAACUGUUGCUAUUGCCACUACCUCUCCCCAGAAGGUGUCUCUCUUCAACGCGCCCAACGAGAACCACAUCACCAAGUGCCUCAUGGCAAAAGGUAUCAAUCAGGUAACUCCCAUCAUUAAGACCAACAUCGCUACUGCUCCUUCAUUGUUAAAUUGUGUUGAUGAUAGUGAUGUUGGGGAACUUAAUGAGCAUGAUCUUGACAAGUUUCUGUGCACUAUUAAGGGAGAAUCCAAGAAGCACUUUGUUGCUCUCUGGAACAAUUGGGUGAGGCCACUGACCUCAUUGAGUCUCAUGAGGAGACCAUCUCUCAGCUUCAGGGACACAGUCGUGACUAUGCUGAUGAAAUUGCUGAAUUAUCUAUUGCUCUAGAAAAGGAGCGCACUCUUCGUUUGGCUCUUGAGGAGUCAUAUAACGAUGACUGCGCUAAAAUGCAAAAGAAACUUAAUCAUGAUGUCAUUCUUACUCGUAUGCUUAAGUCUGAAAAGUAUGCUCUUGGGGUUGGCCAUGACAGACUCAAAGUGGAGUUUGACACACUUGACAAGGCCCACAAGGUCUUGAAAGGUGUUCAUUUCUCUCUAAAAGAGUCUCAUGAUCAACUCCAAGCAAAGCUUACCAAGGAGAUCUCUACUUGUCCUCCCUUUGUGUUAAUUAAUAAUGCUUGUGCAACUAAUCCCUGUUGUGAUCAUGUACAUCUUGUGGAGGAAAAUGCCAAGUUAAAGGAGAAACUUGAGAAGGGCCUUGUGGCAUGCAUACAAGGUGAGAAGAGCCUGAACGAUCUCUUGAGCACUCAAAAAGGUGUUGUAGGGAAGGAGGGACUUGGACUUACCUCCAAGUCAAAAGGUAAAAGGAGAAACAGGAACAAACGAUCUCCUACCCUCAUGGACAUGUUUGUCAAAGAGGGUGAGGGGACUCAGAAGGUGAACAGGAACAAGAUGGACUAUGGAAACCACAACAAGGGCAACACCAUUCCUACUAACACAGCCGACCAACUCAAUUCUUCUUAUGUCUUAUGUCGUGCUAGUGAUGGGCAUGUUUAUGCCAGAUUUGUUGGUUCCUACGAUGAGUACAUUGAAUGGGCUAUCUGGGUUCCUAAGACCCUUGUCUCUAACAUGAAAGGACCCAUUAAAAAAUCGGUACCUAAAGCCAAGCCUUGAUCUAUUGCAGGAGUUUGCUUCCGGUGGGGUGUGAUGGUUUCUCGAUAGUGGAGCAACAAAUCAUAUGACCGGAAGCAAGGACUUAGUGGUGGAUGUGCAUCCUUCUCCAUCUAUGCCCACCCAUGUCCAAUUCGCCGAUGCAUCCUCGUCAAAGGUAUUGGGAUUUGGUAAGGUGGUCGUCUCUCAAGAUUUAUCUAUUGAGAAGGUCAUGCUUGUUGAGUCACUUGCCUACAAUUUACUUUCGGUUCGUCAACUUGCAAUUGUGGGUUUUCUACAUUCUUUAAUUUUGAUAUUGUGGUCUUCCUGUGGAGCAAGACUCUUAAAGUAGCCUAUGUUGGAUAUGUCAAAAAUGGUCUUUAUGUGGUGAACUUCUCAAAGCGACCCACUAAGACCGCGACGUGUUUAAUGGCUAAAGUUGAUGUGGGCUGGCUUUGGCAUCGCCGUUUAGCUCAUGUCAAUAUGAGAUCUUUGCAAAGUCUUCUAACAGGGGACCAUAUCCGUGGACUAACAAAUGUGAGUUUUGCUAAAGAUAGUGUUUGCAGUGCCUGCAUUGAAGGAAAGAUUCAUGAAACUGCUCAUCGUCCAACGACUCUCAUCUACACUAAGAGGCCAUUGGAGCUCCUCCAUAUGGAUCUGUUUGGCCCUCCAUCAUUUGAUAGUCUUGGAGGCAGAAAGUACUGCUUGGUGAUUGUUGACGACUACUCAAGAUACACCUGGGUAUAUUUCGUCAAAAGGAAGAGUGAAAAUCAACAAACUGUAACUUUGCUAAUGAAGAUCAACGUCAACAUGAAGCAAAGAUCUUGAUGAUUAGAAGUGACAACGACACCGAGUUCAAGAACUACAGCUUGGAUGAGUUUCUAGGUGAUGAGGGAAUAAAACAUCAAUAUUCAGCACCAUAUACCCCUCAACAAAACGGCAUGGCAGAAAGGAAGAACCGGACCUUGAUAGACGCUACAAGAACAAUGAUGGUGGAAUUCAAAUCUCCAUCUAACUUUUGGGCAGAGGCCAUCAACAUAGCAUGUCAUCCGUCCAAUCGGCUCUAUAUCCGCAAAGUCUUGAACAAGACUCCUUAUGAGAUUCUAACUAGAAACAAACCCAAUCUCAAGUACUUCCGGGUAUUCGGUUGUAAGUGUUUCAUUCUCAAGAAAGGUGCACGUUUAGUGAAAUUUGAUUCUAGAUCUCAUGAGGGCAUCUUUGUUGCUUAUGCUACAAACUCUCAUGCUUACCGAGUCCUCAACAAGUCCACUGGACUCAUUGAGGAGACGUGUAACAUGGAGUUUGAUGAAAAUAAUGGCUCCCAAGUGGAGCAAAGUGGUCUUUGUGAUAUAGGUGAUGAAAUUCCUCCCCAAGCCAUAAGAAGAAUGGGGAUUGGUCAAAUACUCCCCAUUGAGGAACCCCUUGUGGCCGAAGGAGAAGGACAAUGCUCUACUCAAGUGGAGCCAUCACCUCCACAAGCCCCACACGCUUCCGAUGAACAAAGAGAAGUCUCUCAACAAAAUGAACAAGCUCAAGGUCAAGAUAAAUUGCCCAACAACGAUGAUGUGUCUCAUGAUAUUCAAGCACUCACCCAAGACUCCGAACCGGCUCAUGAUCAAGAUCAAGUGCAACCACGAGAUCCAGACCAAGUAGAAGCACAAGAUCUAGAUCAAGAGCAACCACAAAUACAAGAUCAAACUAGUGAACCUGCUCAAGUCAAAAGUCAAGAUGAUCAGGAUACUGUCUUACAAUUCCCUUCCGCAGCACCAACAGCCGGUGCCAAGGGAGGCUCAAGACGCAAGGGCAAGCAAAGUAAACAAGUCGAUGCUCCCCCGCUAUCCAAUGAAGAAAUCUUGGAGCGUCGAGAAGCCAAGAUUGCGAACAAGCUGAGAGUCAAGUCACAUCUUAUGAAGAAUGUACUUGGCAGUUUAAAAAGGGGAGUAUCCACCCGUCAACAGAUUUGGAAUUAUUGUGAGCAUCGCGCGUUUGUUUCGUAUUGUGAACCUCAACAGGUACAGGAAGCGCUUGAUGAUGAGGAUUGGCUUAUGGCCAUGCAUGAAGAACUUAACAACUUCGAGCGCAACCAAGUGUAGGAUUUAGUGCCAAGGCCAACGGAGGAACAUAAUGUCAUCGGGACCAAAUGGAUAUUCAAGAACAAGCAAGAUGCCAAUGGGAUUGUGAUUCAAAACAAGGCAAGAUUGGUGGCUCAAGGCUACUCCCAAGUCGACGGUAUCGACUACGGUGAAACCUUUGCCCCUGUUGCUCAUCUAGAAUCUAUUCGCAUGUUGCUUGCAUUUGCUUCUCAUCAUAACUUCAAAUUACAACAAAUGGAUGUGAAAAGUGCCUUUCUUAAUGGUCCUUUAAAUGAGUUGGUCUAUGUCAAACAACCCCUGGGAUUUGAACAUCCCAAGCUCCCCAAUCAUGUGUACAAACUUAAUAAGGCACUGUAUGGCCUUAAACAAGCCCCACGUGCAUGGUAUGAGUAUCUUACUGAGUUGUUACAAGAUAGUGGGUUUGAAAUUGGGAAGAUAGAUCCCACUCUUUUUACUAAGAGGGUUAAAUGGGAUUUGUUCAUAUGCCAACUAUAUGUUGAUGAUAUUAUCUUUGGCUCUCCUAACAUUUCCUUCAAUGAAGAAUUUGCUGCACUGAUGACUGAGAAAUUUGAGAUGUCCAUGAUGGGAGAGUUGAAGUUCUUCCUCGGGUUUGAGAUUAAACAAGGCCUAGAAGGGACCUUCAUCAAAAAAGCCAAGUACACUCAAGACAUGCUUAAACGGUUCGAUCUUGAAGAUGUAAAACCGGUCAAGUUCCCCAUGCCAACAAGAUGCAAGCUUGACAGUGAUCCCAAUGGUAAAGCAGUGGAUCAAAAGGUAUAUCGCUCCAUGAUUGGAUCCCUCCUUUACCUUUGUGCAUCUAGACCGGAUAUUAUGUUGAGUGUAGGGAUAUGUGCACGGUUUCAAUCCGCACCAAAAGAAAGUCCUUAUAUGGCUGUUAAGCGAAUCUUUCGAUAUUUGGCUCAUACCCCAAACUUUGGCCUUUGGUAUCCCAAAGGAGCAAACUUCAAUCUAGUUGGCUAUUCUGACUCAGAUUGGGUAGGAGAUUGUGUGGAGAGGAUGUCAACUUCUGGAGGAUGCCAAUUCCUUGGUCGCUCAUUGGUAAGUUGGUCUUCAAAGAAGCAGAAUUGCAUCUCUCUAUCAUCCCCCGAAGCUGAGUAUGUGGCAACUGCAAGUUGUUGUGCACAAAUGCUAUGGAUGAGGCAAACUUUAAAGGAUUACGGUGUCACUUGUGACAAAGUGCCUCUUCUAUGUGACAAUCAAAGUGCUAUCAAGAUUUCCCUCAAUCGAGUGCAACAUAGCAAAACCAAGCAUAUUGAUAUUCGCCAUCACUUCAUUCGUGAACAUAUCAAGCUAGGUGAUAUUGAGGUUCAUUUCAUCCACACUAAAGAGCAACUUGCAGAUAUUUUCACUAAGCCCCUAGAUGAAGCAAGGUUCCGGGAGUUAAGGCAUGAGCUAAAUAUCAUUGAUUCAAGUAAUGUGGAUUGAAGCUAGGCACGUUGCACCUCACUAUGCAUUCUAUCUUGUUCUAGAUGUAGGCAUGGACAUAGGGGGAGUGUUGUUCUCUCAAUGAACUUUUCCUCCCCCCAUUAUGCAUAAAUCGAUCUAGUCUUUCACUUUAGCCAUUGUCAAAUGGCACUUUUGCUUCAAAGACGAGAAUUGGUCAUGAACCCAAGGAUAAUUCUUCAGGUGUCAUACUUUUGCCUCAAACAUAGGUGGCCUCGGCCACCGCCCCCCCCCCACCUUUCUCUCAUAUAGAAGGAAGGAUAUAAAAUGACAAGUUAGUAUAUCUUGCUGGUGCUAUCUUCUUUUUCACUCACUCGUCAUUUGCCCAUGUUCUUCUGUUAUUCUAGGCCCCGUGGUAACAUUGGCAGCGGUACUACCGCCAGGGGUAGCGGUAGUACCGCCAGGACCCCAGCGGUAGUACCGCCAGGGGUAGCGGUACUACCGCCAGGACCCCAGCGGUACUACCGCCAGGGAUACCGGUACUACCGCCAGGAUCCCAAUCUACCACGACCUAACUAGGACAUUUUUAGGGGUGUCUCAGGGGGAGCGGUACUACCGCCAGGACCCCAGCGAUACUACCGCUGCAGCCAGCGGUACUACCGCCAGGUAGCGGUACUACCACCAGGACCACAGCGGUACUACCACUGGCCCGUACCCUUGGGCUAUAUAAAGGAGGGGGAGCCCGUUUUUCUGCCUCCUUCAUCUUCCUCGCGGCUCCUCCCUCCCCAACCUCGAACUCCCCCGAUUUCGAUCUCUAUUCGUGGAGCCCCUUCUCUCCAUUGAGUUGGAGGGUUUGCUCCACUUCUCCUUCCUCCUCCAAGUGCCAUUGAUCCUGGUAAAGCUCCUCCCCUUCUUCUCUUGAUUGUUGUUCUUGUUCUAGGGUUAGGAGCAUUGGUGAUUUGGAUCCAUGUCUUUGAUAUUGUGCCUUGUUCUUGGAUGGCAUGAAGGAGAUGUUCAAGGGGAGUGUAGGUCCUAUGAAUCUGUGCUUUUAUUUUGCCAUGCCCUAGGAUUUACAUGUUUUAGAUCAAGCACUUGGACUAUGUUUGGAUUAGAUCUAAAACUUGCUCUCUCUUGACUAGGCAUGUGCUUAUUUAGAUGGUACUUGUGACCCUCAUGAGAUUAGGGCUAUGUUGCAGUUCUUAGUGUUCAUACACAGCCCAUAGCCCUCGUCAAAUCCAUGUAGCCAUCUCUAUGGGUUCCAUUCAUAUUUCCGAUCUGGAAAAUCAAACCCCAGCGGUACUACCGCCAGGGUAGCAUUACUACCGCCAGGACCCCGGCGUUACUACCGCCAGGGGUAGCGGUACUACCGCCAGGACCCCGGCGGUACUACCGCCAGGAGGAUCCUCUGUGUAUUCUUUUCAUGUGCUUGGCAAUGUGUGUUUAUUUUUCUUCCUUCUCUUGUUCAUUGCCUUGACUCCUUUUGUCGCUCUUUUUCGGUGUGUGUUUUGUGUCAUAGGUGGUGCUCGCCGCUCAAACCCCCCACGGGACAUGCAGUCAAAGCAUUAUCGCAACCCAGAGGCUCUAGAGGGCUCCGCCACUUCAGGUCUACAACCCAAAAAGCAGGCCUUCAAGAAGACCUCUCACAAGGACAAGGGGCUCAACGUUCGCACCAUGCCCCCUAAGUAUUUUCUGCGGUUCCGCACCCAAAACCACUAUCUCCAAGAGCGGGCUGUGAUCAAGAAUGUCGAGCAUGUGUGGACAAGGGAUCACUGCAGGAUCUACCGUGAUAUCAUCAACCAUUUCAACAAGAACUUUGUCCCUGUUCAGUGGAUUGACCUGGCUCACCUUUAGCGGAACUUGGACUACUUUGGUGAUGCUCUCUCUCUGAUUGACAAACUGGGCAUCAAGGAGAUCAUCUCUUUCAAGACAGACUUUGACCCCAAUGUUGUUGCCCAGUUCUAUGUCACGGUUCACUUCUCUCCUGAUGACGAGCGCUCCAUGGUGUGGAUGACUGGGACUCAAAAGAUGACCGGUUCCUAGCGUGAAUUCAUGGCAUUCCUCAAGGUUGAUUUCCAGGGAGCUGACACUCCACUUGGGUUGCGUCCUCAUGCUGCAGCUUCCACUGAUAGGGCCUCCACCAAGGACAGAUUGCAGCUACUCUAUGUGAAGAAGGGUGUGCUCCCCAGGCAUCUCGACAUCAUGCAUCGGAUCUUUCGCAACACCCUCUUUCCUUGCAUUGGCAACUUCGACGAGGUACAUGACUCUCUGGCUAAGAUGCUACUGCUCUGUGAGGAGGCUAUGACUAAGGAGUCUGCCCCUCUUGAUAUUUCUGAUGUGAUGUUCACUGAGCUCUGGAACUGCAUCACAAUGCGCAAGGUUCCCAUCUACGGGCCCUACUUGUUUGCUUAUAUCCGUUAGAAGUGGCAAGACACCUAUCCGCAGGAGGAGUUAUACAUUCAGGCUGACUACAUUGUGCACGAUCCUGUCAAGCUUCGCGUCAAGGACAAAUGGGCCAACCCAUCAACUUCAUCUCAGCACAUGAACACUCACACAGAGACUGCUGCUGACAGAGGGACCGCCUCUCAGUCCCGCUCUUCUGCCAUGCCAUCUUGGGCCAUGAAGCUGCAGGAUAAGAUGAAGACUCUCUUCUGUAUGCAGGCUAAGGGCUAGUAUCAGACGCACGUGGCUCAGAAGGAGAACCGCCAGAGGCACAAGCGUGUCCUGAGGACACUUGAUGUGGACAUCUCCAGCGGAUCAGAGGACGACAUCACUCCAGAGGCUGCUUGGAUGCGGGCUCAAGGUUACCAGUGGUCUGGCGUUGAGGAGGAAGAGGACAAUGAAGAGGAGCAGGACGAUCCGGAGGGUACGGACGAGUUUGGCGAUGCUGAGGAUGAGGAGUAACCACCUGUGGCGUUAGGUAUGCCCCUUAUCGUGGGUAUAAGCCUGACAGUAGAUGUGUAGGGUACGAAUGAGAUGGGCAGAGUCCUAGCUACGGCGAGGUUGUAUGAGUUCAGGCCCCUCUGCGGUGGAGGUAACAGCCCUAUGUCUCAGUGCUCUCGAAGCUUGUUACCGAGUGUAAUAUGGAAUACAAUGAUUUGCUAACCCUUCUACCAGUGGGGGAGGGCGGCUUAUAUAGAGUGCGCUGCCCUCCACAAUGGUUCUGGUAUAAGGGCGGAGUAGUGGGGAUUGAAUGCAUACGUUACAGGUAACGUAUGCUCUAAAUGCUAAUAAAUGCACCCGGAAACGUACGACCGUUUCCCUCCAGGGAGGUUACGAUGUACCGAGUGUAUCCAGUCGGUUAGCUUGGUAUUCUCCGAAUGCUAGUAUCCGACUGGACGAUAUAGGACCCGUUCCUGACUUGAUAAUGGGGAUUCCUUAAUUCAGUCGGGGUAGACUUAGGGUCUUGUCUUUGUGUGGGGUAGUCCUUGGGUAGGACCUGUAUGGCAGGCCUAUGACCCUACCCUAGGACUACGACCCCAUCAUUAGUCCCCGAAUGGAUCGGGGUUGAAACGACGAAGCAGUGCUUGAAGUUCGGAUCCGACUGGAGUAGAUUCGUCUUGGGCGUUGCUUGCCUCUAUCCAUUUUACCUUUUCUGACCAACGAUCCGAGUGGAAGUGCUUGCGAAACCGACUGUUGGGAACCGAGUGUUUCCGCUGCAUCUUUUGACGCGACCGGUCAACUCACAGCGGUGGGUUUCCCGGGAUCUCAAAUUUUAGGUUCCGCGCGCUCAGCGGGGACGACGUCAGCGCACUCGAGUAGCGUCUGACGCCUUGAUUCUCGCGCCUUCAAGUCCUCCACUGAUAUCGCCGCAGCCGGUCGGGCGGAUAAGGUUUCGGGGCCACCCGCCAGUGACCUAGUCGGAACUCUAUUUAAAUCUGGGCGGCGAGGUUUCUUCGUUACGCUCGCCGAAUCUUUCGCUCUCGCCUGCUCCGUCUUCCUCGCCACCUCCAGCGCUCCCAUACUCCCUCCUUCUCCUUCCUCUCGAGAGUUCGCCGUCGCCUCCAUGACCAAGGGUCAGACCAGCAAGAUGGAGGCGAGGAAGAAGAAGGGCAAGGCGGCGGCAGCGGCCGCUGCCGGCGGGGUGGAUCCAAGGAGACUUCCUCCCCUCCAGAGUGACGGAGGGAGAUCUGCUGCAGCUGGUGGAGCAUGGAGUGCUCGUGCACAAGUCCUGGAGACUGCCGGCGGAGGACGAGGUCGAGCCAGCGCCCCGGGAGGGGGAGCGCGUCCUGCUCCUCAGCCAUGUCCACCGAGGUUUUUCUUUGCCCCCGCAUCCUUUCUUCAAGGGCAUCAUGAAUCACUUCGGUGCCCAACUUCACCAUUUCCCUCCGAAUGCCAUCGCGCACCUUUCUGCCUUCAUAGUCUUAUGUGAGUGUUUUAUCGGCUGCCCUCCCCAUUGGGGUUUGUUCAAACACAUCUUCUCCGUCUGAUCCCAAACCAUCAAACGACUUAGCCAGUCGGAUGAUAAGACGCACCUCCUCCAGCUCUGUGGGGGUUUAGGAUUCCAGAAGAAGAGUCGGAGUAGCUAUCCUGCUCUCCAGUUAAGUGAGUAGGUUAGGAACUGGCAGUCGACGUGGUUCUACUGCCAGGAUAUCGCCUGUCCAAAUGCGUCGACUGGUCUGCCUCCUUUUAGUCUAGACCGGCCCGCCCCGCCUAAGCAGCUCGCGCUCUCGAAGGCGGAGAAGAACGAUGUCCAGCCCUUGGUUGAGGCGCUCGUGGACGUCGUCAGGAGGGGGUCACCGGUAUAGACCUGCUGGAAGUCUUCCUUGGUCGGUGGAUCCAGCCUCUGCAGGCUCGCGACCAUGCCAUGUGGCAUUACACGGGGCCCGAGGAUUCCACUCGGACCAAUGUUGUGGGCGUGACUGAGGAGAGGGUGACCUCGUGGGUGCUCCAGAUCACGGGCCCCUGUGAGAAUCCCAAAGAAUCACGGCGAGUGAAGCCCUUCUGCGCGGAUAAUCCCCCGCCGAAUCAGGUGAGAGACUCUUGUCGAGUGCUCCUAAUUGUCUUAAUCUUGUCGUUUGCUUGAAUCUGUGUGUGAUGUUUGAUGUCGCCGACUGAAUUUUAUGCAGGAGUGGACCAACUGGUUUUCUCCCGUCUCGAACGGGAAUCCGACCGAGGAGGAGGAGGGCAGCUAGGAGGGCAGCGUGGAGAGCACGGAAUAUGUCUCCGACAGUGGGGAGUCGGAGGAAGAGUCCAGCGAGGAGGAGGAAGAAGACGAGGAGCAGGACUCGCCACCCCCACAACUGGAGCAUCGGACCAAGCGCCGACACGAACCCGCUGUCCCCUCAGCUCCUCCCGCGUCUUCGAGUGCUCCGCCUACUGCUCCAGUGGUCCCGAGUGUUCGAAGCGCUAAGAGUACCCGGGAUGCCGCCGCUGAGCCUGCAGGCCAAUCUUCUAAGGCGCCCAAGACGAGUGGGCCUAAACCUCGGAAGGCUCUGCCGCGAAUAAGGGUCGCUGUCCCCGUCACCUCCACGUAAGUGUACUCAGCUUUCAGUUUUUCUUCUGAUAUCCGAGUGAAUUUCUGCUUACUGGCCGACUGGAUAUCACUCGACAGGGUCGCUACUUCUGCCACCUCCCCGGCGCGUCAGGAAUACGACCCCAUGGACACGGACAACGUCGUCUCGUCUCAGCCAGGUGCAUUGUAGGAACGUCGAGUGUUUUAUACCAUCGCUUCUUUCUUUUUCUGAGACCUCGUGUCAUUCGGCCUGUCAGGGGCGAUCUGCCUGGAUGAGGGCGGCCAGGGGAGAGCCAACCCAGCUGUGGAGCCUGUUCUUGAGGCUGCUCCUCCCGCUGCCGCCCUCGCCGCCGACGUGCUGCCGACGGAGGCACCGCCGCCGACUGAACCAGUGCUGGUGGAGGAGGAGCCGACUGGGGCGGGCCUUGGAAUGCCUCAGGAACCUCCGACGAUUCCAGGUUCGUCGCAUGCUGAAUUCAGCAUCCAGCGUCUUCCAGAGGAGUAGGUGGGAGCGGCCAAGGGGGCUAUGGUGCAGGCGGAGCUGAUGACUGGAGAAGCCAAGAGGGCCUAUGACUCCAUUGCGGCCUUGUACCAGCGGAGCUUGGAGCUACGCGAUGAUAUCCGAGUAAGUGGUCUAGUAAGCAUUUACUUUUCCCCUGUAACCCUCUGGGUGUUAUUGAAUAUCAGCUGUUGUUUGCAAUGGGUUCACUCUGAGUGAACCCAGUGGGUGUAGUCCCCGAGACUUCUGUCGAGUGCUUGCACCGACAGUUGUCUUUAUACACUUUGCCUUGAGUUUGGUUGUGUCUGUAAAUAGGAUUACCGAGUGCGAGUAAUUGUUGCAGUCGGAGUGCACUUACGGUAAGAGUCCCCGAGAGUAAGUUGUACUCAGGUCGGGUAGUAUUGGCCUCGGAGGCGUAGGUGAUAACAUGCAUUUCAAUAGGGCAAGCCUGCUUGAGGUGCAUGCCAGUGGGGUCACGCUUAGUGAACCCACUGGGUGUAGUCCCCGAGACCGCUGUCGACUGCUUGCGUCAGCAGGGGUCUGAAGAACUUAGACUGUUAACUGUUGAACUUUCUGAUUGUCCCUUGUUUGUUGUUGGCAGAAAACUUGUGCAAUGGGAUCAGCCUAUGAGACUCUCAAGGCGGAGAGGAAUCAGUUCGCUGGCGAACUUGAUGCGGCCAUGCUUGCAAUGGCUGGCAUUAAGGAUUCCCUGGCGGAACGGGAGAAAUCAUUGGAGCAGGCGCGUGAAGUGAACAAGGUGUUGACUGAGGAAGGGGAAAAGAUGGGGAAGCAGAGGACUACGCUGAUGAGUCAGAUGGAUGUGCUGAACAAACGAUGUAGAGCACAAGAGAAAUAUGUCAGCGACUGGGCUCGGCAGAUGAUGACGCGUCUGGCUGGUAAGUCCUUAUUUUUCCGAGUGGUUGUGCUAUGCGCGUAGCACUCGGCGCUUAUUGUCUGUUUGUCCUAUUGUCGCAGAUUUUUGCUUUGACGCCGAAGCUGAAGCGGCUGACGUGGAGCGUUCGAUUCUUGAGAACUUUCCACUCGGCGACGACGCCAAUCGGGAUCUGCUCCGUGCGCACAUCCGCGUGGGCAAAGUUGGUCCUUUCAUCGGUCGACUGAGAGAAGUCGUCGGCCGAAUCGACAAGGAGCUUUGGCCAGAAGAUGAGUCGCGGCAGGAGAUGGAGAACCUGAUGACCCGACUGGCGGAGAUUCCCAACAGAGUGCAGUCGUGGAAGAAAUCUGCAGCUCGUUGUGGUGCAGAUGUUGCUCUGUCCCUGGUCCGAGUCCAUUGCAAGGAGGUGCGUGAGGAAAAAAUGAAGACGCGGAAGGUCGCCAACACGAAGAAGCUUCGAUUCGAAGACUUCAUGGAGACGUUCCUUGAGAGUGCUACCCGCAUCGCCGACGGAAUCGACUUGGACACUUUCGUGGAGCCCUCCAGUCCUGGUACCGGCCCAGCUGACGCGUAAGAAACUUUAUCCUCGGUAUGCCGAGUGUUUAUCUGUAAGGUACUUUGGCCACUUCUGUUGUCCGUCACACUUUUAAAUCGGUGCGGGCAAACUUGAUCCGCACCGAGUUAGCUAUCUUUGCGAGGAUUUUGGAAUCCGAUUUUUGCUCUUCUGUUGCAAUGUUGAUUCGAGUUUUUGGUUGGCGUUUCUUGGUGAAGCCAAAGGCAAACAGCCGAUGCUGGAUUGCUGUUAAGCUCCCUCCGAGUGUAACGUGAAGUGCACACUCGGAGAAGGUUAUUACUUAGGCGAUGCUGGAUCGCAGCUAAGCCCCCGAGUGUGACGUGUAGUGCACACUCAGAGAAGGUUAAUACUUAGGAGAUGCUGGAUCGCAGCUAAGCCCCGAGUGUGACGUUAAGUGCACACUCGGAUAAAGAUAAUACUUAGGGGAUGCUGGGUCGCAGCUAAGCCCCCGAGUGAGACGUUAAGUACACACUCGGAUAAAGUUAAUACUUAGGCGAUGCUGGACCGCACCUAAGCCCCCGAGUGUGACGUUAAGUGCACAUUUGGAGAGAGUUAAUACUUAGGUGAUGCUGGAUCGCAGCUAAGCACCCGAGUGUGACGUUAAGUGCACACUCGGAGAGAGUUAAUACUUAGGCGAUGCUGGAUCGCAGCUAAGCCCCGAGUGUGACGUUAAGUGCACACUCGGAGAGAGUGAAUACUUAGGCGAUGCUGGAUCGCAGCUAAGCCCCCGAGUGUGACGUUAAGUGCACACUCGGAGAGAGUUAAUACUUAGGCGAUGCUGGAUCGCAGCUAAGCCCCCGAGUGUGAUGUUAAGUGCACACUCGGAGAGAGUUAAUACUUAGGCGAUGCGGGAUCGCAGCUAAGCCCCCGAGUGUGACGUUAAGUACACACUCGGAGAAAGUUAAUACUUAGGCGAUGUUGGAUCGAAGCUAAGUUUUUUUUUUAAGACCGGAGUCUGCGACCGCGGAAGAACUUUGAACCUGCAAAAAACUCAAUCUGCUUUAUAUUACUUCGCCAACACUUGUUCUUUACAUCGCUUUAGUCGACGGUCACGUGUAGAAGCGCUUCAGGAGAUCUCCGUUCCAUGCGCGCGGCUCGUCAGUCUCUCUUUCGAUGUUGUAGAGUCUGUAUGCUCCGUUGUUCAGCACCUUGGAGAUGAUGAAGGGUCCUUCCCAGGCCGGAGCUAACUUGUGAGGUCUUUGUUGAUCCACUCGGAGCACCAGGUCGUCUGCUUGGAACGUCCGACUUCUGACGUGGCAUGCAUGAAAACGCCGCAGAUUUUGUUGAUAAAUGGUCGAGCGAGUUAAUGCCAUCUCGCGUUCUUCCUCUAGAAGAUCUACUCCAUCUUGCCUUGCUUGUUCUGCCUCAGCUUCGGAGAAGGGUUCGACUCGUGGGGCAUUAUGAAGCAGGUCACUCGGAAGGACCGCUUCUGCUCCAUAAACGAGGAAGAACGGUGAUCGCCCCGUUGAUCUGUUCGGAGUGGUGCGGAGGCCCCAAAGCACUGAAGGUAACUCGAUGACCCAUGCGCCAGCAGCGUGUCCCACCUCUCGCAGGAGUCGGGGCUUCAAACCUUGAAGAAUAAGCCCAUUCACCCGCUCAGCCUGUCCGUUGGAUUGAGGAUGUGCUACGGAAGCAAAAUCCACUCGGAUACCCUGACUCACGCAGAAACCCUUGAAUCUGUCCGAGUCGAAGUUUGUCCCGUUGUCCGUAAUUAUGCUGUGAGGUACACCGAAUCUGAAGAUGAUGUCCCUGACAAACUUGACGGCUGUCGAAGCGUCGAGCUUCUUGAUGGGCUUCGCUUCGAUCCACUUCGUGAACUUGUCGACUGCCACCAACAGAUGUGUGUAUCCACCUUGGCCUGUCUUGAAUGGGCCGACUGUAUCUAAUCCCCACACUGCAAACGGCCACACAAGAGGGAUCGUCUUCAAUGCAGACGUUGGCUUGUGGGACUUGUUGGAGUAGAACUGGCAGCCCUCACAUCGAUCAACCAUAUCCCUAGCCAUCUCAUUAGCCUGUAGCCAAAAUAACCAGCCCUGAACGCCUUGGCUACGAUUGCUCUCGAAGAAGCGUGAUGACCGCGGGUUCCCGAGUGAAUAUCCUCCAGAAUCAGCUGCCCCUCCUCUGGGGAGAUGCAUCGUUGAAGAACACCCGAGAUACUUUCCUUGUACAAUUGGCCUUCAAUGACAGUGAAUGACUUCGAUCUGCGGACUAUCUGCCUGGCUUGGCUUCGUCUUCUGGAAGUUCUUGCCUCAAGAUAUAUGCCAUGAUCGGCACAGUCCAAUCGGGAAUGACAGCCAGAAUCUCCAUGACCAGAUCAACCACCACAGGUACAUCGACUUCAGUCGGACCUGUUGCGCUCUUGGGUUGUACCAAUUCCUAUGUGAAAGGAUCUUCUUUGACUGACGGGAGGUGGAGGUGUUCAAGGCAGACGUCACUCGGGACUGGUCUCCGAGUGGAUCCGAGUUUUGCUAACUCGUCAGCUGCUUGGUUCUUCAGUCUUGGAACAUGGUGGAGCUCCAGACCUUCAAACUUCUUCUCUAGCUUCCUCACUGCAUUGCAGUAUGUGGUCAUGGUGGGGUUCUUGACGUCCCACUCUUUCAUCACUUGAUUGACCACCAAAUCUGAAUCGCCGUAGACCAUCAAGCGACGGACGCCGAGUGAGAUGGCCAUGCACAAUCCGUAGAGGAGAGCCUCGUACUCUGCCUCGUUGUUGGAGGAAUCAAAGUGUAUCUGCAACACGUAUUUGAGCUUGUCGCCCUUUGGUGAUAUGAUCACAACGCCAGCGCCGGAGCCAUUCAACAUCUUAGACCCAUCGAAGAACAUUGUCCAAUGAGCCGAGUAGAUGUGGGUCGGUUGCUGUUGUUCUACCCAUUCUGCUAUAAAGUCAGCUAGGGCUUGAGACUUAAUAGCUUUCUUGGCCUCGAACUUGAUGUCACAGUACAACAUCUCCAUUGCCCACUUCGCCACUCGGCCUGAUGCGUCUCGAUUGUGGAGAAUUUCCGACAACGGAGCAUUAGAAACGACAGAUACCGAGUGGUCUUGGAAAUAAUGAGCCACCUUCUUCGCAGUCAUAUAGAUCCCAUAGAUAAGUUUUUGAUAAUGGGGAUACCUCUGCUUGGAAGGAGUCGGGACUUCGGAAACAUAGUAGACUGGCCGCUGAACUUUGUAUGCUUUGCCUUCUUCUUCUCGCUCGACUGUAAGAACAGUACUGACAACUUGAUUUGUAGCCGCAAUAUAUAGAAGAAGGGGCUCUUUACUGAGCGGAGCAGUAAGAACCGGCUGGGUGGAAAGUAGGACUUUGAGGUCGUCGAAUGCGACUUGGGCUUCAUCUAUCCACUCGAAGGUAUCUGAUUUCUUCAUGAGUCGGUACAGAGGAAGUGCUUUUUCGCCGAGUCGACUGAUGAACCUGCUCAAAGCCGCUAGGCAACCUGUGAGCCGUUGAACAUCGUGUAUUCUGACCGGCCUUUCCAUUCGGACGAUGGUCCCGAUCUUUUCGGGGUUGACGUCGAUCCCUCGUUCGGAAAUGAAGAAACCGAGUAACUUUCCGCUGGGAACACCGAAUGAACAUUUGGAUGGGUUGAGCUUGAUAUCGUACCUACGAAGGUUGGCGAAUGUUUCUGCCAAGUCAGUCAGCAGGUCGGAACCUUUGUGUGACUUGACUACGAUAUCAUCCAUAUAUGCCUCCACAUUGCGACCGAUCUGGUCAAGGAGACAUUUUUGGAUCAUGCGCAUAAAGGUAGCUCCUGCAUUCUUCAGACCGAAAGGCAUAGUGAUGUAGCAGAAGCACCCGAAUGGGGUGAUGAAGGCUGUCUUUAACUCAUCGGGACCAUACAGACGGAUCUGAUGAUAGCCCGAGUAGGCAUCGAGAAACGACAGACGCUCGCAACCCGCAGUCGAAUUGACAAUUUGAUCUAUGCGGGGGAGCGGAAAAUGGUCUUUCGGGCAGACCUUAUUGAGGUGCUUGAAGUCGAUGCACAUUCAGAGCGACUUGUCCUUCUUGGGCACCAUGACAACAUUGGCGAGCCACUCGGAGUGGUGAACCUCGCGAAUGAAGUUGGCUGCCAACAGCUUGGCCACCUCUUCCCCGAUUGCCUUCCUCUUGUGUGCGGCGGACCGGCGCAGGCGCUCUCGGACAGGCCGAGCUGUGGAAUCCACGUGCAGUCGGUGCUCAGCCAACUCCUUGGGUACACCUGGCAUGUCAAAGGGUUUCCAUGCGAAGAUGUCCCAGUUCUCACGGAGGAAUUGGGUGAGCUCGGCUUCCUAUUUAGGAUCGAGGGUGGUGGAGAUGCUCGUCGGGGCAGCAGUGGCGUCCGUCGGGUGGAUGCUGACCUUCUUCGUCUCUCCUGCCGACUGAAAUGCAGACUCUGAAGCUGGCUUCUUCGAGCGCAUCAGGUCGGUGGGGUCGAUUGUUUUCUUGUACUCGUCCAGCUCGAGGACGGCCAUCUGCUGGUCGGUGAUCCUUGAUCCCUGCUGCAGACACUCUUCAGCCCGCUGCCGAUUGCCUGUGAUGGUGAUCACGCCUUUCGGGCCGGCAUCUUCAACUUCAGGUACAUGUAACAUGGACGGGCCAUGAAAUGCGCAUACGCUGGGCGACCCAGAAUUGCGUGAUAAGCGCUCUGGAAGUCAACCACUUCGAACGUCACCCUUUCCUUGCGGAAGUUCUUGUCGGAGCCGAAAACGACGUCCAACGCAAUCUGGCCGAGUGAUUUGGCCUUCCGUCCAGGGACGACUCCCUGGAACUGCAUGCUGCUCUCGCUGAGUCUGGACAUCGGGAUGCCCAUCCCCUUGAGGGUGUCGGCGUACAUGAUGUUCAAGCCGCUGCCGCCAUCCAUGAGGACUUUGCGCAGUCGGACUCCUUGUACCACUGGGUCGACGACCAGGGCCUGUCUUCCCGGGGUGGGUACAUGUGCCGGAUGAUCCGACUGGUCGAAGGUGAUCGCAGUCUGGGACCAUUUGAGGAACUUGGGGUUGGAAGGGGUGGCCAUGUUCACCUCUCGGUUCACCAGCUUCAGUCGGCUCUUGCUCUCGACGUCAGCAAAGAUCAUCAGGGUGGCAUGGACUUGGGGGAACGGAUCCUCCUUAUCCUCCUCAUCCUGUUCAUGGUCCUUCUCACUCAGUUGCCCUUCGCUGAAUCCCUGGAUCAGGAGGCGACACUGUCGAGUGGUAUGCUUCGCAUAUAUGGGGUUGCCUUCUUCGUCCAUCUUCGUGUGCACCGGACAAGGCUAGUCCAGGAUGGGAUUGUUGAACGGCUUCUUCUUGGGGGUAAACUGCGCCUUCCCUUUGCCCUAGAACUUAGCAUUGGUCACGGCUGCAGCCUCUGCUUGCGGUGUGGGCGGAGCUUUCUGUUUCGGAGUGUUACCUCCGUCAACAUCGCCGACUGUCUUGUGCUUGCCGCUCCGGAUGUGGUCCUCUUCUUCACCAUUUGCAUAGCGCGCCGCUAUCUCCAUCAUCUUGCUCAUGGAGAUGUCGCCUGUUCGACCGAACUUUAAGUACAGCUCUCUGUACCGCACGCCUGCCUUGAAGGCGCAGACUGCCUGAUGCUCGGUGACGUUCUCCACCGUGUGGUAGAGAGUUGUCCAACGCUGGAUGAAGUCGCGCAGGGGCUCAUUCGGCUUCUGGACACAGUGCUGGAGUUCCACAAGGCCUGCAGGGUGUUUGCACGUCCCCUCGAAGGUCCUGAUGAAUACUCGGGCCAGAUCUGCCCAACUGUAAAUGCUCGAGGGGGCCAACUGGUUUAGCCACGCUCGCGCCGAGCCGUCGAGCAUCAGAGGGAGGUGCUUCAUAGCGACAUGGUCGUCCCCUCCUCCGAUCUGGACUGCCACUCGGUAGUCAUCCAGCCAUGUUUCCGGCUUGGACUCUCCUGUAAACUUACUGAUUCCCGCUUCAAUCGGAAGUUGGGCGGGAUGUCAGCCGAGCGGAUGGCUCGACUAAAACACUCGGGACCGGACACGAUGGCCCUGCUUCCACUCGGACGGUCCAUAUCGUAACCAUCACGGUGGGCUCGACCCCUGUCGACUCGUCACUGGGCGAUACAUCCUCUUGCCUCGGGUCUUGGGUCGUGAGUGUUGUCGAGUGAACGCCGAUCAUCAUGAUGUCGGGACCCAUAGGGCCCACCCCGCGGAGGGGUGAGUGAGCGGCGGCGAUCUUCAUGAAUCAAGGAACGACUGCCUCCCCUGUGGCGCUGAUGGGAUCCAGGGCUGUGAACCGACCGAUGCGUGUUGGCGUGGACGGAACUAUUGUAGAUCCGGUUGUGCGACUGGGAGACUGCCGAAUUCUGCUGCUGCGCCGUGUGCAAUAGGGCUCGGAUCUGCUCGAUCCCUCUACCAGCCUCUGAAUCAGUCGGCUGGAGGGAAUCGGCUAUCUUGGCAGCAGCAGCCAAGUUGAGGAGGGGCGUGCGGAACAACUCCACGUUGCUCCGCCGAGUGUGUCGACUGGCAGAACGGCGAGGUGGACGGCUCGCACCGGAUGCUUCGCCGACCUCGCGCUCGCUUCGACCAGCUUGAUGGGGAUCUUCAUGGGUGUUGGCCAUGUGAACUUCUAGUGCAGGCCCGCGGCCCGCGUACUCGAAAGGAAACUCAGUCAGAACUGAGCCCGAGUGCUGGGAAUGUAGGGCAACCACAACAGACUCCAGAACUGCCACUUGAGAAGACGCGAUCUGACGCGCUCGGGCAUGCUGCACCCAACGUUGGAGACGCGGACGGCGGGACCGCUUGUUGCGGCGCAUGAUGGAGGUGCAGGUCGACAACAGAGCCGAUUGUUGGAGAAGAAGAACGCCGUGGGCGCCGGCACGGAAGUGCGUGGCCCCGCGAUGGGGAAGCGCCUCAACGUCGAGAGGUGCCUCCCGAAGCCACGCCGAAUCGUCGACGGUGAAGGAGAGAGCACCGAAGAAGAUCUAGUGACCCAUGCUCGAAUCUCCACCGGAUGACAUGACGAAAGGAAGUAGUCGCAAACUCGCCGGAAGUCGCUUAGACGCCUGCCCCACGGUGGGCGCCAACUGUCGUGGGUAUAAGCCUGACAGUAGAUGUGUAGGGUACGAAUGAGAUGGGCAGAGUCCUAGCUACGGCGAGGUUGUAUGAGUUCAGGCCCCUCUGCGGUGGAGGUAACAGCCCUACGUCUCAGUGCUCUCGGAGCUUGUUACCGAGUGUAAUAUGGAAUACAAUGAUUUGCUAACCCUUCUACCAGUGGGGGAGGGCGGCUUAUAUAGAGUGCGCUGCCCUCCACAAUGGUUCUGGUAUAAGGGCGGAGUAGUGGGGAUUGAAUGCAUACGUUACAGGUAACGUAUGCUCUAAAUGCUAAUAAAUGCACCCGAAAACGUACGACCGUUUCCCUCCAGGGAGGUUACGAUGUACCGAGUGUAUCCAGUCGGUUAGCUUGGUAUUCUCUGAAUGCUAGUAUCCGACUGGACGAUAUAGGACCCGUUCCCGACUGGAUAAUGGGGAUUCCUUAAUUCGGUCGGGGUAGACUUAGGGUCUUGUCCUUUGUGUGGGGUAGUCCUUGGGUAGGACAUGUAUGGCAGGCCUAUGACCCUACCCUAGGACUACGACCCCAUCACCCCUUUUUGGUGUCUUGUGCCAAAGGGGGAGAGAGUCUAGGAGCUGGAUUUGCUUUGAGAGUUGAACUUUGCUUAGCUUUGCUUAUCUUUCGUGUUUUUCUUUGAACUUGGUUUGCUUCUAUUUUGCUAUCUUUCGUGAGACAUGAAUUUAUGUGAGAUUUAUUUCCAUCAUAUGAUGUGAGUCAUAUGUUCUUUAUUUUCAUAUAUCUCUAUCUUUCUGUUCUCAUAUUAUUCUUUGUGCAAAUCCGGUAUUGUCAUCAGUCCACCAAAAAGGGGGAGAUUGUUGGGGCAUAGUUUAUGCCUAAGUAAUUUGGGUGAUUGAUGAUAGGACCGCAAAGGACUAACCGUGUGUAUUAAGAUUUCAGAUAACACACGUCAAUGGCACAAGACGACUCGCCCCCUCUUUCGUGGAACAGAAGCACGGUGUUCCCUACGAUUCUCUUUAUUUGAGUCAUAGGAAACCCGUACUAUUAAGAGGGGAACCAUAGUGGAAAGGUUUGGGUGGAAUCAAUCUUGCACGCGCACACUUCACAUAUUUUCCCCCUUGCCGGCAACUUUGGAGUGGCUCCCGCCGUAGUGUUUCCUUCAUCUUUGCAAAGGGUCCCCCAGCGGUAGUACCGCUGGGCCUAGCGGUAGUACCGCUGGCCUUAGCGGUAGUACCGCUGGAGUGCUAGCAGUAGUACCGCUGCAUCCAGCGGUAGUACCUCUCCAGGAGCUUAGUACCACGUGCCUAGCGGUUGUACGUGGACGGACCUUUUUGCGAAGACUUUCUUGGCGGUGGUAGUGCUUAUGCACUACCAGGGGCCCAGCGGUAGUACCGCUGCACCCAGCGGUAGUACCGCAGGAGUGCCAGCGGUAGUACCGCUGCAUCCAGCAGUAGUACCGCUAGGCACGGGCUGUGAGUGGGAAAACGGUUGGAUUUCCCCCCCCCCCCACUAUAUAAAGGGUUCUUCUAGCUGUGGAACUCUAUCUCUGACCCUCCCAAGCUCCAUUGUUGCUCCCUAAGAUCAAAAGUGCCCGAUCUCUCUCCCUAGCCAAUCAAACUUGUUGAUUCUUUAGGGAUUGGUUGAGAAGGCCUAGAUCCACACUUCCACCAAGAGAAAAGUUGAUUCCCCCACCAAUCCCUUGCGGAUCUUGUUACUCUUGGGUGCUUGAGCAUCCUAGAUGGUUGAGGUCACCUUGAAGCCACAUUCCAUUGUGGUGAAGCUUCGUGGUCUUGUUGGGAGCCUCCAAGCUUUGUGUGGAGUUUGCCCCAACCUUGUUUGUAAAGGUUCGGUCGCCGCCUUCAAGGGCACCUAUAGUGGAAUCACGGUACCUUGCAUCGUGCGAGGGCGUGAGGAGAAUACGGUGGCCUUAGUGGCUUAUUGGGGAGCAUUGUGCCUCCACACCGCUUCAACGGAGACGUACUUCCCGUCAAAGGGAAGGAACUUCGGUAACAUAUCCUCUUCUUCAUUGGUUCCACUUGUGGUUAUCUCUAACCUUUACUUUGUGUAUGCUUAUGUUGUUGUCUUUCCCUUACUUGUCUUAGUAGCUAUUGCUGCUAGCUUCAUUACGGUUCACCCCAUUGUUGUCAUAUUUGUGAACCCGUAUGUUGUUUCCCCUAUCUUGCUAAGAUUAAUUAAAAAGUGGUCGUUGCCUAUUCACACCCCCCCCCCCCUCUACUCAACCAUAUCGAUCCUUUCACUAGGGCCCGAGUGCCAUGAUUUCAGAUCUGAAAUUAUUAUGUUGUCACCAAUAUAUGUGUGUUUUAGAUCCGAUCUUGCAAGUUGUAGUUACCUACUAUGUGUUAUGAUCCGGCAACCCCGGAGUGACAAUAACCGGAACCACUCCCGGUGAUGACCAUAGUUUGAGGAUUUCAUGUGUUCACAAAGUGCUAAUGCGUUGGUCCGGUUCUUUAUUAAAAGGAGAACCUUAAUAUCCCGUAGUUUCCUUUUGGACCCCGCUGCCACGGGAGGGAUGGACAAUAGAUGUCAUGCAAGUUCUUUUCCCUAAGCACGUACGACGACACACGGAAUGCAUGCCUACAUCACAUUGACGAACGGGAGCUAGCCACAUAUCUCUCCAUGUUAUAGCUGUUGCAUGAUGAAUAUCAUCCAAACAAAUAUCGACCCAUUGCCUACGAGUUUGUCCUACUGUUGCUACUAGUGUCGCUUGCUACUGCUGCUACUUGCUACUGUUGUCACUACUGUUGUUCCUUGCCACUGCUAUUGCUCGUUACACUGCCGUUACUCGUUACUUUGCUGUUACUACAGUGCUUGCAGAUACUAAUCUUUCAGGUGUGGUUAAAACUGACAAAUUCAGCUGCUAAUACUCGAGAGUAUUCUCUCUCCUCCUUUUGGCGAUCUACAAAUUUGGGUCGAAUACUCUACCCUCGAAAACUGCCGCGAACCCACGCCUUUGUGGGCCAUCAACAACAUUCUUCCAAUUUCAUUGCCGGGGAAUGCUAUCAGCAUUCUUCUGGUGCCGUUGCAGGAGAAGGUUUGUUGUCAUAAGCAUUCGUCUAGUUAACGCCAGAGAUUGUGCAGAUCAGUGGUCAAUAUCCUUCUUCAUAGAAGAACCGGCACAAGAAGUGUCAAGCAUGGUACGAUCUUCAUGAGAAAGCCGAGCAUAAAAGUUUUGAGUGAUGAUUUCUCUCGAGAGCUCAUGAUUGGGGCAUGAAUAUAGCAUUGAUUUAAGGCUCCCCCAAGCUUGAGCUAUACUUUCCCUGUCACGAGGCCAAAAGUUAUAAAUAAAGUUCCGAUCACGAUGUACUUAAUGCAUAGGAUAGAACUUUUGAUGAAAUUCCAAUUUCAACUGAUUGCAGCCCCAUGAUCCAGUAUCAUCACAUAGCCUAUAUCACGUCAAUGCCUUAUCCUUCAAAGAUAAAGGAAAGACUUUCUUCUUUACCUCAUCCUCGGGCAAACCUGCAAGCUUAAAUACAUCACAAACUUCAUCUACAUAGAUUAGAUGAAAGUCUCGAUGUGAAGAUCCAUCUCCUGUAAAAGGAUUAGCCAGCAGUUUCUCAAGCAUACCCAAAGGAAUUUCAUAAAAGAUAUUUUCAGUAGGUACCUCAGGUUGAGGAGCAACUCCUCGUGCUUCCGUUCGUGGUGAAGAUACCCCGAAAAAACUUCUCAAAGGAAGUGUUUCCAUAGUGACAAGUGACAAUAAAUUUCAGCAUAGUAUAUAAAUGUUUCCUUACCAAUUUCCACUUACCAAAGGCGCUUCACUCCCCGGCAACGGCGCCAGAAAAGAGUCUUUAUGACCCACAAGUAUAUGGGAUCAAUUGUACUCCUUUCGAUAAGUAAGAGUAUUGAACCCAACAAGGAGCAGAAGGCUCUGAUAAACGGAGUUCAGCAAGGUAAUAACUGCAAGCACUGAAAAUAGCGGUAACAAGUGAUUGUGUAGCGAGGUGAAACAUAGCAAGAAAAGAGUAACAAGUAACAAGUAGUAGCAACGGUGCAGCAAGUGGACCAAUCCCUUUUGUAGCAAGGGACAAGCCUAAACAAAGUCUUAUAGGAGGAAAAACGCUCCCGAGGACACAUGGGAAUUUCUGUCAUGCUAGUUUCAUCAUGUUCAUAUGAUUCGCAUUCGUUACUUUGAUAGUUUGAUAUGUGGGUGGACCGGCACUUGGGUACUGCCCUUACUUGGACAAGCAUCCCACUUAUUAUUAACCUCUCUCGCAAGCAUCCGCAACUACAAAAGAAGAAUUAAGACAAAGUCUAACCACGGCAUUAAACUAGUGGAUCCAAAUCAGCCCCUCACGAAGCAACGCAUAUACUGGGGUUUAAGCUUGUGUCACUCCAGCAACCCAUCAUCUACUUACUACUUCCCAAUGCCUUCCUGUAGGCCCAAAUAUGGUGAAGUGUUAUGUAGUCGACGUUCACAUAACACCACUAGAGGAAAAACAACAUACAUCAUAUCAAAAUACCGAACGAAUAUCAAAUUCACAUGACUAUUAUUAACAUGACUUAUCCCAUGUCCUCAAGAACAAAAGUAACUACUCACAAGACAUAAUCAUAAUCAUGACCAUAGGUGUAAUGAAUAGCAUCAACUAUUUGAACAUAAACUCUUCCACCAAGUAAUCCAACUAGCAUCAACUACAAAGAGUAAUCAACACUACUAGCAACCUUACAAGUACCAAUCGGAGUUGCGAGACGAAGACUGGUUACAAGAGAUGAACUAGGGAUUGGAGAGGAGAUGGUGCUGAUGAAUAUGUUGAUGAAGAUGCCUCCCCUCCGACGAGAGGAGUGUUGGUGAUGACGAUAGCGAUGAUUUCCCCCUCCAGGAGGGAAGUUUCCCCGGCAGGAUCGUCCUGCCGGAGCUCUAGAUUGGAUCUGCUCAAGUUCCGCCUCGUGGCGGCGGCGAAACCACGAAAAAGCUCCCUCUUGAUUUUUUCCAGACCAGGACGCUUCAUAUAGCAAAAGAGGGGGGCUAGUGGGCCUUCAGGCAGCCCACAAGCCUGCCCCGCGCCACUAGGGGGUGGUGGCGGUGGGCAAGCUUGUGGGCCCUGGUGGCCCCCCCUCCGGUAGUUCUUUCGCCCAGUAUUUUUAAUAUAUUCCAGAAAAAAUCCACGUAAAUUUUCAGGGCAUUUGGAGAUGUGCAGAAUAGUGGACUAGGAUUUGCUCCUUUUCCAGUCCAGAAUUCCAGUUGCCUGAAUUCUCCCUCUUCAAAUAAUCCUUGCAAAAUAAGAGAGAAGAGGCAUAAAUAUGGUACCACAAGUAAUAUAACACCCCAAAAAGCAAUAAAUAUCAACAUGAAAGCAUGAUAGAAAAAUGGACAUAUCACUAUCCAGCAUCCAUCUAGUGUAUUGAGUUCAUAACAAACAGAGUAACGCCUUAAGCAAGAUGACAUGAUGUAGAGGGAUAAAUUCAUGCAAUAGAUAUAAACCCCAUCUUUUUACUCUUGAUGGCAACAACACGAUGUGUGCCUCGCUACCCCUUCUGUCACUGGGUGAGGUCACCUCACGGUAUGAACCCAAAACCAAGCACUUCUCCCAUUGCAAGAAUUUAAGAUCAAGUUGGCCAAACAAAACCCACAACUCGGAGAGAAUUACAAGGAUAUGAAAUCAUGCAAAUAAGAGAUCAGAAGAAACUCAAAUAAGAUCCAUAGAUAAUCUGAUCAUAAAUCCACUAUUCAUCGGAUCUUGACAAACACACCGCAAAAGAAGAUUACAUCGGAUAGAUCUCCAUGAAGAUGAUGGAGAACUUUGUAUUGAAGAUCCAAGAGAGAGAAGAAGCCAUCUAGCUACUAGCUAUGGACCCGAAGGUGUAUGGUGAACUACUCACGCAUCAUCGGAGAGGCAAUGGUGUUGAUGAAGAAGCCCUCUGUGUCCGAAUGCCCCCCUUCGGCAAGGCACCAGAACAUGCCCCAGAUGGGAUCUUGCGGAGACAGAAGCUUGCGGCGGCGGAAAAGUAUUUUCGUGGCUCUCUCUCAUGGUUUCAGAUUUUUCGGGAUUUAUAGGCGGGCGAAGUAGGGCAAAGGAGCCACGGGGGGCCCACCAGCCUUCUAGGCGCCCCCCCAGGACGCGGCUAGGGGGCUUGUGGCCUCCCCCGGGAGCCUUUGCCUUGGUUCUCAAGCUCCCUGUGUAUCUUCUGUUCCGGAAAAAAUCUUUCCGGAGGUUUUAUUCCGUUUGGACUCCGUUUAAUAUUCUCCUCUGAAAAAGGUCAAAAACACGGAAAAACUGGAACUUGCACUUGGCACUGAGUUAAUAGGUUAGUCCCAAAAAAGAUAUAAAAUGCAUACAAAAGAUCCAAAGUUGACAAGAUAAUAGCAUGGAACUAUCAAAAAUUAUAGAUACGUUGGAGACGUAUCACAUACCAAGCCCUUGGUCCUUGUUUGAGGCCACACAACGCCUUGUUGAGCCUGUAGACCAUCUCUAGGUGUUUUGGAUCUUCAAACGCUAGUGGUUGAGCAACAUAUACUUCUUCCUCAAUCUUACCACUGAGGAAUUUACUUUUGGCAUCCAUUCGGUAUAAGCAUAUAUCAUGGUGGUUAUCAUAAGCAAGCAAUAUGCGUAUGGCUUCAAGUCUAGCAACAAGUGCAAAUGUUUCAUAGAAAUCAAUACCCUUAGCUUGUGUGUAUCCUUGAGUGACAAGUCGAGCCUUGUUUCUGAGCACCUGGCCAGAUUCAUCUUGCUUGUUGCAGUAGAUCCACUUUGUGUUGAUAAUAUUGUGUUUGCAUGGAUCGGGACGCUUAACUAACUCCCAUUUGUUGUUGAGCUUCAAUUGAUGAAGCUCUUCUUUCAUGGCUUGAAUCCAUUCCGAUUCCAUGAAGGCUUCAUCUACCUUGGUGGGAUCUGAGAUUGACACAAAAGCAAAAUGCCCACAAAAGUUAGCCCAUUGGUUAGCUCUUGAGCGAAUGAGAGGACCUAGCACAUUGAUGCUAUCGAGCGUUGAUGUCUAGUACACAACUUGUUCUUGUAGACUCGUGUUGGGCCUCCAAGCGUGGAGUUUUGUAGGAAGGUAGCAAUUUUCCCUCAAAUGGAUGACCUAAUGGUUAUCAAUCUUUGGGAGGUGUAGGAUGAAGAUGGUCUCUCUCAAACAACCCUGCAAUCAAAUACAAAAAAUCUCUUGUGUCCCCAACACACGCAAUACAAUGGGAACUCGUAUAGGUGCGCUAGUUCGGCGAAGAGAUGGUGAUACAAGUGUAGUAUGGAUGAUAAAAUGUAUUUUUAUAAUCUGAAUAAAUAAAAACAGCAAGGUAGCAAUUCCUAAAAUGUAGAACAAACGAUAUUGCAAUGCUUGAAAAUGAGGCAUAGGGUCCGUACUUUCGCUAGUGCAAUCUCUCAACAAUGCUAAUAUAAUUGGAUCACAUAAAAUUCUCUCAACGUGCGAUAAAAAAUCACUACAAAGUUCCUAUCUAGAGGAGAACAUAAGAAUAAAUUAUUUGUAGGGGAUGAAACCACCUCAAAGUUAUUCUUUCGGAUCAAUCUUUCCAAGAGUUCGUACUAAAAUAACAAGUUAUCCUUCUCGAUCGAUCUAUCCAAGAGUUUGUAGUAAAAUAACAUCAUAACAAAUUCAGAUUCAUAAUACUCAAUCCAACACAAAUAAACUCAAAUACUGCCCCAAGAUUUCUACCGGAGAAACAAAGACGAGAACGUGCAUCAACUCCUAUGCAUAGAUUACCCCAAUGACACAUCGGGAAUCCAUGAGUUGAGUGCCAAAACAUAUAUCAAGUGAAUCGAUAUGACACCCCAUUGUCACCACGAGUAUUCAUAGCAAUACAUAAAUCAAAGCUCUCAAAUACAUAAAAGUAUUCAAUCCGAUAAAAUGAAAUCUCAAAGGGAAAACUCAAUUCAUCACAACAAGAUAGAGAGGGAGAAACACCAUAUGAUCCAACUAUAUUAACAAAGCCCAUGAUACAUCAAGAUCAUGCCAUCUCAAGAACACGAGAGAGAGAGACAGAGAUUAAACACAUAGCUACCGGGACAAACCCUCAGCCCCGAGGGUGGACUACUCCCUCCUCAUCAUGGUGUCCAUAGGUAUGAUGAAGAUGGCCUCCGGUGAUGAUCUCCCCCUCCGACAGGGUGCCAUAACGGGCUCCCGAUUGGUUAUUAGUGUCCAUAGAGGCUUGCAGUGGUGGAACUUCUGAUCUAGGGUUAUCUCUAGAGGUUUCUCUGUUUACAUGAUUUUUGGGCAUUGGAGUCACGCCAAGAUGGGCCACGAGGUGCCCACUAGGUACGAGGUCACGUCAGGGGGCAGGCGCGCCCUAGUGCCUAGUGGGCAGCCUGGCCUCCUCUGGUUUGCUUCCUUGGUCCUCCCGAUGUCUUCUCGGCAGAAAAAAAAUCUCCAAAAAGGUUCAUGACAUUUGGACUCCGUUUGAUAUUGAUUUUGUGUAAAGUAAAAAAUAAGAAAAAACAUGAACUCGCAUUGGGCACUAUGUCAGUAGGUUAGUCCCCAAAAUGAUAUAGAGUUGCUAUAAAAUGAUUGUAAAACAUCCAAGAAUGAUAAUAUAACAACAUGGAACAAUCGAAAAAUAAAAAAAAGUGUUGCAUACGUAUUAGCAUCCCCAGGCUUAAUUCCUACUCGUCCUCGAGUAGGUAAAUGAUAAAAACAUAAUUUUUGAUGUGGAAUGUUGCCUAACAUGUUCAUGAUAUUAUUUUCUUUAUAGCAUGGACACAUAUGGACUGUAGAUUAUUCAAAACAAUAGUCUUUAAUUUGACAUGAAAACUUUAAUACUCAAGCAUAUCAACAAGCAACCAAGUCUUUCCAAAUAUCAACGCUAAAGAACAUUAUCCCUAGACCAUCAUGCUCAACCAUUGAUCCAUUCAUGCAACACACCAAAAUAUUAGCUACAUCUAAUUCUCAAGUAUGAUAACAUUGUUUCUUAGUUUUUUUGAAGGAAAACUGUAAGGGAAACCCGUACAACGAGUUUUUUAAAUAAUAAGAACCCAAAUUCGCGUCCGUGGGUACUUGAACCUGGGUGGCUGGGUUGUACAUCCACUCCACUAGCCAAGUGAUCUAGGAUCACUUCCUUAUAGUAUUCCGUAGUUCGUGCUUUAUAAGAGAAGAUGGAGACUCGAAUUUUUUUUGCCUAAAUGUAAAUAGAUAUGCCAUUCACACAGGGAAGCAGACAUUUGUAGAGGUGCGAGAGCUCAAGGCAAAAAAUUGAGAGAUAAAAUAUUUUGGGUGGCAUGCUUUUCGUGUCAAUGGAAAUGGCUAAGAGUUCCCAAUAUCUUCCAUGCUAAACAAAUCAUAGGCGGUUCCCAAACUGAAAAUAAAGUUUAUUCAUUUUUCCACCAUUCUUUCACACUCCAGGGCUAGACGCAUCCACGGGUACCGUCCAUACCAACACUUUCCAAGGAAUUUAUUGUUUGACAACAUAACAUAAAUUUUCUUUGCAUUUCGGGACUCGGCAUCCCUAUUACCGCCAUACUCUCAUCCAAUGACAAGUUAAUAAACACUCAUCUUGAGAAUAACCUAUUUAACAUGGAAGAUACUAGCCAUCCCUCGCCACUUCAUGAGCGGUACGGGCACACAAAACAGAAGGUUAUUUUGAAUAUUAGAGUUGGCACAUACAAAUUUACUUCGAAUGGAAGUAAAAUACCACAUAUAGGUAGGUAUGGUGGACUCAUUUGGCACAACUUUGGGUUCAGGACUUGGAUACACAAGCAGCAUUCCCGCUUAGUACAAGUGUUACAAAAUAUUUCUCCAUAUGUGGUUUUGGUAAUUGAUGACAAUCCCUAUGGACUUAUGGUUUCCUUGAGUUAUAUUCAAAGGAUUUGUACAUAGGCACUACUUGAUGUCCAUAUGUUGGUUUCAAGGAGUUUAUAUGAUGAUCAAGGUGGUAUUCGAGGUUUUAUCCAAAGAUUGGUCAUAAUGACACAAGGCUGAUCAAGACUAAGUCAAGAGUGAAUCAAGUUGAUCAACACACAAAGCGUACAAGAGGUACAGAGGGUGAUCAAGUGAUCCCAUGGUAUGGUAAACAUUGUCAUUACGCUUUGUGUACUAACCCAUGGUCUUCAUGAGACUUUUAUGUGGGGUUAGGUGAGUUUCCAUGGGCUUGUGUCAAGAUGAAGGUCUCAUUCAACCAAUGGAAGAUUAUGUUGUGCAAGUUCAAGUGGAGCAUCACGAUGAAAUCAUGUUUGAAGCUUGAUGUCCAUUGUGGUGACAAUGGAUUUGUGAAGAUGUGCUAAAGAUUGGAUCAUCCAUAGUGAGUAUGAGAGAGCAAUCAACUAGUCUUCAUCGAGGCAACGCAUUCAAGAAAGGUGGCCCAUCUUGAGGAAGUCAAGAUCGUCAUCAUCUAGCUCAAGUGGACUAUGUGCACGGUAUAUGUUUGCCCUUGAUAGGUUUUCUUUUACUGGUCUCACGAUGGUAGUUGGGAGACUGGGUUAUAGGAUAGGUUGUCGCACUAUUAAGGGGGGAUAUCAAGUGAGUAGCUUGAUCGUAUCAUUCGUCGAGAGCUUAUGGUCAUCUUGACGACAAGCUCGAGUUCAUCAAAAAUGGAGUCCACAUGCAUUUUCUAUGAUGUUUUCGAUGUUGAAUUUUUGUUGGUUCUUCAUUCAUAGAGGUUUCACAUAUCUAUAUCAUUGGAAUUUUGAUAAAUGCAUGUUCUUAAGAUAACCAACAAGCUUGAGUUUACUCAAUUCAGAGCUCGUAUGCGAAAGUUAUGGAAGUUCACGGCAGAUUUUCUCUCUCAAGCGGAAAUACCGCUCGGGCCGAGUGGUAGUACCGCUCUCGUAGUACUACCGCCCUCCCCUUCCGCUCCCACUUCUUCUUAAUUAUUUCUUCUGGUAUCUGUGUUCCCCUUUGACAAGACUAAGCAUAAAGUACCACUUGGAGUAGGGCGGUAGUACCACUUUGGCGGAACUACCGCCCCUUUGGCUAUGUACUAUCGCCUGUGGUGGCCUGCACUUCUGUGCAAGCGAAGUACUGCCCACCUGCAUGAUACUACCGCUUAGUUGAGUCGUUGGGUAGAAUAACGGCCAGAUUUCCUCCCACUAUUUAAGGGGGUCUUCUUCCCCAAUGGCCUUUUAUCCAUUGAGCUCUUGUUCUUCCCCCAUUGUUGACUUUCUUGGAGUUUUCUAACUCUCGAUCCCUCCAAUGAUUCUUGCUAGUUCUUGAGGGAAAAGAGAGAGGUGAUCUAGAUCCACAUUUCCACCAAUCACUUUCUCCUCUAUGUGAGGGGAACCCCUUGGAUCUUGAUCUUGGUGUUCUUUGUGAGCUCCUUGUUCUUCCUCACAUAUUCCUCUAUUGAUUUUUUUGUUGUGGAGGGAUUUGAGUGUGAGGGACUUGACCACUUUGUGUGUUCUUGCCAUUGCAUUAGUUGCAUCAGUUUGAGUUCUCCAUAGUGAUACGUGGAAGUGAAAAUUUGAGAAGCUUAUUACUCUUGGGUGCUUGGUACCCUAGAGCUUGUUCUUCUUGGGUUCUUUGGCAUCCUAGAAGCUUGGUGGUGCAUUGGAUCUCAACCAUUGUGGUGUAAAGCUCCGGGAAAGCGCCGGGGUCUCCAAUUAGGUUGUGAGAUUGCCCCGAGCAUUUGAGGUCAUCUCGGAGCCACAGUCCAUUGUGGUGAAGCUUCGUGGUGUUGUUGGGAGCCUUCAAUUAAGUUGUGGAGAUUGCACCAACCUUGUUUCGAGCAUUUGAGGUCAUCUCGGAGCCACAGUCCAUUGUGUGAAGCUUCGUGGUGUUGUUGGGAGCCUUCAAUUAAGAUGUGGAGAUUGCCCCAACCUUGUUUGUAUCGGUUCGGUGACCACCCUCAAGGGUCCCUUAGUGGGAUCAAGGCAUCUUGCAUUGUGCGAGGGCGUGAAGAUAUUAUGUUGGCCUUAGUGGCUCUUGGGGAUCAUUGUGCCUCCACACUGCGCCAAAUGGAGAUUAGCAUCUGCAAGGGUGUGAACUUCGGGAUGCAUCGUUGUCUCUGUGCCUCGGUUAUCUCUUACCCGAGUCUUUUACUUAUGCACUUUACUUUGUGAUAGCCGUAUUGUUUCUUGUUAUAUAUAUAUAUAUUGCUAUCACUUAGUUGGUUAUCUUGCAUAGCAUAAGUUGUUGAGGCACAUAGGUGAGCCUAGUUGUUUUAUGUUUUGUGCUUGACUAAUUGAACAUUAGUUUUAUUCCACAUUUAUUCAAGCCUAAACCAUAAUUAUUUUAAAGCGCCUAUUCACCCCCCUCUAGGCGACAUCCACGUCAUUUCAACAAGUUAAGUCUAGCAAAUAGAUUGAGAAGCGCCCAACCAAGGAAAGAAAACCAUCAUAAGUGAACAUUAAACAUAACUAACACCGAAUAAUGCAACACAAGUAGGAUGUAACUUCAUAGCAUAAUAUUGACUUCAUGCGCAUGCAUAGGGAAUCACAAACCUGAACACCAAUUUUCUUACUAAAGCAUAAUUACUCAUCAACACAACUCACAUAUCACUAUCUUCAUAUCGCAAAACUGUUGCAAAGAAUCAAGUUUAACAUUCAGUGAUCUUCAUGAACGUUUUUAUUAUAUCUCCCCUGGAUAUCUAUCACUUUGGGACCAAUUUCAUUUAAAGCAGAUUGCCAUUGCUAAUAACAAGCUCUCAAACAAAUAUAAGUGAAGCAGGAGAGCACAAGUUUCUUUAAAAUUUUCAACUCUCAAAAUAAUAUAAGUGACCAUGCUCAAAAGAUAUAAGUGAAGCACUAGCGAAAUUCAAUCAAACUACUCUCAAAAGAUAUAAGUGAAGAUCAAUGAGUAGUCAAACAAUUAAGUAGCUAUGUGAGGACUCUCUCUCAAUAAAGAUUUUUAAAUCUGAUAUUUUAUUUCAAACAUCAAAUAAAACAAAAGACACUCCAAGAAUAGCACAUAUCAUGUGGACAAAUAAAAAUUUAGGCUCAAUAUAGGCUAACCGAUAUUUGUUUGAUGAAGAGAGGUGGGAUGCAUCGAAUCCCCAAGCUUAGAUGCUUGAGAAUUCUUAAAAUAUUUACUUGGGUGCCUUGGGCAUCCCCAAGCUUGAUAUUUUGUAUCUCUUUCAAUCCUCUCAUAUCCUAGUUUCACCUAAGUCUCAAAAACUUCAUCCACACAAUACUUGAAAAGAACUCGUGAGAUAGGUUAGUGCACAUAAGCAUAAAUCAACUCUUUAUGGUGGGGUCAUUUGGCCUCCCCCAUUUUUUUCAUUUUUCGUCCGGAGUCUAUUCCUGACUUGUGGGGGAAUCAUAGUCUCCGUCAUCCUUUCCUCACUAGGAUAAUUCUCUAAUAAUGAUGAUCUUCACACUUUUAUUUACUUCCAAUUCAUGAAAACUAGAUAUCACUCAAUAGGAAUGCUUCUGAUAGUGUACCAGGAUGUGCAAUGAUCUGGCAUGACAUGUAUUCAGCUGUGUAAUGAAUGGUGGCUUUACCACAAAUGGUUGUCACCUCUAUAUGGUCAUGCAAAGCAAUAUGGUGAUGAAUGAACUAGUCAUAUGAUGUAAUAGUGUAAUUUGCAUGGCAAUAUAUCUAGGAAUGGAUAUGGAAAUGCCAUGAUAGGUAGGUAUGGUGGCUGUUUUGAAGAAUUUAAAGAAGUGUUUAUGUGUAAUAGAGCAUAUCAUGCCACGGGGUUAGGAUGCACCGGCGAAGUUUGCACCGAUCCUCGAGGUGAGAAUAGGCAAUGCACGAUACCUAAGAGGCUAGAAAAAUAUGAGGAGGUGAGAUUGCGUAUGUCCAAGGUUUCACAUUAGUCCUAAAAAACUCAUAUACUUAUUGCAAAGUUUUAUUAGUUUCAUCUCAAUCCAAAUUAUUAGUUGCAUGCUCCAAGGGAGAGGGUUGGGUGGAGUUAACCAUCGCGCGACUCCAACUCAAAAAACACUAGGAUUUCAGGGAGGGAUAGAAGUACUCAAACGUCCCCACCAUGCCUUUUUAUAUCCAAAGAAACAAGAAAUUAACACCUCUCAAUACAACUACUUCUACGAAUCAAGAAUGAUGCACUCACACCUUUCUAUUAUUACUACAUCAAUAUCAUUAAUCCACAAUUUCUCUUUAUGUUCUACAGGAUGGUUUUGAUUAUCAUUCAUUGGAUACUUAUUAUUUUGGACUAGCUUUAUGACCCACACAAAUUUCCGCUACUAUUUAUUAACUCUGAAACAAAUAUAAAUGAAGAGAAAGAGUUCAAAUACUUCUAUAAAAUCUACACGCCACCUUGCUCAAAAAUAUAUAAGUGAAUUACUAGAGAAAUUGUUUAGCUCAAAAGAUAUAAGUGGAGCACAAAGAGUAUUCUAACAAAUCAUAAUAGAUGUGUAUGUCUCUCAGGUUAGUAUGUCGAGCAAAAGAUGAUUGUGGAAAACUAAAAAUAAAAAGCAAACUAAAUAAAAUGACGCUCCAAGCGAAACUCAUAUCAUGUGAUGAAUAAAAAUGUAGUUUCAAGUGACAUACCGAUGGAUUGAGACGAAAGAGGGGAUGAUUUCUGGGGAAACCCCAAGCUUAGAUGCUUUAGUAUUCCUAGAAUAUUAACUUGGGGUGCCUUGGGAAUACCCAAGCUUAGGCUCUUGCUGCUCCUUAUUCCAUUGUCCAUCGCAAUAAGACCCAAAACUUAAAAAAUUCAAUCACACAAAACUCAACAAAACUUCAUGACAUCCAUUAGUAUAAGCAACAUAAAAAAUACUUAGGCACUGUUGUAAAUUUAUUCUUAUUUCAUUAUUGCAUAAUAGGUACUGUAUUCUAACUUCUCCAUGGAUUAUACCCCCGAUACAAUCCAUAACAUCAUCAAAACAAGAAAACUAUGCAAGAAAAAACAGAAUCUGCCUAAAACAAAACAAUUAGUAGUCAUCUCUAAUGAACAUAUACUUGUGUAACUCCAAAAAUUCUAUUACUUUAGGACAACCUGAGGAAUUUUUGCAGAAAUACUGUGUAAGAAAUGCAGAAUAAAAGAUGUUCCAGAAAAAUUAGAGGAAUUCUACACUCAACAUCAAAGUUUCUGUUUUUGCUCUGUAUCAAUUAUACUUAUCAUACAAGUAAUCCCAAAGGUUUAACCUAUCACAAAGACUAAAUUAAACACAAAAACAAAAUCAUUACAGAUAAAAUAAUCAUGUCAUCACACCUAAGCAGAAAGUAAAAAAGCAAUAAAUUAAGAUAACUAUUGGGUUGCCUCGCAACAAGCUCUAUUGUUUUAUGCCCCUGGCUAGGCAUAAUGCAUAUGAUCAAGUGUUGUCAUCUUUGACACUCAAUCCGUAAGUAGCGCUCAUGAUAGAUUCAUAAGGUGGUUUGAUUCUUUUUCUAGGGAAGUGUUCCAUCCAUUUCUUUAAUGGAAAUUGGAACCUUAUGUUUUUCUCUUUCAUAUCAAUAAUUGCACCUAUAGUUCGUAGGAAAGGUCUUCCAAGUAUUAUUGGACAAGUAGGAUUGCAAUCAAUACAAGCACAAUGAAAUCUAGAGGCACAUAUUUUUUAUUUGCAAUAAUGAGAACAUCAUUAAUUCUACCUAAGGGUUUCUUAAUGGUAGGAUCCGCAAGAUGCAUGUUUAGGGAACACUCUUGAAUAUUAGUGAGACCAAGCACAUCACAAGAGAUUUAGGUAUUGUUGAAACACUAGAACCAAGGUCACACAAAUCAUUGAAUUCAUAUUUAUUUAUUUAUAUUUCUAUAGUAGGUUAUCACUCAUCAUGAAAUUUUCUAGAAAUAGAAACUUCAAGUUCAAGUUUCUUAUCAUAUGCUUUUAUCAUCGCUUCCACUAUAUGAUUAGUGAAAGCCUUAUUUUAUUCAUAAGUAUUGGGUGAGGUAAUAAUGGAUUGCAACAAGGAGAUACAUUCUAUUGAAGAACAUCUUUCAUAAUUAAAAUCCUUGUAACCCAAAAUAAUGGGCACAUCACUAGUUAAAGUUUUGACCUUUCCAAACCCAUUUUUUCAUUCUUAGCAUUAGAAUCAUCACCCUCCAAGCAAACGAGAUGCUCACUAGCUAAAUUUGACUCAUAUAGAGUCCCUUUAUUAUUAAAUUCCAUAGAAGUAAAUAAAGAUUCAAUAGGAGAAGUGUCAAUCAUUUUAAGAUCUUCAUCAUGGUUUUGGCAAAAACCGAGUGGGAGAGAUUUUUCUAGGAAUUCCUGCUUAGCUUUCAACUUAGCGGUCCUCUCCCUAAUUUCAUUCAUAGAUAUUUGGAUACACUUAAUAGUCUCAUUAAAAUCAUGCUUGGGUGGCAAACCUUUACUUUUAAGAGUUUCUACAUCAAGAUCAAUUCUAUCCAUGUUCUUAGCCAAAGUACCGAGCGUAUGCAGCUUUGCCUCUACCAUAGUAUUGAAAACUUUUUGAUAUUUAAUUAAAAUUUUAAUAGCAUUUUCAGGAUUAUAGGAGAACUUAUUAUUAUUGGUAAAAGGAUUUCUAUAAGAAUUGCCCUAACCACUAGAAACAUUAACGGGAUAUGGCCUAGCAUUGAAAUUACCCCUACAAGCAUUGUUAUUGAAAUUAUUUCACGAGAUAAAAUUCACAUCAACGGCAUUAUAAUUUUGAUCUAUCAAAGUGGACAAGGUCAUGUCAUUAGGAUCAACAUGAUUAUUUUUUUAGCAACCAAAUUCAUGAGAGCGUCCACUUUUUCACUCAAGGUAGUGAUUUCCUCAACAGAAUUUACCUUCUUGCGCGUUGGAGCUCUUUCGAUAUGCCAUUAAGCAUAGGUUGCCAUGAUGUUUUAUAGAAGUUGGUGGCCUCUACUAAGGUCACCUCCAUGAAGGUACCACCUGCGGCAGAACCUAGAAGAUUUCUGGAUGCAAUGUUUAGUCCCGCAUAGUAAUUUUCGAUGAUCAUCCACAAGUUUAAACCAUGCAUAGGGCAAUUUCCAAUCAUUAAUUCCAUCCUAUCCCAAGAUUUUGCAACAUGUUCAUGAUCUUGCUGUUUAAAAUUCAUUAUUUGAUUUCUAAGGGUGAUGAUCUUAGUAGUAGGAAAAUACUUGGCAAUAAAAGCAUCUUUACACUUAUUCCAUGUUACAAUACUAUUACGUUGUAAAGAUGAAAACCAAGCCUUAGCUUUAUAUCUUAGCGAAAAAGGAAAUAAUUUUAGUUUCAAAAUAUCAUUAUCGACAUCCUUUUUGUUCCGCAUAUCACAAAGUUCAACAAAGGUAUUAACAUGAGAAGUGGGAUCCUCCUUAGGACUUGUCGAAAACUAUUCUUUUAUGACAAGAUUCAGCAAUGUAGCAUUUAUAUCAAAGGCAUCCGCACUAGUGGUGGGCAGUAUAGGAGUACUAAUAAAAUAAUUAUUAUUAGUUUUUGAUAAGUCAAACAACUUAGUAGUAUCUUGAGACAUUAUGACCGAGAAAGCAAAGUAACAAGCACGACAAGUAAAUCAGAGGGUGAAGAUGCAAACUAGUGACAAGCAAAGCAAGCAAAGGUAAAUAUUUUUGUAUUUUUGAUUAUUUUUUUGAACAAGCAAUAUAUAACAACAAAUAAAAAGAAGAACAAGUGAAUAAUAAUUUGUGUGAAUUUACUUCAUAGUUGGUGAUGAUAUUUCCCAACAAAUACGCAAGAAAUCCUUCGUGAUGCUUGUGAUCUGCAUUGGGUUUUCUGUUAAGAGGAACUGAUUAUCGCAACACAACGCUGGGUAAGUAUUUCCCUAGAUUAAGAAACCAAGGUUUAUUGAACCAAAAGGAAUAUCAAUCCUCAACCAUCUUCAGCGGCUGCACACAAAAUAGCAAACAACUUGCACCCAACGCGGGCAACAGGGUUGGCAAUCCCCUUGAUCUCGUUAUUUGCGAGCGGAUAUGGUGUGUAGAUAAUUGUAGUUAGUUCUGACUUGCAAAAUAAAAUAAAAGCCAAAUAAUAACAGCAAGGAAAUUAUCAGUUUUCUAAAUAUAUAAGUGAAUAGACCCGGGGGGCAUAGUGUUCUAUAGUGGCAUCUCUCAUGAAAGGAAUAAACGGUGGGUAAGCAAAUUACUGUUGGGCAAUUGAUAGAAUAGCGGAUAAUUAUGCGAUUUUCACGACAAUGAUCAUGUGUAUAUAGGCAUCACCUCGAUAAGCAAAUAGGGAGACUCAUGCCUGCACCUACUACUGUUACUCCACCCAUAGACCGCUCUUCAGCAUGCAUCUAGAGUAUUAAGUAAAACACAAUAAUGCUUGGGGAACGAUGACAUGAUGAAGAGAAAGUAAACUCAAUCAAUAUGAAUAAACCCUAUCAUUUUAUCCUUAGUGGAAGCAUCACAAAGAUGCAACUUGUCCCCAUUCUUUCAUUGGGAUAUAUAAACUAGACAGGUUGAACCCACUACAACGCACAUCUACCACUGAAGAAAGAUCAGACUACUUGGCCAAAGCAAUUCAAUAGACCGGAUAGAUUUACGAUGCUAUGAUGAUCAUGCAAAUAAGAAUAAUAAACUCAUAGAGUAUUACAAUAAUUUUCAUGAAUAGUAUGAAUAUAAUCCCACAAUUCAUUGGAUCACAAGAAACACACCGCACAAAAGAAUUACAUUGUAUAGAUCAAAGCGGAGAUGCGAUUAUCAUUGUAUUGAAGAUCAAGAGAGAUAGAUAACCAUCUAGACACUAACUAUGGACCCAUAGAUCUGUGGUGAACUACUCACACAGCAUCACGAGGGCACCAAGGUUGAUGAAGAGGCCAUCCGUGAUCGACCCCUCCUAGUCGUGCCCUGUUUCCUUGUCGGCUUCCUGUGGGGCUUCAGGUCUCCUCCCAAAGCUUCUAGGUCUUCUUUUGGUCAGAAAAAAUCAUCAAAUUUUUUCAUGCCAAUUGGACUUCGUUUGGUACUCCCUCUAUCACGGUUUAGAAGGCGCGCAUGAGCAAUCUCUGCAACCAAGGUGAAUCUUGAUUGGAUCUAAUUUUUUUGCAAGUGCUCACACAAUAAUCGCAUGUCGCCUAAUUAUUUGAGAAGAUAAUGCACAGUAACUCACACAACCCCUAAACGAGGAGAGCAUGAAGCCUACUAGUAUUCCUAAUUAACCAAGCAGUAAAUGUCAUGCACCUUAAUCCUCUAUUCUCGAAUUGCCUAAUUAUUUGAGAAGAUAAUGCACAGUAACUCACACAACCACUAAACGAGGAGUGCAUGAAGCCUACUAGUAUUCCUAAUUAACCAAGAAGUAAAUAUCAUGCACCUUAAUCCUCUUCUAUUCUCGAAAUGCAUGUAAACGGAACCGUGCCAUCUAAACCAUGGCGGAGGGAGUACUGAAAACCUGAAAAACAAAAAACACACGGAAAACAGCAACUAGCACUAGACACUCGGUUAAUAUGUUUGUGCUAAAAAAUAAUAUAAAUUGGUGCAUUAUCACCCAAAAAGUAUCUUAAGAUGAUAAUAUAACAACUUGGAACAAUCAAAAAUUAUAGAUACCUUGGAGAUGUAUUGAUACGUCCAUUUUGCAUCAUGCUUUCAUGUUGAUAUUUAUCGCUUUUGGGGCUGUUAUUACACUUCACGGUACAAUACUUAUGCCUUCUCUCUUAUUUUGCAAGGUUUAUAUGAAGAGGUAGAAUGCCGACAGCUGGAAUUCUGGCCUGAAAAGGGAGCAAGUUUGAGAUGCCUAUUCUGCGCAACUCCAAAAGCCGUGAAAAUCAACGUGGAUUUUGUUUGGGAUUUAUAAAAAAUACUGGGCCAAAGAAGUGACACACGGGCGACAGCAGGAGGCCACAAGCCUGCUAGGCGUGGCCUCCCCCCUAACCGCGCCUAGGGGACUUGUGAGCUCCCUGCUGGCCCACUGGCCCCCCUCUUUUGCUACAAGAAGGGUUUCGGUCUGGAAAAAAUUAAGAGGAGGAUUUUCGGAGGAUUCGCCGCCGACACGAGGCGUAACUUGAGCAGAACCAAUCUACAGCUCCGACAGGACGAUCCUGUCGGGGAAACUUCCCUCCCGGAGGGGGAAAUCGUCGCCAUCGUCAUCACCAACACUCCUCUCAUCGGAGGGAACUCAUCACCAUCAACAUCUUCAUCAGCAACAUCUCAUCUGCAAACCCUAGUUCAUCUCUUGUAAGUAAUCUCCGUCUCGCGACUCCGAUUGGUACUUGUAAGGUUGCUAGUAGUGUUAAUUACUCUUUGUAGUUGAUGCUAGUUGGAUUACUUGGUGGAAGAGUUUAUGUUCAGAUCUUUGAUGCUACUCAUUACCUCUCUGGUCAUGAUUAUGAUUAUGCUUUGUGAGUGGUUACUUUUGUUCCUGAGGACAUGGGAUAAGUCAUGCUAUAAGUAGUCAUGUGAAUUUGGUAUUCGUUCGAUAUUUUGAUGUGUUGUAUGUUGUUUUUCCUCUAGUGGUGUUAUGUGAACGUCGACUACAUAACACUUCACCAUUAUUUGGGCCUAGAGGAAGGCAUUGGGAAGUAGUAAGUAGAUGAUGGGUUGCUAGAGUGACAGAAGCUUAAACCCUAGUUUAUGCAUUGCUUCGCAAGGGGCUGAUUUGGAUCCACUAGUUUAAUGCUAUGGUUAGACUUUGACUUAAUUAUUCUUUCGUAGUUGCGGAUGCUUGCGAGAGGGGUUAAUCAUAAGUGGGAUUCUUGUCCAAGUAAGGGCAGUACCCAAGCGCCGGUCCACCCACAUAUCAAACUAUCAAAGUAACGAACGCGAAUCAUAUGAACAUGAUGAAAACUAGCUUGACAGAAAUUCCCAUGUGUCCUCGGGAGCGUUUUACCUCCUAUAAGAGUUUGUACAGGCUUGUCCCUUGCUACAAAAGGGAUUGGGACACUUUGCUGCACCGUUGUUACUUUUGCUAAUUGCUACUUGCUACGAAUCAUCUCGCCACACAACUACUUGUUACCGAUAAUUUCAGAGCUUGCAGAGAUUACCUUGCUGAAAACCAUUUGUCAGAUCCUUCUGCUCCUCAUUGGGUUCGACACUCUUACUUAUUGAAAGGACUAUGAUAGAUCCCCUAUACUUGUGGUUUAUCAAGACUCUUUUCUGGCGCUGUUGCCGGGGAGUGAAGUGCCUUUGGGAAGUGGAAUUUGGUAAGGAGACAUUUAUAUAGUGUGCUGAAAUUUAUUGUCACUUGUCACUAUGGAAACUAAUCCUUUGAGGGGCUUGUUCGGGGUAUCUUCACCUCGAACGGAAGCACAAAGAGUUGCUCCUCAACCUGCUGCACCUACUGAAAAUAUUUGCUUUGAAUUUCCUUCGGGUAUGCUUGAGAAACUGCUGGCUAAUCCUUUUACAAAAGAUGGAACAUCAUAUCCAGACUUGCAUCUAAUCUAUGUAGAUGUAGUUUGUGGUUUAUUUAAGCUUGCAGGUUUGCCUGAGGAUGAGGUCAAGAAGAAGUUAUUUCCCUUAUCUUUGAGGGAUAAGGCGUUGACAUGGUAUAGUCUAUGUGAUGAUACUGGAUCAUGGAACUACAAUCGGUUGAAAUUGGAAUUUCAUCAAAAGUUUUAUCCUAUGCAUUUAGUACAUCGUGAUCGGAAUUAUAUUUAUAAUUUUUGGCCUCGUGACAGAGAAAGCAUCGCUCAAGCUUGGGGGAGGCUUAAAUCAAUGUUAUAUUGAUUCCCCCAACCAUGAGCUCUCGAGAGAAAUUAUCAUUCAGAACUUCUAUGCUCGGCUUUCUCAUGAUGAUCGCACCAUGCUUGACACUUCUUGUACCGGCUCUUUAUGAAGAGAGAUAUUGACUUCAGAUGGAAUUUAUUGGAAAGAAUUAAACGUAACUCUGAAGAUUGGGAGCUUGAUGAAGGUAAAGAGUCAGGUAUGAAUUUCAAGUUUGAUUGCGUUAAAUCCUUUGUUGAAACAAAUACCUUUUGUGAUUUUAGCGCUAAGUAUGGACUUGACUCUGAGAUAGUAGCUUCAUUGUGUGAAUCAUUUACUGCUCAUAUUGAUCUCCCUAAAGAGAAGUGGUUUAAAUAUCAUCCUCCCUUAGAAGUCAAUGUAGUUAAACCCAAUCCAGUUGAAGAGAGAGUCAUUGCCUAUAAUGAUCCUAUUGUUCCUAGUGCUUACAUUGAGAAACCACCUUUCCCUGUUAGGAUAAAGGAUCAUUCUAAAGCUUCAACUGUGACACGUAGAGACUACAUUAGAACACCUACACCCCCUGAGAAAAUUAGAGUUGAACCUAGCAUUGCUAUUAUCAAAGAUCUCCUGUCCGACAAUGUUGAUGGCCAUGAUAUUCACUUCUGUGAAGAUGGUGCUAGAAUUGCUAAACCACACGCUAGAGACAAACAUAGGCCUGUUGUUGGCACGCCUGUUGUUUCUGUUAAGAUAGGAGAUCAUUGUUAUCAUGGUUUAUGUGACGUGAGUGCUAGUGUUAGUGCAAUAACUCAAUCCAUAUAUGAUGAAAUUAAAGACGAGAUUGCACCUAUCGAGAUAGAACCCAUUGAUAUCACUAUUCAGCUUGCUAAUAGAGAUACUAUCUGCCCUGUGGUAAUUGUUAAGGAUGUUGAAGUCUUGUGUGGUAAAAUGAAGUAUCCUGCUGAUUUCCCCGUUCUUGCUACCACACAAGAUAGCUUUUGUCCCAUCAUAUUUGGUAGACCUUUUCUCAAUACUGUCAAUGCUCAUAUUGACUGUGAGAAGCAAACUGUCACUGUUGGCUUUGAAGGUGUGUCACAUGAGUUCAAUUUCUCCAAGUUUGGUAGACAACCCCAUGAAAAAGAGUUGCCUAGUAGGGAUGAAACUAUUGCCCUAGCUUCUAUUGCCGUGACUCCUACUGAUCCUUUAGAGCAAUACUUUCUUGAGCAUGAAAAUGAUAUGCAUAUGGAUGAAAGGGAUGAGAUAGAUAGAGUUGUCUUAGAACAAUAUCCUAUCCUUAAGAAUAACUAGCAUGUUGAACUGCUUGGAGAUCCACCCCCACCAAAGGGUGAUCCUGUAUUCGAGCUUAAACAGUUGCCUGAUACUCUUAAGUAUGCUUAUCUUGAUGAGAAAGAGAUAUAUCCUCUUAUUAUUAGUGCUAGCCUCUCAAAGCAUGAAGAAAAUAAGUUACUAAAAACUCUGAGGAAGCAUCAUGCUGCUAUUGGAUAUACUCUUGAUGAUCUUAAGGGCAUUAGUCCCACUCUAUGCCAGCACAAGAUUAAAACUGGUCCUGAUUCCAAGCCAGUUGUUGAUCAUCAACGGAGAUUAAAUCCUAAGAUGAAAGAGGUAGUAAGAAAAGAAAUACUAAAGCUCCUGGAAGCAGGUAUUAUCUAUCAUGUUGCUCAUAGUGAUUGGGUGAGUCCGGUGCAUUGCGUCCCUAAGAAGGGAGGUAUUACCGUAGUCCCUAAUGAUAAGGAUGAAUUGAUCCCACACAGGAUUAUUACUGGCUAAAGGAUGGUGAUCGAUUUUAGGAAAUUGAAUAAAGCCACUAGGAAAGAUCAUUACCCUUUGCCUUUUAUCGACAAAAUGCUAGAAAGACUGUCUAAACACACACACUUCUGCUUUCUAGACGAUUAUUCUGGUUUCUCCCGAAUACCAGUUGCACAAGCUGAUCAGGAGAAAACCACUUUCACCUGCCCUUUCGGUACCUUUGCUUAUAGAUGUAUGCCUUUUGGCUUAUGUAAUGCACCUGCUACCUUUCAAAGAUGUAUGAUGGCUAUAUUCUCAGACUUUUGUGAAAAGAUUGUUGAGGUUUUCAUGGAUGACUUCUCCGUCUACGGGUCUUCUUUUGAUGAUUGCCUCAACAACCUUGAUCGGGUCUUGCAGAGAUGUAAAGACACCAAUCUUGUCUUGAAUUGGGAGAAGUGCCACUUUAUGGUUAAUGAAGGCAUCAUCUUAGGACAUAAAAUUUCUGAAAGAGGUAUUGAAGUCGAUAAGGCUAAGGUUGAUGCGAUCGAGAAAAUGCCAUACCCCACAGAUACCAAAGGUAUAAUAAGUUUCCUUGGUCAUGCUGGUUUCUAUAGGAGGUUCAUUAGAGACUUCUCUAAGAUUUCUAGGCCUCUUACCAAUCUCUUGCAAAAGGAUAUUCCUUUUGUUUUUGACGAUGAUUGUGAGGAAGCCUUUGAAAUACUUAAGAAGGCCUUGAUAACUGCACCUAUUGUUCAACCACCUGAUUGGAACUUACCUUUUGAAAUCAUGUGUGAUGCUAGUGAUUAUGUUGUUGGUGCUGUCCUAGGGCAAAGAGUUGAUAAGAAGUUGAAUGUUAUUCACUAUGCUAGUAAAACUCUAGACAGUGCCCAAAGAAACUAUGGUACUACGGAAAAGGAAUUUUUAGCAGUCGUGUUUGCAUGUGAAAAGUUUAGGUCUUACAUAGUUGAUUCCAAAGUCACUAUUCACACUGAUCACGCUGCUAUUAAGUACCUCAUGGAGAAGAAGGACGCUAAACCUAGACUUAUCAGAUGGGUUCUCUUCCCACAACCUAUUGAUGAUAGCUUUCCUGAUGAGCAAUUGAAUGUCAUCAAUACUUCACGUAGUGCACCGUGGUAUGCUGAUUAUGCAAAUUAUAUCAUUGCCAAAUAUAUACCACCUAGUUUCACAUACGAGCAAAAGAAGAAAUUCUUUUUUGACUUGAGACAUUACUUCUGGGAUGAUCCUCACCUUUAUAAGGAAGGAGUAGAUGGUGUUAUUAGCCGUUGUGUACCUGAAUAUGAAUAGGGACAGAUCCUACAAAAGUGUCACUACGAGGCCUACGGAGGACACCAUGCGGGAGAUAGAACUGCACGCAAGGUAUUGCAAUCAGGUUUCUAUUGGCCCACUCUCUUUAAAGAUGCUCGUAAGUUUGUCUUGUCUUGUGAAGAAUGUCAAAGAAUAGGUAAUAUCAGUAAACGUCAGGAAAUGCCUAUGAAUUAUUCACUUGUCAUUGAACCAUUUGAUGUUUGGGGCUUUGAUUAUAUGGGACCUUUUCCAAAAUCCAACGGGUAUACUCAUGUCCUAGUUGCUCUUGAUUACGUCACUAAGUGAGUAGAAGCUAUCACCACUAGUAGUGUUGAUCGCAACACCUCUAUGAGGAUGCUUAAAAAAGUUAUUUUUCCUAUAUUUGGAGUCCCUAGAUAUCUAAUGACCGACGGUGGUUCACAUUUCAUUCAUGGUGCUUUCCUUAAAACGCUUGCUAAGUACGAUGUCAACCAUAGAAUUGCGUCCCCCUAUCACCCUCAGUCAAGUGGUCAAGUAGAGCUAAGCAAUAGAGAGAUUAAACUAAUUCUGCAAAAGACUGUCAACAGGUCUAGAAAGAAUUGGUCUAAGAAGCACGAUGAUGCACUGUGGGCUUAUAGAACUGCCUAUAAGAAUCCCAUGGGCACGUCUCCGUACAAAAUGGUGUAUGGUAAAGCAUGUCUCUUACCUCUUGAGCUAAAGCAUAAGCCUUAUUGGGCAAUCAAAGAGCUCAACUUUGAUUUCAAACUUGCUGGUGAGAAGAGGUUAUUUGACAUUAGCUCGCUUGAUGAAUGGAGAACUCAGGCAUAUGAGAAUGCCAAGUUGUUCAAAGAAAAAGUUAAGAGGUGGCAUGAUAAAAGGAUACAAAAGCGUGAGUUCAAUGUAGGUGAUUAUUUCUUGCUAUAAAAUUCUCGUUUAAGAUUUUUUGCAGGCAAGAUUCUCUCUAAAUGGGAAGGUCCCUAUAUUGUUGAGGAAGUAUAUCGUUCCGGUUCUAUCAAGAUCAACAACACGGAAGGUAAUUGUCCGAGAGUGGUAAAUGGGUAGAGAAUCAAGCAUUAUAUCUCAGGUACUCCCAUAAAUGUUGAAAGAAAUAUUAUCAAUACCAUAACUCCGGAGGAGUACCUAAGGGAUAUAUAUCACCCUCUUUCAGACUCCGAAAACGAAGAGGUAUGUGAUUCGGUAAGUAAACCGACUCCAAAACUUUUCCAGUAGGAUUUUUCCUCCAUUUUGGAAUUUUUAGAAAAAUAGAAAAAUUUGAAGUAGUCCACAAAGCGCACGAGGAGGCGACAAGCCUGCUAGGCGCGGGCCACCCCCUGGCCGCGCCUAGGGGGCUUGUGGCCAUCUUGUGUGCCUCCCGUACUCUGUUUUCUUGUGGAGUACUCCUUUUGGUCUGGAAAAAAUCAUUAUAUAUUAUCCCGAAAGGUCUGACCCUUGUAUCACGCGAAUUUCCUCUGUUUUCGUUUCGAGCGUGUUUCUGUUGCAGAUCUAGAUUGCUAUGACGUCCCCAAAAGCUCCGAAGGACAAGAUCUUCGAGAACGUCAUCAAUCCCUACCUCACGGGAGUGCUGCAACACCCUCAAUCUAUCGAUAUGCGUGAGGGGAUGCUGCACAUCCGUGAUGUUGAGGGGCCUAAGAAGACUGGAAGCGUGGAGGCGAGGCUCGAAGCAAUAGAGCAACAGGUCUUCAAGUGCCAAGGGAUGGUGGAGCGUGGACUCAAAGCCAACCACAUGAUGAUCACGAAGUUCACCAACAAGCACAAGAUCAAUGCCAAUGACAUCGGGAAGCACCUCUCCAGGCUCUAUGACAGAAUUGAUCACCUCCAAGCCCAGAUCUAUGACCUGCAGAACCAAAAUUGUGAGUAUGAGUAUAGAUUUAAAUCAAUACGGUUGGCUGUAGAUUUGAGGAUUCCGGAGACUCGGUCAUCUUUCCAUGAUGGAGCACCUAUGCCUUGGAAGACGGAGGAUCAAACCUAUGUUGCAACAACUCCACCACCAUCACCUCCAAAGGAAGACAACUAAGCAUGGGUAUGGGCAAUCCCCUUGGCUUGUGCCAAGCUUGGGGGAGUUGCCCCGGUAUCGUACCACCAUCACAUCUUUUGCCUUUACCUUUGUUUUAGUUUGUUCCUUUUCAGCUUUCUCUUUCUCUAGUAUAAUAAAGGUCUUAGUGUUUUAUGCUUGAGUUUUGCUUUGUCUCACCCCCGAUGUAUUCAAGUUCGUGAGUCAUAUAAUAAAGAGUGUAUCAGUUAAGGGGCUUGCCUCAUGUCAUGAUCAAAAGAAUGAGAAAAGAACAAAAGCAUGAAAGAUCAUGCAAUGAUCUUAUGGGAAGUGAUGGCUUCACAUAUAAAAAGAAUGAUGAUUGAAACUUGUUGAGGGUAGACAAACGUAGACCUUGGUCAUUGUUGCAAUUAAUAGGAAGUGAUAAAUAAGGAGAGGUUAACAUAUAAAUACAUCAUCCUUAACACCAUCUAUGAUUGUGAACACUCACUAAACUAUACCAUGCUUAGAAGUAGAUGUUGGACAAGGAAGACAACAUAAUGAAUUGUGUUUGCUUGGUUCCGAACAAUGUUAUAUGACUAGAGAUCCCUUAGCAUGUGACGAUUGCUUUCACCUCAUAUUAGCCAAAACUCCCGCACGAAGUAGAAAUACUACUUGUGCAUCCGCAAACCUUCAACCCAGUUUUGCCAUGAGAGUCCACCAUACCUACCUAUGGAUUGAAUAAGAUCCCUCAAGUAAGUUGUCAUCGGUGCAAGCAAUAAAACUUGCUCCCUAAUAUGUAUCAUCUAUUAGUGUGUGGAAAAUAAGCUUUGUACGAACCUGUGAUGAGGAAGACAUAAAAGCGAAAGACUGCAUAAUAAAGUUCUUUAUCACAGGAGGCAAUAUAAAGUGACGUUCCUCCACACUAAGAGGACACACAUCCAAACCUCAAAAGCGCAUGACAACCUCUGCUUCCCUCUGCGAAGGGCCUAUCUUGUACCUUUACUUUUUGCCCUUGAAAGAGUCAUGGUGAUCUACACCAAUUCCUUGUUUCGCCUUUAUCUUGGCUAACGUCAUAUACUUGGGAAAGAUCUAUAUUCAUAUGUCAACUUGGAAGUAAGUAUUCAUGAACUAUUAUUGUUGACAUUACCCUUGAGGUAAAUGGUUGGGAGGCGAAACUAUAAGCCCCUAUUUUUCUGUGUCCGACUAAAACUUUGAUCUCUUGAGUACCACGUGAGUUGUAGAAAUUGUAGAAGACAAAAGGAUGAUUGAGUAUGUUGUGAUGUGGAAGACAAAAUGAUGUAGAAAUUGUAGAAAUUGUAGAAAUUACAAGCUCUUAUUUGACUCUUUUUGAUGUUGUGAUAAAUUGCAAUUGCUUCAAUGACUAAAAGCUAUCGGUUGUUAAUUCUCGGUAAGGUUCUUGAUCCAUGCUUUACUUUGUGAAGGAAUUGUCACUUUAGCAUAAGAGAUGAUCUGAUGGUAUUGCUGUUUUGAUCAUUAUCAUGAUGCCUGCAUGUUCGUAUCUUGUUUUGUCGACACCUCUCUCCCUAAACAUGUGGGCAUAUUUAUUGAUCUCGGCUUUCUCUUGAGGACAAGCGAGGUCUAAGCUUGGGGGAAUUGAUACGUUCAUUGUGCAUCAUGCUUUCAUGUUCAUAUUUAUCGCUUUUUGGGCUGUUAUUACACUUCACGGUACAAUACUUAUGCCUUUUCUCUCUUAUUUUGCAAGGUUUAUAUGAAGAGGGAGAAUGCCGACAGCUGGAAUUCUGGCUUGAAAAGGGAGCUAGUUUGAGAUGCCUAUUCUGCGCAACUCCAAAAGCCGUGAAAAUCAACGUGGAUUUUUUUGGGAUUUAUAAAAAAUACUGGGCCGAAGAAGUGCCAGAGGGCCGCCAGCAGGAGGCCACAAGCCUGCUAGGCGCGGCCUCCCCCCUGGCCAUGCCUAGGGGGCUUGUGAGCUACCUGCUGGCCCACUGGCCCCCCCCCUCUUUUGCUACAAGAAGGGUUUCGGUCUGGAAAAAAUUAAGAGGAGGCUUUUCGGAGGACUCACCGCUGCCACGAGGCGGAACUUGAGCAGAACCAAUCUAGAGCUCCGGCAGGACGAUCCUGCCGGGGAAACUUCCCACCCGGAGGGGGAAAUCGUCGCCAUCGUCAUCACCAACACUCCUCUCAUCGGAGGGGACUCGUCACCAUCAACAUCUUCAUCAGCACCAUCUCAUCUCCAAACCCUAGUUCAUCUCUUGUAACCAAUCUCCGUCUCGCGACUCCGGUUGGUACUUGUAAGGUUUCUAGUAGUGUUAAUUACUCUUUGUAGUUGAUGCUAGUUGGAUUACUUGGUGGAAGAGUUUAUGUUUGGAUCUUUGAUGCUACUCAUUACCUCUCUGUUCAUGUUUAUGAUUAUGCUUUGUGAGUAGUUACUUUUGUUCCUAAGGACAUGGGAUAAGUCAUGCUAUAAGUAGUCAUGUGAAUUUGGUAUUCGUUCGAUAUUUUGAUGUGUUGUAUGUUGUUUUUCCUCUAGUGGUGUUAUGUGAACGUCGACUACAUAAGACUUCACCAUUAUUUGGGCCCAGAGGAAGGCAUUGGGAAGUAGUAAGUAGAUGAUGGGUUGCUAGAGUGACAGAAGCGUAAACCCUAGUUUAUGCGUUGCUUCGCAAGGGGUUGAUUUGGAUCCACCAGUUUAAUGCUAUGGUCAGACUUUGUCUUAAUUCUUCUUUCGUACUUGCGGAUGCUUGCGAGGGUGGUUAAUCAUAAGUGGGAUGCUUGUCCAAGUAAGGGCAGUACCCAAGCGCCGGUCCACCCACAUAUCAAACUAUCAAAGUAACGAACGUGAAUCAUAUGAACAUGAUGAAAACUAGCUUGACAGAAAUUCCCAUGUGUCCUCGGGAGCGUUUUCCCUCCUAUAAGAUUUUGUGCAGGCUUGUCCCUUGCUACAAAAGGGAUUGGGCCACUUUGUUGCACCGUUGUGACUUUUGCUACUUGCUACUUGCUAUGAAUCAUCUCACCACACAACUACUUGUUACCGAUAAUGUCAGUGCUUGCAGAGAUUACCUUGCUGAAAACCACUUGUCAGAUCCUUCUGCUCCUCGUUGGGUUCGACACUCUUACUUAUCGAAAGGACUACGAUAGAUCCCCUAUACUUGUGGGUUAUCACGUAUCACGUGUCCAGCGCGACAAGGCGCAUCAGAUGGUGGCCGUAGGGUGGCCGAAGAUGGCCGGAGUCGAUGGCGGGGUUGACAACCGCGACGAUAGCGAGGGGUGGAGAACGGACACGGCGAGCAGCAUGGUAGGAGGAGCAGCUGCACGAUCGCAAGCGGGUGGCAACGAGCACACGUGGGCGACGCACCACGGGCACAACACACACGAGUGUUGGUUCGAGACGGGAGGGCCGAGAACGACGAAGACAAGCACAACGGAGGUGACGGAAGCUCGACAGCAGCAUCAACAUGUUACGAGCUCGAGAUCGAGCUAAGAAAAGAGGGGUUUCAUGGGGAUGCUCACUACGAAGCUCAAGAUGGCUCGAUGAUUGGGUUAGUAGCAUUAGUGGCUUAGAAUUGAUUGAAGAGGCGCCGACAACCGGGGCGGGGAAGAGCUCGAUCCGCUUGUUGGGAUGGCGCCGUGCUCGAGCUGGUCUACGUAGGCGAAGAAGAGGAGUACAUCGGAGCUUCUAGAUAGCGCGGAACGGCGAAUGAUGGUCGGUGUCCAUGCCUACGAUGGAGCCAAGGCGACGACAUAGGUGGCCAUGGCGAGGGUCGGAAGGAGCGGUGCAAGGAGGGAGAAGUGGGCCGAUCUAGGGUUCGGGGGAGGCCGUGGGGUCUUGUAGACCUCGGGGAGGCGGCGGAUGGCCGCCUAGACGGCGACCGUGGCCGUGGCGAGCAUCGGCGGCGUCCACACCCCUCUUGGUAAACACAAGAAGGAGAAGGGGGGCUAGGUGGGCUGGGCCUCACUAUGGACUAAGGCCCAGUCCAUAGUGGCCCUUUUUAUUUUAUUUUCCAUUUUCUAUUUUUUUUAUUUUUCUUUAUUUUGUUUUGUUUUGCAUUGAAUUUUAAAAGAAAACUAGUUUUACAAAAUAUAUAACUUGGUCCAUAAUUAGCAUUGCAUUUUUGGAUAGUGCCACAAAAAGUUUGGGAGGCAAUUGGAAUGUCUUAGAUUUUUCAUAAUUUAAAAGACAUUUAUAUUAUUGUUUUCACUUUCGUUGUAAUUAUUUUAGAGCUUUUAGUUACUUACAAAAAUGUUGGUUCCUCCAUCAUAAUUAUCUUUAGAUUAUUUAUCACCUUUGAAACAUCUUAGUUUCCAUGUUUGUGAAUUUUUUGAUGCACUUUUUAUUUGAAUGUUGAAUUUCAAACUGGAAUAUGGAAUGAGAUAUGAUUCUAAAGAUGGUCAAGCAUUGAUUGGUAAAAUUAUUAGCUUAAUAUCAUAGGGUUUACUGUAGCUUAAUUACACGGGUGUUACAAGAAAGAAGAGCAUGUGGUGCACCAUAUGAUUGGGAUUUAUUACAACAAGAAAAAUGGGGAGAAGUUGAGACGAAACCGGACGAGCCCAAGUUUCGCCAUGGAGCCGACUGAGGGAUGCCAUCGACGGAUCUGCAACCACAGAUCAUCUUUGCGUGUCUCCACGAGCGUGGCCCCACGGGAGAGUUAAAAAAACCAUCUAAACAAGAUCCAAAACACAGCUCCACUUUAUUUUUCUGGAGAGAGACACUCAUACAACACUAGACCUACGAUCCACAUCUCCAUCCUACCCAGCGUCGACCACCAUGGCCGCCGGCAGCGAGGGGGAGGGAGGCCGAACGAGGAAGCCUUAGGUGAAGCUCUUAAGUAAACGGCAGAAUGCAAGUUUGUUGCAUGUUGCGGCGAACUGUUGCCGCUAGCAUAAGGAAAGCGCACCAAUGAAGCAUGUCGGCCAGCCAUUUUUUUAGCGAUAGGCACAAAAGGGUUCUCGUUUUGGUUUUGAAACCUUCUUCAAAAUUUGAGCUGGCGUUUACCCUUCUUGUGUUUUUUGUUUUUCCCUUUGUGUUUUUUUUUCCUUUUCCUUUUUAGGAUCAGUUUAGUUAUUAUAUAAUGCUCAGAAAUUUCAAAAAUAUCUACGUGUUUAACAAAGUGUUGUGAAUUUCAAAUAUUGUUUGAAAAUUUAGGAAUGUGCAUUGCCAAAAAUUGUUUGGGAAUUUCCGAAAGUUUGAAGAAAAUGAAAAUAAAAUUAUGGUUUCGAAAAAUAUUCAAUAAAUAAAUAAAUAAAAAUGCGUAUUUUCAAAAUUUAUUAAUAUAUUCAAUAUAUAUUCUUCAAAAUGAAAUUAUUUGGACAAAACUUAAUUUAUGUUUUCCAUAAGGCAUUUGGGAAAUUCACAAGUGUAUGAAAAUUCAAAAUUUUAACAACUUUAAAUAUUAUUAUUAUUUCCAAUUUUCCCAUUUCUUAUUCCUUUAUUUCUUUUUUUCCUUAUAGUUGAUAAUAUCCUAAAUAUUAAUAUUACAAAAACUUUUCUUAAAUUUUAUGAAACGUUAAUCUUACAUUUUUGAGGAUUUGAAUAUGUAUCAUAAAAUGUUUCUGAUGUAUACAGAAAAUGUAUAAAUGAGAAUGUAAAAAGUACUUCCUCCGUCCCAAAAUGUUAAACUGUUUUUGACAUCGUGAUAGUGUCAAAAACCGUCAUAUAUUUUGGGACGAAGGCAGUAGAAAAUGUUAAUCAUAGGUUUGAAAAAAGUUUGCGACAAUUUAAAAAACAUAACAUAUUUCGAAAUAAUGUAUGUAAAAUUUUAAAAAUUAUUUAUACAAAUGUAAAAAAUGUUUGUGUAAUCUAUAUUUUUCAAAAAAAAUUAAGAAAUGCAUGUCACAUUUUAUAAAAUGUUAACAUGUUUCCAAGUUGUCUUUGUGUCAUUUCAAAACAGUAUGUACAUUGUACAAAAAUAUAUUCAUAGUUAAAAAAGAAUGUUAUUUGUCAUUUGAAAAAUGUGUUAACGUAUAUUUGAAAAAAUAUAACCUGAAUUUGAAAAAAUAUUCAAAACAUGCUUAGAUGAAAUGUUAAAAAAGUUAAACAUGCAUAAAAAAGCUUUUGCAUGUAGACAAUAAAUAUAAAGCGUGUGUAAAAAAGUAGACAUGUGUCAAAAAUCAGAAAAAAAUAGCAAAGAAACAAAAACAAAUGCGAAGAAACCAGAAAAAAACUUGAAAACCCCUAGGAAGAAAAAAAAAGAAAAACAAAGUAAAAAAAGAAAAAAAGAAAAACCAAGAAAACCCAAGAAAAUCAUUGAAUAACCAAAGAAAACUAAUAACAUAACGUAGAAAAAAGAAAAUACGAGGAACCAGUGAAAAGAACAAAGAAACCCAGAAAGAAAAAACUGAAAACAAUAAAAGGAAGGGAAAAACCCGGACAGGUCAAGGGAUUCAGAUAUACAAACUCAGGUCAAGGUACUAGGCCAACGCAUAGUCGCCCCCGUAAGCCAUAUAUGUACAACUAUAUUAAAAUGGUUAAGGAGGAGCUCCUCUCGUGUGUUCCCAUAAUCCCAGUUUUAUGAGGUAAGUUUUUAUACACUCACACGUGCUAAAAAAAUUAUAUUUUUGAAUUUUUUUACUAUCUAGCAGGGAUUUACUACUUAAGGCACCACAAAAUAUACAACUAUAUUAAAAUGGUUAAGGAGGAGCUCCUCUCGUGUGUUCCCAUAAUCCCAGUUCUAUGAGGUAAGUUUUUAGACACUCACACGUGCUAAAAAAAUUAGAUUUUUGAAUUUUUUUACUAUCUAGCAGGGAUUUACUACUUAAAGCACCACAAAAUAAUAUUUUUUAAUACAGUACAAUCGAAUUCGUUGUGCACCAGCAUACAUUCACCUCUAUGAACACACACCCACCUUACCCCUAUAAACACCUCUGAGAGAAUGAACCGUCAUAGCAUCUUGAGAUUCUAGAUUUCAUCACAGGCGUCUCGCAAUCGACAGAAACGUAUCCUCUCACUAAACGAACAUCGCCAGAAGCGUUAAAUAUAUCCAGAAAAAUCCAGUCAUCAUUGUUAAAUCUAGAACUUAAACCGUGACGGACUAAAGAUACUACUGUCCUCCUAACUAUCCAACCACACGGGUUGGUUCGGACGGCUACAAAAUACGUAAAGGAUGAGGUUUUGCUCUAUCUCUCACCGCUUAAUGCGAACAGCUGCGAAGCCAUCAUAAGAUUUACGUCGUGCCUAUUCUUUCUCCCCUAAAAUAUUGUUCUCUCCUGGGCUCUCCCCCUCUUUUAGACGGUGUUGGUUGAAAACUAUUAGUCACUCAAAAUUUAAUAGUUGACAAAAGUAUUCCUUAAAUUCUAAUCUUAUCAUUCAGACUUUAUUACCUGCAGGUAAGGAAAAGAUGAGGGUUCAAUUCUGGGAUCCAUGCCAAUAUUUGCAAUAUUUUUCUAUUGCUCGGUGGUAGAAGCUAAAUACGCAGUAUGUAUUCCAAUAUUUUAAAUUUCAAAGUCCGAACGGCACUGAUCUGUUUUUGUUAUUUAUUAAUUUAGAAACACCUUUAUAUAUGUCCUUGUUUUUUUAUUUAACUAGGCUUGACAUGUUUCAGUAUAUUCAUAUAAUUUACAUCGUGCUCAUGUGUACUUUCUGGCAUUUAUCGCUAUAUUUUCUUCUGGUGUUGUCAGUUAAAGGAAAAUCGAUGAACUUCUUAUAGCCAAAAGUAUAGUUGCUUCAGGACUAAAACAGAAUGCAUCAAUGUCAUUUCUCCUUUGUGCUCAAGGACUUGAUCCACGCCUUGGUCGGAUAACUCUAUCUAUAAACAUUUAUGUGUUGUUAGUUCUGAAUUGGUGACCAGCUUUACAGCCAUCUCCCGGCUUUCAUGUUAGGAAAAUAAAAUGUGGUAUGGUGUGUUUAUAGGAUUUCACACAGUAGCCUAAUUUAACGUGAUAUUCAUGAUCUUCAUGCACAAUUUUCAAGGCAAGUUUCAGAAUUCUCCAUUCAUGUAUUCCAAGUCACCGUGAAGUCUUCUUUUCUUAAAUUAAAAAGUUUCGUAAUAGUUUGGCUUCUUUGAUGUGGGAACUACUAUACCAUAUAAACAAUUUAACUUUCAUUUGACAGAUUUUUCUUAAAUGAAGUUUCUAAAUUAGUUUGGCUUCUUUGCUGUGAGAACUACUAUACAGAGAAUUCAAAUUUAUUUUCACCUGUUAAUCAAAUCAUGUCCUUCUAAUUUUUUCAAAAGGGGUGCAAGUGUCUAAAGAAGUAUUUCACUGUAUGUAUGUGCAUGAUGUACAUCAAUUUCUUUUACCGGAUGCAAAAUAGAAAAUUCUUGAAAAAUGUUAAUUUUGGUAGCACUACCUAGGAAACUUUUGCUCAUAAUACUGUAGGAGAGUGCAAUAAUGGAUUGAUUAUAAGGUACAACCCACAUGAAUAUACUCUGGAAAAUAUUUUAAUUUUGAACUUGCAACAAUUACGAAGUUUACUUUUCAUCGAGUCAUAUCUGUCGAAUUUUUGUUAAUGAUGCAUAAUAUUUUGAUGGCUAGAUAGAAGUUUGAAGUGUCAAAUAAUGAAAAACCGAUUCCAAAUCUUAAUUAUGUUUUCAUAGUCUACCAGCAUGCAAUGAAAAUUUUCGAAGUCUUAUCAAAAGGGCAGUGCUUUGCGCCUGCGCGUCGGUCGAAAUUUUCGGCGGGCCGCCUGAUCCGUCAGAUUGAAUCUGGUUUGAUUGUCAGAUCUGACCAUGCAACAAAAAUCCUCGAUGCAGCAAAUUUCGACCACGAUGCAGCAAAUUCCGGUCAUGGAUGAAGGAAAAAUAUGAUUGUAACAAAAAAAUAUCAACGUGGUCGUACCAAAAACGACGCUGAUGAUGCAUGGUAGCAAAAUGGGUUAUAGCAAAACAAUCCAAUGAACUCGGGUUGCAACUCUCACGAGCGUGUAUGCAACUUUUUUAGUUAACGAUUGUAGCAAAAAAGGAUACCGGUUGUAACAAAAAUUAACACGGUUGUAGGGNNNNNNNNNNNNNNNNNNNNNNNNNNNNNNNNNNNNNNNNGUAGGGAAAAAAUCCGACGAACUCGAACUGCAACUAAACGUGGAUGCAACUUUUUAAUGAAUUAAAUAUAGUAAAAAUCAACAACAAUUAUAGCAAAAAUCUUAUCGAUAGUAGUAAAAAAGAUAAUAAUUACAGCAAAAAUGACGUCUCGCAGUAAAAAAAAAAAAGAUACGACGCGCGGGAUCAGACUAUGCAGGCAGGACCGGCCGACGCACCCUCCAGAAUCGUUUCCCUUAUCAAAAAUUUGUAACCAGCCACAACUUCUUUAUUUUGGGACGGAGGGAGUAAAACACACAGCGUAGAUAAGGGCGCGGCGUUCUAUUCUAUUCCUACGGGCGAGGCAUAGGCCUGACGGAGUACAGUCUCCCCUGCAAUAAUUCUAGACGUACGGACCCUUACAGACAAUUACGGACUCUUUCCUUAAAUCUCUUCGCCCCACCCCCUGAUUUCAACCGGGAUGGUCCCGCCUCACUCUCCUUGUUUACAAUCCUGUUAAGCCAACUCAGCCUGUAAUUAGUCCUUGCCCGUAAUUUCCCGUACGUGUAGCGUUACUCGUCUCCCCUGCUAGCCAGGGAAAUGUAAACUCUAUCACUGCUAAAUUUAGACGAAACUGCAAUAUUUACGUUUUCAAGUGACAUCUCUGUAAGGAGAAUUUUUAACUGAGAUUUAGUACCAAAACUAGCAAUGCGAAUUACAAAUCAAGACAGUGUUGCAAACAAUCUGGGUACGGAAUCAGUCAAACCCUGCCAAUACACAACCGCUCCAACAGUUGUAGUAGGCCUGUAAAAUUAAAACUGGAAUGCACAUCCGACAGAUCAUGUUAUGUUUGCACUCAGGUUAUUUCCAAUUUAAGCACGCAACCGAGGUUAGCAAGCUGGAGAUCGGGCCACGAGGCUAGGUCAGCAGAAGCAGGCAAUCGAUCUAGCCGACGCAUCGGCGGCAAGGUUAGCUUCCCCCCGUAUGCGAUUCCCAAAUCGCACGCGCACGCACCAACAGAUCUGAUCGGAACCAACAGGCAAGAACACAUGAUCCCCCCCGGUGAUUUUUCAAAAAGAAAACAGUCUCCCCUGCUGUCCGAAUUUCAGCCCUAAUAGAAUAGACCGAACAGUCAGCAGAACGAACACAUGGGAAGAAGAUUGAACAGCUGCAGAAAGAAAUAGCAGCCUGAACGCUUCAAGAGUCCAACCAUGUGAUCUCCGGUCCAAGUUCAUCAAUUACUAUUUUAUGGAUCUCUUGCCUUGCUCUGAAUUUUUCUUUUGCACCUACUCUAUAUAAAUCAGCCCCUUGCUUGCUCUCACUCAUCACCGGUCUUCACUCUUCACUAGAACUUGCCAGCAGCGCUAGUGUGCAGCGAGCCAGUGACCGACGGACAAGAACAAGAUGGUCGCCGGCUGUGUCAUCACCGAGCAGUGUGCCCUGGCGGUGUCGACAGAGCGGCUGUGGAAGGUGGUCUUCUCCGGCGAGGACACGGCCGCCCUGCCCAAGGCCUGCGCGGGCUUCAUCGACGUUGUGGACGUCGAGGGCGACGGCGGACCCGGCAGCGUCUUCACCAUGACGCUCAGUCCGGCGGCGGCGGAGCUGUCAGGCUCGGGCGUGAUGAGGAGCCGCGUGAUGGCCCGCGACAACGCGGCUAGGGUGUUCAAGACGGAGAUACUGGAGGGCGGCAAGGUGAGCGGCCAGCUCAAGUCGCAGGUGGUCGAGAUGAAGCUUGAGGCGGCCGGGGACGGUGCUUGUGUGGCGAAGCUCAGGGUGGAGUACGAGAGGCUCGACGGCGGCGGGGCGCUGUCGGCGGAGGACCAGGUGGCUAUCGCCGCCGGGUACCUCGACCUGCUCAAGACGGCACUCGCCGCCGGGUACCUCGACCAGCUCAAGAUGGUCGAGGCAUACCUGGUCGCCCACCCUGCCGAGUACGUCUAAUUAAAACAACGCGACAAACAUCAGAAAUAAAUCAAUCUUCCUUUAUAAGAAAGAAUAAAUAAAUAAACUAUUAAGGUGAGUACAUAUCUUUGUUUUGAAGAAAUUAUAUGAGCAAGUAGCCCGGUGUUGUUUGCUUCGUGGUUGACUUCGCGAGAAGAAUCAAGUAGUAAUCAUUAGUAUAAAUUGUUUGGGGUGUGUAUUGAGUUUUUCAUCCCUGUUUUAAGUUUGUAUUUCGUGUGUAAGUUACUUCAAGCAUUAAUGUAGAUAAAUAUUAAAGCCGUUUGGUUUUGUGACAAAUGCACUUUCGUACGUGUGGUGGCCCGUUGGCACGACCUCGUAUAAGCAUACGUUCGGCUACACUAUAUACCGGCCCCUCGCAAGAAAAAAAACCGAAACCGCCGCCUCUCCUGAUCUAUAGUUGUCAUCACGAGUUCGAUCGGUGGCCAUCAUGAAUCGUCGCCGUCCCCUGCAUGGAUCCCGUUUGAUUUCACGUCAACGUUGGGCUCAUCGGACGUGUCGCACGUGGCGCCGUCUAGCAUCCCUCCUUGCAUGCGGCACCGUUGUCAUCGCCCUCACCGCAAUUGGCGGCGCCAAGCAUAUCGUUUUCGGCACUCCUCCCCGCCUGGCGUUGUGUGACACACUUGCCUCUUCCACGUCGUCGAACGAGACAAGGACGUCGUCGAUCCCAGACUACGUCAAAACUUAAUCAACCAAAGGUUUGAUCUUGGCACCCUUCUUUUUUUGUGCACAUUGUAAUGGUGCCAAAAAAAUUCACGGGUCGCACCGGUCGCAGACUAGUCGUCAGAUCCACGGAUCGCACCGUUAGAUCUUCCAUGCAGCAAAAAUCCUUCGAUGCAACAAAUUUAGGCCACGACGCAGUAAAUUUCGUCCACGGUUGCAAAAAAAAAAAGAUUGUAGCAAAAAAAUUCAACGUGGUCGUAGCAAAAAAAGGACGUUGAUAAUGCGUGGUAGCAAAACAAAAUGUGGGUUGUAGCAAAACAAUCAAAUGAACUCGGGUUGCAACUCUCACGUACGUGUAUGUAACUUUUUUAAUGAACGGUUGUGGCAAAAAUUAACACGGUUGUAACAAAAAUCAAACUCCGAUUGUAGAAAAAAAUCCAACAAACUCAAGUUGUAACCAAACGUGGAUAUAACUUUGCAAUGGACAAAUUGUAACAAAAUGAAAACGGUUAUAGCAAAUUUAAAUAUGGUUACAAUAAAUCUGAACGAAAAAAUGUUGCAAACCCUGUCCAAUCAACCGUGCGGACCGCACGCGAACGAUUCGACCGACGCGCCGGUUAGAAGGUUUCCUUUUUAUUAGGAAUCGGUACGGACGAGGCAUAACUCCGGGCGAGUAAAGUCACCCCAGCUGUGCGAAUUUGCGACCUAGAAUCUGGACCGAGGAGUCAGCAGCACGAACACAUGGGAAGAAGAUUCAACAGCUGCAGAAAGAAAUAGCAGCCUGAACGUUCCAAGAGUCAAACCAUGUGAUCUUCGGUCCAAGUUCAUCAAUUACUAUUUUAUGGAUCUCUUGCUUUGCUCUGUAUUUUUCUUUUGCACCUACUCUAUAUAAAUCAGCCCCUUGCUUGCUCUCACUCAUCACCAGUCUUCACUCUUCACUAGAACUUGCCAGCAGCGCUAGUGUGCAGCGAGCAAGUGACCGACGGACAAGAACAAGAUGGUCGCCGGCUGUGUCAUCACCGAGCAGUGCGCCCUGGCGGUGUCGACGGAGCGACUGUGGAAGGUGGUCUUCUCCGGCGAGGACACGGCCGCCCUGCCCAAGGCCUGCGCGGGCUUCAUCGACGUUGUGGACGUGGAGGGCGACGGCGGACCGGGCAGCGUCUUCACCAUGACGCUCAGCCCGGCGGCGGCGGAGCUGUCAGGCUCGGGCGUGAUGAGGAGCUGCGUGGUGGCGCGCGACAACGCGGCCAGGAUGUUCAAGACGGAGGUGCUGGAGGGCGACAAGGUAAGUGGCCAGCUCAAGUCGCAGGUGGUCGAGAUGAAGCUCGAGGCGUCCGGGGAUGGUGCUUGCGUGGCGAAGCUCAGGGUAGAGUACGAGAGGCUGGACGGUGGCGGGGCGCUGUCGGCGGAGGACCAGGCGGCGCUCGCCGCCGGGUACCUCGACCUGCUCAAGAUGGUCGAGGCAUACCUGGUCGCCCACCCUGCCGAGUACGCCUAAUUAAACCAAAACGAGAAACAUCAGAAAUAAAUCAACUUUCCCUUCGUUCGAAAUUAUUUGUCGCAUAAAUAAAUAAAGUAAUAUGAUCAAGUAGCUUGUGUUGUUUGCCUCCUCAUCGACUUCGCGAGAAAAAUCAAUUGAUAAGCUUUAGUAUAAAUUAUUGAGGUAUAUAUGAGUGUUUAAUCCCUGUUUUAAGCUCGCAUUUCGUGUGUAAGUUGCUUCAAGCAUUGAUGGAGAUAAAUAUUUGAGCAGUUUGGUUUUGUGAUACAUGCACUUCUUUCUUAUCAGUCAAUUCAAAAUUAAAUGACGAGACAAGCCAAACGUAUAAAGGGCAAUAUCGAUCAUGUAACCAUUUUCAUAUGUGUGAUGGACCGUCGAUACCUAUACGCCAUACGUACAAGCUGGCAGAGGAUAAAAAAAAGGUAGGGCAAAUCUGACAUAAAAAGGUUCUGUCACUACAAGUAAUAGCGAUGGACCGAAAGACUAAGUUUUAUUGGGAUGUGAGACAACGAUAGAGCUUGACGUGACUUUAUAACUAAUGCAUUCAACUUUUAUAGGGAAUGCACUCAUAUUUUUGAGUCGAUGCAGUGGAACAUGUGCUUGCAAAAACCAAAUGCCAACUUAAGUGCUAAAUUGAUGGCCAACAACCCAACAGGGCGAGUUCAUACACAGGGCCUCGUUGUAUUUAUCUUAUUUUCCCAGCUAGACCAUGACUAGUUCAAAGAAAACCAUCCAGUCGAACAAGACAUAUACCUGAAUGAACGCCUUUUAGAAAAUCAAGGUGAGGCGGCCGCCCAACCUUGCCUUACCGGCUCCUCCGUCCUUAACGAGCAUACGUUCGGUUUAACCAUGUAUCGGCCCCUCACAAGAAAAAAAAAACAAAAUCUCUGGGCCAAUCCAAUCCAUAGUCGUCAUCACGACUUUGACCAGCAGCCAACAUGAGUCGUCGCCGCCCCCAGCGUCGACCCCGCUCGAGUUCACGUCGUCGUUGGGCUCAUCUACGUCGUCGCACAUGGCGCCAUCCAGCAACCCUGCUCUCACGCGGCACUGUCGUCGUCGCCCUACCCGUCAUUGGAGGGGCGAAGUACACCGUCUUUGGUGCAUUUCCCCGCAAGACGUCAUGUGAUGCACUUUCGCGCUCUUCCAAAUCGUCGACCAAGACGAGGAAGACGUCGAUGCUGAAAUUUUUGGCCAGCCCAAUAUAUAAUUUUAAAAAAUUCCUAAUAAAUCCUAGAGGCCCACGCAGCCCAUUUGUGCAAGGCAAAAUGUUGAAAUGUUUAGUCCCACAUUGCUAGUUUAGUGGGAGUCGGAUCUCCUUAUAAGGGAGGAUGUUUCCACACAUGUAUGAGCUUGAGAACAAGAGAGACAUGCACGCGUGCUCCUCCUCCUCCAUCGCCCGCCGCGCCGCGGGUUGCGGGAAUGAGCCGAACUAAAUUUUUGCCAUGCACGACUGGUAUACGAAAGGUCACUCGGAGAAGCUGAACUCUUCGGCUGUUGUGUGUUCGUUUUGUCUCCGUCGCUGGCCUCUCGCCUCCUUCUCUCGCGUCUAUAAAAGAGAGGUCGCUCCUCUCCAGAGAAGACGCAUCAGAACUUCCUCUCGCCACCGGUUCCUUUCUCUAUGAUGCUGCUACGUUCUUCCCCAUCCCGUCUUGCGACGUGGGAUACGUCUCCGUCGUAUCUACUUUUCCGAACACUUUUGCCCUUGUUUUGGACUCUAAUUUGCAUGAUUUGAAUGGAACUAACCCGGACUAACGUUGUUUUCAGCAGAAUUGCCAUGGUGUUGUUUUUGUGCGGAAAUAAAAGUUCUCGGAAUGACCUGGAAAUUUACGAAGAAUUUUUCUGGAAUUAAUGAAAAAUACCUGCGCAAAGAUCCACCGGAGGGGGUGAGCCAGUGGGCCACAAGCCCAGACGGCGCGACCACCCCCAAGGCCGCACCAACCAGGCUUGUGGGGCCCACAGGACUCCACCGCCUCCAAACUCAGCUCCAUAUAUUCUGUUUCGCCCGGAAAAAAAUUAGAGAGAAGGAUUCAUCGCGUUUUACGAUAAGGAGGCGCCGCCACCUCCUGUUCUUCAUCUGGAGGGCAGAUCUGGAGUCCGUUCUGGGCUCUGGAGAGGGGAAAUCGUUGCCAUCAUCAUCAUCAACCUUCCUCCAUCGCCAAUUCCAUGAUGCUCUUCACCGUUGGCUUGCUGGACGGUGAUGAGUUGGAUGAGAUCUAUCAUGUAAUCGAGUUAGUUUUGACGGGGAUUGAUCCCUAGUAUCCACUAUGUUCUGAGAUUGAUGUUGCUACUACUUUGCCAUGCUUAAUGCUUGUCACUAGGGCCCGAGUGCCAUGAUUUCAGAUUUGAACCUAUUAUUUUGUCGCCAAUAUACGUGUGUUUUAGAUCCUAUCUUGCAAGCUGUAGUCACCUACUAUGUGUUAUGACCCAGCAACCCCGGAGUGACAAUAGCCGGAACCACUCCCGGAGAUGACCAUAGUAUGAGGAGUUCAUGUAUUCACCAAGUAUUAAUGCGUUGGUCCGGUUCUUUAUUAAAAUGAGAACCUUAAUAUCCCGUAGUUUCCAUUAGGACCCUGCUGCCACGGGAGGGAUGGACAAUAGAUGUCAUGCAAGUUCUUUUUCCUAAGCAUGUAUGACUACAUACGGAAUACAUGCCUACAUUAGAUUGACGAACGGGAGCUAGUUACUUAUCUCUCCGUGUUAUAGCUGUUACAUUAUGAAUCACAUCCGGCAUAAUCAUCCAUCACCGAUCCAAUGCCUACGAGUCUUUUACUACUGGUCCUUGCUAUGUUACUUUGUCACUACUGUUGUUUCUUGCUGCUGCUGUCACUACUGCUGUUACUUGUUACUUUGCUGUUACCUGCUGCAAUACUAUUUACUGGCGCCAUUGAUACAACAAGUUACGAAUAGUCUGCCGUCAACAGACCUGUUUCUGGCACCGUUGCUAUCAUACCACUUUGCUACUGAUACUUUGCCUGCAGACACUAAUCUUUCAGGUGUGGUUGAAUUGACAACUCAGCUCCUAAUACUUGAGAAUAUUCUUUCGCCUCCCCUUGAGUUGAGUCAAUAAAUUUGGGUUGAAUACUCUACCCUCGAAAACUGUUGAGAUCCUCUACACUUGUGGGUUAUCAAUGUGCACCAUAGGUCGGGACAAUAGACCUCCGAAACUCGUGCACCGUAGGUCGUGACACUAGGCCUCCGAAACUCCGUCUCUUUGAGUCAUGUAUGGGAGAAGGGCGAUAAGGUAUUUGGGGAGCGCUCAGCGUGACUACUGGCUUCCAUCACGGACACCGACAAUCUCUUCCCGGACGACGACAACUUUCGUGACGUCAACCACCUCUUCGGGAACAUGGUCAAUGCCAACACCAACCCUAUUGCUGUUGCAACUCAGUACGUACUCAUGUUCUUNNNNNNNNNNNNNNNNNNNNNNNNNNNNNNNNNNNNNNNNNNNNNNNNNNNNNNNNNNNNNNNNNNNNNNNNNNNNNNNNNNNNNNNNNNNNNNNNNNNNNNNNNNNNNNNNNNNNNNNNNUUACACAUAUGUUCUUUUCUAGAUCAUAUGUGCACAUAUCUUUUGUCGUCUCAUCUAUAUUUUGCAUGUCUUCUUUCAUCUUUAUUAUGAUGGUCAUGUUUAUCCUAAUUUUCUUUUAAUAAAAUCCUAUGGUAAAUUGCUCAUAUUUCCAACAAUCCAAAAACCUUAUUAUAGGCAUUUACCCCGAGUGGUUUUGCUGUUUCCAUGAGACCUCCUAUUUUUGAGGGUAUCCACUAUAAGAGGUGGCGCGUGAGAGCUGUUCUAUGGUUUCAAACCAUGAGCUGCUAUGACACCACUCUUGGCAAACCUGAAGGAGAUCAUGAUGCUCAAUAGGAACUAGCUUUCCAGAAAAUGGAUACCUUGUUUAAGGCUGCUCUCNNNNNNNNNNNNNNNNNNNNNNNNNNNNNNNNNNNNNNNNNNNNNNNNNNNNNNNNNNNNNNNNNNNNNNNNNNNNNNNNNNNNNNNNNNNNNNNNNNNNCUUGUGAAUUUUAAGGCACCCCCUUGCGCUUAUUUAGGUGUGCAAGCUUAGCUGGCGAGGUAACCUCCGUUCCCUUCGAGUUCUUAGUACUAGCUGAUCGUGAUUCACGAGUGCUAUUUGGUUGAUCUUGCUUCUCCUUCGCGGUAUGCUCACCCGAAGUUGUUCUCUUCCUGUCCUCCGGUGCCCUAAGGCUUGGUUUGAAGGGCAAAGCCCCGUUCUCAUCACGUGUUCCUGGAGUAGGACAGAAGAGGUCUGAAUGCCUAAGGUGGCCACAUGAGAAACUGAAGUGCGGAAUAUUCUCAUAUUGAAUGUCAUAGCAAUCUGUUUGCUUCCUUUUGGCUGAUGUAAUCAAGAUCCAUCGGCGCAACGGUUUCUCCACCGCGAUCAUUACUCGGGCUCUGAGAUACCCGCCCACCGGAUCAACCUCUACCAUAGUGGCAUUUGCAUCAAUUUGCUUAGCAAUAGUGAGACCUCUACUGCUAGUUUUCAGAUUAUAGGGUAAGUUGAUAACCCUAGCCCACACCUGUAGCCGAUCAAACUUGAGUUCCGAUGGCUGUAUGUGCGGCUCAAAGUCCUCCAAGAUCAUAGCAUGCUUGCUGAUAUGCUAGGGAGACCCAUUCCACACGCGAUCUCUAUCGUGCUUGGUAGCGAAUUCUCCAUCGUGGUGGAAUCAUAGUCUCCAUCGUACUUUCCUCACUGGAAUAAUGCUCUAAUAAUGAUGAUCAUCACACUUUUAUUUAGUUACAACUCAAUGAGAACUCGAUAUGAACCAAUAUGACUCAAGAUGAAUGCCUCUCGCAGUGUACUAGGAUGUUUAAUGAUCUGGCAUGAGAUGUAUCAACAAUAUGAUGAUGAAUGAACUAGUCAUAUGAUAUAACGGUGGAAUUUGUAUGGUAAUAUAUCUCGGAAUGGCUAUGGAAAUGCCAUGAUAUGUAGGUAUGGUAGCUUUUUUGAGGAAGAUAUAGGAAUGCGUAUGUGUGACAGAACCUAUCAUGCCACGGGGUUUGGAUGCACCGACGAAGUUUGCACCGAUCCUCGAGGUGAGAAUGGGCAAUGCACGGUACCGAAGAGGCUAGCAAAAUACGAGGAGGUGAGAUUGAGUAUGUACAUGAACUCACAUUAGUAAUGAAGAACUCGUAUACUUAUUGCAAAGUUUAUUAGUUUCAUCACACAUUAAAGCACUAUUCGCAUGCCCCGAGGGAGGGGAUUGGGAGGAGUUAACCAUCCCGCGGUUCCGACCUGAAAUAACACUAAAUAACCACCUCAAUAUUAAACAAUAAAUAACCACCUCUUAAUACCGAUACUUAUACGAAUCAACAAUGAUACAUUCACACCUUUUUCAUAUUACCACAUCAAUAUCAUUAACCCACAGUUUCUCUUUGUGAGAUACAUGAUGGUUUUNNNNNNNNNNNNNNNNNNNNNNNNNNNNNNNNNNNNNNNNNNNNNNNNNNNNNNNNNNNNNNNNNNNNNNNNNNNNNNNNNNNNNNNNNNNNNNNNNNNNUUUUGCUUGUUGGGAGCUUUCCCGUGUAAAUAGUUUUCUUUUUCUUUGGGUCAAGGUAGAAGAUAAUGGUUACAAUGUUUAGUGGCUCUCGCAUGCAUACGUGUUUACCUGUUAAAUAGCCAUAUUACUUUGUCUUCUCCUUUGUGUCUGCCUGCAGAUUCCAGCUUAGUCCAAUGCACGAGCACUCUUAUUAUUGUUCACAUCGUUCGGUCGUGCAAGUGAAAGGCAACAAUGACGAUAUAUGAUGAAGUGACUGAGCCUGGAAAAGCUGGUAUGAACUCGAUCUAUUUUGUUUUUGUAAAUAUGACUAGCUCAUCAUGCCUGAUUCAGCUUUGUUGUGAGAGAAACAUGUUUGCAAUAACAACUUAGAGAUCAUAGUUGCUGAUGCCAUGCUUACUUAGCAAGGAGCUUAUAAUGGUUUAUCUUGGAUGCCCACAUGAAUUUUGAGAUGACUAUGAUGUAGUGUGAUAGGAUGAUAUCCUCCUUUGAAUGUUUCAAGUGGCUUCACUUGGCGCAUGUUCACACAUGUAGUUGAAACAAAAUCAACAUAGCCUCUACGAUAUUCAUGUUCAUGGUGAUUUAUGUCCUACUCAUGCUUGCACUCAAUGUUGGUUAAUCUCAUUGCAUUUUGAUGACUGUUGUCGCUCUCUAGUUGGUCGCUUCCCAGUCUUAUGCUAGCCUUCACUUGUACUAAGCGGGAAUACUGCUUGUGCAUCCACUUCCAUAAACCCAAAGUUGUUCCAUAUGAGUCCACCAUACCUACCUAUAUGUGGUAUCUACCUGCCGUUCCAAGUAAAUUUGCAUGUGCCACUCUCUAAAUCUUCAAGAAAUAAUCUAUUUUGCAUGCCCGAACCGCUCAUGUGGUGAUAGGGGGCUAUCAGUAUUUUCCAUGCUAGGCGUGUUAUCCUCGAUAUGUGUUUAUUCACUAUCAUUCACGAGAAAGGGGCGGUAAUUGGAAUUCCGAGUUCCAUGCUCAAAUCGAAAAGAUAAUUGCAAACAAAACUCCCGCAGGAUUGAUAUUGGUAUGGACGGCACCCGAGGAUUCGGCUAGUCAUGGUGUGUGAUUGAUUGGUGGUGGGGGAGUCAAAACUUUACUUUUCUGUUUGGGAACCGCCUAUAACAUGUGUAGCGUGGAAGAUGAUGAGAACUCUUAGUCAUUGCAUUGACAAUGAAAGCAUGCCACCCAAAAUUAUUGUCUCUGUUUGAAAAGCUUCAGCUCUGGCACCUCUGCAAAUCAAUGCUUCCCUCUGCGAAGGGCCUGUCUAUUUAUGUUCCUGUUGAGUCGUCCUCCUCUUACAAAAGCACCAAUUAGAGAGCACCUCUGUCAUUUUUAUUCUUUGCUUUUAACUAUGUUGAGUAUGACUAUGACUGGAUCUUCUUUGCCAUGAAUUACAAUGUUUAGUCAGCCCUUGGUCUUUGAAGGUGCUCUGCAUUUAUGUUUUGCGGUCUCAGAAAGAGCUAUCGAGAUACCAUCUAUUCGUACUGCUUCAUGAUUGUUUUGAUUGAAGUGUUGACGUUUGAGACUUAUUAUUAUUUGCUCGCUAGUUGAUUAUGCCAUUGAUAUGAGUUUACCGUAAGACCUUGAUGUCAUUUGCUUAUGUGGUUUGCUUGUGAUCUUGCUAAAAUUCUGGUUAUGAGUUAGACAUAGUUGCAACAACAAGAUCAAACAGAGUUCGUCAAAGUUUUUCUUUUGUCUCUUUCAGUUUGUCAACUAAAUUGCUUAAGGACAAGCAAGGCUUUAAGCUUGGGGGAGUUGAUACGCCUCCGUCGUAUCUACUUUUCCGAACUCUUUUGCCCUUGUUUUGGACUCUAAUUUGCAUAAUUUGAAUGGAACUAACCCGGACUAAUGAUGUUUUCAGCAGAAUUGCCAUGGUGUUGUUUUUGUGUAGAAAUAAAAGUUUUCGGAAUGACCUGAAAAUUUACGGAGAAUUUUUCUGGAAUUAAUGAAAAAUACCUACACAGACAUCCACCGGAGGAGGUGAGCCAAUGGGCCACAAGCCCAGGAGGUGCGGCCACCCCCCUGGCCGCGCCUACCAGGCUUGUGGGGACCACGUUGCUCCACCGCCUCCAAUCUCAGCUCUAUUUAGUCCGUCUCGCCCGGAAAAAAUCAAGGAGAAGGAUUCAUCGCGUUUUACGACCCGCCACCUCCUGUUCUUCAUCUGGAGGACAGAUCUGGAGUCCGUUCUGGGCUCCGGAGAGGGGAAAUUGUCGCCAUCGUCAUCAUCAACCUUCCUUCAUCGCCAAUUCCAUGAUGCUCUUCACCGUUCGUGAGUAAUCACAUCGUAGGCUUGCUGGACGGUGAUGGGUUGGAUGAGAUCUAUCAUGUAACUGAGUUAGUUUUGACGGGGAUUGAUCCCUAUUUUCCACUAUGUUCUCAGAUUGAAGUUGCUACUACUUUGCCAUGCUUAGUGCUUGUCACUAGGGCCCGAGUGCCAUGAUUUCAUAUGUGAACCUAUUAUGUUGUCGCCAAUAUAUGUGUGUUUUAGAUCCUAUCUUGCAAGUUGUAGUCACCUACUAUGUGUUAUGACCUGGCAACCCCGGAGUGACAAUAGCCGGAACCACUCUCGGAGAUGACCAUAGUAUGAGGAGUUCAUGUAUUCACCAAGUUUUAAUGCGUUGGUACGGUUCUUUAUUAAAAGGAGAACCUUAAUAUCCCGUAGUUUCCAUUAGGACCCCGCUGCCACGGGAGGGAUGGACAAUAGAUGUCAUGCAAGUUCUUCCCUAAGCACGUAUGAUUACAUACAGAAUACAUGCCUACAUUAGAUUGACGAACUGGAGCUAGUUACUUAUGUCUCCGUGUUAUAACUGUUACAUGAUGAAUCACAUCCGGCAUAAUCAUCCAUCACCGAUCCAAUGCCUACGAGUCUUUUACUACUGGUCCUUGCUACGUUACUUUGCUGCUGCUACUGUUACUCUGUUGCUACUACUGUUACUCUGUUGCUACUGCUGCUAUCACCCUACCUUGCUACUGAUACUUUGAUGCAGACACUAAAUCUUUCAGGUGUGGUUGAAUUGACAACUCAACUGCUAAUACCUGAGAAUAUUCUUUCGCUUCCCCUUGAGUCGUAUCAAUAAAUUUGGGUUGAAUACUCUACCCUCAAAAACUGUUGCGAUCCCCUAUACUUGUGGGUUAUCACUCUGUGAAGCAUCACCCUUUCCUCUUCAAGGGAAAAACCAAUGCAAGCUCAAGAGGUAGGAGUAUGACACACUCAAGGCAUUUCUCAAGGAGAAAGGUUUCAAGCCUGGCUCACUCGAUCCUACUCUUCUCAAUAAAUCAUAUGAAGGUGAACUGUUUGUAUGUCAAAUCUAUCUUGAUGACAUUAUCUUCGGCUAUACUAACAACCGAUAUAGUGAUGAGUUCAAAGGGCUUGAAGUUUGAUCUCAUUGGUUAUUCAGAUUCAUAUUUUGCUGGUGAUAGAGUUGAUCGCAAGUCUACAUGAGGUACAUGUCAAUUUUUGGGUCGAUCUCUUGUAUGUUGGUCUUCGAAGAAGCAAAACUACGUCUCACUCUCCACUGCUAAAGCCGAAUACAUUGCUGUUGGCGCCUGCUGUACACAACUUCUAUGGAUCAAGCAAACUCUCAAGGACUAUGGCAUCAACGAUAAGAAAGUACCACUCUACUACAAUAAUGAGAGUGCUAAAAAGAUUGCCUACAACACUCGGAGACAAAGUACAUUCACACACGACAUCAUUCUCUUCGCGAUCUUGUGUUGAAGGGAGACAUCAUCAUCAAACCUUUGAAGUGAGAGGAGCAAUUGGUUGAUAUCUUCACGAAGCCUUUGGAUGAGAGGAGUAUCAGUUAUCAAUCCGGCAUAUCUCGUAGUAGUGGCCCUAAGCUAGGCCUCUUGGAGCGAUGGUAGCAUGGACACAUGAUUUNNNNNNNNNNNNNNNNNNNNNNNNNNNNNNNNNNNNNNNNNNNNNNNNNNNNNNNNNNNNNNNNNNNNNNNNNNNNNNNNNNNNNNNNNNNNNNNNNNNNGUGGUGGAAUAGUCUAGUUCCACCAGGGAGGUGGUGGGUUCGACCCCCCCUCUUGCACCUUUUUUCCUUUUAGUUUGUUUUUCCCAUGUAUGUAUGUGUGUGUGUAUGUGUAUAUGAGGGUGUGUCUAUAGCAUGUAAGGGUAGUGUGUGUGUAUGACAGUGGGUCCAGAGGACCCACAUGUCAUACUGAGAGAGAGCCACUGCCAAGUGGACCCCCUCACCAUGUUUAUAUUUUUUCCUAAGUAUUGCACUUUAUUAUUUCAUGGCCUGUUUAGAGCUUCAUAUUAGGUGGACCUUUGAUCUAUUGAUGUUGAUUCCUUGAUGGAAUGGUAGUGGGUGAACCCCUCUACAACUUGGGGCAAAUAUGUUGCUCUUAGGAUUUUGCAUGUGCUUAUUACACCUUGUCAAAGUGGGCACUUGACUGAAAAAUGACAGAUUUGUGAAAACCUGUGAAUUUCAUUAAGUCUGGGAAUCUGGAGUUAUUUUCUUCCCCUGUUGUGUUGUUCAUAUUUGCUCCUCUGUUGGGAAUUAGCCCAAGCAACAAACUGAUGUUUGUUUGCUGGUAUGCUUGUCUAGCUCUAUGUAAAAUUUCAUGCCCAGAUACCUCCUGUAGAUAUCAUUUUGGAGGCUGCUAAAAUGCUUCAGAGCAUAAGCAGCUGGUGAAAAUCUGUAAUUUUCACUAAGUCCCAAUCUAUGAUAUUUUGUCCAAGUUAGAGGUUAUAUAUCUGCUGAUGUGUGAGCCCUUUGCUUUAGCUACUUGUUGGAGGUUGUAAUGCAGUUGGAUGGCUUCAGUUUCAUGUCUUGUUUGAAUUAUUUAGAGGGUUGUAGCUGCUGUAGAUCUUGUAGUCAAAGUGCUAUGUUGUUGUUAAAAACAGAUUGUGUGUCUAGAUGGUUUUUGAGCUUGUGUGAGCUAUGGUUGAUGGUGUGGUGUGUUCUCAAGCACCAUUCCACUUGUAUUUUGGUGCUUGAUCAUUUGGCAUCCUGGUUACACCAGUGAGUGCCCAUUUAAUUAAGUUUGUGGUUGUUUUGAACCCUUAGACCUUCGUAACUAGUUUUGUAGUUUCCAGUUGAUCCGAGACUCCGUUCACGAUGUUCUUCAUAUGUUUUUGCAUCGUUUUCUCAUGAUGCAUAUGAUUAUGCCAUGUUCAUGCAUGUCAAGAUAAAUUAACAUGAGGUUCUGUCCAGAAUAUAAACAACUCAACUAAUGCAUGUGAAAGUGACUAGAAUAGUGGUGUGUGCCUUCUUCUUCACACAUGCAUCAUGGUGGUUGUUGCAUUAUGUUUUGCUGGUGUUUAUUUGUUGUUAUCUUAUCUUUGGGUAGCAUCGGGAACGGAGAGCGAGUACGUGGAUUCUGGAGAGUUCAUGCAGGAAGAACAAGAGCAGUUCCAGUCUGAAGAAAUCACACGCAAGAUGACCGUGACCUUGGCACCGUUUCUAGCUUUGUUAUGCUUAGAGAUACGUUUCCUUCGUUACAUGCCCGCUGCCUACCACAUGAUAUAUAUGCCAUCUGUCUUUGCCAUGAAACCUNNNNNNNNNNNNNNNNNNNNNNNNNNNNNNNNNNNNNNNNNNNNNNNNNNNNNNNNNNNNNNNNNNNNNNNNNNNNNNNNNNNNNNNNNNNNNNNNNNNNCUGCCUACCACAUGAUAUAUAUGCCAUCUGUCUUUGCCAUGAAACCUCAAACACUUCCCUCUCCUAGCAAAUAUUGUUUGGAUAAGUAGGCAUGAUCAACCUCUAAUGGAUAGCUUUGCUAGUUGCAGGUGCCAGCUGGUCCAUGUGAUAGCAUGGGCAUUUUGAUAUCAUUAUGUUUAACUGCUAUUUAAUUAAUGCACCUAUAUACUGGUGUUUUAAUCCAUAACUGAGCGCUCCUAACACGUUCGGGGUUGUUAUGGGGACCCCCUUGAUAAAUUGUAUAGUGUUAAGGCUUCUCUAGCAGGACCCAACUUUGGUUUUAAUCUUGAAAGGAUGUGGAUGUCGCCUAGAGGGGGGGUGAAUAGGCGCUUUAAAAUAAUCACGGUUUCGGCAUGAACAAAUGCGGAAUAAAACUAUCGUUUAAUUUGUCAAGCACAAAACCUAAAACAACUAGGCUCACCUAUGUGCACCAACUCCUUAUGCUAAGCAAGAUGAACAACUAAGUGAUAGGAAGAUAUAUGACAAUAAACAAUAUGGCUAUCAGAAAGUAAAGUGCAUAAGUAAAGGGUUCGGGUAAGAGAUAACCGAGGCACGCAGAGACGAUGAUGUAUCCCGAAGUUCACACCCUUGCAGAUGCUAAUCUCCGUUGGAGCGGUGUGGAGGCACAAUGCUCCCCAAGAUGCCACUAAGGCCACCGUAAUCUCCUCACGCCCUCGCACAAUGCAAGAUGUCGUGAUUCUACUAAGGGACCCUUGAGGGCGGUCACCGAACCCGUACAAAUGGCAAACCUUGGGGGCGGUCACCGGUACCCGUACAAAUUGCUCGGGGCAAUCUCCACAACCUAAUUGGAGACCCCGACGCUUGCCCGGAGCUAUACACCACAAUGAUUGAGCUUUGAGACACCACCAAGCUUCUAGGACGCCAAAGCAUCCACGGAGAACAAUAUCUAGGGUACUAAGUACCAAAGGUAAUAAGCUUCUCAAACUUCACUUCCACAUAUCAACGUGGAGAACUCAAACCGAUGCAACUAAUGCAAUGGAAAGAACACACGAAGUGGACAAGUCCCUCACACUCAAAUCCCUCCACAACAACAAAAGCUAUGGAGAAAUAUAAGAGGAAGAACAAGGAGCUCACAAAGAACUCCAAGAUCUAGAUCCAAGGGGUUCCCCUCACAUAUAGGAGAAAGUGAUUGGUGGAGAUGUGGAUCUAGAUCUCCUCUCUCUUUUCCCUCAAGAACAAGAAAGAAUUAUUGGAUGGAUUGAGAGUAAGCAAGCUCUAAGAAGGUCAACAAUGGGGGUAGAACAUGAGCUCAACGAAUAGGAAAGCACCAAGGGGGGAGAAGGACCCCUUUAUAUAGUGGGGGAAAGAAUCAUACCGUUACCCCCACUUACAACCCGAGCACAGCGGUACUACCGCUGCCCCCAGCGGUACUACCGCUCAGGGAGGAGCCAUACUACCGCUGCCCCUGGCGGUACUACCGCUAUCCCUAGCGGUACUACCGCUAGGACUGGAGCGGUACUACCGCUCGAGAAAGUCUUUGCAAAAAGUCCGACGGAGAACAACCGCUCGGAGAGAGAUACUACCGUCCCGAAGCGGUACUACCGCCCACCCGGAGCGGUACUACCACUAGGCCCCUGGCGGUACUACCGCUAGGACUGGAGCGGUACUACCGCUCGCCACUGAAACAACCAUAACUUUCGCAUACGAGCUCCGAAUCGAGGAAACCCAAGCUUGUUGGAUUCAGGACGACAGGAGCUAUCCAAACAGAAAAUGAUAUAGAGAUGUGAGACCUCCAUGAAUGAAGAACCGGCAAAAACUCCAACAUCAAAAACAUCAUAGUAGAAUGCAUAUGGACUCUGUUUUCGAUGAACUCGAGCUUGUCAUGAAGAUGACCAUAAGCUCUAAAACUCACAAAGAGAAACACCAAACAAGAACCAAGAAGUAUGAUGCAAGGAUGCAAAUGGUUUGAGGUCUCAACGAACGAUACGAUCGAGCUAAUCACUUGAGAUCCCCCCUUGACAGUACGGCAAUCUAUCCUAAAACAGAAAAACUAUCAAGGGCAAACCUAUACCUUGCACCUCAUCCUCUUGAGCUAGAUGACGAUGAUUUUGGCUUCCUCAAGAUGGACCACCUUCUUGAUUGCGUUGGCUUGAUGAAGACUAGUUGAUUGCUCCCCCAUACCCAACAUGGGUGAGCCUCUCUUCAACAUAUCUUCACAAGUCCAUUGCCACCACAAUGGACGGCAAGCUUCAAGCAUGAUAUCUUCAUGCUAAUCCACUUGAACUUGCACACCGCAAUCUUGAUGACGAUCACCACUUGACGUCAUCCUUCAUGGGUUGUAUGAGAUCUUCCUCUAGACGCAAGCCCAUGGAAACACACCUAACCCCACAUAGAACUCUCACGAAGACCAUGGGUUAGUACACAAACACGUAAUGGACAAUGCUUACCAUACCAUGGGAUCACUUGAUCUCUCUCGGUACAUCUUGUACUCUUUGUGUGUUGAUCAUCUUGAUUUACUCUUUGUCUGACGAUCUUGAUCAACCUUGUGUCUCUAUGACCAUUCUUUGGAUAAUACCUUGAAUACCAUCUUGGUCAUCAUAUAAACUCCUUGAACCCAAUAGAUGGAAUUCAAGAAGUGCCUAUGGAAAAAUCCUAUAAAUAUAACUUAAGGCAACCAUUAGUCCAUAGGAAUUGUCAUCAAUUACCAAAACCACAUAUGGAGAAAUAUGCUCUCAAAAAUUUGCUAAUAACUUAAUAAUGAAAUGCAUAGGGAAUAGCUACCCCGAGGAAUCUAACCAACCCUCGGGCCAGCGCUCCUCAUGAGUGUUGGUCCAAACAAGAGAACUGUGCGGGGCCGACUCAGGGCAACUUGAGCGAUUUCUAUCAGGCCACUAUACGCGUCGCUUAUCCGUCGUGUCCUGAGAACAAGAUAUACGGCUCCUAUCGGGAUCGUCAACAUGUCGGGAGGUCUUGCCAGAUUUGUCUUACCUUAAUGAUAUAUCUUGCGCAUUGGAAUUCCGUGAAACUUUGGGUCUCCUCAAAGUUGAGGUUUUCCUCCAAGGAAUCCGACAAGAUCACGAGUUUCGUGAUAGAGGAUUACUAUGCGGCCUGUGGUAAUUUGUAAUGGACUAGUUGGAGCACCCCUGCAGGGUUUAAUCUAUCGGAAAGCCGUGCCCGCGGUUAUGUGGAAAAUAUGGAUAUUUUAUUUAACAUCCGGUUCUAGACAACUUAAAGUAAUUCUAAUAAAACUGCCAACUGAAUGCGUAACUGUGACUGUCUCUUUCGGAGAUCCUUCUCUGAUCGAGAACACGGUGGGGUUAUGUUUGACGUAAGUAGGUGUGCAGGGUCACUUAGUGAUCAAACUAGUCUUCGACCGACUUGCGUAGACCGCCAUAUGUUUACUCUGACCAUCGUAAGGUAGCCACCAUAUAUGCUUAGGUUGCUGCAAACCCAUACACUUAACCUUCCUCACCCAUUAACUCGGCUAGAUUCGAUACCAAGGUCAUUCGAUUGUUGAGUCCUCGUGGCUCACGGUUUACUACAAACACCCACAGGUACAGGUACGCCUAAGGCAGGAGAUCCUGAUGACAGCCAGUUGAAGUGAGAGUUUGAUGAGGACUCUGGCAGACUGUACGUGACUUAUUCGGAGGACUAGAGGUCGUGGUCGUGAUCAUGGGGCCAGCAUGCGGGAUAUCGUAGCUUUAUCUGUUUUCUUAUUGUCCGUAGCUGGACCAUACCAUGUUCUGAAUAAGUGUGUUUGCAUGACUAUAUGACUAUGUUCUUAUCAGAUGGCAAGUGUAUGCCCUACUUGUCACUCUUUUAGUUAUGUAAUGUUAUGAUUAUCUCGCUUGCGAAACGUGUAGAUGCGCCCCUUUCCCUUUUGGGGCCUCGUCCCCAAAUAAGGAAAGGGUCGCAUCUUAGUCGUUACAGGCUGCCACCAAGAGCAACGGCGCAUCCCUCCUCUCUCUCUCUCGUAGUACUUCUCCACCGUCACAAUCACAGUAGUGCUUGUCGAAGCCCUGCCGUGAUCACAUCAUCGCCUCCGCCACCACGCCAUCGUGCUACCGGAGAACUCAGCUACUACUUCACCUUCGCUCGUUGGAUCGAGGUGGUGAAGGCGUCAUCGAGUUGUACGUGUGCUGAACGCGGAGGUGUCGUCCGUUCGGCGCUUGAUCGGGAUGGCUCGUGAUUGGAUCGCGGGAUGGCUCGUGAUUGGAUCGCGGGAUGGCUCGUGAUUGAAUCACGAAGACAUUUGACUACAUCAACCGCAUUUCUUAACACUUCUGCUUAGCGAUAUACAAGGGUAUGUAGAUGCACUCCCCUCUCGUAGUUGUUGAUCUCCAUAUAUUGAUGUAUAUUGAUCUUGGGUGUUCGUAGGAAAAUUGUUGUUUCCCAUGCAACGUUCCCUAACACUGGGCCGGUCCCUGGUGACUAUGGCACGGCUAUGGCGGCUGGCCGCACGGGUGCAUGCCUGGCGGCUUCGAUGCUUGGAGUUCGUCGGGCGAUGCGGGUUGGGCAGUAGCCCGGUGUGGCUGCUUUCCUGGUCAUGGAUGGCUCCAUGGUGGCUUGGCAGAUCGACUAUGGCGGCCACUAGUCCAAUGUGUGCUUGUCUACAGGCGGUCUAUGUCGGCCUUUGAUCCCCCUCCUCAUCGUUCGGACGCUACUUUAUCAAAGGGUUGGCCCCUCUCCCAGUUGUGGUCCAUCGGUCGUCUCACGCCCGGUGCUGCAGGUUCGAGCUUGUCUCAUGCCCGACUGCGGGACCGAGCUCGUCUCGCGCCCGACGGCAGGAUUGAUCUCGUCUCGUGCCCGGAGCUGAGAAAUGGUCGAUAGAGGCCAGUCUUGUCCGGCCUAUCAGGUCUCAGCGCUGGGGCCGCCGAGGGAUGCGAAAGGCAGUUCCUUUCCACCCGUCUCUUUGGUUGGGGUAGCGGCGGGUCUCGAGUGAGGUGGUGUUAAGGUCUUGGAUGCCGGGGCGGCGGCCCUAUUAGUGGUAGCGCGGUGCUCAUAGGCAGGGCUCGUGGCUUGGUGCUGCCCGAUGGCCAUGGUCGUGUGGGCGGCGUGAUUCUCGGGGUGUGGCGUCAGGUGAUGGUGAGUGUUGGCCAGGGUGAAAACCUGUUCUAUCUUCGUACGGAUCGGCAGCGGCGAAGCUCGUUCCCUUCUUGAAGGCGUUGUCGCGGCUCUCAUUACCCGUCGUGUUGCUCCAGAGGAAACUCUGAUCCUUGGAUCGAACGAUGACGGCGCUCCGGUGUCGUAACCUUCUUGAAGGCGCCGCCUUGAAGCCACGAUUCGUCAUAUGCGGCUUCACCUCUUUGCGGUGACGUGUUGGUUGAAGCCCUCGGUUGCUCUUGUAAUGCUGGGGUUGAUGUUGCUGCGCUCGGCGCCUAUGUAUCAUGUCUUGAAUGUGUGUUGUGAUGUGGUAUGUUUGUACUGAAUUGUCAAUGAUCGUUGCUUUAUAUAUAAAAUGGACAAAAGCCUUUUGAUAAAGCAAUCCACAUCAAUCAACUUCAAGCCAGUCUAACAGAAACUAGCUCGCCAUAAGCUUGGUAACAAAAGUGCAACCGGUAUUUCUGUAGAAGCAGGGUAAGAAAAAUAAUAAUUUACGAAGAAAGCUUCACAAACGAGCUACAACAUGAUAGCAUCACUUCAUACACCAAUUUCAUAAGUAGCUUUGCUAAAAUUACGAUCAUCCGUUCCCUUAACAUGUUUCUUCCGUUUGAUGGAUGCUCACUCAUUAAGUCAAGGGAAAAAGCAUGCACACUUUUGGCUAGCCUUUCAAGAGGAGAUUUUAUCUAUUUUUCUCUGGUUUAGGAAAAAUAGUUCAUAUGAUAUACUCCCUCUAUCAACUACUCCCUCCGUUCCUAAAUAUAAGUCUGUUUAGACAUUUCACUAGAGGGCUACAUACGGAACAAAAUAGAUGAAUCUAUAUUUUAAAUUAUGUCUAUAUACAUCCGUAUGUAGUUCUUUUAGUGAAACCUUUUAAAAGACUUAUAUUUAGGAACAGAAGGAGUAAUAUAGAAGCAUUUAGAUCACACAUUUAGAUUAUUACUUUAAUGAUCUAAACGCUUUUAUAUUAAUUAACAGAGGGAGUACUAUACUAGCGUCAGAAAAAGAAUGAUAUACUACUUAAAAAGCUAAUCCUUUUAUAUACUAAUGUAAGACGUUUUUACAGUGAGAAAAUUGCCACUAUACCACUAAUGAAAACCGCAAGUGCUAAAAUACCACUAUAAAAAACCAAAGUGCCAAAAUAACACUGCUCUCUUAGUUUUUCAGACCAGAAUAACACUUCCGUUAGCUGUCAAACAUAUUCUGUUAGUCAAACCGUUAGCAUCUGUCAGUUUUUUUGGGUAUUUCCAAAAUGCCCCUGAUCUCUAAACCUAGUCCCGUAUUCCCCAUCGUUCUGCUCCCGGUCUCUAUCCAUGGCGUGCGUCCGCUCGCCCCGCCGCCCUCCCGCUCGCUCCGCCGCCCUCCCCUAGCUUCGCCCCCGACGACGCCGCCCUCCCGCUCGCCCCCGACGAGGCCGCGGCUCGCCCCCGACGAGGCCGUCCUCCCGCUCGACCAGGCCCUCCGCUCGCCACCGACGAGGCCGCGGCUCGCCCUCGACGAGGCCGUCCUCCCGCUCGACCAGGCCUUCCGCUCGCCCCCGACGAGGUCGCGGCUCGCCCCCGACGAGGCCGUCCUCCCGCUCGCCCCCGACGAGGCCGCCCUCCCGCUCUCCAGGGUCCCGACGCCGCCCUCCCGCUCGCCCCUCGACCAGGCCCUCGACGGCCUUGCUGCUGGCCCUCUGGGUGAAUAUCUGAUGCUUUAAAUCUGAUGUUUUUAUUCUAAAUGAUGAUCCUCUGUUUCCAUUUUUAGAUUCGAUGGGCGAUUUCAAAGUAGAAAUAGAUGUUCAAUCUUACUUGACGGUUGUAGACGACAGAAAAGUGUAUACAAGGGGCAGAACAUGGAAUUUUCUGGCUGGUCGGGGCUUGUCCAUUGCGCGGAUAAAGGAGGUUGUGGAGGGGAGGUACACAUGGUCUGCUGAUCAGAGAAUGGUCAUUUGGUAUGGAUCCGGAGGUAACACCGUCCCAUUGAUCUCUGAAUCAGAGAUAGCUCAAUUGUUUGACAUAUGUUCUAACACAAAAAUAGUAAGGUUCGGUGUGACCAUUGAGAGUAAACAACAACAGAAUGAACCAGCCCAUGUUAUGACCGAGGAGAUGGAUGAUCAGCCAGUUCACGCUCCAUUCUUUGCUUGGCCUAAGCAAGCCUAUGAAGGGGAGUACGAGGAUGAUGAGCCUGUGGGAUGCAACGAGGAGAGCACCUAUUUGCAUGAGGAGAAUGUUGAGUCAAAGGAGAAUGCUGAGCCACAAAAGAAUGUCGAGCCAAAGGCUGCAAGAGUUCCAUUGGGAACACUGGAUGUGGACAACUCUUAUGAUCCACAACAUGUGCGAGGGGAUGAUGAGGCUUUACUUGCGAACAAUAUGGCUCCUACUUAUAUCCAUGAUAAAAGCAAUCCUCGAAUUGAAGUAGGAGCCACAUUUCCUAACUCUAAAGCAUUUAAAGUUGCUUUGAGACAAUUAGCAAUUAGAGAAGAUUGGUCCUUUGGCAUGCAGUAUAGUGACCCUCAAAGAUUUAGGGCUAAUUGCACUGAUGAGGAUUGCCCAUGGAGGAUACAUGCCUCAAAAUUACCUAACACAAAAACUUUCAUGGUAUUGUAUAGUGACCCUCAAAGAUUUAGAGCUUAUGUUAUUGUUGAUUUCUUUCUUUUUACUGCUGUUUAUUUGGCACUUAUGUUUCUUAAUGUUAUUGUAGGUAAAAAAACUCCCUUUUGGCCAUACUUGUGGGAGUACCAAUUGCAGCAAAGGAAUGGCAAAUAGAGAUUGGCUUGCUGAUAAAGGGAAUGCUGCACUUGAGGAGAAUCCCACGGUGAGUGCAAAACAACUUAGAGAAACUUUGCAAAAGGAGUAUGAUAUUAAGCUUCAGUACACCGAUGUUUGGAAAGGAAGAGCUCGUGCAAAGGAUCAAUUGGAAGGUACAUAUAAGGAGAAUUUUCAGCAAUUGUGGAACUUUAGAGCCGAAUUGUUGGCAACCAAUCCUGGAAGUAUAUUUGAGAUAGACAUAAAAACAACUACCAACAAAAGGAGUGACGUUGUGCAUGUUUUCAAUAGGUUGUUCAUUGCCUUCAAGCCAUGCAUUGAUGGGUUCUUGGCAGGGUGUAGACCAUAUUUGGGGGUUGAUGCAACAUUUCUUAGUGGGAAAUAUACCGGACAAUUGGCAGCCGCAAUUGGUGUGGAUGGGCAUAGUUGAAUGUUUCCGGUAGCAUUUGGAAUAUUUGAGAAAGAAAAUACAGAAAAUUGGGUAUGGUUCAUGGAGCAGCUGAAAUUGGCUGUUGGAGAGCCACAAGGGCUUGUAAUCCAUACAGAUGCAUGUAAGGGGUUGGAGAAUGCCGUUUCUAAGGUCUGCCCAAAUUGUGAACAUAGAGAAUGCAUGAUGCAUCUAAUGCUUAACUUCAAGAAAAAGUUCAAAGGUGACAUACUAGAUAAUAUGUGGCCUGCAGCUUGGACCUAUGAAGUAGAGAAGCAUGCAUCUAGGAUGGCAGAAAUACAAGCACAAAGUGCUGAAGCAAUAGCCUAUUUGAAUAUGCAUCACAACCGUGUGUGGACAAGAAGCAAUGACAAAAGUUGAGUAUGUCUGCAAUAAUUUGGCAGAGGUCUUCAAUAAUUGGAUUAAGGACAUGAAGCAACUUGCACUUGUUGAGCUUUUGGACAACCUGAGGGAAAUGAUAAUGAAAUUGUUCGAGAAAAGGAGAGCCGUUGCCGAAACGCUGCUAGGUUACAUACUACCUAGUGUGAUAAAGGAGUUGAAUUUGAAAAGCAAGGGGCUGCACUAUUUGGAAGCAAGGGCAUCACCAAAUAUAGCUGAGAUUUCAGGAAAUGGAUGGAGGCACACCGUUAACUUGGAGAAAAACGAGUGCUCUUGUAGAAGAUGGCAGAUUUGUGGUAAGCCAUGCACACAUGCUCUUCGGUUCAUAUUCUCCAAAAAAGCCAAGCUAGAGGAUUAUAUUGAUGAGUGCUUCUCAGUGGCAAGGUUCAAAGCGGCAUAUGAGGGAAUUCUCAUGCCAAUUAGGGGUAGGUCCCAAUGGCCCAAGGUAAAUCCUGGAUUUGAUAUGAUCCCUCCCAAGCUUACCAAGAGUGCUGGACGUCCAAGAACUAGGAGGAUAAAGAAUUACACUGAAGGUGGAACUGGCAGAAAACACAAAUGCAAAAGGUGUGGAGCAUUAGGUCAUCUUCGAAAGACAUGCAAGGAGCCAGAGAUUGAAAGUGACGCGGACCGAGAUGCUACUCCUCCACGGUAAUUAUUUCAUGAGUCGAAAUUUCUUUCACUUGCUGCCAAAUGUCUUGCAUAUUAAUUGUAUUGAACUGUAGGAAAAAAUCAAAGGUUGAAGCAAGCAUCACAGCUACUUCUUCUCCUAAGACACCAACUAAGCAAGGUACUCAGCUUGGUAGUCCUACAAGUCCAAUGACAAGGCAAAGGGCAGCAGCUAUUGCAAUUGCUUCAACACCUCCUAGUGCAUCUACAAGGAGCAAAAUUGCUGCUCCUAGCCCUCUUCUGUGAGUUCAGUUCAUUUGAUUGUGAGAAGCAUGAUUUUUCUGUGAAAACAUUCGGAUUCCAAAUUGCCUUCAUCCUGAUCUUUACUUUGUUUUCUCUCAAAACAGCAAUGCCAUGUGAAGGAGGAUAUCAGGAAGCUUUUGGAUGUUGACCGUCCUAGAUUAUAACUUGUAGUAGAUUAAUUAGAUGUUAUGUAAUCAGAGUCAGUACUAAGACUGUUUGCAACCGUGUAUGCAUGCAUAGUAGGCACAAUGGUGUACAGGAGGUGCUCUUUUGGUAUGCUAUACUGUGUUGUGACUUAUAUGAACCAUUUUGUGUAUGUUUUCUAUGUUGAAGAGGUAAGGGCAUUCAAGUCUUUUUCAGAUGAUGUUAGUCUCAGUUAUGAACCAGUGCUAUUUUGGCAAGUUGGCUUUUAGUAGUGGUAUUUUGGCAUGUUUGGUUUUGACUAGUGGUAGUUUGGCUAUUCGCUCUUUUACAGUUUAAUUUUGAGCAUGUGAAUAGCUGAAGACGCAAGCAAGCCAACUACCUCAACACCUCUUGCAUCUCCGAGCUCUUGCAAAUAAAUUGCCCAAUUAGUUGAGCUAUUUAUUUGUCUCAUGAUACUCCUUUUUGCAGCAUGCUAAUGAAGUGAGUACCAAGGAUGAUUAGCAACGCACUCGCACUCUGCUAGUUAUGAUGAACGGUCCAAAAAGAGAGAAGGGAAUUCCAAACGAAAGCAAAACAACGAGCGCAGACUUUCAUCAGUUACCUUUUUUGUAAUGUUAAAUUGAAUUGAAAUAGGGAUUCAUCAGUCAAAAAAUCUAGGAAAAUAAUAAGAAACACAGAGAAAAGAUACAAGCUUUNNNNNNNNNNNNNNNNNNNNNNNNNNNNNNNNNNNNNNNNNNNNNNNNNNNNNNNNNNNNNNNNNNNNNNNNNNNNNNNNNNNNNNNNNNNNNNNNNNNNCUUGAUGUUAUUUCCGGAGUUCUGACUCUGCGACCUUUAGCAUCGCAAACAACUCGCCGGGUGACUUGUUCAUCCCUUGCAUGUUAUAGUACAACACAAAGCUCUUGUAGCUAGGUGGCAGUGAUUGAACAAUUAUGUCAAUGAUAGCCUCUUGCGGGAGUUCAACUCCCAACUCAGCUAGAUGGUUUGAGUACCUAGACAUUUUGAGCACAUGUUCACUGUUAGACGAAUUUUCCUCCAUUUUGCAAGUAUAGAAUUUAUCGGACGUCUCAUACCUCUCAAUCCGGGCAUUAUUCUGAAAGAUAAACUUCAACUCUUGGAACAUCUCAUAUGCUCCAUGACGUUCAAAGCAUCGCUGAAGUCCCGGUUCUAAGCCAUACAAGACUGCACAUUUAACUACUGAGUAGUCCUCCUUACGUGCUUGCCAAGCGUUCAAAACAUCUUGUUCAUACGUAGCGGGUGGUUCAUCUCCUAGCACUGCAUCAAGGACAUAAUUCUUUUUCCCAGCUUGUAGGAUAAGCCUCACAUUACGAGCCCAGUCUACAAAGUUGCUACCAUCAUCUUUCAGCUUAGCUUUCUCUAGGAACGUGUUGAAAUUCAGGGUUGCUACUGCGUGAGCCAUUGAUCUACAACAUAAAAUAUUGCAAAGUGGACUUAGACUAUGUUCAAGAUAAUUAGAGUUCAACUUAAUCAAAUUAUUCGCUAAACUCCCACUCAAAAAGUACAUCUCUCUAGUCAUUUGAGUGGUACAUGAUCCAAAUCCACUAUCUCAAGUCCGAUCAUCACGUGAGUCGAGAGUAGUUUCAGUGGUAUACAUCUCUAUGCUAAUCAUAUCAACCAUAUGAUUCAUGCUUGACUUUCGGUCUCUUAUGUUCCGAGGCCAUGUCUGUACAUGCUAGGCUCGUCAAGUUUAACCCGAGUGUUCCGCGUGUGCAACUGUUUUGCACCCGUUGUAUGUGAACGUUGAGUCUAUCACACCCGAUCAUCACGUGGUGUCUCGAAACGACGAACUGUAGCAACGGUGCACAGUCGGGGAGAACACAAUUUCGUCUUGAAAUUUUAGUGAGAGAUCACCUCAUAAUGCUACCGUCGUUCUAAGCAAAAUAAGGUGCAUAAAAGGAUUAACAUCACAUGCAAUUCAUAAGUGACAUGAUAUGGCCAUCAUCACGUGCUCCUUGAUCUCCAUCACCAAAGCACCGGCACGAUCUUCUUGUCACCGGCGUUCUUGUGCUUAUUGAUCUCCAUCACCAAAGCACCGGCAUGAUCUCCAUCAUCACCGGCACCACACCAUGAUCUCGAUCAUCAUGAUCUCCAUCAUCGUGCCGCCAUCGAGGUUGUCGUGCUAUCUAUGUUAUUUCUACUAAAGCUACAACCUAGCAAUAUAGUAAAUGCAUCUGCAAACACAAACGUUAGUUUAAAGACAACCCUAUGGCUCAUGCCGGUUGCCGUAGNNNNNNNNNNNNNNNNNNNNNNNNNNNNNNNNNNNNNNNNNNNNNNNNNNNNNNNNNNNNNNNNNNNNNNNNNNNNNNNNNNNNNNNNNNNNNNNNNNNNCGGGACGACCGUUCGUGAGGAGGCGUCGGACUAGCGCGCGGUGCGGUGGCGCUGCAUGUGGAUCCUAGCGGCGGCGUGCGGAGCGCGUCCACAGCUGGGGUUCGUUCUUGUCGCGCGGUGUGGCGACUGCAAGAGGGGCAAGACAUAGUGGUCGCGUGCAUCGUCGAGUUCGGGUCAUAUCCUUCUGGAUCCGGCGCCCGGACGCCACAAGCCAGUGCAGGGUGGUGGUACUCAUCACUGUUCAGAUUGAAUCUUCAUUGAUCCAGAUACCCGCGGUGUGCUUCUCUCCUGGCAUUGAGCGUGGCCGCGGAUGAAGCUGGUGGAGGAGACUCAGAUAAGGGGAAACCCAUUGAUCGGCCUUGGCUGACCGCGUCGACGACGACGCUCAAGGGCGCCGUUUUUCUUCCUGGAGACGUCGGUCUACGUCUGCUCCUCCAUUUCCUACCUCACUGCCUCUUGGGUGAAAACCCUAACUCCGGUGGGCGGCGGCGGCGGCGUUGAUGUCGUGACCUUCCUGAAGGCGUCGCUUUGAGGGCUGAGUGGUGGUGGGCACUAUGUGGGUCCUGGACAGUUGCUGGUGGUGGGCACUUCUUCGGGAGAAACCCUAAGAUCUGACUUUCCAGAUCGGAUGAUGGCGGUACUGCGGUGUCUUUCUCUCUUGGGAGCAUCGUUCGCGGAGCAGCGCUGGAUGACAGAGGUAGGAGAUGGAGCGGAUUCGUCUGGCCCGAAGAUUUGGUGGAACUAUCAAGUCAUGCCGGGCCAACAGGUGCUACGCUGAGUCAUGCCUGGUUUGUAGGUGCUACGCACGACAGUUCUUCCAGAAUCUUCGUGUCUGGACGAAUAAGCGCAGGGCGGUGGCGCUGUUUGGCGUCGUGGCUGCGUCGAUCAUCUUGCAUGGAGCUUUCGGUGGAUAUGUCAAGUCAUGUCUGGCCGACAGGUGCUACGUUGUGUCAUGCCUGGUCGGCAGGUGCUACGCACGACAGAUCUUUCAGAAUCUUUACGUCUGGACUGACGAGUCGUGGUGGCGUCGACGGAUGGACGGACUAGUAAGGAUGAUACAGAUCUCUCUCUUGAAGAUGGGUUAGCGGCCUGAUGAUGAUGACGACAUCUAAAACGUGUGCAUGUGUUAUACGCUUUAGGUUUGCUGCACCGGCUAUGGGUUCCGAUACGUUAUGUGGAUGUAUCGGUGACGACACCCGUUUUAGAUAUGAAGAGUGAGAGCACUCCACAUUAUCAAGUUUUGUAGGUGCGAGUAGUGGCUUCGGAUGGUUUCAUGUAUGUUCUUAUUAGACCUAUGUUGAAUAAUUAAUAAAAAUGAUCGUAUGCAUCGAUUAAUACAGAGGCUGGGGAUUUGAACCUCCUUUUCCAAAAAAAAACCAUUANNNNNNNNNNNNNNNNNNNNNNNNNNNNNNNNNNNNNNNNNNNNNNNNNNNNNNNNNNNNNNNNNNNNNNNNNNNNNNNNNNNNNNNNNNNNNNNNNNNNUAGCUUAUUGUGUUACUUUGUUUCUAUAAACUUAAUACUUUGAGAUGAAUGUUGGACGGAGGUCUUGCACUUCAGUAUUAGUAGUAUAUGCAGUUGGAUUAAUGGCCUAGUUUCACUGACAUAAUACCAAUAUUAGAUUAUGCCACGAAUAAUCACAAUUAUAACUAUUCCUAAUUAUAUAAAUUUUCCAAUAGUAAUUUGUUUACCCGCCAUUGCUAUGCUUUCGAUAGAGAUGUCACUAGUGAACCUAUGGCCCUCGGGUCUAUUUUCAUUCAACACAAAAGCUUCUACAAUUGCCAAAGUGUGUGCAUGUUCCCGAGCUCAAAUGAGCUCCGUGAACAGUAAAAUCAAAAAAAUCAAACACAUCUGAUUUUAUUUUGUNNNNNNNNAGUAAAAUCAAAAAAAUCAAACAAAUCUGAUUUUAUUUUGUGACAACCAUUGAUAAAACUUUUAAGUGGUUGGAAACGAUCAUCAUGGAAACACAUUCCUAUAAGGCGUGUAAAAAAAAUUCAAUGUUUCAAAAUGCUUUUGAAAGUAGCAUUCUAAGAGCAUCGGUUUUUUGCCACGCUUUCUUGAAUGUGAUUCUAUGACAAUUUUUUGCUAGAACUUAAAACUUUUGUCAAUGUUUAUCACAAAAGAAAAUUAUUUUUUUAAUUGGUUUUACUGUUCACUCGGGCUCAUUUGAGAUCGGGCUACAUAAUUUGUGUGCCUACACUUGCUAAUUUUUAGUGUUUUAUUAUUUUGCCUUCUGCUACUAGAGUUAAUCUUGUAAUUAGUAAGAACAAGGGGAGGGACAACCUCAUUGCUUUUGGUGGAUGCAAGCAAUUGUUGUGUUUGUGUGCAGGUACUACUAACAUUGUUACUAAGGUGCCUCCUACUGUUUCGAUGAACCUUGGUUAUUAACGAAGAUAAAUAAUUUCUACUAUUGUGCUACAUCACCCUUCAUCUUCGGGGAAAUCCAACAACUACUACACGAGUAGCAUGCCUUGGGAGACAAUCUGCUAGUGGGGUUUAAGUGAGAAAAAAUUAUCCUAUAUGACGCUUUUUCUUCCAUCACAAGGAUUUUCGUCAUAGAAUAGCACACAUUUUGUAGUCAAUUCCAUGCCUUUGACGCUUGUUGAANNNNNNNNNNNNNNNNNNNNNNNNNNNNNNNNNNNNNNNNNNNNNNNNNNNNNNNNNNNNNNNNNNNNNNNNNNNNNNNNNNNNNNNNNNNNNNNNNNNNGCACACUUAAGGUUCGACGUUGUUUUAUGCGUAUUUGAGUUAUAUGGCUGGUUACCGAAUGUUGUUCGGAGUCCCGGAUGAGAUCACGGACAUCACGAGGGUUUCCGGAAUGGUCCGGAAAUGAAGAUUGAUAUAUAGGAUGACUUCAUUUGGUUACCGGAAGGUUUUCGGGCAUUACCGGUAAUGUACCGGGAAUGACGAAUGGGUUCCGGAUCUUCACCGGGAGGGGGGACCACCCACUCGGGAGGGCCCAAGGACCUUGGGGGUGGCGCACCAAGUAGGUGGGGUCAGCCCAAGGCUGUAUUGCACAAGAGAAAGAAAAACCAAAAGAAGAGAAAAAAAGGAAAGGUGGGAAAAGAGAGAAGGACUCCACCUUCCAAUCCUAGUUGGACUAGGAUUGGAGGAGGACUCCUCCUCCCCUUGGUGGCGCAGCCCUUGGGGCUCCUUGAGCCUCAAGGCAAGCCUCCCCUCCCUCCUCCUAUAUAUAUGGAGCAAUUAGGGCUGAUUUGAGACAGCUUUUUCAAGGCAGCCCGACCACAUACCUCCACGGUUUUACCUCUAGAUCGCGUUUCUGCGGAGCUCAGGCGGAGCCGUGCCGAGAUUAGAUCACCACCAACCUCCGGAGCACCGUCACGCUGCCGGAGAACUCAUCAACCUCUCCGUCUCUCUUGCUGGAUCAAGAAGGCCGAGAUCAUCGUCGAGCUGUACGUGUGCUGAACGCGGAGGUGCCGUCCGUUCGGCACUAGAUCGCGGGACGGUUCGUGGGACGGUUCGCGGGGCGGAUCGAGGGACGUGAGGACGUUCCACUACAUCAACCACAUUCACUAACGCUUCUGCUGUGCGAUCUAACAGGGUACAUAGAUCGGAAAUCCCCUCUCAUAGAUGAACAUCACCAUGAUAGGUCUUCGCGCGCGUAGGAAAAAUUUUGUUUCCCAUGCGACGUUCCCCAACAAUAGGAGGGAUUCAUCAUCCCUCUCAAGGAACUGGUAGCGUGUCAAAGCGACGCGGUCAAGGAAAGCUAUAUGGAGAGGGGGAUCUCCUUCGCGGAUGGGUACUCCAAGAAAAUUUGCUAUGCGAGUGGCAUAGAUCGCACCAAAGAAAUCCCCUUCAUUAGCAUUAUUAUUCAGCCUCCUUGCUAUAAUAGCUCCCAUGUUGAAACUUUUCUCACCCGUUACUGCGCUCUUAAGGAUACAAAGGUCAGGUGCGCAGAGGUGACAAUGCUCAAUCUUGCCAUUAAUGCAUCUGCCUAUGAAGAGGGCAAAAUAAUGCAAGGCAGGAAAAUGAAUGCUCCCCAUGGUAGCAUGCGUAAUAUCUCUAGUUUCUACAAUAGUUAUACCAGAGAAAAGAUCUCUAACCGAAGACUUAGGACGAUCAUUGAGACUACCCCAAAUAGGUAUCGUGCAAAUUCUAUUGAAAUCCUCUAAAUCCAUGGUAUACAAUUUGUCAUAGAGAUCAAACAGUACAGAUGUAUCACGGCCAACUGAAAAUUUGAAUCUACGAACAAAAGAGGCAGUGAGAGCAACCUACUGUUCACAUUUAUCGGAGAUGAAUUCUUCGAGUCCGACAUUGUGAACAAGUGCAUCAAACUCAUCUUUGAAACCUGCCUCAAUCAUAAAUUCAUCAGAAGGCCAUUCACAUGGUUGUACCUGCGCGUCCCUUGGUUGGUAAGGAUCGGGCUCCCGAAUCGCAAGACGGGGACCUCUCUUGCUUGAGGAACCACCAUGAUAGUUUCUCCUAAACAUCUUCCUUUUCUGAAAUUUUCAGUGACCCAAAGGAAAAGUGAAAAAGGCUCAACUAAACUUGUAGCAACUACUCCCACAAGUGCCUAGAGGCCAUAUUACGCAUCAAAACUACUUAGGACCAGCUAAAAUUAGCAUGCAAAGCUCAAGAACAUGGUCACCAAGGAAGAAAAAAUGCGCGAAGUAUAAGGCACUAGAGCAGAAACUAAUUGGACCAAUGGAGGAGUCACUUACCAAUGAGUAAUUUCCCCAAAACAGUUCGGAGAAUGGUGCUUUGAGCAAAGAAAUCGAAAAUCCCAGCAGGAGGAGCAAGAACACGGGUUUGAGCUAUGAAACGAUUUUUUUUCUGAAGGUAGGAGAACCAGAUGAGACAAAGAAUGAGUGGAGGGGGUGCACGUGGGCCCCACAAGCCAGGUAGGCGCGGCCAGGGGGUGCCUGCGCCUCCAAGGCUUGUGGCCCAUUGGUGCAGCCCCCAUACUAGCUCUUUGUCUCAGUAUUUUUCAAAAAUUCCAGAAAAAAUCAUACUAGAUUUUCAGGACGUUCGGAGAAUUUUUUUUCGGGGUACUUUUCUACGGGACGCUAAGACAGAAAACAGGGAAAACUAAACUAAAUCUAUCAUUUUUCUUCUAAGCAACCUAAGGUGAAAGCUUGGAACAGAGGUUUGUGACUCCUUGAUUCAUCCAUCUCAUGGUCAUCGAAAGAAAUCCGUCGAUGAGGUUGAUCAAGUCUCCUUGACAAACUUUUUCGAAUCGCAAAAGAAGACGGCGAAUUUUCGAAUAGUCACUAGGUCACCUCAAUGGGGAUGUGUAUCUCCCCAACAAGCAAAUCAUACAUCUUCAUAGGAGGAAUAGGGCAUUCAAAGCUCCCAAUAAGAAUCGAUAUUGUUUCUUCGGAAAGUGCACUGUAUGCUCAUUACCGUUGACAUAAAGUGACAUUGCCUUUGUUGCAAUCUAUAAUAGCUCCUGCAGUGUUUAAAAAGGGUCUUCCGAGGAUGACCACCAUGUCAUCGUCCUCGAAAAUAUCCAGAAUAACAAAGUCUGUUAAGAUAGUGACAUUAACAACCACAACAGGCACAUCCUCGCAAAUGUCGAUAGGGAAAGCAGUUGAUUUGUCACCCAUUUGCACAGAGAUUUUAGUGGGUGUCAACUUAUCCAGUUCAAGCCUAAGAUAAAGAGAGAGAGGCAUAACACUAACACCGUCUCCAAGAUCGCAUAAAGCAGUUCUAAUGUAGGUGCCUUUAAUGGAGCAAGGUAUAGUGGGCACACCGGGAUCACCUAGUUUCUUAGGAGUUCCACCCUUGAAGGUAUAGUUAGCAAGCAUGGUGGAAAUCUUAACCUCGGGUAUCCUCCUCUUAUUAGUCAAAAUAUCCUUCAUGUACUUAACAUACAGAGACAUCUUGAGCAUAUCUGUCAAACACAUUUGCAGAAAGACAGGUCUAAUCAUUUCAACAAAGCGCUCAAAACCCUCAUCAUCGUUUUUCUUGGAUGGUUUGGGAGGAAAGGGCAUGGGUUUCUGAACCCAUGGUUCCCUUUCUUUACCAUGCUUCCUAGCAGCAAAGUCAUUCUUAUCGUAUCUCUUAUUCUUAGGCUGUGGGUUAUCAAGAUCAACACUAGGUUCAAUCUCCACAUCCUUAUCAUUGCUAGGUUGAGCAUCAUCAUGAACAUCGCUAUCGAUAUUAUCAUUAGGCUCAUGUUCAUCACCAGAUUGUGUUUCAGCAUCAGAGACAGAGACAUCGUUUGGACUCUCAGGUGUAGCAGCAACAUGGUUGCUAGCGUGCAAAUUCCAAUCAUCUUUCUUCUUCUUUCUAGGAUGACUAGGUGCAUCAGUGCUAACUCCUUGAGAAUCUUGUUCAAUUCUCUUUGGAUGACCCUCGGGAUACAAAGGUUCCUGGGUCAUUCUACCGCCUCUAGUAAUGACUCUGACAGAAUUGUCAUUCAACUCAUUGAGCAAGUCAUUCUGAGCUUUAAGUACUUGUUCUACCUGAGUAUCAAAGGGAUAUGGAGAUGCCCAUCAAUAGAUAUCAAUGUGAAUGUGUACGGAUUACCAUGCAACGGAUGCACUUAGAGCUAUAAGUAUGUGAAAGCUCAAAAGGAGAACUAGUGGGUGUGCAUCCAACUUGCUUGCUCACGAAGACCUAGGGAAAUUUUGAGGAAGCCCAUCAUUGGAAUAUACAAGCCAAGUUGUAUAAUGAAGAUUCCCACUAGUAUAUGGAAGUGUCAAAACAAGAGACUCUCUAUAAUGAAGAACAUGGUGCUAUUGUGAAGCACAAGUGUGGAGAAAGAUAGUAGCAUUGUCCCUUCUCUCUUUUUCUCUCUCUUUUUUUUGUUUGGGCUCUUUGGCCUCUUUUUUUUGUGGGCAUAUUUGGCCACUUUUUUUUAUUUCCUUACAUGGGACAAUGCUCUAAUAAUGAUGAUCAUCACACUUUUAAUUACUCACAGCUCAAUGCUUAGAAUAAUGAUGACUCUUAUAGGAAAUGCCUCCGGCAGCGUACCGGGAUGUGCAACGAUCUAGCUUAGCGUAUGACUCAUACGUCUCCGUCGUAUCUACUUUUCCGAAUUCUUUUGCCCUUGUUUUGGACUCUAACUUGCAUGAUUUGAAUGGAAAUAACCCGGACUAACGCUGUUUUCAGCAGAAUUGCCAUGGUGUUGUUUUUGUGCAGAAAUAAAAGUUCUCGGAAUGACCUGAAAAUUUACGGAGAAUUUUUCUGGAAUUAAUGAAAAAUACAUGCGCAAAGAUCCACCGAAGGGGGUGAGCUAGUGGGCCACAAGCCCCGCCGGCGCGGCCACCCCCCCAGGCCGCACCAACCAGGCUUGUGGGGCCCACGAGGCUCCACCGCCUCCAAUCUCAGCUCUAUAUGUUCCGUUUCGCCCAAAAAAAUCAGGGAGAAGGAUUCAUCGCGUUUUAUGAUAAGGAGGCGCCGCCACCUCCUUUUCUUCAUCUGGAGGGCAGAUGUGGAGUCCGCUCUGGGCUCCGGAGAGGGGAAAUCGUCGCCAUCGUCAUCAUCAACCUUCCCCCAUCGACAGUUCCAUGAUGCUCUUCACCGUUCGUGAGUAAUCUUAUCGUAGGCUUGCUGGACGGUGAUUAGUUGGAUGACAUCUAUCAUGUAAUCGAGUUAGUUUUGACGGGGAUUGAUCCCUAGUAUCCACUAUGUUCUGAGAUUGAUGUUGCUACUACUUUGCCAUGCUUAAUGCUUGUCACUAGGGCCCGAGUGCCAUGAUUUCAGAUCUAAACCUAUUAUGUUGUCGCCAAUAUAUGUGUGUUUGAGAUGCUAUCUUGCAAGUUGUAGUCACUGACUAUGUGUUAUGACCCGGCAACCCCGGAGUGACAAUAGCCGGAACCACUCCCGGAGAUGACCAUAGUAUGAGGAGUUCAUGUAUUCACCAAGUGUUAAUGUGUUGGUCCGGUUCUUUAUUAAAAGGAGAACCUUAAUAUCCCGUAGUUUCCAUUAGGACCAUGCUGCCAUGGGAGGGAUGGACAAUAGAUGUCAUGCAAGUUCUUUUCCCUAAGCACGUAUGACUACAUACGGAAUAAAUGCUACAUUAGAUUGACGAACGGGAGCUAGUUACUUAUCUCUCCAUGUUAUAGAUGUUACAUGAUGAAUCACAUCCCGCAUAAUCAUCCAUCACCGAUCCACUGCCUACCAGUCUUUCACUACUGGUCCUUGCUACGUUACUUUGCCGCUACUGUUGUCACUACUGCUCUUACUUGCUGCUGUUGUCACUACUGCUGUUACUUGCUACUCCUGUCACUACUGUUGUUCCUUGCUACUGCUGUCACUACUGCUGUUACUUGAUACUUUGUUGUUACCUGUUGCAAGACUUUUUUAGGCGCCAUUGAUACAACAAGUCAGGAAUAGUCUGCCGUCAACAGACCUUUUUCUGGCACCAUUGCUAUCAUACCACUUUGCUACUGAUACUUUGCUUGCAGACACUAAUCUUUCAGGUGUCGUUGAAUUGACAACUCAGCAGCUAAUACUUGAGAAUAUUCUUUUGCUUCCCCUUGAGUCGAAUCAAUAAAUUUGGGUUGAAUACUCUACCCUCGAAAACUGUUGCGAUCCCCUACACUUGUGGGUUAUCAAGACUAUUUUCUGGCGCCGUUGUCGGGGAAGCACAGCUAUAUUUUCUGAGUCACUUGGGAUUUUCGUUUGCUCGUCACUAUGAGGAAUCCGAAAGAUCCAAGAACUGAAAUCUUGCCUUCCACUACGAGGACAGGUAAGGAACUGACAUCUAGCUCUGCACUUGAUUCACCUCCAGUUAUGAGUAAGUUUGCGACUUCACCUCCUGCUAGAAUUCUUGAAUGUUGCAUGUGCUUGAUGAUGCUACUUCUGCUGCCCAUGAUGCUUAUGAUGAUGAUAUGCCUGAUACUGCUUUGCCUUAUGAUGCUACUACUGCUUUGCCUGAUGAUGCUAUCCUUGAUACUGCUUUGCCACUAGGUGCAUUCCUUGAUGCACAAAUUUCUAGAGUUGCUGCUAGACGUGAUGAUACUUCUGAAACUGCUGAUACUACUAAAGUAGAACCUGCUACUAUGCCUGUUAUGUCUGAGCACUGUGUUAUGGAAGGAGAGAUAGGUGAGGACUUUCUUGCGUGCAAGGAUAGCUAUGAUGUUGAGAAACUACUGUGCAAGUGGAAAUAAAAAUCUCUGAAAGCUAGGAUGAAAUACGACCCGAAGUUUGCUACUUCGCCUAUCUUUGUGACCGAUAAGGAUUAUGAAUUCUAUGUCGACCCUGAGUUAAUCAGUCUGGUCGAAUCUGAUCCUUUUCACGGUUAUGAGUCUGAAACGGUUGUAGUCCGUCUUACCAAACUGCACGAUUUAGCCACCCUAUUCACUAGUGAGGAAAAGAUCCGCCACUACUAUAUCCUCAAGCUAUUUCCUUUCUCGCUAAAGGAUGAUGCUAAGACUUGCUUCACUUCUCUUGCUCUUGGUUGUGUGCGUAGCCCCCAGGAUAUGGUCUACUACUUCUCUGAAAAAUAUUUCCCUGCCCAUAAAAAGCAAGUUGCCUUGCAGGAAAUAUACAACUUUGCUCAAGCUGAGGAAGAGAGUCUCCCACAAGCUUGGGGGAGGCUCAUCCAGCUACUGAAUGCUUUGCCUGAUCACCCUCUUGAGAAGAAUGAAAUACUUGAUAUCUUCUAUAAUGGACUUAUCGAUGCUUCUAAAUACCACCUAGAUAGUUGUGCCAGUUGUGUUUUUAGGGAACGAACUGUAGAACAAGCUGAGAUUCUACUGAAUAACAUCUUGUGCAAUGAGAAUGCUUGGACUAUUCCCGAACCACCUCCUAAGCCAACUCCAAAGAAAAGAGGUAUUCUAUUCCUCAGUCCUGAAGAUAUGCAAGAAGCCAAUAAAUCGAUGCGAGAGAAAGGCAUUAAAUCUGAAGAUGUCAAAAAUCUACCACUUAUCGAAGAGAUCCCUGGUCUUGAUAACCCGAUACACGUAGUAGAAGUAAACUCUCUGCGUAGGUUUGAUGAGAAUGAUAUUCCUUUUGAUAAACCUGCUAGAUUAUGCUUGGAUGAAUUUGAUAAUUUUGUUGCCAAACAACAGAGUUUCAAUGAUGAUGUUAGCAGACAAUUGGAACACGAUGCUCGUAUGCUUAGUCAUUUAAGUGCUUGUGUGGACAGAAACGUCAAUGAUCUUAAGCUUCUCAGUAAACAUGCGUCUAUGGUUACUACUCAAGUAGAACAAGUACUUAAAGCUCAGAAUGACUUGCUCAAUGAGUUGAAUAAUAAUUUUGUUAGAGUCAUCACUAGAGGCAGUAGAAUGACCCAGGAACCUUUGUAUCCUGAGGGUCAUCCUAAGAGAAUUGAACAAGAUUCUCAAGGAGUUAGCACUGAUGCACCUAGUCAUCCUAGAAAGAAGAAGAAAGAUGAUAGCAACCUGCACGCUAGCAACCCUGUUGCUACUACACCUGAGAGUCCAAACAAUGCCUCUGUCUCUAAUGGUGAAACACAAUCUGGUGAUGAACAUGAGCCUAACGAUGAUAUGAAUAGUGAUGUUCAUGAUGAUGCUCAACCUAGCAAUGAUAAGGAUGUGGAGAUUGAACCUGUUGAUCUUGAUAACCCACAGUCUAAGACUAAGAGGUACGAUAAGAAUGACUUCGCUGCUAGGAAGCAUGGUAAAGAAAGGGAACCAUGGGUUCAAAAACCCAUGCCCUUUCCUCACAAACCAUCCAAGAAAAAGGAUGAUGAGGAUUUUGAGCGAUUCAUUGAAAUGGUCAGACCUGUCUUUCUCCAGAUGUGUUUGACAGAUAUGCUCAAAAUGUCUCUGUAUGCUAAGUAUAUGAAAAAUACUAUGACUAAUAAGAGGAGGAUACCUGAGGUUGAGAUUUCCACCAUGCUUGCUAACUAUACCAUCUAGGGUGGAACUCCUAAGAAACUAGGUGAUCCCGGUGUGCCCACUAUACCUAGCUCCAUUAAAGGCAACUAAGUUAGAACUGCGUUAUGCGACCUUGGAGCCAAUGUUAGUGUUAUGCCUCUCUCUCUUUAUCGUAGACUUGAACUGGAUAAGUUGACACCCACUGAAAUCUCUCUAUAAAUGGCCGACAAAUCAACUACUUUCCCUAUCGGCAUUUGCGAGGAUGUGCCUGUUGUGGUUGCUAACGUCACUAUCUUAACAGACUUUGUUAUCUUGGAUAUUCCCGAGGACGAUGCCAUGGCGGUCAUCCUCGGAAGACCCUGUUUAAACACCGCAGCGGCUGUUAUAGAUUGCAACAAAGAAAAUAUCACUUUCCAUGUCAACGGUAAUGAGCAUACGUUGCACUUUCCAAAGAAACAAUAUCGAGUACAUUGCAUCAAUGCUAUCGAAAAAACUUCAUCGAUUCUUCUUAUGCGCUUUGAAUUCCCUAUUCCACCUAUUAAGAUGAAGUAUGAUUUGCUUGUUGGGGAGAUUCACAUCCCCAUUGAGGUGACCUAGUGACUAUUCGAAAAUUUCCGUUCUCUUUUACGAUUCGAAAAGGUUUGUCGAGAAGACUUGAUCAACCUCAUUGGCGGAUUUUCAUUCGAUGACCAUGAGAUGGAUGAAUCGAGGAGUCACAAACCUUUGUUCCAAGCUUUCACUUUAGGUUGCUUAGAAGAAAAAUGAUAGAUUUAGUUUAGUUUACCCUGUUUUCUGUUUUAGCGUCCCGUGGAAAAGUACCCCGAAAAUAAAAGUUCUCCAAACGUCCUGAAAAUCAAGUAUGAUUUUUACUGGAAUUUUUUAAAAAUUCUGAGACAAAGAGCUUGUCUGGGGGCAGCACCAGUGGGCCACAAGCCCUGAUGGCGCGGGCACCCCCCUGGCCGCGCCACCCAAGCUUGUGGGGCCCACAGGCACCCGCUCCACUCAUUCUUGCUCUCAUCUGGUUCUCCUACCUCCAGAAAAAAUCGUUUCGCAGCUGAAACCCGUGUUCUUGCUCCUCUUGCUGGGAUUUUCGAUCUCUUUGUUCAAAUCACCAUUCUCCGAACUGUUUUGGGGAAAUUAAUCCUUGGUAAGUGAUUCCUCCAUUGGUCCAAUUAGUUUUUUCUCUAGUGCCUUAUACUCCCGUAUUUUUGUUUCCUUGGUGACCCUGUUCUUGAGCUUUGCAUGCUAAUUUUAGCUGGUCCCAAGUAGUUUUGAUACGUGAUAUGGCCUCUAGGCACUUGUUGGAGUAGUUGCUACGAGUUUUGUUGAGCCUUGUUCAUUUUUCCUUAGAAUCACUAAAAUGUCAGAAAUUUUCAGAGAUAGAAAAGGGAAAAGAUGAGGAGGUUCUUAAGAGACUCUUCAACCCGUGACCCCAAGGAUGAUGGAAGUGAGAAGAAUCCCAAGUAUUUGGUCCCUCGAGUCGCAGAAGUUCGAGCGUGCGAGUGGCCAAGUGACGUGUUCUUACGCGCCGCUGGAAUUUAUGAGGACUUUUAUUACUUGGUGGAGAACAGAAGCCUUACCGCCUUCGUUGAAGAUAAGUGUCCGCAAUACCUCCUCCUCACUAAUAUCUUUGUACAAAGCUUUAACUUCUAUCCGAGGAAGAAUCCUCCUAUGGUUGAGUUCAAACUUUAUGAUAUCCCCCAGCGCAUGUCACUCCAGGAUUUUUGCAAUGUUUGCAAAUUGCCUUUUGUUGGGGAUAUUCAUGAACCUCGUCCACGGGACUUGGAAGCUUUCAUCGAUACAAUUGUUGUAGGAGAGGAGAGAGGAGUGUCUUGCGCUAGAUCUGCUAGCAUACAUUUUCCCGUGCUUCGGUACUUCUCAUUAUUUGUGGGAAAAUGUUUGAUUGGCCGUGGGAAAGCUGGGUCACUUAGUUCCCUAUAUCUUGCGGUCUUGCGCGAAGCCCUUUGUAAUGAUAAAACUUAUAGCUUGGGCGCUAUAGUAUGUCAACGGUUGAACCUGAACCAUUCUAAAGGUGUUGUCUAUGGAGGUAUCUAUACUUCCCGUCUUGCCAGACACUUUGAGAUACCUAUUAGACUGGAGGAGGAAGAAGAGGUUCUUCUUCCCGAGAGAUAUCUAGAUUACGAUAGCAUGGUUCGCCAUGACUUUCUUGAUAGAGAUAUAAAUAGAAGGAUGAUUUAUAACCUGGUAUUUAAUCAAGGUACUCGUGAGACUAUUACUUUGCCUGCUCCUUCUUUGUUCAAUCUUCAUGCAGGCAGGUACAUUAUUAUGCCCUCGGACAUCUACGCAUAUUGGGGCCUAGCCCAACCACAAGUGCCCGUGCCCGAGCCACCAGUCGAGUACUAGACGCCGGUUUAUCAGUGGGAGCCAGAGGAGCUCACAUAGCAGUGGCAUCCUCAGUCCACUCCGGAGUACCCCGGAGCUGGUUAUUUCCCUCCUUGGGAGUAGACCAGCUUAGGACAAAAGCCUAAGCUUGGGGGNNNNNNNNNNNNNNNNNNNNNNNNNNNNNNNNNNNNNNNNNNNNNNNNNNNNNNNNNNNNNNNNNNNNNNNNNNNNNNNNNNNNNNNNNNNNNNNNNNNNUGGCCUUCCCUUAUAAACCACUAUCAUCACCAUGUUUUGCAUCAUAAGUGCUAAAGACAUUGGCUCAUGCUCAAGUAUUGCAUGAAAGUUUAAAAAGCUGAAGCAAGAAAAAGUAUGCUUUAGUUACUUGAUUGACAAGAGGUGUGUUCUUAAUUUUAUAUCUAUAUUCUUUUUACUCCCCUGUCACUGUUUAUAAGGUACGAUUAAAUUUUAUGUGCAUUUCUACAAUAGAAAAGGUUUAAGGCGCAUUUUGAACGGCAAUAAUUAUUCAAAUGCAUGUUUAUGUGUUAUUGUUUCAUUGCCAAAUUAAUAGACUAUUGUCUUGAAUCGUUUGUAUACUAGUAUUAAUACCAUGAUUAAAUGAAUUGAUCAAGGACAUGUUUGGUAGCAUUCAACAUAAAAAAUGUUAUCAUUUACCUACUUGAGUACGAGUAGGAAUUAAGCUUGGGGAUGUCCAUAUGUAUGUGGCAUAUCUAUAAUGUUUUAUUGUUAAAUUAUAUUAUAUUAUCACGUUAGUAUGCUUUACAUGUCAUUUUGUAUUAUUUUUCCAAAGUAACCUAUUAAUUUAGUGUCAAUUCAUGUUUUUUGCAUGUUUAUGGUUUCGUAGAAAACCCAUACCUAUAGAAGUCCAAACACGACAAAACUUGUUGACGUGUUUUCCGGGAAAAUAAGAGACACUUGAAACUUCAGAGGAGGACGAGAAGGCCCAUAGGGGCCCAUAAGCCAUGUGCCCACGCCCCUGGGGUACGGUGCGCCUAGGUUAUUGGUGGGCCCCCUGUAGCUCACUUUGCCUUAAUUCUCGACCUAUAAAUUCCCAUAUAUUCUGACCCACGAAGAGAAACCAAAAAAAUAUAGCCUCUGCUCCGUCGCAAUCCCAUCUGGAACCCUAUUUCGAUACUAUGUCGGAGGGGGAAUCACUGGGGAGGCCAUCUUCGUGAACAUUGUUGCCUCCACGAUGAUGUGUGAAUAGUUCCACCAGGACCUACGGGUCCAUCAUAGUAGCUAGAUAGCUCCCCCUCAUAGCUAGAUGGCUCUUCGUCUAUCUAUCUGUCUCUGUCUAUCUAUCUAUCUAUCUANNNNNNNNNNNNNNNNNNNNNNNNNNNNNNNNNNNNNNNNNNNNNNNNNNNNNNNNNNNNNNNNNNNNNNNNNNNNNNNNNNNNNNNNNNNNNNNNNNNNUUACCUCAAUGGGGAUGUGUAUUUCCCCAACAAGCAAAUCAUACUUCAUCUUAACAGGAGGAAUAGGUCAUUCGAAGCUCCCAAUAAGAAUCGAUGAAGUUUUUUGAUAGCAUUGAUGCAAUGUACUCGAUAUUGUUUCUUCGGAAAGUGUACCGUAUCCUCAUUACCGUUGACAUGGAAAGUGACAUUGCCUUUGUUGCAAUCAAUAAGAGCCCAUGCGAUGUUUAAAAAGGGUCUUCCAAGGAUGACCGCCAUGGCAUCAUCCUCGGGAAUAUCCAGGAUAACAAAGUAUGUUAAGGUAGUGACGUUCGCAACCACAACAGGCACAUCCUCGCAAAUGCCGAUAGGGAAAGCAGUUGAUUUGUCGUCCAUUUGCAGAGAUAUUUUAGUGGGUGUCAACUUAUCCAGUUCAAGUCUACAAUAAAGAGAGAGAGGCAUAACACUAACACCGGCUCCAAGGUCGCAUUAAGCAGUUCUAACGUAGUUACCUUUAAUGUAACAUUGGCUCCAAGGUCGCAUAACGCAGUUCUAACUUAGUUGCCUUUAAUGGAGCUAGGUAUAGUGGGCACACCGGGAUCACCUAGUUUCUUAGGAGUUCCACCCUAGAUGGUAUAGUUAGCAAGCAUGGUGGAAAUCUCAACCUCAGGUAUCCUCCUCUUAUUAGUCAUAGUAUUUUUCAUAUACUUAGCAUACAGAGACAUUUUGAGCAUAUCUGUCAAACACAUCUGGAGAAAGACAGGUCUGACCAUUUCAAUGAAUCGCUCAAAAUCCUCAUCAUCCUUUUUCUUGGAUGGUUUGUGAGGAAAGGGCAUGGGUUUCUGAACCCAUGGUUCCCUUUCUUUACCAUGAUUCCUAGCAGCAAAGUCAUUCUUAUCGUAUCUCCUAGUCUUAGGCUGUGGGUUAUCAAGAUCAACAGGUUCAGUCUCCACAUCAUUAUCAUUGCUAGGUUGAGCAUCAUCAUGAACAUCACUAUCGAUAUUAUCAUUAGGCUCAUGUUCAUCACCAGAUUGUGUUUCAGCAUCAGAGACAGAGACAUCGUUUGGACUCUCAGGUGUAGCAGCAACAUGGUUGCUAGCGUGCAAAUUCCAAUCAUCUUUCUUCUUCUUUCUAGGAUGACUAGGUGCAUCAGUGCUAACUCCUUGAGAAUCUUGUUCAAUUCUCUUUGGAUGACCCUCAGGAUACAAAGGUUCCUGGGUCAUUCUACUGCCUCUAGUGAUGACUCUCUGCUAACAUAAUUAUUGAAACUUUGUUGUUUGGCAACAAAGUUAUCAAAUUCAUCCAGGCAUAGGCUAGCAGGUUUAUCAAAAGUAAUAUCACUCUCAUCAANNNNNNNNNNNNNNNNNNNNNNNNNNNNNNNNNNNNNNNNNNNNNNNNNNNNNNNNNNNNNNNNNNNNNNNNNNNNNNNNNNNNNNNNNNNNNNNNNNNNUAGACGUUGAUGUUGACAAUGAGCAGAACGAUCUCGACGAAUCUUAUAUUGAUGACCCAAGCCAAGUAUAAUGAAUAAUUUGUACGGCAGGAAAUGAUAUAACAACCGAGUGAUAACAACUUACAUCUCUUUAUUUCUAAUUUUGCAUAGGAGGUUGGCAGUGCUCCUAGCGGGUAGUUGGCACGAUGAGUGAUGAUGAUGAAGAUAUUGGGCAAGCUGAAUAUGAGCAAGAGGCAUUGGAAGAUAAUAGCAAUGAUGUUUGGUUCAAAGGAAGACCCCUAUGUGUUCUACCAUAACUAUGCAAAAGUGUAUUGCUUCAACAUUAGAAAAGAAAGCCUAACAGUCAAAGUCAACACUUUGACUUUUAUGUCAUGUCAGACCUCACGGGUUAAGCACUCGGACACUUAAAUUUUUUGACUCAGCAAAUCAAAAUUAUGAUAGCACUUCAAGAAAUUAAAAAACAAGUAGUUUUUCGUAGCCCUAGCAUGCAGUAGCUUUUUGGACGCAGACUUUUUGCUAUUUACUCUAGAAGGAUCAUCAGGGUCACGCAAUCGGAGUAGUAGACAUGGUUAAGCAACUACAACCGAACAUAACAAAUAUAACCCCUAAACGCCCGCGGACGCGCCCGGUUAAUAAUCGGACGUGUCUCUGUUUAUCCUCCCGCACAGCCAUAUUUCUCAAUUUUCUCUCAUUUGUCCGGCCACUUGCACGUGCUUUAUGAAGACGAAAAGAGAGCAAGAAAAAAAAUAAAGAAAAGGAAAAAUUGCUCCGGGAUGGGGUCAUGUUCUACUCCUAUGUGGCGAACCGUCAAGACGCGUCCGCGAGUCCUCGUAUACUUUCUAUAUUUGGGUACGAGGGUUUGCCGAUAGGCCAAUAGUAUAUGAAUAAUAUGUAGGAUUUGGUUAAAUCAUUUUUUUUCCUUUUUUUCUGUCCGAUCAAUUUAUAGAUGCUUUUACGAUCGAUGUGCCAUAAAAAUUCUUGAAAAAUGGUAACUUUGAUAGCACUAUCCAGGAAACUUUUGGUCAUAAUACUGUAGAAGAGUGCAAUACUGGAUUGAUUAUAAGGUACAACCCACAUGAAUAUACGCUAUACUAAGGAAAAUAAUUUUAUUUUGAACUUGCAACAAUUACAAAGUUGACUUUUCACAGAGCCAUAUGCAUUGAAUUUUUUGUUAAUGAUGCAUAAGAUUUUGAUAGAUAGAGAGAAGUUUGAAGUGUCAAAUAAUAAACAACCGAUUCCAAAUCAUCAUAUUGUUUUCAUAGUUUACCAGUGUGCAAUGAAAACCCCAAUAUUACUGUCAUCCCAUCUUUACUUUACAAUAAAAAAUAAAAUACACACACAGACACUUACGGGCUUAGAAAAGGGCGUGGCAAUGCCGCCGCGCCUUCGAUCUGCUAGUUCCUAAUAGGAAUUUUAACCCUUCUAUAAUCUAGACCGAGCAGUCAACAACAGGAACAGAUGGGAAGAAGAUUGAACAGCUGCACAAAGAAAUAGCAGCCUGAACGCUCCAAGAGUGAAACCUACUCUAUCUUCGGUCCAAGUUCAUCAAUUACUAUUUUAUGGAUCUCUUGCCUUGCUCUGUAUUUUUGUUUUGCACCUACUCUAUAUAAAUCAGCCUCUUGCUUGCUCUCACUCAUCACCAGUCUUCACUCUUCACUAGAACUUGCCAGCAGCGGUAGUGUGCAGCGAGCCAGUGACCGACGGACAAGAACAAAAUGGUCGCCGGCUGUGUCAUCACCGAGCAGUGCGCCCUGUCGGUGUCGACGGAGCGGCUGUGGAAGGUGGUCUUCUCCGGCGAGGAGACGGCCGCCCUGCCCAAGUCCUGUGCGGGCUUCAUCGACGCUGUGGACAUCGAGGGCGACGGCGGACCCGGCAGCAUCUUCACCAUGACGCUCAGCCCGGCGGCGGCAGAGCUGUCAGGCUCGGGCGUGAUGAGGAGCCGGGUGAUGGUGAGGCGGCAGGGGAUGGUGCUUGCGUGGCGAAGCUCCGGGUAGAGUACGAGAGGCUGGACGGCGGUGGGGCGCUGUCGGUGGAGGACCAGGCGGCGCUCGCCGCCGGGUACCUCGACCUGCUCAAGAUGGUCGAGGCAUACCUGGUCGCCCAUCCUGCCGAGUACGCCUAAUUAAACCAAAACGAGAAAAAUCAACUCUCCCUUCGUUUGAAAUUAUUUGUCGCAUAAAUAAAUAAAGUAAUAUGACCAAGUAGCCUGUGUUGUUUGCCUCCUGAUCGACUUCGCGAGAAAAAUCAAUUGGUAAGCUUUAGUAUAAAUUAUUAAGGUAUAUAUGAGUGUUUAAUCCCUGUUUUAAGAUCGCAUUUCGUGUGUAAGUUGCUUCGAGCAUUGAUGGAGAUAAAUAUUUAAGCAGUUUGGUUUUGUGAUAAAUGAAUUAAUGGAGAUAAAUAUUUGAGCAGUUUGGUUUUGUGACAAAUGCACUUCUUUCUAAUCAGUCAAUUCAAAUUAAUUGGCGAGACAAGCCAAACGUAUAAAGGACAAUAUCAAUCAUGUAAUCAUUUUCAUAUGAGUGAUGGACUGUCGAUACCUAUACGCCAUACGUACAAGCUGGCAGAGGACCCAAAAAAAAAUAAGGCAAAUCUGAUAUAAAAAGUUGCUGUCACUAUAAGUAAUAGCGAUGGGCCGAAAAACUAAGUUUUAUUAGGAUGUGAGAUAACGAUAGAGCUUGACGUGACUUGUAACUAAUGCAUUCAACUUUUAUAGGGAAUGCACUCAUAUUUUUGAGUCAGAUGCAGUGGAACAUGUGCUUGCAAAAACCAGAUGCCCUAUCGUGCGUGACUGAGGUGCAUGACUGAGUUUGCAGCCACUUGAGCUUAAGUGCUAAAUUGAUGGCCAACAACCCAGCAGCGCGAGUUCAUAGAGAGGGCCUCAUUGUGUUUAUCUUAUUUUCCCAGCAAGACCAUGACUAGUUCAAAAAAAACCAUCCAGUCGAACAAGACAUAUACCUGAAUGAACGCCUUUUAUAAAAUCAAGGUGAGGCGGCCGCCCAACCUUGCUUUACUGGCUCCUUCGUCCUUAACGAGCAUACGUUCGGUUUAACUAUGUAUCGGCCCCUCGCAAGAAAAAAAAAAUCUCCGGACCAAUCCAAUCCAUAGUCGUCAUCACGACUUUGACCGGCGGCCAUCAUGAGUCGUCGCCGCCCCUAGCGUCGACCCCGCUCGAGUUCACGUCGUCGUUGGGCUCAUCUGCGUCGUCGCACGUGGCGCCAUCCAGCAACCCUGCUCUCACGCGGCACUGUCGUCGUCGCCCUACCCGUCAUUGGAGGUGCCAAGCACACCGUCUUUGGUGCACCUCCCCGCAAGACGUCAUGUGAUGCACUUUCGCGCUCUUCCAAAUCGUCGACCAAGACGAGGAAGACGUCGAUGCUGGAAUUAUUGGCCAGCCCAAUUAUUAUUUCAAAAAAAAUCAUAAUAAAUCCUAGAGGCCCACGCAGCCCAUUUGUGCAAGGCAAGAGGUGGAAAUAUUUAGUCCCACAUUUCUAGUUUAGUGGGAGUCGGAUCUCCUUAUAAGGGAGGAUGUUUCCACACAUGUAUGAGCUUGAGAACAAGAGAGACAUACACACGUGCUCCUCCUCCUCCAUCGCCCGUCACGCCUCGUCACGACGCGUCGUGGGUUGCGGGAAUGAGCCGAACUAAAUUUUUUCCACGCACGACUGGUAUACGAAAGGUCACUCGAAGAAGCUGAACUCUUCGACUGUUGUCUGUUCGUUUCGUCUCCGUCACUGGCCUCUCGCCUCCUUCUCUUGCGUCUAUAAAAGAGAGGUCGCUCCUCUCCAGAGAAGACGCAUCAGAACUUCCUCUCGCCACUGUUUCCUUUCUCUGUGAUGCUGCUACGUUUUUUACCAUCCCGUCUUGCGACGUGCACCGUAGGUCCGGACAGUAGGCCUUCGAAACUCCGUCUCUUUGAGUCCCGUACGGGAGAUGGGCGAUAAGGUAUUUGGGGAGCGCUCAGCGCGACUACUGGUUUCCAUCACGGACACAGACGAUCUCUUCCCGGACGACGACUACUUCCCUGACGUCGACCACCUCUUCGGGAACAUGGUAAACGCCAACACCAACCCUAUUGUUGUUGCAACUCAGUACGUACUCAUGUUUUUUUUAGUUCCUACCGCAACUUUUACUAUAGUUUCACUUCUAGAUAUGUUCCGUUUCUGCUCAUCACUCCAUAUGAUACCUUGUGUAUAUAGAACGAUUACACAUAUGUUCUUUUCUAGAUCAUAUGUGCACAUAUCUUUUGUCGUCUCAUCUAUAUUUUGCAUGUCUUCUUUCAUCUUUAUUAUGAUGGUCAUGUUUAUCCUAAUUUUCUUUUAAUAAAAUCCUAUGGUAAAUUGCUCACAUUUCCAACAAUCCAAAAACCUUAUUAUAGGCAUUUACCCCGAGUGGUUUUGUUGCUUCCAUGAGACCUCCUAUUUUUGAGGGUAUCCACUAUAAGAGGUGGCGCAUGAGAGCUGUUCUAUGGUUUCAAACCAUGAGAUGCUAUGACGCCACUCUUGACAAACCUGAUGGAGAUCAUGAUGCUCAACAGGAACUAGUUUUCCAGAAAAUGGAUACCUUGUUUAAGGCUGCUCUCUUGAGCGUUCCUGGUGAGAACAUAGUUGAUGCUUAUGCGUCAAUUGAUAAUGGAAAAGAAAUGUGGGAUGCACUCGAGGCCAAGUUUGGGGUCUCGGAUGCUGGCACUGAGUUGUACAUCAUGGAACAAUUCUAUGACUACAGGAUGACAGAAGAGCGCUCCCUGGUUGAGCAAGCUCACGACAUACAGUCAUUUGCAAGAGAAUUUGAGCACUUCAAUUGCAUGCUACCCGACAAGUUUGUUGCCGGAGGCAUCAUCACUAAACUUCUCCUUCGUGGAGGAACUUUGCUACCUUACUGAAGCAUAAAAGGCAAGAGUUUUCCGUUUUGGAUCUCAUAGGUACUCUUGAUGUGGAAGAAAACGCGAGAGCAAAAGACACACGUGCUCGAGGUAUUGAGGGAGGUUCUAGUGCUAAUCUGGUACAGAAGAAAAACUUCCAGCCCCACAAUUUCAAGAACAAGGGCAAGUUUGAUGGUAAAGCAAAGUUCGAUGGGAAGAACAAGGUUGUACAACACACCAACUUCAAGAAGAAGAAUGACAAGAAGAAAGGUGUUUUUUAUGUGUGUGGAGAUCCUGAUCAUUGGGCACCUAACUGUCCUAACCGUUAUGACAAGCGUCAACAUGGGAAAGGUGGCAAGUCCGCUAAUGUUGUCAUUGGUGACACUGACGUGGAGGAUGCUGGGUAUGGUAUAUUUCCCACUAUCCUUUCAGUAUGUCAUUUCCCCGAUUGGUUGAUUGACACGGGGGCUAAUGUGCAUGUGUGCGGUGAUAUUUCCAUGUUUUCGUCUUAUCAGUCCACACGGACUUCCACCGUGCUGAUGGGCAACGUAUCAAGUGCUUCUGUCCAUGAUGUUGGCACGGUCGAUCUGAAUUUUACUUCGGGGAAGGUCAUGCGGCUGAAGAACGUGCACUAUCUCCCCUCUAUGAAUAACAAUCUUGUUAGCAGAUCUCUUUUGUGUAGAGAUGGCUACAAGCUUGUCUUUGAGUCAAAUAAAUUUGUAAUAUCCGAGUAUGGAAUUUUUGUUGGUAAAGGCUACGAGUCAGGAGGCCUGUUCCAUUUAUCCUUGGUAGACGUUUGCAAUAAAGUUGUUAAUCAUGUUUACAACAAUUGUGAAUCAAAUGUGUGGCAUUCACGUCUCUGUCAUGUUAAUUUUGGUUGCAUGUCGCGACUUUUCAAAUGGAACUUAAUCCCUAGCUUCACCACUGUCAAGGGAUCUAAGUGUCAAGUUUGUGUGCAAGCCAAGCAACCUUGUAAGUCUCACACGACUGCCGAAACGAGAAAUCUUGCACCAUAGAGUUCAUACAUUCAGAUCUAUGUGAAAUGAAUGGUGUUUUGACAAAAGGUGGAAAGAAAUAUUUCAUGACGUUAAUUGAUGACUCCACUAGAUACUGCCGAGUGUAUCUUCUGAAAUCUAAGGAUGAGGCUUUGAACUUUUUCAAGAUUUAUGAAGCUAAAGUAGAAAAUCAACUUGAUCGAAGAUCAAGCGGCUUAGAUCCGAUCAUGGUGGAGAGUAUUUCUCAAAUGAAUUUGAUUACUUCUAUGAGGAACAUGGUAUAAUCCAUCAGAGGACACCUCCCAAUUCACCUAAGUCAAAUGGGAUAGCUGAAAGAAAGAACCAUACUCUAACUGAUUUGGUUAACGCCAUGUUAGACACAUCGGGUCUCUCCAAGACAUGGUGGGGGAGGCGAUAUUGACUGCAUGUCAUGUCCUAAACCGAGUUCUCACUAAGAAUAAAGAGAUUUCUCCAUUCAAGGAAUGGGAAAAGAAAAGGUUAAAACUCUCUUAUCUACGAACCUGGGGUUGUUUGACGAAAGUUAAUGUGCCAAUCCCAAAGAAGCACAAGCUAGGACCAAAAACUGUGGAUUGUGUAUUCCUGGGAUAUGCUUUUCAUAGCAUUGGAUAUAGAUUCUUGGUUCUAAAAUCUGAUGUAUCUGACAUGCAUGUCGGUACAAUCAUGGAGUCGAAUGAUGCAACUUUUUUCGAAGAUAUCUUUCCCAUGAAAGAUAUAGCUACCUCAUCUAAUCAGGAUAUGCCUAAUUCAUCGAAUCAUGAAUUAGUUACAAUUCAUGAGCCUAUCAUUUCGAUGGAACACUUUGAAAAUAUUAUGGAGGAGAACAAUGAAGUUCCUACCAGGAGCAAGAGACAAAGGACUGCAAAGUCCUUUGGUGAUGAUUUUCUUGUGUAUCUCAUAGAUGACACUCCCAGCUUUAUUUCAGAGGCCUACGCGUUUGAAGAUGCUGACUACUGGAAGGAAGCAGUCCAUAGUAAGAUGGAUUCCAUCUUGGCAAAUGAAACUUGGGACAUCACUGAUUGUCCUUAUGGGUGCAAACCUAUAGGAUGCAAAUGGGUAUUCAAGAAGAAACUUAGGCAUGCGCGGGCUUCAUCGAUGCCGUGGAGGUUGAGGGCGACGGCGGGCCCGGCAGCGUCUCCACCAUGACGCUCAGCCCGGCGGCGACGGAGCUGUCAGGCUCGGGAGUGAUGAGGAGCCGCGUGGUGGCGCGCGACAACGCGGCCAGGGUGAUCAAGACGGAGAUGUUGGAGGGCGGCAAGGUCAGCGGCGAGCUCAAGUCGCAGGUGGUCGAGAUGAAGCUCGAGCUGGCCGGGGACGGCGCUUGUGUGGCGAAGCUCACGGUGGAGUACUAGAGGCUCGACGGCGGCGGGGCGCUGUCGGCGGAGGACCAGGCGGCUGUCGCCACCGGGUACCUUGACCUGCUCAAGAUGGUCGAGGCAUACCUGGUCGCCCACCCUGCCGAAUACGCCUAAUUAAAACAACGCGAGAAACAUCAAAAAUAAAUCUAUCUUCCCCUAUAAGAAAGAAGGGCAACACUAGACAGCGGCGCCGCACCCGCGUCUUGCAGUGUGGCGGCUCAAUUAAUCAUCUUCCAAUACAAAAAUUAGCACCCUAUUAAUCACUCAUCUAAUGCAAAAUUAGUGUGAGUGGAGUAUCUUUCUCAUGCAUACAUGUAUGCAUGCAAUGAUAUCAUCAUGUAUAAUGAAAACUUCUACAUGCAUGCAAUGAUGUCAUCAAGAUUUCCUUUGAUGUUUAAAAUUCAUAUUUUUUUAUCUACAAGACUGUUAAUUCAAUUGAUGAUCCGCUUUCAUCAUUACCUUUCUCGCGAUAAGUUCUUCGAAACUAGAUCACAUGUUGACAUGUUCCAUCAACUAUUUUUUUACGUUCAUACUUGCCACAUUAUUUGACCCACUUGUCAUAUUAUUAACCACUUACUUGCCUGAAAAAAAUAACUUAAUUAACACUUUUUGAUAUUGUUUCGUACAAAAUCUUGUAGCAGUUUUCAUUAUACGUGAUAUAAAAGCAUGUUAUAAGUUGUGCUUGUCAAUUUAAAUAUGAUAACUUGUCAUAUUUACAUACAACUUUGCCAGAAAACUAUUUUGUGUGAUUGUUAGUUUAAUUAUGCCGAGUUGUCAUAUUUAAAAACGAUGGUCAAAAAAUAUUUUUUGUGGUUACCGGUUUUUAAUAUGUUGAGUUGUCAUAUAUUUUUGCGCGUAAUCGUCUAAAAAAGUUAUUUGUGCUUGCCAUUUUAAUUAUGUCGAGAUGUCAUAUUCAUACACAAUUUCUAAAAAUUUGACGAUUAAGUUAUUUUUAUCAGAGAAAUAAGUACUUACUAAUAUGACAAGUAAGUGCAAUAAAUGUGGUAAGUGCGAGCAAAAAAAGUUGUCGAAACAUAUCGACAUGGGAUCUAGUUUUGAAGAUUUUGUCGAAACAAAUCAACGGUGAAAACGGAUCAUCGAUCGAAUUAAUGGUUUAUAAGAUAAUUUUUUUUAAUUCCAGUCAUUUAAAACGAAUCUGAUGACAUCAUAGCAUGCAUGCAUGCAUGCAUGAGGAAGAGAGCCGCCGCACGGGAUGUCGAGGAUGCGGCGCUUCUUGAUAAAAUUUUCCAAGAAAGAAUCAAUAAAUCUACUAUUAAGGUGAGUACAUAUCUUUGUUUUGAUAAAAUCAUAUGAGCAAGUAGCCCGGUGUAUAUUGCCCCGUGAUCGACUUCGUGAGAAAAAUCAAUUGGUAAUCUUUAGUAUGAAUUGUUUGAGGUAUGUAUUGACGGUUUUAUCCCUGUUUUAAGCUCACAUUUCGUGUGUAAGUUACUUCAAGCAUCAAUGAAGAUAAAUAUUCGAGCAGUUUGGUUUUGUGACAAAUGCAUUUCUUUCUUAUCAGUCAAUUCAAAUUAAAUGACGAGACAACCCCUAGGGCAAUAUUGAUCAUAUAACAUUUUCAUAUGUGUGAUGGACCGUCAAUACAUAUACGCAAUACGUACAAGCUGUCACAGGACGGAAUAAAAUGAGGUAGGGCAAACUCUAGCAUAAAACGUUGUUGCCACUAUAAGUAACAAUGACGGAUCGAAAGACUAAGGUUUGUUGAGAUGUCGGACAACGAUAGAACUCGACGUGACUUAUAACUAAUGCAUUCAGCUUUUAUAGGGAGUAGUCUCAUAUUUUGUGAGUCGAUGCACUGGACCAUACACUUGCAAAAACCGAAUGCCCACAAUAGUGUGUGACUGAUAUGCAUGACUGAGUUCACGGCAUCUUGAGCUUAGUGCUAAAUUGAUGACCAACAACCUAACAUCAGGAGUUCAUACACAUGGCCGUGGUUGCUUGUCCGUUUGUCUUAUUUUCCCAGCUAGACCACGACUAGCUCGAAGACAACCAUCCAGUCGGACAAGAACACUUUUUUUAGUAAAUCAAGGUGAGGCAGUCACCCAACCUUGCCCGACCGUCUUCUCCGCCCCCUAAUAAACAUACAUUCGGCUAAACUAUGUACCGUCCCCUCGUAAGAAAAAAACGUUGGCCCAACCCGAUCCAUAGUCAUCAUCAUGACUUUGACCAGCAGCCAUCAUGAGUUGUCGCCGCCCCCAGCGUCGACCCCGCUCGAGUUCACAUCGUCGUUGGGCUCAUCUACGUCAUCGCACGUGGCGCCAUCCAGCAACCCUGCUCUCACACGGCACUGUCGUCGUCGCCCUACCCAUAAUUGGAGGUGCCAAGCACACCGUCUUUGGUGCACCUCCCCGCAAGACGUCGUGUGAUGCACUUUCGCGCUCUUCCAAAUUGUCGACCAAGACGAGGACGACGUCUUAGCACCCCUGUUUUUUGUGCAUAUUGUAAUGGUGCCAAAAAACAACUAGUUUGUUUAUAUAACUUAACCAUUUCGUGGUCCCUUUGUGAACAUUGAUAUGGUGCCGAAAAAAUCAUCUUAACAGUGAUUGCUACCGUAAAAUUUGCUUUUGGACAUAUUAUUUUGUUUGUCAUAGGACAUCAUCAAUUUUGCAUUUGAAUGGAAUAUGUCACUGAUAAUGUUGUGCGGUGUUUAGAUUGAUCCGGGACUCCAUUUGAAGGUGUUUGGAUGGAGCAUGAAAUCGGAUAUGCUGGCUAUGAAUCUACUAGUUUGAAUUAAUCUUGGACGUCAUAUGAAAACCUACCGCCCGAGGACACCCAUAUCAGUGAGGCCGAAGCCGAGAGUGCUAAUGUAAGUGGUGCAUUUGUUGAUAGUUUUUUUAACAAGCAACUCGGAACUUACAUGUCUUGCUUUUAAAGCUCUACACGUAGACGUUGAUGUUGACAAUGAGAAGAACGAUCUCGACGAAUCUUAUGUUGAUAACGCGAGCCAAGUAUAGUGAAUAAUUUGUACGGCAGGGAAUGAUAUAACAACCGAGUGACCACAACUUACAUCUCUUUAUUUCUAAUUUUGCAUAGGAGGUUGGCGGUGCUCCUAGCGGGCAGUUGGCACGAUGAGUGAUGAUGAUGAAGAUAUUGGGCAAGCUGAAUAUCAGCAAGAGGCAUUGGAAGAUAAUAGCAAUGAUGUUUGGUUCCAAGGAAGACCCCUAUGUGUUCUACCAUAACUAUGCAAAAGAGUAUUGCUUCAACAUUAGAAGAGAAAACUUAACAGUCAAAGUUAACAGUUUGACUUUUAUGUCAUGUCAAACCUAACAGAUAGCCCAACGCUUAAAAGUUAAGCACUCGGACACUAAUUUUUUUUGAAUCAGCACAUCAAAAUUAUGAUAGCAUUUCAAGAAAUUAAAAAACAGGUAGUUUUUCGUAGCCCUAGCAUGCAGUAGCUUUUUGGACGCAGAGUUUUUCCUAUUUACUCUAGAAGGAUCAUCAGGAUCACGCAAUCUAAAUAGUAGAUAUGGGUUAAGCAUCUAGAGUCGAACAUAGCAAAUAUAACCCCUAAACGUCCGCGGACGCGUCCGGUUAAUAAUCGGACGUGUCUCUGUUUAUCCGCCUGCACAACCAUAUUUCUCAGUUUUUUCUCAUUUGUCCGGCCACUUGCACGUGAUUUGUGAAGACGAAGAGAGAUCAAGAAAAAAAAUAAAGAAAAGGAAAAUUGCUCCGGGAUGGGGUCAUGUUCUACUCCUAUGUGGCGAACUGACGCGUCCGCGAGCCCUCAUAUACUUUCUAUAUUUGAGAUGGAUACGAGGGAUUCGGUUAAGCCAUUUUUUCCCUUUUUUCGGUCUGGUCAAUUUAUAGAUGAUUUUACGAUCGACGUGUCAUGAAAAUUCUUGAAAAAUGGUAACUUUGAUAGCACUAUUCAGAAAACUUUUGGUCAUAAUACCGUAGGAGAGUGCAAUACUGGAUUGAUUAUAAGGUACAACCCACAUGAAUAUACUCUACACUCAGGAAAAUAGUUUUAUUUUGAACUUACAGCAAUUACAAAGUUGACUUUUCACAGAGCCAUAUGCAUUAAUUUUUUUGUUAAUGAUGCAUAAGAUUUUGAUAGAUAGAGAGAAGUUUGAAGUGUCAAAUAAUAAACAACCGAUUCCAAAUCAUCAUAUUGUUUUCAUAGUUUACCAGUGUGCAAUGAAAACCCCAAUAUUACUGUCAUCCCAUCUUUACUUUACAAUAAAAAAUAAAAUACACACACAGACACUUACGGGCUUAGAAAAGGGCGUGGCAAUGCCGCCGCGCCUUCGAUCUGCUAGUUCCUAAUAGGAAUUUUAACCCUUCUAUAAUCUAGACCGAGCAGUCAACAACAGGAACAGAUGGGAAGAAGAUUGAACAGCUGCACAAAGAAAUAGCAGCCUGAACGCUCCAAGAGUGAAACCUACUCUAUCUUCGGUCCAAGUUCAUCAAUUACUAUUUUAUGGAUCUCUUGCCUUGCUCUGUAUUUUUGUUUUGCACCUACUCUAUAUAAAUCAGCCUCUUGCUUGCUCUCACUCAUCACCAGUCUUCACUCUUCACUAGAACUUGCCAGCAGCGGUAGUGUGCAGCGAGCCAGUGACCGACGGACAAGAACAAAAUGGUCGCCGGCUGUGUCAUCACCGAGCAGUGCGCCCUGUCGGUGUCGACGGAGCGGCUGUGGAAGGUGGUCUUCUCCGGCGAGGAGACGGCCGCCCUGCCCAAGUCCUGUGCGGGCUUCAUCGACGCUGUGGACAUCGAGGGCGACGGCGGACCCGGCAGCAUCUUCACCAUGACGCUCAGCCCGGCGGCGGCAGAGCUGUCAGGCUCGGGCGUGAUGAGGAGCCGCGUGAUGGCCCGCGACAACGCGGCUAGGGUGUUCAAGACGGAGGUGCUGGAGGGCGACAAGGUAAGUGGGCAGCUCAAGUCGCAGGCAGUCGAGAUGAAGCUCGAGGCGGCCGGGGAUGGUGCUUGCGUGGCGAAGCUCAAGGUAGAGUACGAGAGGCUGGACGGCGGCGGGGCGCUGUCGGUGGAGGACCAGGCGGCGCUCGCCGCUGGGUACCUCGACCUGUUCAAGAUGGUCGAGGCAUACCUAGUCGCCCAUCCUGCCGAGUACGCCUAAUUAAACCAAAACGAGAAACAUCGGAAAUAAAUCAACUUUUCCUUCUUUCGAAAUUAUUUAUCGUAUAAAUAAAUAAAGUAAUAUGAUUAAGUAGCCUGUGUUGUUUGCCUCCUGAUGGACUUCGCGAGAAAAAUCAAUUGGUAAGCUUUAGUAUAAAUUAUUGAGGUAUACAUGAGUGUUAAAUCCCUGUUUUAAGCUCGCAUUUCCUGUGUAAGUUGCUUCAAGCAUUGAUGGAGAUAAAUAUUUGAAUAGUUUGGUUUUGUGACAAAUGCAUUUUUGUCUUAUCAGUCAAUUCAAAUUAAAUGGCGAGACAAGCCAAACGUAUAAAGGGCAAUAUCGAUCAUAUAACCAUAUUCAUAUGAGUGAUGGAGUGUCGAUACCUAUACGCCAUACGUACAAGCUGGCAGAGGAUAAAAAAAAGUAGGGCAAAUCUGACAUAAAAAGUUGCUGUCACUAUAAGUAAUAGCGAUGGACCGAAACACUAAGUUUGAUUGGAAUGUGAGACAACGAUAGAGCUUGACGUGACUUAUAACUAAUGCAUUCAACUUUUAUAGGGAAUGCACUCAUAUUUUUUAGUCGAUGCAGUGGAACAUGUGCUUGCAAAAACCAAAUGCCCAAUCGUACGUGACUGAGGUGCAUGACUGAGUUCGCAGCCACUUGAGCUUAAGUGCUAAAUUGAUGGCGAACAACCCAGCAGCGCGAGUUCAUAGAGAGGGCCUCAUUGUGUUUAUCUUAUUUUCCCAGCAAGACCAUGACUAGUUCAAAGAAAACCAUCCUGUCGAACAAGACAUAUACCUCAAUGAACGCCUUUUAGAAAAUCAAGGUGAGGCGGCCGCCCAACCUUGUCUUACCGGCUCCUCCGUCCUUAACGAGCAUACGUUCGGUUUAACUAUGUAUCGACCCCUCGCAAGAAAAAAAACAAAAUCUCAGGGCCAAUCCAAUCCAUAGUCGUCAUCACGACUUUAACCAGCGGCCAACAUGAGUCGUCGCCGCCCCCAGCGUCGACCCCACUCGAGUUCACGUCGUCGUUGGGCUCAUCUGCGUCCUUGCACGUGGCGCCAUCCAGCAACCCUGCUCUCACGCGGCACUUUCAUCGCUGCCCUACCCGUCAUUGGAGGUGCCAAGCACACCGUCUUUGGUGCACCUCCCCGCAAGACGUCAUGUGAUGCACUUUCGCGCUCUUCCAAAUCGUCGACCAAGACGAGGAAGACGUCGAUGCUGGAAUUUUUGGCCAACCCAAUUAUUAUUUCAAAAAAAAAUCCUAAUAAAUCCUAGAGGCCCACGCAGCGCAUUUGUGCAAGGCAAGAGGUGGAAAUAUUUAGUCCCAGGUUGCUAGUUUAGUGGUAGUCGGAUCUCCUUAUAAGGGAGGAUGUUUCCACACAUGUAUGAGCUUGAAAACAAGAGAGACAUACACGCGUGCUCCUCCUCCUCCAUCGCCCGCCGCGCCUCAUCCCGAUGCGCCGCGGGUUGCGGGAAUGAGCCGAACUAAAUUUUUGCCACGCACGACUGGUAUACGAAAGGUCACUCGGAGAAGCUGAACUCUUCGGCUGUUGUCUGUUUGUUUCAUCUCCGUCGCUGGCCUCUCGCCUCCUUCUCUUGCGUCUAUAAAAGAGAGGUUGCUCCUCUCCAGAGAAGACGCAUCAGAACUUUCUCUCGCCACCGAUUCCUUUCUGUGUGAUGCUGCUACAUUCUUUCCCAUCCCGUCUUGCAACGUGCACCGUAGGUCGGGACAGUAGGCCUCCGAAACUCCGUCUCUUUGAGUCCUGUACGGGAGAAGGGCGAUAAGGUAUUUGGGGAGCGCUCAACGUGACUACUGGCUUCCAUCACGGAUACUGACGAUCUCUUCCCAGACGACGACUACUUCCCUGACGUUUACCACCUCUUCGGGAACAUGGUCAACGCCAACACCAAUCCUAUUCCUGUUGCAACUCAGUACGUACUCAUGUUCUUUUUCUUGGAGUUCCUACCGCAACAAGUACGUAGUCAUGUUCUUUUUUCUGAGUUCCUACCGCAACUUCUUACUAUAGUUUCACUUCUAGAUAAAUUCUGUUUCUGCUCAUCACUCCAUAUGAUACCUUGUAUAUAUAGAACGGUUACACAUAUGUUCUUUUCUAGAUCAUAUGUGCACAUGUAUUUUGUCGUCUCAUCUCUAUUUUGCAUGUCUUCUUUCAUCUUUAUUAUGAUGGUCAUGUUUAUCCUAACUUUUUUUUAAUAAAAUCCUAUGGUAAAUUACUCAUAUUUCCAACAAUCCAAAAACCUUAUUAUAGGCAUUUACUCCGAGUGGUUUUGCUGCUUCCUUGAGACCUCCUAUUUUUGAGGGUAUCCACUAUAAGAGGUGGCGCGUGAGAGUUGUUCUAUGGUUUCAAACCAUGAGCUGCUAUGACGCCACUCUUGGCAAACCUGAAGGAGAUCAUAAUGCUCAACAGGAACUAGCUUUCCAGAAAAUGGAUACCUUGUUUAAGGCUGCUCUCUUGAGCGUUCCUGGUGAGAACGUAGUUGAUGCUUAUGCGUCAAUUGAUAAUGGAAAAGAAAUGUGGGAUGCACUCGAGGCCAAGUUUGGGGUGUCAGAUGCUGGCACUGAGUUGUACAUCAUGGAACAAUUCUAUGACUACAGGAUGACUGAAGAGCGCUCCGUGGUUGAGCAAGCUCACGAGAUACAGUCAUUUGCAAGAGAAUUUGAGCACUUCAAUUGCAUGCUACACGACAAGUUUGUUGCCGGAGGCAUCAUCACUAAACUUCCUCCUUCGUGGAGGAACUUUGCUACCUUACUGAAGCAUAAGAGGCAAGAGUUUUCCGUUUUGGAUCUCAUAGGUACUCUUGAUGUGGAAGAAAACGUGAGAGCAAAAGACACACGUGCUCUAGGUAUUGAGGGAGGUUCUAGUCCCAAUCUGGUACAGAAGAAAAACUUCCAACCCCACAGUUUCAAGAACUAGGACAAGUUUGAUGGUAAAGAAAAGUUCGAUGGGAAGAACAAGGCUGUACAACACACCAACUUCAAGAACAAGAAUGACAAGAAGAAAGGUGUUUGUCAUGUGUGUGGAGAUCCUGAUCAUUGGGCAUCUAACUGCCCUAACUGUUAUGACAAGCAUCAACAUGGGAAAGGCGGCAAGUCCGCUAAUGUUGUCAUUGGUGACACUGACAUGGAGGAUGCUGGGUAUGGUAUAUUUCCCACUAUCCUUUCAGUAUGUCAUUUCCCGAUUGGUUGAUUGACACGGGUGCUAAUGUGCAUGUAUGCGGUGAUAUUUCCAUGUUUUCGUCUUAUCAGUCCACACGGACUUCCAUUGUGCUGACGGGCAACGGUUCAAGUGCUUCUGUUCGCGGUGUUGGCACGGUCAAUCUGAAGUUUACUUCAGGGAAGGUCGUGCGGCUGAAGAACGUGCACUAUGUUCCCUCUGUGAAUAAAAAUCUUGUUAGCGGAUCUCAUUUGUGUAGAGAUGGCUACAAGCUUGUCUUUGAGUCGAAUAAAUUUGUAAUAUCCAAGUAUGGAAUUUUUGUUGGUAAAGGCUACGAGUCAGGAGGCAUGUUCCUUUUAUCCAUGGCAGACGUUUGCAAUAAAGUUGUUAAUCAUGUUUAGAACAAUAGUGAAUCAAAUGUGUGGCAUUCACGUCUCUGUCAUGUUAAUUUUGGUUGCAUGUCCCGACUUGUCAAAUUGAACUUAAUCCCUAGCUUCACCACCGUCAAGGGAUCUAAGUGUCAAGCUUGUGUGCAAGCCAAGCAACCUCGUAAGUUUCACACGACUGUUGAAAUGAGAAAUCUUGCACUACUAGAGUUCAUACAUUCAGAUCUAUGUGAAAUGAAUGGUAUUUUGACAAAAGGUGGAAAGAAAUAGUUCAUGGCGUUAAUUGAUGACUCCACUAGAUACUGCUGAGUGUAUCUUCUGAAAUCUAAGGAUGAGGCUUUGAACUUUUUCAAGAUUUAUGAAGCUAAAGUAGAAAAUCAACUUGAUCGAAGAUCAAGCGGCUUAGGUCCGAUCAUGAUGGAGAGUAUUUCUCAAAUGAAUUUGAUUACUUCUGUGAGGAACAUGGUAUAAUCCAUCAGAGGACGCCUCCCUAUUCACCUCAGUCAAAUGGGGUAGCUGAAAGAAAGAACUGUACUCUAACUCAUUUGGUUAACGCCAUGUUAGACACAUCGGGUCUGUCGGGACCCCGAUCCUAAGCCAUCGGAAUCCAGCGUGUAACACAUCGCAUCUCUUUGCGUCUCACGCACGGUUAACCCUACGGCUGCAGCCUUACCUUAGCCGGGACCGUUUGCGCCUUUUUACUCGCGUAUGUGAUUGUGUCGCUAGCAAUCCAAUGUCAAAGAACCCAGAUCGACAUGUCUAGUCAUAAGCUAAAUUGGUAGUUCCGUACAGGACCAUGCAUACAUGACCCAGCAAAGUAGUUGUCCGUCAUCAACGAAUGUAGACGAGUCGUAGCAAGCUACAAGGACUCCAUUACAUGCGCGUGACAUUUCCCAAAGGGACAAACACAACAGCUAAGAAGGACACAUGCCGGUCAACCAAUGUGUCCGGAGCAGUAGCGAACUACUAGGGCUCGAUGGAAUCACAAAGGGGCAUUUCCACAUAGGAGUGCUACUAAAGCAUACGACUAGGUAUUCGAACCCCAUACAUAUCAAGUACAACACACAUACGCAUGGCAUACCGAUAUGUAUAGAUACAUCGAUGACAUCACAACAUAACCAUAAACAUACAAACUUUAUUUAGAAGGCUCGAAAGAGCCUCACACAUAAUAUUACACAGAUAGGGGCCUCACGACCCAUCAUCAUAAUUCAUACACACAAGUCUUACAAGCCAGCGGAAUAUUAAAAAACUGUCUGAGUACAGAUAGAUGGAGAGACAAAGGCACAUGGCCUGACUAUCUACAGACCCAUGCUGGGGCCAGAUCGUAGCUGGGAUACCAGCUACUCAUCUUGGUCGAUGUCUAGGUAGAACCCUCCAUUAGGGUCAUUAACAACCUCUGCAACAAUUAUUAAGCAAACGUGAGUACAAAAGUACUCAGCAAGACUUUAGGAUAAUCUAUCUACUCAUGCAAUGUAUCAACAAGGAGUUGUGGGGUUUCAUGCGGAAAGCCAGCAUUUGACUCUUGGCUAGACAACUUGGAUUUUAAAUAGUUUUUACAACUAUGUUUCUCGCACACGAGUCCACUAACACCACCACAAUACUCUAUCGUGGAAUCAUCCCGUCUCCCUACGGAAAUGCCGUCCACGACAAUCACGCUUAUCUUGACAAUUUUAUGAGUAACCAUUAUAGUUAUCUAUGAACAACAUAUGUUUCCAAGCAGUCCAUAUCCGCGAACGCAGCUAUUCGAAUAGAUCAUAACCCUGCAGGGUGUACUUCUUCACACCCGCUCUCGCCACUUAUCGACAUGUGCACGUCAUGCACCUCGGCAACCUUCAAGCGGAAGCCCAGCAAGGGAGUCGGCCACGGUCGUUAACCACGCUAAUACUUAGUCCAGGUCUAUCACCUAUCUAAGGGUAACCCGCAUGGAAGUCCGGCCAAGGUUUCCGCCAUGGCCCCAAACGAUGUGCGUAGGGUUCCCAAGCCCACCAUCCGUGUGCCACUUGGUACACCGUGCCACUGCCUACCGCAUCAUAGCCCACCUCUAAGGUCAGCGCUACGCAUGGCCUCCAGCAUGACUAUAAACACCCGAAACUACUUGCAACUCCUGGACCGAGUAGUAAGCGAUUAAUAAGUCGAGAGGGUCAAUUAAGUAUCCCAACGUGUGGUAGUAUCUAGUCUUGGAUUACAUACACGGAACUCAGUUCCUAAGGACGGUUCCAAUGAAACAACCCGCCCUGUACUCCUACAUAGCCGUUCACCGGUACCUUUACCAAAUCAGGUUCAACACAUGAGCUUUACCAACUAAACAUAUUCUCACGAUCCUGUUCAUCACCCGGAUGACAGACCAUACACAACUCUAAGCAUAGCAUGCAUAACAGGAUAAGGCAUAUCAUGGCUCAAGCAUCUACCAGGUAUGCUAGGUUGCAAGGUUCAGCUAUUUACUGUGACAAGGACAUGUCAUGCAAAGGAAGUGGGUUCAACUAACGUGGCAAAAGCAGAUAAAGCAUUUGAUCCUAAUGCAAUAAAUAAGAGUAGGAGCGAGAACAUGAGAUUUCUUGGGAUGAUCAAAAUGGUUGCGUGCCUUGUUGCUCAGCAGAGGGGUGAUAACCGUCAGUCGGAUAAUCAGACGUAUCCGGAGGGGCGGAGCCUACCGGAAUAACAACAAUCAAUCAAUAUCAAACAUAUGCAACAAAAUGAUGCAUGAAAUGCAAUGUAGCAUGGCUUAAGAUGACUAGCACAACCCUUUGGGGCGAUCUUGAUUUGAAAUCAUAAUUCAAAUAUCAUUUGAAUUAUAAUUUAUCAUAUUAUUUUAAUUGAUUUGACCUGAUGCUGUUUCAUAACUUUGUUUUUCAUGCAUGAAAAUAGCACCAUUGGAUUCCUUGAAUUUUUCUAAUCCAUUUACAUAUAUUAUGUGUCAGAUUUGGAGUUAUAUUCAAUUUUCUAUGAAUUUCCAAAGUUUUGAACUUAUUCUGGAAUUAUUUUUAAACAGAAAAGUCAUUAUUGCAUCAGCAUGACAUCAGUGGGUAUAACUGGUCAUUGAAAUUCAAACCUGACUAGUGGGACCCACUGGUCAGUGACUCUGGCCAGGUUUUAGUUGAAAUUUAACUUAAUUAGUUAAUUAACAGAGUAGGACCCACCUGUCAGUGUCUAUUUAGGUUAAUUAAAUAAGUUAUUUUUUAUUUUUACUAAACUUAAUUAGCCAGGGGCUGGCCCCACCUGUCAUAGGCUCAGGGGGGUCAGAUCCACCGGCGGCGAGGUCGAUCUUGCCAGCGGUGAGCCUCAGGCGACCACCAGAAUGGCGGAGGGGCUCGGGAUUGCAUCUCCGACGACCAAAUGCACGGCGGAGGGCACCCAACGAACCAGCGCACAGCCGCGGUUCCAUUUCUGCAAAGACCCAAGGCUAAGAUGGUCGGAGAUGAUGCCGGCUACGAGCUUGGCGGCGGCCGAAGCUCGGGCUAUGUCGGGAUUGACGAAACCGAAGGCAAAAUGAGCAGGGAUUAGCUCCUAGAGCACCUACGCGACGUACUGAAGCCAUUGAUGGCCUUAGAAUGACCAGCCGAUCACCGGAGGGCUACCGGCGAAGAGGUCCCGCGGCGGAUCUCGUCGGGCUAAGGUGGAAUCGGGGCCUAGAGCUCGGGGUCGAAGGGGAAAACUUAGGGGAAAGAACCCUGAGGUCACGGGGAGUGCAGAGGCGUCGAGAGUGCGCUCGGGGAUGGCCUGAGGAGGGAGAACGACGGCGGCGAGCUCUGGUGACCCGAGGAAGAAGACGAUGGCUUCACGGUGUUUGAGAGCUUCUCGGCGUCGCACGACUAGCUGGAGAGCUUCACGGGAUCACAGCGAAGCUGUUGCGCGGCUCAGGUGAGAGGGAGAGGGGCAGGAGCGACGACGAGCUCGAGCUCAAGCUUCCGUCAUGGCGGCCGAGAGAGAGAGAGAAGAGAGCAGGGCGAAUGGGGAGGGGAUGAGCUCGGGGAGGCCUCGGAGAGCUUAUCCCCUUCGCUCCAGCGCAUCAGGGCAAAGCAGACGAGCACGCAGCUACGUGGGCGCGUCGGGGAAACGCGGCGGCCACUUCCUGCUCCGACUGGCAGGAGGAAGACGACAGGGAGCAGCUGGGCCUCGGCCAGGUAAGCGCUAGAUAGAGCUUUUUUCAUUUUCUUUUCUUUUCUGUUUCUGUUCUAUUCUUUCUGAUAUUGUUUCAUUUGUUUUUGGCUCCAAACUAUUCCUAAAAAUAGUUUGAGAAAUACCAGAGUGUUCUCAACAUUUUUGGAAACUUUGAAUUAUUUGAAAUCAAAUAUAUAAUUGAUUUCAGUAGUUUUUAACUUAAAUUUAAAUUUCCAAAGAUAGUUUGAAAAUAAGUUUCAUCUCUGAUAUUUUGUUUUCAACAUUUAUCAGAAAUAUUGAACUUUUAUGAAGGCCAAUUUUGGGUUCAUUGAUUUGGCAGUUGUUGUAAUUCUUUUGAAUAAGGAGUGGCUAGGGUUUUGCUUUGGUUUUCUUUACUUUGCUUUGGAUUUCUUUUGCUUUAUUGAAUGCAAUGAAAGAAGAUAUGAGCACAAGUUGUUAAACCCUAACAGGGAAUACCGGGGAUGUGACAACUCACCCCCACUCAAAAGAAUCUCGUCCCGAGAUUUGGAAGUCGUCGGGAAUAGUGCGGGGUACUCAAGUCGGAGACGAUCCUCUCUUUCCCAUGUUGCCUCCUUUUCAGAAUGAUUUGACCAUUGAACUUUAAGAAACUUGAGGUUUCGACGUUGAGUGGUAUGCUCAGCUAGAUCAAGAAUACGCACAGGGUAUUCUCGGUAUGAAAGGUUAUCUUGGAGAUCAAGCGUUUCGUGGUCCACUUCGCGGAUAGGAUCCGAAAAGCAACGCAUGAGUUGCGAGACAUGGAAUACAUCAUGAACCUUGGAAAGAUGCGGAGGAAGUUCCAAUUGGUAGGCAACUUCCCCUCGUUUGGCAAGAAUGCGAAAAGGACCAAUGUAAUGAGGAGCCAACUUGCCCUUGAUACCGAAUCGAUGGGUACCCUUCAAAGGUGUAACCCGAAGGUAAGCCUUCUCAUCAACUUCAAAGUUCACAGCCUUAUGAUGACGAUCAUAUUGGCUCUUUUGACGAGACUGGGUUGUUGUCAACUUUUCAAGAAUAAUGCGAACUUGCUCUUAUGCAUCCUGGAUCAUAUCCGGACCAAAGAGUUGCCUCUCUCCGGUUUCUGACGAAUUAAGAGGUGUUCGACAUCUUCAUCCAUACAAAACUUCAAAAGGAGCUUUGCCUAGGCUUGAUUGAUAACUAUUGUUAUAUGCAAAUUUGGCGAAUGGAAGGAACUUCUCCCAAUUCAUACCGAACGAUAUAACACAAGCUCAGAGCAUAUCUUGUAGGACUUGAUUCACUCUUUCUACUUGACCACUUGAUUGAGGAUGGAAAACAGUGCUAAAAGAUAAGUGAGUCCCCAUGGCAUUCUGAAAACUCUCCCAGAAGCGAGAAGUAAAGAUACUCCCACGGUCUGAGUUAAUCUCCAGAGGAACACCAUGAAGAGACACUAUUUGAGAGAUAUAUAACUUUGCUAGCUGGCUAGCUCUUAUACUCUCACGAACUCGAAGAAAAUGAGCUACUUUGGAAAUACGGUCAAUGACCACAAAGAUAACAUUAUUUCCUUUCUUGGUCUUGGGAAAUCCGGUGAUGAAAUCCAUACUGACUUUAUCCCAUUUCCAUUCAGGAAUAGCUAAAGGUUGAAGGGUGCCAGCAGGCCUUUGAUGUUCUGCCUUAACUCGACGACAAACGUCGCAGAUAGCAACGAACUCAGCAAUUUCUCUCUUCAUCCUAGUCCACCAACACCUCUGGCGUAGGUCCUCAUACAUCUUAGUACUACCAGGAUGAAUGGUGAGAGGAGAAUGAUGAGCCUCCUUAAGGAUCAAUUGCCGCAGACGUUUUCUCUUUGGAAUAACUAGACGGUUCUGAAAGAACACCACACCUUGCUCAUUGAUAGAGAAAUCCCUAGCGUUUCCGCUAGCAAUAUUCUCCUUGAUCCGGGAUAUACCCUUAUCAUAUGCCUGCACGGCUAUGAUUUUAUCCCUAAGAGUAGGCUUCGCCACCAGGUUAGAAAGGAAUCCUUGAGGAACAAUGUGAAGAUUUAGCUUCCGAAAUUCCUCAUAGAGAUGUGGUUGACCUCGUUGUAGCAUCAGGUUGUUACAGUACGACUUACGACUUAGUGCAUCAGCCAUAACAUUGGCCUUCCCCGGGGUGUAAGUUAUCCCUAAGUCGUAAUCCGUGAUUAACUCAACCCACCGUCUUUGCGUGAGAUUCAAAUCCGGCUGGGUGAAGAUAUAUUUCAGACUUUGGUGAUGAGUGAAUAUUUCGCAACGAUUACCAAGAAGGUAAUGUCGCCAGGUUUAAAGUGCAUGGACUACUGCUGCAAGCUCAAGAUCAUGUGUGGGAUAAUUAUCCUCAUGUGGACGCAACUAUCGACAUGCGUAUGCAAUCACAUGACGAUCCUACAUGAGAAUGCAACCUAAUCCUUGUCGCGAGGCGUCGCAGCAGAUAACAAAGUCCUUAAAGAAAUCUGGUGGUAACAACACAGGUGCGGAAGUCAGGCAUCUUUUUAGUUCCUGAAAACUAUACUCACACUGUGGUGUCCACUCGAACUUUUUAUCUUUCUUGAGGAGUUCAGUUAGAGGCUUUGCAACCUUGGAGAAAUUCUCGACAAAGCGGCGACAAUAGCUUGCUAGACCAAGAAAACUCCUAACUUGCUUAACCGAUUCAGGUUGAGUCCAAUCAAGGACAGUUGAACUCGCUCGGGAUUGACAACAAUACCCUUACCAGAGAUUACUUGACCUAGAUAGGUCACUUCUGGUAACCAAUAUUCACAUUUUGAAAACAUGGCAUAAAGGCGAUGCUCUCGAAGUUUCAUCAAUACCAGCCUUAGAUGCUCGGCAUGUUCUUGUUCGUUCUUCGAGUAGAUGAGGAUAUCAUUGAGGUAUAAUACGACGAAUUUAUCCAAAUACUCCAUGAAGAUUGAAUUCAUCAAGCGAGAGAAGGUGGAUGGGGCAUUGGUUAAACCGAAGGACAUGACGGUGUACACGUAUUGGCCAUAACGAGUGACAAAAGCCAUUUUUGGAAUGUCCUCGUUCUUGAUCUUGAUUUGAUGGUAUCCCAACCUCAAAUCCAUUUUUGAGAAGACUGAGGAUCCAGCAAGCUGAUCAUACCGAUCGUUGAUCCUGGGGAGCGGGUACUUAUUCUUUAUGGUGACCAGAUUAACUGGUCGAUAAUCUACAACCGUCGGAUCCGUUCCGUCUUUCUUCUUGACGAAGAGGACGGGACAAGCCCAAGGAGAAGAGCUAGGACGAAUGAAACCUUUAUUCAAGGCCUCAUCUAAUUGCUUCUUAAGUUCGGCUAGCUCGAGGGGUGCCAUCUUAUAAGGUCUUGUGGCUAUUGGAACGGUUCCCAGAACAAGGUCUAUCACAAACUCUACAUCUCUGUCAGGUGGAAUUCCUGGCAGUUCCUCUGGAAAAACAUCCGGGAAGUCACGGACUACUGGAAUGUCUUCAUGUUUCGAAAGAGGGUUGGCAUUGAGGGAAUAGAGUUGGCAUUUGGCAACUCGAGUAGAGACAUUGACUAUCUCACCCGAGGGAUGGGUAAGAUGAACAUUUCUAGAAUGAGUAUCAAUCUUGGCAUAAUGAGCUGACAUCCAUUUCAUACCCAAGAUGAUAUUGAUAUACGAAGAUUUCAGGGCUAUCAAAGAUGCUUGAAAAACUAGCCUGUCUACUAGAAUUUCAUUGUCAUAGGUUAUCCUGGAGGUUUUCCACUUACUACCAGGGGUUUGGACAACCAAUGGGAUUGGCAUAUCACAGAAAGACAUGUUAUGCAACUAUGCAUAACUUUCUCAAAUGAAGGAAUGAGAAGACUCAGUGUCAAAAAGAACAGAUGCUAGGUGAUGAUUAACAAGGAGCGUACCCAGAAGACGUCGGGAUCCUCUGCAGCUUCUUCUGCUGAAACAUAGUUCACACGACCACGUGGAGGAGUUGGCUUCACAUAGUAAGCUUUGCCCGACUUGCCUUGCCCAACGAAUUUUCUGGGUUGCUUGGCACCCAUAUUCCAAGAACACUCUCGGGAAUAGUGCCCUGGUUCUCCACACUUGUAACAGAUCACCUGAUUGGCACGUGGUGCAGCAUUGCUAGCUGGACCACCAUAGGUUUUUCCUGGAGGGUUGGUCUGAUUUUUCUGAGGCGCCACAUAGGAUGGCCUCGGGGUAUAUCUUGGCGGCAGAGAACUAUUUGGAACCCACAACCUGCGUUUUGGGAACGCGGAACUAGAUGACGAGCCAGAGUCACGGGAGUGCUUCUUUCUGGCUUCAUAGUCGGUAUGACCAGUCUCGGAACUGAUCGCCUUGUUGACAAGAGCUUGAAAGCUUGUACAUUCGUGGAGGCGCAAAUCAUGACGAAGUUCAGGGCUCAGACCCUUACGGAAUCUUGCUUGCUUCUUGGCGUCAGUUGACACCUCCUUAGUUGCAUAACGGGCGAGGUUACCGAACUCACCUCUAUAGGCAUCCACGGUCAACUUUCCUUGGAUGAAUGCACAAAACUCCUCUCUCUUUCUGUCCAUGAGGCCCUCUGGAAUAUGGUGCAGAUGGAAGGCUGCACUAAAGUUUGCCCAUGUGGCUGCUGGUUCAGCANNNNNNNNNNNNNNNNNNNNNNNNNNNNNNNNGGAUGCAUAGCUUCAAAGUUCUCCCACCACAGAUUGGUGGGUCCUUCCAGAAAGUACGCCGCAAAGGUCACCUUGUCGGCCUCAGAAACAUCUGCAGAGCGAAUCUUGCGCGAUAUACUACACAACCAAUCAUCAACGUCGAGGGGAUCGACGGAGUGAUGGAACUUUGGAGGAUUCAGCUUCACAAAGUCAUUGAGAGACACUGCAUCAUUCCUAGGCUGACGAGCCGUAUUUUGCUCAAUACGCUCUAACAGACGGUUGGUCUCCCUUUUGUUUCUCUCUGCCUCAAGCAUAACUUCCGCCAGAGAGGGCGGGUGAGGCAGUUCCUCCUGCGAUGCUUGACUACCCUCUCCUUGCUCAUGAGCAGGGGCAUGGUUCAACCUGGUGAACACCAUCCUGACAAACAAACUCACAACUUAGACCAAAAUCAACAUCAACACCAACUAUGGAUUAAGAAUGCACUGAACACAUGGAAUGCGGAAAUGAACAUCCGAACAACAUGGGAACAAGCAACUGCUAUAUAUACACCAUGGUUCAUACACACCAUUACAUAGUUCAGUACAACCUUAACCAAAGAGCAAACUACUAAAAAGGUGAUACAACUCAUCAGAGGCUUUCCAAGCUUCCUAUAUAUUAUUUAUCUAUGCCUCCGGAAUUCAUCUCACGACACAAGCAUACUCCACAAGACACACAAGACUGUGGAAGUAUAACUACUACCAUACUAUCCUUCCACUCACGGGUUCAGGCAUCCGCAUAGGACAUCUCAUAAAGAUUGCCUCCAUGGCCUGGGAGCUCAACCUGCGGAUCAGGAAAUACUCCAGCCUAAGACCCCUGGGAACCGUAAGGACACGGGUGUGGCCUUGGUCCCCUGACUGGUGGUAGUAGAGGUCCCCGAAGAGGGGUGACUCCUCCUAUAGCAGGCUAGUCAACAUGAGCCGGAAGAUGGUUCCUAACAGGGUUCAGCAUCUCCAUAUCUCCAUACCCUGUCUGGACUAUAGGUGCCAGCUGUGUCAAAGCCGUCCACAGACGGGCACGUGUAGCAUAGAGGUCCAUACGAAGGGCACGAGCAUCCCUAUCUCUGUUCUCUAGCAUCUCAGCAGUGGACUGCAGCAGCGGAUCCUCCAUAGAGGAAUCAUAGUAGAAACCACUAAGGUAUCCUUCUUCACCUGGCUGAGAGGCAGGAACAUAGCAGAACUCUGAAUUCUACAGCAGUGCAUGUCUAGCUCUCAUGAUGGUCAGCAUUGAACAGGCAGCAUCUUGUACUGCCAUGUCAACAGUGACCCCCAAUCCAUAAGACCAAUGGAUCGGCUCCUCAACUCCAGGGUAAUCUGGGAAUACCCUAACAGUGCAGAGGUACUGGCUCUGAUUAAAAUCCCGGUACUGCUCCUCCACUAUGUACUCUGGGUAUCAACGGUAACCGGAUACUGACAUCAUCCUGACUAGCAUGGCCGUAUGACCCGGCACAUCAAUGCACCUAGUCAGGCGGACCACCUGACGAGAAGGACGGCCAGGCAUCUGAAAAUAGAGAGUAAUGCAAAAAGCAUUAGAGCUCUGAAGACAAAAUUGGGCAGCAUAACGGGUGUAAAUGCUCAAAAACAAUUUUGAGACAACCCAUAAAAAUAGGAUAGCGUAACCACUCAACUACCAAGUUCAAUUCCAUGGUCAUCAAAACCUUCUUUCUUUUCCUUGGAAUAAAAGGAACCCGAAGUAACUCUCGACCCGUUUUCCUACAAUCUACCGAUUGGUAACACGCGGUCCUCAGAGGAAGAUGAGUAACCUAGUUCUUAAUCCCCGCAGAGAAGACGAGGAUGACCAGAAUAUAAUAAUUUAAGAAGAGAAGCAAGAGUCUUACGUUCCCUUCCACAAAAAAUUCCCUUAUGUAUAACUAAAGCAAUUCUAGAGUCAACUUCGACCAGUUUGGCUUAGUAAUCCGACAGUCAGUCAAGCUCUGAUACAAACGCUGUCGGGACCCCGAUCCUAAGCCAUAGGAAUCCAGCCUGUAACAUAUCGCAUCUCUUUGCGGUCUCACGCACGGUUAACCCCACGGUUGCAGCAUUACCUUAGCCGGGACCGUUUGCGCCUUUUGACUCGCGUAUGCGAUUGUGUCGCCAUCAAUCCAAUGUCAAAGAACCCGAAUCGACAUGUCUAGUCAUAAACUAAAGUGGCAGUUCCGUACAGGAACAUGCAUACAUGAACCAGCAAAGCAGUUGUCGGUCAUCAACGAGUGUAGACGAGUCGUAGCAAGCUACAAGGACUCCAUUACACGCGCGUGACAUUUCCCAAAGGGACAGACACAACAGCUAAGAAGGACACAUACCGUUCAACCAAUGUGUCCAGAGGAGUAGCGAACUACCAGGGCUCGAUGGAAUCACAAAGGGGCAUUUCCCUGUAAGGAGUGCUACUAAAGCAUACGACUAGGUAUUCGAACCCCAUACAUAUCAAGUACAACACACAUACGCAUGGCAUACCGAUAUGUAUAGAUACAUCGAUGACAUCACAACAUAACCAUAAACAUACAAACUUUAUUUAGAAGGCUCGAAAGAGCCUCACACAUAAUAUUACACAGAUAGGGGCCUCACGACCCAUCAUCAUAAUUCAUACAGACAACUCUUACAACCAGCGGAAGAUUUAAAAAAAUUCUGAGUACAGACAGAUGGAAAGACAAAGGCACAUGGCAUGACUAUCUACAGACCCAUCCUAGGGCCAGAUCGUAGCUGGGAUACCAGCUACUCGUUGUCGUCGAUGUCUAGGUAGAACCCUCCAUUGCGGUCAUUAACAACCUGUGCAACAAUUAUUAAGCAAACGUGAGUACAAAAGUACUCAGCAAGACUUUGGGAUAAUCUAUCUACUCAUGCAAUGUAUCAACAAGGAGUUGUGCGGUUUCAUGCGAAAAGCCAGCAUUUGACUCUUGGCUAGACAACUUGCAUUUUUAAAUAGUUUUUACAACUAAGUUUCUCGCACACGAGUCCACUAACACCACGACAAUACUCUAUCGUGGAAUCAUCCUGUCUCCCUACGGAAAUGCCGUCCACGACACUCACGCUUAUCUUGAAAAUUUUAUGAGUAGCCAUUAUAGUUAUCUAUGAACAACAUAUGUUUCCAAGCAGUCCAUAUCCGCGGACGCAACUAUUCGAAUAGAUCAUAACCCUGCACGGUUGUACUUCUUCACACACUCGCUCGCCACUUAUCGCCAUGUGCAUGUCAUGCACCUCGGCAACCUUCAAGCGGAAGCCCAGCGAGGGAGUCGGCCACGACUGUUAACCACGCUAAUACUUAGUCCAGGUCUAUCGCCUAUCUGAGGGUAACCCGCACGGAAGUCCGGCCGAGGUUUCCGCCACGGCCCCAAAAGAUGUGCGCAGGGUUCCAAAGCCCACCAUCCGGGUGCCACUUGGUACACCGUGCCACUGCCUACCGCAUCAUAGCCCACCUCUAAGGUCAGCGCUAGGCACGGCCUCCAGCAUGACUAUAAACACGAGAAACUACUUGCAACUCCUGGACCGAAUACUAAGCGAUUAAUAAGUUGAGAGGGUCAAUUAAGUAUCCCAACGUGUGGUAGUAUCUAGUCUUGGAUUACAUACACGGAACUCAGUUCCUAAGGACGGUUCCAAUGAAACAACCCGCCAUGUACUCCUACAUAGCCUUUCACCGGUACCUUUACCAAAUCAGGUUCAACACACGACCUUUACCAACUGAACACAUUCUAACGAUCCUAUUCAUCACCCAGAUGAAAGACCAUACACAACUCUAAGCACAAUAGGCAUAGCAGGAUAAGGCACAUCAUGGCUCAAGCAUCUACCAGGUAUGCUAGGUUGCAAGGUUCAACUAUUUACUGCGACAAGGACAGGUCAUGCAAAGGAAGUGGGUUCAACUAAUGUGGCAAAAGCAGAUAAAGCAUUUGAUCCUAAUGCAAUAAAUAAGAGCAGGAGCGAGAACAUGGGAUUUCUCGGGAUGAUCAAAAUGGUUGCUUGCCUUGUUGCUCAGCAGAGGGGUGAUAACCGUCAGUCGGAUAAUUAGACGUAUCCGGAGGGGCGGAGCCUACCGGAAUAACAACAAUCAAUCCAUAUCAAACAUAUGCAACAAAAUGAUGCAUGAAAUGCAAUGUAGCAUGGCUUAGGAUGACUAGCAGAACCCUUUGGGGUGAUCUUGAUUUGAAAUCAUAAUUCAAAUAUCAUUUGAAUUAUAAUUUAUCAUAUUCUUUUAAUUGAUGUGACCUGAUGCUGUUUCAUAACUUUUUUUUUCAUGCAUGAAAAUAGCACCAUUGGAUUCCUUGAUUUUUUCUGAUCCAUUUACAUAUAUUAUUUGUCAAAUUUGGAGUUAUAUUCAAUUUUCUAUGAAUUUCCAAAGUUUUGAACUUAUUCUGGAAUUAUUUUUAAACAGAAAAGUCAUUAUUGCAUCAGCAUGACAUCAGCAGGUACAACUGGCCGUUGAAAGUCAAACCUGACCAGUGGGACCCACUGGUUAGUGACUCUGGCCUGGUUUUAGUUUAAAUUUAACUUAAUUAGUUAAUUAACAGAGUAGGACCCACCUGUCAGUGUCUGUUUAGGUUAAUUAAAUAAGGUAUUUUUAAUUUUUACUAAACUUAUUUAGCUAGGGGCUGGCCCCACCUGUCAUAGGCUCGGGGGGGGGGGGGCAGAUCCACCGNNAGUGGAGUGCGAGGGGGGGGGGGGGUCAGAUCCACCGUCGGCGAGGUUGAUCUCGCCGGCGGUGAGCCUCAGGCGACCACCAGAACAUCGGAGGGGCUCGGGAUUGCAUCUCCGACGACCAAAUGCACGGCGGAGGGCACCAAACGAACCAGCGCACAACCGCGGUUCCAUUUCUGCAAAGACUCAAGGCUAAGAUGGCCGGAGAUGAUGCCGGCGACGAGCUUGGCGGCGGCCGAAGCUCGGGCUAUGUCGGGAUCGACGAAACCGAAGGCAAAACGAUUGGGGCUUAGCUCCUAGAGCACCUACGCGACGCACUGAAGCCAUUGAUGGCCUCAGAAUGACUAGCCGAUCACCGGAGGGCUACCAACGACGAGGUCCCGCGGCGGAUCUCGUCGGGCUCCGGUGGAAUCGGGGCCUAGAGCUCGGGGUCGAAGGGGAAAACUUAGGGGAAAGAACCCUGAGCUCACGGGGAGUACAGAGGCGUCGAGAGUGGGAUCGGGGAUGACCUGAGGAGGGAGAACAACGGCGGCGAGCUCCGGUGACCCGAGGAAGAAGACGAUGGCUUCACGGCGUUUCAGAGCUUCUCGGCGUCGCGCGACUAGCUGGAGAGCUUCAGGGGAUCACACCGAAGCUGUUGCGCGGCUCAGGUGAGAGGGAGAGGGGCAGGAGCAAUGGCGAGCUCGAGCUCAAGCUUCGGUCAUGGCGGCCGUGAGAGAGAGAGAAGAGAGCAGGGCGAAUGGGGAGGGGAUGAGCUUGGGGAGGCCUCGGGGAGCUUAUCCCCUUCGAUCCAGCGCAUCAGGGCGAAGCAGACGAGCACGCAGCUGCGUGGGCGCGCCGGGGAAAUCUGGCGGCCACCUACUGCUCCGACUGGCAGGAGGAAGACGACAGGGAGCAGCUGGGCCUGGGCCAGGUAAGCGCUAGAUAGAGCUAUUUUAAUUUUCUUUUCUUUUCUGUUUCUGUUUUUCUUUCUGAUAUUGUUUCAUUUGUUUUUGGCUCCAAACUAUUCCUAAAAAUAGUUUGAGAUAUACCAAAGUGUUUGUUGGAAUAUUUCCAACCACUCAUAAAGUUUUCAACAUUUUUGGAAACUUUGAAUUAUUUGGAAUCAAAUAUAUAAUUGAUUUCAGUACCUUUUAACUUAAAUUUAAAAUGCCAAAGAUAGUUUGAAAAUAAGUUUCAUCUCUGAUAUUUUCUUUUCAACAUUUAUCAGAAAUAUUGAACUUUUAUGAAGGCCAUUUUGGGUUCAUUGAUUUGGCACUUGUUGGAAUUCUUUUGAAUAAGGAGUGGCUAGGGUUUUGCUUUGGUUUUCUUUACUUUGCUUUCAAUUUCUUUUCCUUUCUUGAAUGCAAUGAAAGAAGAUAUGAGCACAAGUUGUUAAACCCUAACAGGGAAUACCAGGGAUGUGACAGGGUCUCUCCAAGACAUGGUGGGGGGAGGCUAUAUUGACUAAAUGUCAUGUCCUAAACCGAGUUCCCACUAAGAAUAAACAGAUUUCUCCAUUCGAGGAAUGGGAAAAGAAAAGGUUAAAACUCUCUUAUCUACGAACCUGGGGUUGUUUGACGAAAGUCAAUGGGCCAAUCCAAAAGAAGCACAAGCUAGGACCAAAAACUGUGUAUUGUGUAUUCCUGGGAUAUGCUUUUCAUAGCAUUGGAUAUUGAUUCUUGGUUUUAAAAUCUGAUGUAUCUGACAUGCAUGUCGGUACAAUCAUGGAGUCGAAUGAUGCGACUUGUUUCGAAGAUAUCUUUCCCAUGAAAGAUAUAGCUACCUCACCUAAUCAGGAUAUGCUUAAUUCAUCGAAUCAUGAAUUAGUUACAAUUCAUGAACCUAUCAUUUCGAUGGAACAGUUUGAAAAUAUUGUGGAGGAGAACAAUGAAGUUCCUACCAGGAGCAAGAGACAAAGGACUGCAAAGUCCUUUGGUGAUGAUUUUCUAGUGUAUCUCAUAGAUGACACUCCCAGCUCUAUUUCAGAGGCCUAUGCGUCUAAAGAUGCUGACUACUAGAAGGAAGCAGUCCGUAGUGAGAUGGAUUCCAUCUUGGCAAAUGAAACUUGGGACAUCAUUGAUUGUCCUUAUGGGUGCAAACCUAUAUGAUGCAAAUGGGAAUUCAAGAAGAAACUUAGGCCUGCGCGGGGUUCAUCGACGCCGUGGAGGUUGAGGGCGACGACGGGCCCGACAGCGUCUCCACCAUGACGCUCAGCCCGGCGGUGGCGGAGCUAUCAGGCUCGGGCGUGAUGAGGAGCCGCGUGGUGGCGCGCGACAACGCGGCCAGGGUGAUCAAGACGGAGAUGCUGGAGGGCGGCAAGGUGAGCGGCCAGCUCAAGUCGCAGGUGGUCGAGAUGAAGCUCGAGCCGGCCGGGGACGGUGCUUGUGUGGCGAAGCUCAGGGUGGAGUACGAGAGGCUCGACGGCGGCGGGGCGCUGUCGGCGGAGGACCAGGUGGCUAUCGCCGCCGGGUACCUCGACCUGCUCAAGAUGGUCGAGGCAUACCUGGUCACCCACCCUGCCGAAUACGCCUAAUUAAAACAACGCGAGAAACAUAAAAAAUUAAUCAAUCUUCCCCUAUAAGAAAGAAGGACAACACUAGACAGCGGCGCCGCACCCGCGUCUUGCAGUGUGGCGGCUCAAUUAAUCAUGUUCCAAUACAAAAAUUAACACCCUAUUAAUCACUCAUCUAAUGCAAAAUUAGUGUGAGUUGAGUAUCUUUCUCAUGCAUACAUGUAUGCAUGCAAUGAUAUCAUCAUGUAUAAUGAAAACUUCUACAUGCAUGCAAUGAUGUCAUCAAGAUUUCCUUUGAUGUUGAAAAUUCAUAUUUUUUUAUCUACAAGAUCGUUAAUUCAAUCCAUGAUCCGCUUUCAUCAUUACCUUUCUCGCGACGAGUUCUUCAAAACUAGAUCCCAUGUUGACAUGUUCCGUCAACUAUUUUUUUACGUUCAUACUUGCCACAUUAUUUGACCCACUUGUCAUAUUAUUAACCACUUACUUGCCUGAAAAAAUAACUUAAUUAACACUUUUUGAUGUUGUUUCGUACAGUCUUGUACAGUUUUCAUUAUACAUGAUAUAAAAGCAUGUUAUAAGUUGUGUUUGUCAAUUUAAAUAUGCUAACUUGUCAUAUUUACAUACAACUUUGCGAGGAAACUAUUUUGUGUGCUUGUUAGUUUAAUUAUGCCGAGUUGUCAUAUUUAGAAGUAAUGAUCAAAAAAUAUUUUUUGUGGUUACCGGUUUUUAAUAUGUUGAGUUGUCAUAUAUUUUUGCGCGUAAUCGUCUAAAAAAAGUUAUUUGUGCUUGUCAUUUUGAUUAUGUCGAGAUGUCAUAUUCAUACAUAAUUUCUAAAAAUUUGACGAUUAAGUUAUUUUUUAUCAGACAAGUAAGUACUUACUAAUAUGACAAGUAAGUGCAAUAAAUGUGGUAAGUGCGAGCGAAAAAAAGUUAUCGAAACAUAUCGACAUGGAAUCUAGUUUUAAAGAUUUCAUCGAAACAAAUCAACCACGAAAACGGAUCAUCGAUCGAAUUAACGGUUUAAGAGAUUUUUUUUUUAAUUCCAGUCAUUUAAAACGAAUCCGAUGACAUCGUAGCAUGCAUGCAUGCAUGCAUGACGAAGAGAGCCGCCGCACAGGAUGUCGACGAUGCGGCGCUUCUUGAUAGAAUUUUUCAAGAAAGAAUCAAUAAAUCUACUAUUAAGGUGAGUACAUAUCUUUGUUUUGAUAAAAUCAUAUGAGCAAGUAGCCCGGUGUUUAUUGCCUCGUGAUCGACUUCGCGAGAAAAAUCAAUUGGUAAUCUUUAGUAUGAAUUGUUUGAGGUAUGUAUUGAGUGUUUUAUCCCUGUUUUAAGCUCGCAUUUCGUGUGUAAGUUACUUCAAGUAUCAACAAAGAUAAAUAUUCGAGCAUUUUGGUUUUGUGACAAAUGCAUUUCUUUCUUAUCAGUCAAUUCAAAUUAAAUGACGAGACAACCCCAGACAUAGGGCAAUAUUGAUCAUAUAACAUUUUCAUAUGUGUGAUGGACCGUCAAUAUAUAUACGCCAUACGUACAAGCUGUCACAGGACGGAAAAAAACUGAGGUAGGGCAAACUAUAGCAUAAAACGUUGUUGCCACUACAAGUAACAAUGGCGGAUCGAAAGACUAAGGUUUGUUGAGAUGUCGGACAACGAUAGAGCUCGACGUGACUUAUAACUAAUGCAUUCAGCUUUUAUAGGGAGUAGACUCAUAUUUUCUGAGUCGAUGCACUGGAACAUACACUUGCAAAAACCGAAUGCCCACAAUAGUGUGUGACUGAGGUGCAUGACUGAGUUCACGGUCUCUUGAGCUUAAGUGCUAAAUUGAUGGCAAACAUCCUAACAGCGGGAGUUCAUACACACUGCCGUGGUUGCUUGUCCGUUUGUCUUAUUUUCCCAGCUAGAUCACGACUAGCUCGAAGACAACCAUCCAGUCGGACAAGAACACUUUUUUUAGAAAAUCAAGGUGAGGCAGUCACCCAACCUUGCCCUACCGAUCUUCUCCGCCCCCUAAUAAACAUACAUUCGGCUAAACUAUGUACCGUCCCCUCGCAAGAAAAAGACGUUGGCCCAACCCGAUCCAUAGUCGUCAUCACGACUUUGACCAGCGGCCAUCAUGAGUUGUCGCCGCCCCCAGCGUCGACCCCGCUCGAGUUCCACAUCGUCGUUGGGCUCAUCUACGUCGUCGCACGUGGCGCCAUCCAGCAACCCUGCUCUCACAUGGCACUAUCGUCGUCACCCUACCCGUAAUUGGAGGUGCCUAGCACACCGUCUUUGGUGCACCUCCCCACAAGACGUCGUGUGAUGCACUUUCGCGCUCUUUCAAAUUGUCGACCAAGACGAGGACGACGUCGGCCCCCGGCCUACGUUGGAACUUAAUCAACAUAAGGUUUGAUCUUAGCACCCCUGUUUUUUGUGCAUAUUGUAAUGGUGCCAAAAAAACCACUAGUUUGUUUAUAUAACUUAACCAUUUGGUGGUCCCUUUGUGAACAUUGAUAUGGUGCCGAAAAAAUCAUCUUAACAGUGAUUGCUACCAUAAAAUUUGCUUUCGGACAUAUUAUUUUGUUCGUCAUAGGACAUCAUCAAUUUUGCAUUUGAAUGGAAUAUGUCACUGAUAAUGUUGUGCGGUGUUUAGAUUGAUCCGGGACUCCAUUUGAAGGUGUUUGGAUGGAGCAUGAAAUCGGAUAUGCUGGCUAUGAAUCUACUAGUUAGAAUUAAUCUUGGAUGUCAUAUGAAAACCUACCUCCCGAAGACACCCAUAGAAUUAACCUUGGAUGUCAUAUGAAAACCUACCUCCCGAGGACACCUAUAUCAGUGAGGCCGAAGCCAAGAAUGCUAAUGUAAGUGACGCAUUUGUUGAUAGUUUUUUAACAAGCAACUCGGAACUUACAUGUCUUACUUUUAAAGCUCUACACGUAGACGUUGAUGUUGACAAUGAGAAAAACGAUCUCGACGAAUCUUAUGUUGAUAACGCGAGCCAAGUAUAGUGAAUAAUUUGUACGGCAGGGAAUGAUAUAACAACCGAGUGACCACAACUUACAUCUCUUUAUUUCUAAUUUUGCAUAGGAGGUUGGCGGUGCUCCUAGCGGGCAGUUGGCACGAUGAGUGAUGAUGAUGAAGAUAUUGGGCAAGCUGAAUAUCAGCAAGAAAUAUUGGAUAGGCAUUGGAAGAUAAUUGCAGUGAUGUUUGGUUCAAAGGAAGAGCCCUACGUGUUCGACCAAAAAACGAUCUCUACGAAUCCUAUGUUGAUAACGCGAGCCAAGUAUAGUGAAUAAUUUGUACGGCAGGGAAUGAUAUAACAACCGAGUGACCACAACUUACAUCUCUUUAUUUCUAAUUUUGCAUAGGAGGUUGGCGGUGCUCCUAGCGGGCAGUUGGCACGAUGAGUGAUGAUGAUGAAGAUAUUGGGCAAGCUGAAUAUCAGCAAGAGGCAUUGGAAGAUAAUAGCAAUGAUGUUUGGUUCAAAGGAAGACCCCUAUGUGUUCUACCAUAACUAUGCAAAAGAGUAUUGCUUCAACAUUAGAAGAGAAAGCCUAACAGUCAAAGUCAACACUUUGACUUUUAUGUCAUGUCAGACCUCUAGUCAAAGUUAACAGUUUGACUUUUAUGUCAUGGCAAACCUGACAGAUAGCCCAACGCUUAAAAGUUAAGCACUUGGACACUAAUUUUUUUUGAAUCAGCAAAUCAAAAUUAUGAUAGCACUUCAAGAAAUUAAAAAACAGGUAGUUUUUCGUAGCUCUAGCAUGCAGUAGCUUUCUGGACGCAGAGUUUUUGCUAUUUACUCUAGAAGGAUCAUCAAGAUCAGGCAAUGUGAAUAGUAGACAUGGGUUAAGCAUCUACAGUCGAAAUAGCAAAUAUAUCCCCUAAACGCGCGCGAACGCGCCCGGUUAAUAAUCGGACGUGUCUCUGUUUAUCCGCCCGCACAACCAUAUUUGUCAGUUGUUACUCAUUUGUCCGACCACUUGCACGUGAUUUGUGAAGACGAAGAGAGAUCAAGAAAAGAAAUAAAGAAAAGGAAAAUUGCUGCGGAAUGGGGUCAUGUUCUACUCCUAUGUGGCGAACUGACACGUCCACAAGCCCUCAUAUACUUUAUAUAUUUGAGAUGGAUACGAGUGAUUCGGUUAAAUUAUUGUUUCCUUUUUUUCUGUCCGGUCAAUUUAUAGAUGCUUUUACGAUCGACGUGUCAUGAAAUUUUUUGAAAAUGGUAACUUUGAUAGCACUAUCCAGGAAACUUUUGGUCAUAAUACUGUAGGAGAGUGCAAUACUGGAUUGAUUAUAAGGUACAACCCACAUGAAUAUACUCUACACUCAGGAAAAUAGUUUUAUUUUGAACUUCCAGCAAUUACAAAGUUGACUUUUCACAGAGCCAUAUGCAUUAAUUUUUUUGUUAAUGAUGCAUAAGAUUUUGAUAGAUAGAGAGAAGUUUGAAGUGUCAAAUACUCCCUCCGUUUUUUAAUAUAAGGUGUAUUAGUUUUUCAGAAAGUCAAAAGAUAUCUAUGUUUGACCAACUUUAUAGUAAAAUAUAUAAACAUUUACAAUACUAUAAAUACAAAAUAUAAAAAUAUAUUUCAUGGUUAAUCUAGUGAUAAUGAUUUAGUAUUCUAAACAUUGAUAUUUUUAUCAAUAAACUUGAUCAAAGUUAGAGAAGUUUGGCUUUUUGAAAAAAUAAUACACCUUAUACAACCGAUUCCAAAUAAUAAUUUUGUUUUCAUAGUCUACCAGUGUGCAAAGAAAAUCCCAAUAUUACUGUCAUCCCAUCUUUACUUUACAAUAAAAAAUAAAACACACACACACAGACACGUACGGGCUUAGAUAAUUUUGCCUAUUUGAAAUUUCAGCCCUUCUAGAAUAGACCAAGCAGUCAACAGCACGAACGCAUGGGAAGAAGAUUGAACAGCUGUACAAAGAAAUAGCAGCCUGAACGCUCCAAAAGUCCAACCAUGUGAUCUCCGGUCCAAGUUCAUCAAUUAAAGGUAUAUAUGAGUGUUUAAUCCCUGUUUUAAGAUCGCAUUUCGUGUGUAAGUUGCUUCGAGCAUUGAUGGAGAUAAAUAUUUAAGCAGUUUGGUUUUGUGAUAAAUGCACUUCUUUCUUACGAGUCAAUUCAAAUUAAAUGGCGAGACAAGCCAAACGUAUAAAGGGCAAUAUCGAUCAUGUAACCAUUUUCAUAUGUGUGAUGGACCGUCGAUACAUAGACGCCAUACGUACAAGCUGGUAGAGGACAAAAAAUAGUAGGGCAAAUCUGACAUAAAAAGUUGAUGUCACUAUAAGUAAUAGCGACGGACCGAAAGACUAAGUUUUAUUGGGGUGUGAGACAACGAUAGAGCUUGACGUGACUUAUAACUAAUGCAUUCAGCUUUUAUAGGGAAUGCACUCAUAUUUUUUAAGUGGGACAUGUGCUUGCAAAAAUCAAAUACCCUAUCGUGCGUGACUGAGGUGCAUGAUUGAGUUCGCGGCCACCUGAGCUUAAGUGCUAAAUUGAUGGCCAACAACCCAGCAGCAUGAGUUCAUACAGAGGGCCUCGUUGUGUUUAUCUUAUUUUCCCAGCUAAACCAUGACUAGUUCAAAGAAAACCAUCCAGUCGAACAAGACAUAUACCUCAAUGUACGCCUUGUAGAAAAUCAAGGUGAGGCGGCCGCCCAACCUUGCCUUACCGGCUCCUCCGUCCUUAACGAGCAUAUGUUCGGUUUAACGAUGUAUCGAUCCCUUGCAAGAAAAAAAACAAAAUCUCCGGGCGAAUCCAAUCCAUAGUCGUCAUCACGACUUUAACCAGCGGCCAACAUGAGUCGUCGCGGCCCCCAGCGUCGACCCCACUCGAGUUCACGUCGUCGUUGGGCUCAUCUGCGUCGUCGCACGUGGCGCCAUCCAGCAACCCUGCUCUCACGCGACACUUUCGUCGUCGCCCUACCCGUCAUUGGAGGUGCCAAGCACACCGUCUUUGGUGCACCUGCCCGCAAGACGUCAUGUGAUGCACUUUCGCGCUCUUCCAAAUCGUCGACCAAGACGAGGAAGACGUCGAUGCUGGAAUUUUUGGCCAGCCCAAUAUAUAAUUUCAGAAAAUUCCUAAUAAAUCCUAGAGGCCCACGCAGCCCAUUUGUGCAAGGCAAGAGGUGAAAAUGUUUAGUCCCACAUUGCUAGUUUAGUGAGAGUGGGAUCUCCUUAUAAGGGAGGAUGUUUCCACACAUGUAUGAGCUUGAGAACAAGAGAGACAUACACCUGUGCUCCUCCUCCUCCAUCGCCCGCCGCGCCUCGUCACGACGCGCCGCGGGUUGCGGGAAUGAGCCGAACUAAAUUUUUGCCACGCACGACUGGUAUACGAAAGGUCACUCGGAGAAGCUGAACUCUUCGGUUGUUGUCUGUUCGUUUCGUCUCCGUCGCUAGCCUCUCGCCUCCUUCUCUUGUGUCUAUAAAAGAGAGGUCGCUCCUCUCUAGAGAAGACGCAUCAGAACUUCCUCUCUCCACCGGUUCCUUUCUCUAUGAUGUUGCUACGUUCUUCCCCAUCCCGUCUUGCGACGUGUGAUACGUUUCCGCGGUAUCUACUUUUCCGAACUCUUUUGCCCUUGUUUUGGACUCUAAUUUGCAUGAUUUGAAUGGAACUAACCCGGACUAACGCUGUUUUCAGCAGAAUUGUCAUGGUGUUGUUUUUGUGCGGAAAUAAAAGUUCUCGGAAUGACCUGAAAAUUUACGAAGAAUUUUUCUGGAAUUAAUGAAAAAUACCUGCGCAAAGAUCCACCGGAGGGGGUGAGCAAGUGGGCCACAAGCCCAGACGGCGCGGCCACCCCCAAGGCCGCACCAACCAGUCUUGUGGGGCCCACAGGACUCCACCGCCUCCAAACUCAGGUCCAUAUAUUCCGUUUCGCCCGGAAAAAAAAUCAGAGAGAAGGAUUCAUCGCGUUUUACGAUACGGAGGCGCCGCCACCUCCUGUUCUUCAUCUGGAGGGCAUAUCUGGAGUCCGUUCUGGGCUCCAUAGAGGGGAAAUCGUGGCCAUCGUCAUCAUCAACCUUCCUCCAUCGCCAAUUCCAUGAUGCUCUUCACCGUUGGCUUGCUGGACGGUGAUGAGUUGGAUGAGAUCUAUCAUGUAAUCGAGUUAGUUUUGACGGGGAUUGAUCCCUAGUAUCCACUAUGUUCUGAGAUUGAUGUUGCUACUACUUUGCCAUGCUUAAUGCUUGUCACUAGGGCCCGAGUGUCAUGAUUUCAGAUCUGAACCUAUUAUGUUGUCGCCAAUAUAUGUGUGUUUUAGAUCCUAUCUUGCAACUUGUAGUCACCUACUAUGUGUUAUGAACCGGCAACCCCGGAGUGACAAUAGCCGGAACCACUCCCGGAGAUGACCAUAGUAUGAGGAGUUCAUGUAUUCACCAAGUGUUAAUGCGUUGGUCCGGUUCUUUAUUAAAAGGAUAACCUUAAUAUCCUGUAGUUUCCAUUAGGAACCUGCUGCCACGGGAGGGAUGGACAAUAGAUGUCAUGCAAGUUCUUUUUCCUAAGCAUGUAUGACUACAUACGGAAUACAUGCCUACAUUAGAUUGACGAACGGGAGCUAGUUACUUAUCUCUCCGUGUUAUAGCUGUUACAUUAUGAAUCACAUCCGGCAUAAUCAUCCAUCACCGAUCCAAUGCCUACGAGUCUUUUACUACUGGUCCUUGCUAUGUUACUUUGUCACUACUGCUGUUCCUUGCUGCUGCUGUCACUACUGUUGUUACUUGUUACUUUGCUGUUACCUGCUGCAAGACUAUUUACUGGCGCCAUUGAUACAACAAGUUAGGAAUAGUCUGUCGUCAACACACCUGUUUCUGGCACCGUUGCUAUCAUACCACUUUGCUACUGAUACUUUGCCUGCAGACACUAAUCUUUCAGGUGUGGUUGAAUUGACAACUCAGCUCCUAAUACUUGAGAAUAUUCUUUCGCCUCCCCUUGAGUUGAGUCAAUAAAUUUGGGUUGAAUACUCUACCCUCGAAAACUGUUGAGAUCCUCUACACUUGUGGGUUAUCAAUGUGCACCAUAGGUCGGGACAAUAGACCUCCGAAACUCCGUAUCUUUGAGUCCUGUACGGGAGAAGGGCGAUAAGGUAUUUGGGGAGCGCUCAGCGCAACUACUGGCUUCCAUCAUGGACACCGACGAUCUCUUCCCGGACGACGACAACUUCCCUGAUGUCGACCACCUCUUCGGGAACAUGGUCAACGCCAACACCAACCCUAUUGCUGUUGCAACUCAGUACGUACUCAUGUUCUUUUUCUUGGAGUUCCUACCGCAACUUCUUACUAUAGUUUCACUUCUAGAUAUGUUCUGUUUCUGCUCAUCACUCCAUAUGAUACCUUGUGUAUAUAGAACAGUUACACAUAUGUUCUUUUCUAGAUCAUAUGUGCGCAUGUCUUUUGUCGUCUCAUCUCUAUUUUGCAUGUCUUCUUUCAUCUUUAUUAUGAUGGUCAUGUUUGUCCUAGCUUUUUUUUAAUAAAAUCCUAUGGUAAAUUAUUCAAGUACUACUUUCACUAGCCGCCUCAAUGGUAUUCUCGUUCAUCAAGUGGAUGUUAAGACGGGUUUCCUAAAUGGAGAGUUGGAUGAGGAAAUUUACAUGGAACACCCAGAUGGGUUUGUAGUAGAUGGUCAGGAAGGAAAAGUAUGCAAGUUGCUGAAGUCUUUAUAUGGACUUAAGCAAGCACCCAAGCAGUCGCAUGAGAAGUUUGAAAGAACUCUAACAACUGCAAGCUUUGUUGUAAACGAAGUUGAUAAAUGUGUGUACUAUCGCCAUGGUGGGAGCGAGGGAGUUAUCCUUUGCUUGUAUGUUGAUGACAUACUGAUUUUCGAAACAAAUCUGAAUGUUAUUAAAGAGGUCAAGGAUUUCCUAUAUCACUAUUUUGAGAUGAAGGAUUUAGGAGUGGCUGAUGUCAUUCUGAACAUCAAGUUGUUGAGAAACAAAGAUGGUGGGAUUAUGUUGCUUCAAUCUCACUAUGUGGAAAAGAUCUUGUGUCGCUUUGGGUAUAGUGACUGCAAGUCCUCUCCCACACCAUAUGAUGCGAGCGUGCUGCUUCGAAAGAAUCGAAAAAUUGCUAGAGACCAAUUGAAAUAUUCUCAGAUUAUUGGCUCGCUUAUGUACUUAGCCAGUGCUACAAGACCUGACAUCUCUUUUGCUGCUAGCAAACUGAGUUGGUUUGUCUCAAAACCAGGAGAUGUGCACUGGAAAGCUCUAGAGAGAGUUUUGCGUUAUUUAAAAGGCACUGCAAAUUAUGGAAUUCACUAUACUGGACACCCAAAGGUGCUUGAAGGGUAUAGUGAUUCAAACUAGAUCUCUCAUGCUGAUGAGAUAAAUGCCACAAGCGGAUAUGUAUUCACUCAUGGAGGUGUCGUUGUUUCUUGGAAGUCUUGCAAGCAAACGAUCUUAACAAGGUCAACAAUGGAAGCAGAACUCACAGCACUAGAUAUAGCUACGGUCGAAGCAGAUUGACUUCGCUGGCUCUUGAGUGACUUGCCAGUUGUCGAGAAACCUGUACUGGGUAUCCUUAUGAACUGCGACAAUCAAACUGUGAUCACAAAAGUGAGCAGCUCAAAGGAUAACAUGAAAUCAUCAAGACACGUUCAGAGAAGGUUAAAAUCUGUCAGGAAAAUGAGAAACUCCGGAGUUAUUGCAUUGGAUUAUAUCCAAACAUCCUAAAAUCUGGUAGAUCCUUUUACUAAGGGUCUAUCACGUAAUGUGAUAGAUAAUGCAUCGAGGGAGAUGGGUAUGAGACCCACAAUUUGAGUUGUUCACAGUGGUAACCUAUUCUUUGUGAUCGGAGAUCCCGUGAAUUAGAUGUGGAAGACAAGCUAUUGAUCAACUGAGAGGAAAGUAUCCUUAUCAUUGACUAGCAAAAGGGCCCGUGCGUUGCAACGGGAGAAAAAAACCACACGCUUUUAAUCUUUUUAUAAUCAUUUUGAUUUAUUAAAAUAAUGAUGGAACGCGGGUUGAAUAACAAAAUUACAGGUUUUUUUAUAAAAAUAACGUGGUGGGUUUUCCGACGGAAGCAAUAGCCUCUUUAUUAUUAGGUAUAGAUAAUACCACUCUAUGAAGAUGCAAUACUUUCUUAAACUGCAUGGCAGGUUGAUAUACAUCUUAAUAUGUUCUAAGUGGCUUAUUGAAGAAGAGAUGUUGUCCUGCAGAACAUCUUUUGAAGAACAUACCUAUAUGAGUCCGAUUGUUAACGUCGCUAUCUAUGAGAGUAGGGUGCUCUCUAGUAAACUCAUGAAAGGUCUCAGAGUAUGACGCAUAAGCUCCACCCGGGGGAAGUCCCACGCUAGCCUAGUAUAGAUCAAGGCUCAGUGUGAAUCUAGAUUUGCAGAAAACUUGCAGUUCAAGGCCUAGUCCACGGUUAAAGUUGCCUACUUGUGUAGCAUAGAAUUCUAGGUGGAAGUCCAACUUAACAGUCUCCACUGUAGUAUCGGUAUAUAAAACAGUGUUUUGAAACCAAAGGCAAAUUUUGUGUGCCUCUCGGAUCUGGUGGGGGAUUGUUGGAAUUUUUGGCCAGCCCAAUAUAUAAUUUCAAAAAAUUCCUAAUAAAUCCUAGGGGCCCACGCAGCCCAUUUGUGCAAGGCAAGAGGUGGAACUGUUUAGUCCCACAUUGCUAGUUUAGUGGGAGUUGGAUCUCCUUCUAAGGGAGGAUGUUUCCACACAUGUAUGAGCUUGAGAACAAGAGAGACAUACACACGCGCUCCUCCUCCUCCGCCGCCACCCGUCUCGUCGCGCCGCGCGGCGGGUUGCGGGAAUGAGCUGAGCCGAACUAAGUUUUUGCCACGCAUGACUGUUAUACGAAAGGUCACUCGGAGAAGCUGAACGUUUUUUGCUGCACUGGAUAUUGAAAGCGAACGCUGCACUCUUCGGCUGCUGUCUGUUCGUUUCGUCUCCCUCGAUCUCUUCGGCUCUCGUCGCUGGCCUAUCUCCUCCUUCUCUUGCGUCUAUAAAAGAGAGGUCGCUCCGCUCCAGAGAAGACGCAUCAGAACUUGCUCUCCCCACCGGUUCCUUUCUCUGUGUUGUUGCUACGUUCUUUCCCAUCCCGUAUUGCUGCGUGCACGGUAGGUCGAGACAGUAGGCCUCCGAAACUCCGUCUCUUUGAGUCCUGUACGGGAGAAGGGCAAUAAGGUUUUUGGGAAGCGCUCAGCGCGACUACUGGCAUCCAUCACGGACACCGACAAUCUCUUCCCGGACGACGACUACUUCCCCGACGUCGACCACCUCUUCGGUAACAUGGCCAACGCCAACACCAACCCUACUGUUGCUGCAACUUAGUACGUACUCCUGUUCUUUUUCUUUGAGUUCCUACCGCAACUUCUUACUAUAGUUUCACUUCUAGAUAUGUUCCGUUUCUGCUCAUCACUCCAUAUGAUACCAUGUGUAUAUAGAACGGUUACACAUAUGUUGUUUUCUAGAUCAUAUGUGCACAUGUCUUUUGUCGUCUCAUCUCUAUUUUGCAUUGUCUUCUUUCACCUUUAUUAUGAUGGUCAUGUUUAUCCUAGCUUUUCUUUUAAUAAAAUCCUAUGGUAAAUUGCUCUUAUUUCCAACAAUCGACCCCCGACCUACGUUGGAACUUAAUCAACAGAAGGUUUGAUCUUGGCACCCCUAUUUUUUGUGCAUAUUGUAAUGGUGCCAAAAAAACCACUUCCUUGUUUAUAUAACUUAACCAUUUGGUGGUCCCUUUGCGCACAUUGAUAUGGUGCCGAAAAAAUAAUCUUAACAGUGGUUGCUACCAUAAAAUUUGCUUUUGGACAUAUUAUUAUGUUCCUCAUAGGACAUCAUCGAUUUUGCAUUUGAAUGGAAUAUGUCACUGAUAUUGUUGUGCGGUGUUUAGAUUGAUCCGGGACUCCAUUUGAAGGUGUUUGGAUGGAGCAUGAAAUCGGAUAUGCUGGCUAUUAAUCUACUAGUUAGAAUUAAUCUUGGGCGUCAUAUGAAAACUACCUCCCGAAGACACCCAUAUCUGUGAGGCCGAAGCCGAGAGUGCUAAUGUAAAGUGACGCAUUUGUUGAUAGUUUUUUUAACGAGCAACUCAGAACUUACAUGUCUUACUUUUAAAGGUCUACACGUAGACGUUGAUGUUGACAAUGAGCAGAACGAUCUCGACGAAUCUUAUGUUGAUGACGCGAGCCAAGUAUAGUGAAUAAUUUGUACAGCGGGGAAUGAUAUAACAACCGAGUGACAGCAACUUACAUAUGUUUAUUUGUAAUUUUGCAUAGGAGGUUGGCAGUGCUCCUAGUGGGCAGUUGGCACGAUGAGUGAUGAUGAUGAAGAUAUUGGGCAAGCUAAAUAUCAACAAGAAAUAUUGGAUAGGCACUGGAAGAUAAUUGCAAUGAUGUUUGGUUCAAAGGAAGAGCCCUACGUGUUCGAGCAUAACUAUGCAAAAAAGAGUGCUGCUUCAACAUUAGAAGAGAAAGGGUGAAACAAGGAAAAGGUGCUUCGGGAAGAAUACGCUUGAGGAGAUUUAUUUGUUUCAGGGUUGGGAAACGGCAAAGCAAUUCCUAACCAUGGGUGGCUGCUACCGUGGGCUAAGACUCGAGACUCAAUUCUACUCGGAUUCUCAUUUCAAUGUGAAAUUAGAUAAAUCUCGUGCAGUACGAUUUGUUGUGAGGUUUCUACAUGAUCAAAACCAUGUUGAUGUUAUACCCGAUGAAGUCCCAUUCCUUGGUUCACAUAAAUAAAUCAAGACUUUUCGGAGAGCAAAAAAUUAGCAACGGGAGUAGCUAGGACGAGAAAGCACAUCAUCAUGUGGAAGGUAUGGUUUGUAUGUUAAGGCUAGCGGUUUGCUAAUGGACCACUUCGGGCAGCACAUGAUGCAUGCAAGGGAGAUUCCACAACACUUGGCGCACAAGACAAGAACUCUUCUAAACCCUAGGCAUGUAGUACGUUAUAUAAACUGAGGCUAGGCUAGUCAAUAGAUGAUCUCACAUUCAUUACAACAAUCUCGUGGUAGAUACGUGUACUAUGUACUAUCCCCAUAUCAAUAUAAUCAAAAGUAGGAUGCAGGGUAUUAUAUCCUCGAGGGAGCCCGAACCUGGGUAAAAUCAUGUUUCCAUGUUACCAUCGCUCCAAGACGUCUAGCUUAGGUCCCCUACUACAAGACAUGCCAGAUUGAUAACCGAUAUUGGUGUUUUCAUUGAGAGCCUGUUGGGUGAUCGUCACGGUUCGAUGGGAUAAUCAAGUGAUGCUUUUUCAAUUAGGUCUAUUCCACAUAAAUUAUUUCUUUUGCAGAACCGUUGCUGCCAUAUCGUGCUAUGUUGUUUGUAGUAUGAUCGGAUCAAAAAAAGUUCAACAACGGUGGUGCCCGCUGUUCGGACUUUGCAAUACAGCCGAUGGGCGAUCCAGCCGAGGAGACCGUGCCGAGUAGUUAAGUAGUGUGAUGGGAGGAACUCGGAUCGAUGAGAGCACACAUCAGGGAUAUUCUUUCCUUUUUCUCCUUUAUUUUUCUGAAUUAUCAAGGUUGUCGAUGUCAGGCCAUUAAUUUAUGUUGAUGCAAGCGUAGACGAGUACUAAUGCAUCAAUUAAGGGUCGCGAUAACGCCCACAUGUGUGAUAGGAGUAACAAGAGCCCACACUCUCAAUGAUGAGAGGUUGUGAUACAUCACCGCAUGCAUGCACAAGUGACGAAACUGAUGAUGUCAACAAGAAUCUUUUGCCUUUUUAGUUCGUAAAAUGUUUUAUCUCUUAAAUAAAAAAUUCAAUUGGAAAACCGUUUUCACCAUUAAAUCCGCCGCAACAAGAUCUUGGAAUUAGAUCUCGUAUUGAUAUGUUUUGACGACAUUUUUGGGGUUAAAAGUUGCCAUUUCUAUUGCACAAAAAUUGCCAUCAUGAUUACGCUGAAGUUGCCAUGAUAUAUUUUAACUACUUUUUCUUCUAUGUUGAAAAUAAACUUUUACAUGUUAUAAAAAAGGAAAUUGACAAACUAAACUUGCUAUGAUGAAUUACUAAAUUUUCCAUGAUCCAUGAAAUAAUUUUGACAUGGUUCAUAAGUAAAAAAUAAAUGUCGCUAGUUAUUUUAAAAAUGCAUGGUCAUUGACUCAAAUUUGCCAUUAACAAUAAACUUAAACUUCCAUGAUGAAUUACUUAAAUUUUCCAUGAUACAUGCACUAAAAUUUGCCAUGAUUCAUACAAAAAAUGUUUUUCGUGUUCAAAAUACUAGAAUUGCCAUGAUCUAUAGACUCAAUUUGACAUGAUGAAUUACCAAAAGUUUCCAUGAUUCAUGAAUUAAAUUUGUCAUGGUUAAUUACUAAAAUUUGUCACGACAAAUUAAUAAAAAAGACCAUGAAAAGUAGUUCAAAUACAAUGGUAGCUUUAAAUCUAGAAGAAAAAACAAGAUGAAACAUGUCGUGGCAACAUUAUUGUAAACCCUAUGGCAACUUUAGUGUAAACAUGUGGCAACUUGUAGCCCCCAAAAAAUGUCAUCGAAACAUAUCAAUAUGGUAUCUAGUUUUAAAGAUCUCGCCGAGACGGAUUUAAUGGUGAAAAUGGAUUUUUAAUUGGGUUUUUUAUUUAAGAGAUUAAACAUUUUUAAAUCUAAAAGUCCAAAAAGGUUUCGCUGAUGUCAUAUGUUUGAUGUGGCAAGAUGAAUGAUUAUAGAGGCGUGUGGACCAUGUUGCCUCGUGCCGCACAUGUGGGCGUUAUUAUUUAGGUUAAUUAAAUGCUAGGUUGCAACACACAUUACGAGAUAUUAUGGAUAAACUAUGCCUCUCAUCCUUUGCUUGUGUUUAUUAACCUGAGAUCGCUGCGAACUCUCCUGCGUCAGUCGACACAAUUUUAAUCUGACACCUCGGGCAACCAGCUUCGUUGUUGUGAUCCGUCACAGUAUCUUUCGCCCCACGGUAGCAGGCACGAGUUGUCAAGCUACAUGACAUCAACCAAGAUAUUUAUGCUGAACCAACGGACUCUUAUCUGCAUCGACAUCACAGUGUUCUUGAUUCUACUUAUGCUACACGGAAGCCAUGUUUGUUUUAUUAUUCAUACUCUGUGUAAGUGCUCAAGUUGUCGGCUCGCCUUCGUCAGCCAAAGUUAUAUUGUCGAAAUGGCGCAUCACGUGCUGGAAGGGGGCUUCACUGCCACUUCGGUAGCAUUGUGUUGUUACUUCUUCAAGCCGAGCUCUUCGCUCGGGCACCUCGGGACCGGCUUGGGGGGGAGGACCUCGACCCCCCCCAAACUCGGACCACAUCAUCAUCACCGAACACAUUAAUCAGCUAAGUUGCUUUCAUGCUCAAUUUUUUUCAAUUUUUCAAUUUUUUGCUUGGUUCAACCAGGCAUUAUAUUUUAAAACAAAACUAUUGUUUGUUAAAAAUGUAGUUUAUUAAAAACAACUUCCUCUCCUCAAGUUAACUAGGGAUCACAAACUUUUAUGUGCCUUAUUUUAAAGUGUUCUCUUCCUAGUCGUUGCAAAGUCUUUCUCUGCUACUCCUUUUUUGACUCAAGACUGUGGUCAAAUAGUGAGACAACCUGAUUUCUCUCUAGAGCCGCUCAAGUUUAGUUUGCUAAACUGGCCUCAAAAGCACUUCGCCUUUGGGAAGGGAGGUUGAAGCCGAAGGCUGACCCGCUUGAAGUCUAGAGAUCGGAUGAGUCAUGACAAAGCACAACGGAAGCUCAUAUUUUUUAAGACCAAAUUCGUAUUUGCACCAAAAAACUUGAUUCUAUUUAGACAUAGAUUUUUUACAUAAUUGUUUUGGUUUUUCCAAGCAUAACUAUCGCAAUACAACGCCAAAUGCCUUAAAAGCAUGGGCUAUUUUAACAGGGGGCUGCGACUAGAGCCGAACCCACCAAAAGCCAAAGUACUCCAUGAAGUCCCCAGCAAAACAUCCUCAGUAUUUUGCACUUAUAUGCAUUGAUUUCAAGUUGUGUCUUUAGUUAAUAGCUGGAUUGCUCAUCUCCUGUGCUUACCCCUUACGUUUCCGCUUAGUUCGGCCAAGGAGGUAAAGGGAGAACCACUUCGAUUAAGUGCCUCACUUGGAGAAAGCCGAAAUUUGACUAUCACAACAUGCAUACAUCAGUUAGGAAACUACACGCGGUGUUACACCAAAUAUAGUUCAUCAAGGUUAUCCGAGUAAAAUGAAGGGCCUCUCUUUCUUAAGAAGGCCAAGUUGUUGGUGGUUCGACCUCAAAUGAUCUGAGGAUUCGACAUAUACCGAAGGCUAUUAAUUUGCCCCCAAACAUAAGCUCCCAUGACAAAGUAAAGUUAUAAAUCCCGAAUAUCUGAUUUCCUUGUUUCCAAUAACUCAACAGCCUCCGGGCACAAAGACGUCGGCUAAGGGUUGUCUUGAUAGUAUGGAAACACCCUGCGUAGCAUCUACAAAGGGGUAGAAGUUGGUGAUGGGCCACUUUCAGAUUAUAAGUAGUCGCAAUGGAGUCAAAGUAAACGAUACCAAGGGAUCCUUGAGGCACCUCGGCAUGGUCACAUCAGGAGUCCUGGAGAUCCCAAGAUAUCAUCAACGUUUUUAUUCAAUACAUGAGCGCUGCCUUCCAUAAUCAUCAUUAUAAAGCCAUAAAUAUGCGUCAGUUUGACUUUAGAUUUUUGCCAAGAUAGUUUGCCUUGCUCUUGUGCUUACUCCUACAUUCCCGAUUGUUCAUCUAGGGGGUAAAGGGAGCGCCUCUAUGAUUGUUACUACCGGGUCCUCCGUGUUCGGACCACGGAUGGGUGAAGCCGAAAGCUAGCUCUCCUAAGAACAUAAUUGGUCGGCAACGAUGGAAGUGAAAAUUUUCAGAAACUUUCCCCCCAAACUAAAUCCUCCAUACUUUCCUCCCACAUUGAUCGAAUGUGAGAUUUCAUGCUCAUAGUCAACAUGAUAGCCUGGAGAAAAGAACUUAUAAAUGAACUAUUUUCCCACAACAUGUUUCUUAUGUUCAAAACUAAUAUAACAUAUCUCUCCGUGUACCUUUGUUUAUUAAAAUGUAUGACCAGAUUGCCUUGUUUUCCAUAAAAUUUUGCCCCCAUAAAGGAUUUAUAAAGUACGAAAACAUUCCCCGGCUAUUGGCCGAGGAGGUUGAAGCUGAUGGUCGGUCAACAAAGUUUGUACAAAACAGAUCUGAGCGUUAAUGAUGUAAAGUACUUGAAUACAUAGAAUCAUUAGAGUACCCAACAUUUAAUUGGGAUUUUCUCUUCUCAAUUAAAGGGGUACAUUGAUCCCCUGAUCUCGUGUUACCUCCCGAACAGUGACUCGGGGGCUACUGGCUAUACAUCUCGAUAUUGCAUAAAUUGCCCAGAUCGGAAAAAAACUCUGCAAAACCUAGCGAAGGCCGAGGUGGUUCCAUAAAGGAUGUUACAAAAAUCAGAUAUUCACUCCUUGAUGAUCUCGGAAUCAGUCUAGCAUAAAGCAUGAAUGUGAGUGGCUGGUUCCGUAGAUGACGUUUCCAGCAUUAAGAUCAACUGAACUCCUUGAACUUUUUCAAGAUCAAGGUAAUCUAUGAUCCCUCAGGUGUCGACCAGAGUUAGAGCUUGGCUGCCAAAAAUGACACCUCAGAUGUAGUCCAUCAGUGAAGCUCAGAUGCAAGAGGACACCACUGCAUGGGGAAAACAUUGAGACCUGAAAUGUGGUGUAAAAAUAAACAAGGCAUUUAUAAAGCCCAAGAAAUAAAAAGGGCUCCUCGAAGGCUCGACGCUUGAACUCCUCAGACGCUCGACGCUUGAACUCCUCGGACGCUCGAUGUGCGAACUCCUCNNNNNNNNNNNNNNNNNNNNNNNNNNNNNNNNNNNNNNNNNNNNNNNNNNNNNNNNNNNNNNNNNNNNNNNNNNNNNNNNNNNNNNNNNNNNNNNNNNNNUCAAUCUAUAAAGAACAAUUCAUAUAAGUAUUUGUCUCAUUUAAGAAAACAAGGUUUAUCAAACCAAUAGGAAUAUCAAUUCUCAACCGUCUUCUACGGCUGGACAAAAAAGAGAAAACAACUUGCACCCAAUGCGGGAAGAGGGUUGUCAAUCCCCUUGAUCUCGUUAUUUGCAAGCAAAUGAGGUCUGUAGAUAAUUGUACAUUCUAAAAUAAAAUAAACUACAUAUAAUAAAAACGAGGAAAUUAUAAGUUUUCUGAAUAUAUAAGUGAAUAGACCCGGGGGCGAUAGUGUUCUCUAGUGGCAUCUCUCAUGAAAGCAACAUAUGAUGGGUAACCAAAUUACUGUUGGACAAUUGAUAGAAAAGCGCAUAGUUAUGUGAUUUUUACGGAAAUGAUCAUGUGUAUAUAGGCAUCACAUCCAUAAGCAAAUGGGCCGACUCCUGCCUGCACCUACUACUAGUACUCCACUUCAAGAGCGCUUCUAUACUUGUCUCUCUACAUAUUAAGCUCAUGACAAAUAGAGUAAUGCUUGGAGAACGAUGACAUGAUGUAGACAAAGUAAACUCAACCAAUGUGAAUAAAACCCAUCGUUUUAUAUUUAGUGGCAACAACACAAAGACACAACUUGCCCCCUUAUCUCACUGGGAUAUAGAAACUUGUCAGGUUGAACCCACUACAAUGCACCCCUCUCACUAUAGAAAUACCAAACUACUUGGCCAAGGCAAUUCAAUAGAUCAGAGAGAAUUACAAAGCUAUGAGGAUCAUGCAAAUAAGAAUCAUAAUAAUUUUAGAGAAGGCUCAAAUACAUUUCAUGAACAAUAUGAACAUAAGCCCACAAUUCAUCGUAUCCCAAUAAACACACCAUACAAAAGAAUUACAUCAGAUAGUUCAAUGCGAAGAUGCGAUGAUCAUUGUAUUGAAGAUCAAGAUAGAUAGCCAUCUAGGUACUAACUACGGACCCCUAGGUCUAUGGUGAACUACUCACACAUCAUCAUGAGGGUAGCAAGGUUGAUGAAGAGGCCCUCCAUGAUCGAUCCCCCCUCCGACAGGGUGCGGGAGCGGAGCUCCAAGUGGGAUCAUCAUGGAACAAAGACUUGCGGUGAUAGAAUAAGUGUUUGACGAUGAUAUAUAGGGUUUUUGGAAUAUAUGUGAAUUCACAGGCCACAUAAUGGAGGUAGAGGGGCCACCAGGGAGGGACAAUCCAGCAGGGUGCGCCGACCCCCGUGGCCGCUCCCUAUUGGCUUGUGCCUCCUUCAUGUGGCUUAUGGCCUUCUCCCGAAGCUUUGAAGUCUUCUUUUGGUUUUGAAAAAAUCAUAAUAAAGUUUCAGUGCAAUUGGAUUUUGUUUGGUACUAUAAACCUGAAGAGCAAAAAGCACGAGAAAACAACAACUGACACUGGGCAGUGGGUCAAUAGGUUAGUGCGCAAAAAUAAUAUAUAUUGGUAAAUUAUGACCCAAAAAGUAUCCUAGGAUGAUAAUAUAUCAUCAUGGAACAAUAAAAAAUUAUAUAUACGUUGGAUACGUAUCACCUCACCAUAAAGGUUCAAAUCUCUAAACUCUAUGUUCUUUUGAUAUGAGAACAUCAGGUCAUGCGUGCAAUAAAAUGGAUUUGGGAUACAUGUUGCUAACUAAAGCACACAAUUUUCUUAUGCCUCCUCCUUCAUAAUAGGCUUAGCACUAGAUCCAUGAUGUAUACGAAGAAUUUCUUCAUUCCAAAUUACUCACGUGUCAUGUGUGGGGAUAACAUAUUUGAGAUGAGAGAUAACGAAUUAUUCACAUGCCCAUUUGAUAAGGUAUGUUGGUCUCAUGUUUUUCAUGCUUGGUCUUCUACUAAUCAAGGCAUGCCUGCAAAUAUGAAGAACCUCAAGCGACUCUUAGUUGUUCCUUUCUCCUUGGAAAUUAACAUUUUAGGUGCCUCGGUAAUCUCGACCACACACAAUGACUACAUCUUCAAAAGGGUUACUCCAAAUUUAUACAAUUGCUCAAAGACGUCCAAAUUUAUAUCACACACAAAGCCAAAAGAAAUGUCUAAUCCAAGAUUUCAGACAGUCUAUAUGUUUAUACUUGUUAAUUUGUUCCCUUGUAAUUAACUUUGUAUAUUUAGUUUGGUUUUCUUUUAUUUUACUCUCCUUUAGUUCUCUUCCAUUAUUUUAUUUUUUGAACAAUNNNNNNNNNNNNNNNNNNNNNNNNNNNNNNNNNNNNNNNNNNNNNNNNNNNNNNNNNNNNNNNNNNNNNNNNNNNNNNNNNNNNNNNNNNNNNNNNNNNNGGAGGCGUAGGAUGAAGAUGGUCUCUCUCAAGCAACCCUGCAACCAAAUAACAAAGAGUCUCUUGUGUCCCCAACACACCCAAUACAAUGGUAAAUUGUAUAGGUGCACUAGUUCAGCGAAGAGAUGGUGAUACAAGUGCAAUAUGGAUGGUAGAUAUAGGUUUUUGUAAUCUGAAAUUACAAAAACAGCAAGGUAACAAAUGGUAAAAGUGAGCACGAACGGUAUUGCAAUGCGUGGAAACAAGGCCUAGGGUUCAUACUAUCACUAGUGAAGUUCUCUCAACAAUGAUAACAUAAUUGGAUCAUAUAACUAGCCCUCAACAUGCAACAAAGAGUCACUCCAAAGUCACUAAUAGCGGGGAACAAACGAAGAGAUUAUUUUCGGGUACGAAACCACCAAAAAUUUAUUCUUUCUCAUCGAUCUAUUCAAGAGUUCGUACUAGAAUAACACCUUAAGAUACAUAUCAACCAAGACCCAAAUGUCACUUAGAUACUCCAUUGUCACCUCAAGUAUCCGUGGGCAUGAUUAUACGAUAUGCAUCACAUAAUCUCAAAAUCAUCUAUUCAACCAACACAUAGAACUUCAAAGAGUGCCCCAAAGUUUCUACUAGAGAGUCAAAACGUGUGCCAACCCUUGUGCAUAGGUUCCCAAUGUCACGAACCCGCAAGUUGAUCACCAAAACAUACAUCAAGUACUCACAUGAAUCCACGUGUGCCAACCGAUUUGCAUAGGUUCCCAAUUGUCACAAACUCGCAAGUUGAUCACAGCAGAUAGACACGUGCAAGACAUACAUCAAGUGUUCUCAAAGACUCAAUCCGAUAAGAUAACUCCAAAGGGGAAACUCAAUUCAUUACAAGAGGGAGAGGGGGAAGAACACCAUAAGAUCCAACUAUAGUAGCAAAGCCCAUGGUACAUCGAGAUCAAGACAUCUCAAGAACACAAGAGAGAGAGAGAGAGAUCAAACACAUAGCUACUGGUACAUACCCUAAGCCCCGAGGGAGAACUACUCCCUCCUCGUCAUGGAGAUCGCCGGGAUGAUGAAGAUGGCCACCGGAGAUGGAUUCCCCCUCCGGCAGGGUGCCAAAACGGGCUCCAGAUUGGUUUUUGGUGGCUACAGAGGCUUGCGGUGGCGGAACUCCCGAUCUAGGUUUCUUUUUGGGGGUUUCUGAAUUUAUAGGAAUUUAUGGCGGUGGAAUUGCGUCAGUUGGGCCCAUGAGGAGGUCACAAGCGUGCUCGCCACCAUCNNNNNNNNNNNNNNNNNNNNNNNNNNNNNNNNNNNNNNNNNNNNNNNNNNNNNNNNNNNNNNNNNNNNNNNNNNNNNNNNNNNNNNNNNNNNNNNNNNNNGUUUUUGUAAUCUGAAAUUACAAAAACAGCAAGGUAACAAAUGGUAAAAGUGAGCACGAACGGUAUUGCAAUGCGUGGAAACAAGGCCUAGGGUUCAUACUUUCACUAGUGAAGUUCUCUCAACAAUGAUAACAUAAUUGGAUCAUAUAACUAGCCCUCAACAUGCAACAAAGAGUCACUCCAAAGUCACUAAUAGCGGGGAAUAAACAAAGAGAUUAUUGUCGGGUACGAAACCACCACAAAGUUAUUCUUUCUGAUCGAUCUAUUCAAGAGUACGUACUAGAAUAACACCUUAAGAUACAUAUCGACCAAGACCCUAAUGUCACCUAGAUACUCCAUUGUCACCUCAAGUAUCCGUGGGCAUGAUUAUACGAUAUGCAUCACAUAAUCUCAGAAUCAUCUAUUCAACCAACACAUAGAACUUCAAAGAGUGCCCCAAAGUUUCUACUAGAGAGUCAAAACGUGUGCCAACCCCUGUGCAUAGAUUCCCAAUGUCACGAACCUGCAAGUUGAUCACCAAAACAUACAUCAAGUACUCACAUGAAUCCACGUGUGCCAACAUAUGCAUAGGUUCCCAAUUUUCACAAACCCGCAAGGUGAUCACAGCAGAUAGACACUUGCAAGACAUACAUCAAGUGUUCUCAAAGACUCAAUCCGAUAAGAUANNNNNNNNNNNNNNNNNNNNNNNNNNNNNNNNNNNNNNNNNNNNNNNNNNNNNNNNNNNNNNNNNNNNNNNNNNNNNNNNNNNNNNNNNNNNNNNNNNNNCUCAACCCUGCGAUCUACCGCAGCUCAACUCAGCCUCUUGAUGCUGAUGACUGGCUCCGUGACAUUUCUUACAAGCUGGAGUCUGCCAAUGUGCCCCUGGCGAGCUAUGUCAACUUUGCCGCCUACUUCCUGAAGGGUCCCACUGCUCAAUGAUGGGACAGCCACAGACGCUCUCAGCCCGAUGGAACUGUCAUCACUUGGACAGAGUUCAAGGUUGCUUUCUGUGCUCGCUACAUUCCUCAUGGAAUCAUGGACCGGAAGAAACAUGACUUCUGCAACCUGGUCCAGGGCAACAAGACUGUGGAUGCUUAUCAGUGGGAAUUUCUAGACUUAUCUCGCUAUGCUGAAGAAGACAUUGCAACUGAUGCACGCAGACAGGAGAAGUUCCGUGAAGGCCUUCACCAUGAUAUCAAGUUGACACUCCUCGUUCAGGAGUAUGCUGAUUUCGCCACCCUGGUGAACAAGGCUAUUCAGGUUGAGACUGGUCUGUAGGAAUACAAGGAUAGCAGCAAGUGCAACCGUGACAUGGGAUCAUCUUCGGUCUCAUCUGCACAAAAGUGGAAGAUCUGGAUUCCCAACAACAUGUACCAUGCACCUGCUCCUGCUCCGAGGCCGUCCUAUGCUGCACCUCGCCUGCCUCCUCCACCACCUAGGCAGCCAAGGCUUCCAGCUCCACCGCCUCGAGUUCCUCCUUCCCUUCCUGAGGAUGGGUUGUGCUUCAAGUGUGGCCGUCCAGGUCACCGUGCUAGAGACUACAGGCAGAAUCCGAAUCAGCUGACACUUCCCUCAACUGGCAGUGGCAACAACCAGAACCACAACUUCAAUGCUAAGCCUGCUUAUUUUCGUGGUCAAGCCAACAACAUUGAUAUGGGUCAAGCUCAAGACCAGCCUGCUACCAUGAUGGGUACACUUCUGGAUAACUCAGUACCUNNNNNNNNNNNNNNNNNNNNNNNNNNNNNNNNNNNNNNNNNNNNNNNNNNNNNNNNNNUGCUUCUGUAUUGUUUGAUACAUGAGCAUCGCAUUCCUUUAUGUCAGAAAUUUUUUGCAUACAUGCAUGACAUUAGAAGCAAAGAGAUGAACAUCCCGAUAGUGGUAAACACCCCUGGGGGCGAAUGCCGAACCUCUGUGGUUUGCCCCCAUGUUUCGGUUGAAAUUGAAGNNNNNNNNNNNNNNNNNNNNNNNNNNNNNNNNNNNNNNNNNNNNNNNNNNNNNNNNNNNNNNNNNNNNNNNNNNNNNNNNNNNNNNNNNNNNNNNNNNNNCCUCACCUGGAGGAAAGCCCUUUCAAAUACAUCCCGCAUGCUCCUGCUGGGGAUGAGACUGGGUCUGAUCUCACUGUCUACACUGUUAUCAUUCGGGAGUGCAGCGACUGAUCCUACAUUGCUGUCUGCGCCCCCUAAGUGAUGCAUCGCUACGACGCGCGGGUUCUGGUGUAGUACACUGAGGCACUGGGUCGUGCUUUUCGAGCUCUGACUGUGGAGCUGUAUGCUACACGCGCUCGUCUUUNNNNNNNNNNNNNNNNNNNNNNNNNNNNNNNNNNNNNNUCGUCUUUACGACGCAUUGACAGAGCUGCAGCCAUCACACUGCCCGAGGGUUCCCCCUAUGCACAUCCGCGAACCGAGCAGGACAGAGUUACCAUCAGGUCUCGAGUGGACUGAUGUUGGGGGUAGAACCCCUGCACUUGGACCUCAGCUCCUCAAGUGGAUGUGUUACCCUCACCAGAGUCGCAACGGGACACAGGGUCAUGUUCCUACCUUCUAUCACCGCCAGCUACCAGGAUCUGUUCGUCCUCUCCGACGUUGAUGUAGCCUUAUCGCUAUAUCUCGUUGUGGUACUCUUCCACCGCGUGCGUGCGUGCUCUUGAUAACCCACGAGUAUAGGGGAUCGCAACAGUUUUCGAGGGUAGAGUAUUCAAUCCAAAUUUAUUGAUUCGACUCAAGGGGAAGCAAAAGAAUAUUCUCAAGUAUUAGAAGUUGAGUUGCCAAUUCAACCACACCUGAAAGAUUUAAUAUCUGUAGCAAAGUAUCAGUAGCAAAGUAGUAUGAUAGCAGUAGUAGCAACUGAGUAACAGUAGCAGCAGCAGAGUAACAGUAGCAGCAGUGACAGUAGUAGCGGCAAAGGAACAUAGCAAGGACCAGUAGAAAAAACUCGUAGGCAUUGGAUCAGUGAUGGAUGAUUAUGCUGGAUGUCAUUCAUCAUGUGACAGUUAUAACAUGGAGAGGUAAGUAACUAGCUCCCGUUCGUCAGUCUAAUGUAGGCAUGUAUUCUGUAUGUAUUCAUAGGUGNNNNNNNNNNNNNNNNNNNNNNNNNNNNNNNNNNNNNNNNNNNNNNNNNNNNNNNNNNNNNNNNNNNNNNNNNNNNNNNNNNNNNNNNNNNNNNNNNNNNUUAUAAGAAAUACCCUACUACCUUGCGCCGCAUUUUUUAUGCGAGUGUGACAACUUGGUAUAGGUUUGUUCUUGACACCAUAACCGGUGGUAAUUUCUUAUUUUUUUCACACUUUCGAUGGCUAUAAUGCUAUUGAAAAUCUUGUGGGAUCACCUCCCACCAUUUUUAAUGGAACCAUUUUAACUUUGGAAGAUUUCAUGUGUAGUAUUGAUGCUAUUGAAAAGAAAAUUACUACUAANNNNNNNNNNNNNNNNNNNNNNNNNNNNNNNNNNNNNNNNNNNNNNNNNNNNNNNNNNNNNNNNNNNNNNNNNNNNNNNNNNNNNNNNNNNNNNNNNNNNNNNNNNNNNNNNNNNNNNNNNNNNNNNNNNNNNNNNNNNNNNNNNNNNNNNGGAUAUUAUUAUUGAUGAGAGGGUAGAACAAAGUAUGGAUAAUAUUUGAUAAAAUGGAGGAAGUUAUUCAUAAAGUAGGUCCCAUUUUUACACCCUCCAAAACUGAUGCUAGUACCUCUCGGAGUAAAAGUCCCAAAUUCAUAUAUAUACCUAAGAGCAUUAGUACCCCUCCUAUUAAAAGGAACAAAGAUCUCAAAAUGAUUAGUGUGCAUACCAACUUUGUAAACCCGAUAAAGGCUCCUACUUUCAAGUCUCCUAUUGUUAUUGACGAGCUUGAUGUCAAGGAUGACAACACUUGAUCAUAUGCAUUAUGCCUAGCUAGGGACAUAAAACAAUAGCGCUUGUUGGGAGGCAACCCAAUACUUAUCUUAAAUUUUGCUUUUUACUUUCCGUCUUGGUGUGAUGAAAUGAUAAUUGCCUCUCUAAUGAUUAUGUUUUUAUUUUUAAUGUAGUAUUUGUGCCAAGUAAAACCUUUGGGAUGACUUGUAUGAUAAGUAGAAUUGAUACGGUACAAAAACAGAAACUUUGACGUCUAGUGCAGAAUUUCUCUGAUUUUACUCGAACGUAUUUUUAAGCUGAUUUAUUUACAAAGUAUUUCUGUAAAAAAUCCUUAGGUAUUCCUAAUGCUUCAAAAUGUUUGGAGUUACAGAAGUAUANNNNNNNNNNNNNNNNNNNNNNNNNNNNNNNNNNNNNNNNNNNNNNNNNNNNNNNNNNNNNNNNNNNNNNNNNNNNNNNNNNNNNNNNNNNNNNNNNNNNAAAAGACAUUUGUCAAAGGUAAAACUAAUCCAGCAACGCCGCCCGGCGUGUCGACGAUCCCGAUAGGAGCCGCGUAUCUCGUUCUCAGGACACGAUGGAUAAGCACAGCGUACGGUGGACUAAUAGACAUCUCCCGAGUUGCCCCGGGUUGGCCCCACAAACGGCUCUAGUUUUGGACCAGCACCAACAGCACUGGCCCUCCCUGUAUUAUGUAGAAUUACUCCUCGGGUUCAUGGCGCCCUAUGCUUUCAGUAUUAACAGUAUUAUUAUGUUGGGCAAAUGUAGUACCAAUGUUGGGCCUUGCCAGACCAGCUUUAAUCUAAAACGAAUUAUCAAGGGGGUCCCCAUAACAACCCCGAUCGUGUUAGGAGUGCUCAAUUAUGGAACAUUACACCGGUAGCCGAAACUAAGGGGGCAAAGGUGGAACAAAACACCAGGCUAGAAAGGCCAAGCCUUCCACCUUUUACCAGGUAUAUAGGUGCAUUAAAUUAAAUAGCAUUUAAUAUGGUGAUGUAACAAGGAACCCAUGUUAUCACAUGGAAGCAACUGCACCUGCAAGUAGCAACGCUAACACAUGGUUAAGCAACCGGUAGCAUAGCCAAUCAGUGGUUUGCUAGGUUGUGAACAGGUUGAAGGUUUUCAUGGCAAUGUUGAGAGGCUGAUAUUUAACAGGUGGUAGGCAGCGUGACAUAACGAUAGAAACGGUAAAAUUAGCAAGGCAAUGAUAGUAAUGGUAUCUAGGGAAAUGGUCAUCUUGCCUGAGAUCCCGCUUGGAAGAAGAAUGACUCCGUGAAGUAGACGAACCGAUGUAGUCGAAUGGGUCCUCACAAUCCGACACGCUUGCGGACUCUAUCGACACUAAGCAAACCAAAAACAAGCAUCAACACAUGAUAUACACAACACGAUGCACAACACAUAUGAUGCAUCAACGGUUGAAUGUAUGCAAGGCACGGCAUGGCAAUUCACAACAAUCAAACACUACACAUUAAGUGAAGUUCAAUAUGCAACGAGUUGCAUAUUGACGAAACUCCACAUACGAAUUAUUUAAUUCCAUCCCGGUUAGGUACACGGCAAUAUUGAAUAUGGUUAAUCAUGGCAAGAGGUGAAGCGCAAUUAAACUAUCUAUUUAGGCAUUUUAAAUAAGGUCGGAAAUGACAUAUAACACCUCCGAGAUGACCUCAUACGUUAAUUUGUAAUUAUGUCCAGAUCUGGAAACACUUUUAAAUAUUUGUUAAACAGCAAAAUAAAUAGGUUCACGUGAUUCUACACGUCGUUACAAGCAAUUUACACAUAGAGAACAUCUCCAACGAAGCUAUGGUUCAAAAGAUACAAACACCGCAAGAUAUGAUGGCAUGAAUGCAAUAUAUGUGCAAUGACAGUCACAAGCAUUCCAAAACACACAACCAACAAGAUAAUAUGAAACUACACGAGAUUCUAUGCAAGUUUCAUAUAGGACACGAUCAAAACGGAGCAACGGUUCAACAACUACGAGUUAAACAAGAAAUCACUACAAUCUGCCAAAAUCAGUCUCAUAGCAUUUUCUACACCCCACAACUACGAGCUACACAAACCCAAAAUGCUCAAACAAGGCAUGAGACAGUAGAGGGCAAGAUUCACUACAACAUGCUACUAACAACAUCUAGCAUGGAAGCAUGGAUCACUAGGAAAAGAACUCACAAAAUGGCAUCUCACACACUGUUUGAUACUUAGAAAUAUUUCAGCAUCUCUAAAACAACAUUAUUUUCUAGCAAGUUGAGAGCAAGCAAACCACACCUAAACAUGGAUUUCUAUUGCAACCAAAAUUACCAGGGGCUAGUCUACACAUCCAAGGGCAUAUCCCUAGUUGACAACUUAAUCACAUCACGCAUGGAUUAAAUCCCACAAAAUAAACAAAAGGGCAACAUGGCAAAAUAUCACGCGCACUAACUUGCUCAAAAGCUAAAACUAAAUGCACAGUUAAAUUCUAUGGAUUUUCUACCCCGAAAACAUAUAUAAUAUGUGGGGUUGCAAAACAAAAAUAACGCCACACGAAUAUGCGAGAAUAUGUCCUAAACACGGUAUAGCAAACUAGCGACGGAAUCCUACAUGCAAAAAUACAAACAACUAUUCUAAAAUACAUGGAAAAGGUCCCUAAAAACAUGAGCAUUUCAUCUACGGUGUUUGAGCAAUCCGUACACGUGCAAAAAUAAAUAUGAAACAAUUCUCUAUUGGGACACCACGCAAAACUAGGCAUUUGGCGGGUCAAACUAAUUCAAACAUGCAUGCAAGUUGCAAAAUAAUAAUCUACACGGAAAACUAAUCAAGUUACAUAUAUAACUCGCUCUGAUCCGACAUACGGCGCAUUUGAAAUCUCUAAUAUAUUCCUGAAAUAGAAUUAAGUUACAAAUAAAAAUAAUCACACGACGAAAAUGGAAUAGAAGGGGAAUCUUCUGGAACGUCGGUCUCGGGCUGUCACAAGUGAGCACAUACUCAGAAUGUCUGGGUACUACAAUCGUUUGACUCGGUUGGGAGUUGAGCUUCCAACCGAGACGAUCACUGAAAGAGUUCUCCAGUCACCGCCACCUAGCUACAAGAGCUUCGUGAUGAACUAUAAUAUGCAAGGGAUGAACAAGUCCAUCUCCGAGCUAUUCAUGAUGCUAAAAGUCAGGGAAGUAGAAAUCAAGAAGGAGCAUCAAGUGUUGAUGGUGAAUAAAACCACUAGUUUCAAGAAGACAAGGGAAAGAAGGGAAACUUCAAGAAGAACGGCAAGAUAGUUUCUGCUCCCGUGAAGAGACCCAAGGUUGGACCCAACCCUGAGACUGAGUGCUUCUAUGGGAAGGGAACUGGCCACUAGAAGUAGAAUUGCCCCAACUAUUUGGCCGAUAAGAAGGCUGUAAACAUCAACAAAGGUAUAUUUGAUAUACAUGUUAUUGAUGUGUACCUUACCAGCUCUCAUAGUAGUGCCUGGGUACUUGCUACCAGUUCGGUUUCUCAUAUUUGUAACUCGAAGCAGGAACUAUGGAAUGAAUAGAGGCUGGCAAAGGAUUAAUUGAUGAUGCGCGUGGGAAAUGGUUCCAAGGUUGAUCUGAUCUCCGUCGGCAUGCUCGCUCUUCGAUUACCAUUGGGAUUAGCUAUGAACCUAAAUAUUUGUUAUUUGGUGCAUGUGUUGAGCAUGACCAUUAUAUAUGGAUCUUGUUUAAUGCGAGAGAGUUGCUCAUUUAAAUUAGAGAAUAAUAGUUGUUCCAUUUAUAUGAGUAAUAUAUUUUAUGGUCAUGCACCCAAUGUUAAUGGUUUACUCUUGUUGAAUCUUGAUAGUGAUGAUACACAUAUUUAUAACAUUAAUGCCAAAAUAUGUAGAGUGAAUAAUGAUAGUACCACUUUCCUGUGGCACUGGUGCUUAGGUCAUAUUGGUGUAAAACGCAUGAAGAAGCUCCAUGCUGAUGGACAUUUGGAGUCACUUGAUUUCGAAUCACUCGAUACAUGCGAACCAUGCCUCAUGGGCAAGAUGACGAAAAACCCGUUUUCUGGAACAAUGGAAUGGGCAAGUGACUUGUUGGAGAUCAUGCAUACUGAUAUGUGCGGUCCAACUAGUGUUCAGCUGCGCGGUGGAUAUCGUUACUUUCUCACCUUCACCAAUGAUUUGAGUAGAUAUGGAUAUAUUUACUUGAUGAAGCACAAAUCUGAAACAUUUGAGAAGUUCAAGAAGUUUCAGAGUGAAGUUGGGAAUCGUCGUAACAAGAAGAUUAAGUUCCUGCAAUCUGAACGAGGAGCAGAAUAUCUAAUUAUGAGUUUGGCAUGCAUUGUAGAUAGUGUGGAAUUUUUUCACAGCUCCCGCCCAAGUGUAAUGGUGUGUCCAAAUAUCGUAAUCAUACUAGAUUGCAUAUGGUGUGUUCUAUGAUGUGUCUUACUGAUUUGCCACUAUCAUUUUGGGGUUAUGCAUUAGAGGUAGCUGCAUUCACUUUAAAUAGGGAACCAUCUAAAUCCGUUGGGAUGACACCAUAUGAAUUAUGGCUUGGUAAGAAACCUAGGAUGUCAUUUCUUAAAGUUUGGGGAUGCAGAGCUUAUGUCAAUAGGCUUCAGCCUGGUAAGCUCGAACCCAAAGCGAAUAAGUGCAUCUUCAAAGGAUACCUAAAGGAAACAGUUGGGUAUACCUUCUAUCUCAGAUCCGAAGGCAAAGUGUUUGUUCCUAAGAAUGGGUCCUUUCUCUAGAAAGAGUUUCUCUUAAAGGAAUUGAGUGGGAGGAAGAUAGAAAUUGAUGAGGUUAAUGAACCAUCAUUUCAACCAGAGAAUAGCACGACAUAGGAAGAUGUUUAUGUGGCGCCUACACCAGUUGAAGAGGAAGCUAAUGAUGGUGAUCAUGAAGCUUCGGAUCAAGUUAGUACCGAACCUCGUAGGUCGACAAGGACACGUACUACUCUGUAGUGGUACGGUAAUCCUGUUUUGGAGGUCAUGUUGUUGGAAAAGCGAUGGUGGGCCUGAAUUCCGACAAAUGGCUGAAGGCCAUGAAAUCUGAGAUAGGAUCCAUGUAUGAAAACAAAGUAUGGAUUUUGAAAGUAUUACCUGAUGGUCGAAAGGCUAUUCAGAACAAAUGGUCCUUUAAGAGGAAGGCGGACGCGAACGGUAAUGUCACCAUCUAUAAAGCUCGACUUGUUACAGAGGGGUUUUCACAAGUUCAAGGAGCUGACUACGAUGAGACUUUCUCACCCGUAGCGAUGCUUAAGUCCGUUAGAAUCAUGUUAGCAAUAGGUGCAUUUUUCGAUUAUGAAAUGUGGAAGAUGGAUUUCAAAAUAGCGUUCCUUAAUGGUUUCCUUAAGAAAGAGUUGUAUAUGAUGCAACUAGAAGGUUUUGUCGAUCCAGAGAAUGCUGACAAAGUAUGCAAGCUCCAGCGACCCAUUUAUGGACUGGUGCAAGCAUCUCGGAGUUGGAAUCCUCGCUUUGAUGAGGUGAUCAAACAGUUUGGGUUUAUACAAGUUUAUAAAGAAGCUUGUAUUUAAAAGAAAGUGAGUGGGAGCUCUAUAGAGUUUCUAAUUUUAUAUGUGGAUGUCAUAUUGCUGAUUGGAAUAAAUAUAUAACUUUUGGAAAGUGUGAAGAUAUAUUUGAACAAGAGUUUUUCAAUGAAAGACCUCAGAGAAGCUGCUUACAUAUUAGGCAUCGGGAUCUAUAGAGAUAGAUCGAGACGCUAAAUAGGACUUCCACUAAGCACAUACCUUGAUAGGGUUUUGAAGAAGUUCAAAAUGGAUCAGUCCAAGAAGGGGUUCUUACCUAUCCUGCAAGGUGUGAGGUUGAGUAAGACUCAAUGCCCAGCGACUACAAAGGAUAGGGAGAAGAUGAGUGUCAUCCCCUAUGCCUCAGCCAUAGGCUCUAUCAUGUAUGCGAUGUUGUGCGCAAGACCAAAUGUCAGCUUUGCCAUAAGUAUGGUCAGAAGGUUUCAAAGUGAUCCAGGAGUGGAAAACUGGACAACGGUCGAGAAUAUCCUUAAGUACAUGAAAACGACUAAGGAAAUGUUUCUCGUUUAUAAAGGUGAUCAAUAGCUCGUCAUAAAUGGUUACGUCAAUGCUAGCUUUGACACAGAUCCGGAUGACUCUAAGUCUCAAACCGGAUACAUAUUUAUUCUAAAUGGUGGAGGACAUAAACGUUUGCAAAGUACAUAAGGAUCUGAAUGUUGCAGAUCUGUUGACUAAAUCUCUUCCACGAGCAAAAAAUGAUCAACACGAUAACACUAUGGGUGUUAGAUUCAUUACCAUGUAAUACUAGAUUAUUGACCCUAGUGCAAGUGGGAGACUGUUGGAAAUAUGCCCUAGAGGCAAUAAUAAAGUGGUUAUUAUUAUAUUUCCUUGUUCAUGAUAAUCGUUUAUUAUCCAUGCUAUAAUUGUAUUGAUUGAAAACUCAAAAACAUGUGUGGAUACAUAGACAACACAGUGUCCCUAGUAAGCCCCUACUGGACUAGCUCUUUGAUCAAAGAUGAUUAAGGUUUCCUAGCCAUAGACAUGUGUUGUCAUUCGAUAAUGGGAUCACAUCAUUAGGAGAAUGAUGUGAUGGACAAGACCCAAACCGUAAGCAUAGCAUUUGAUCGUAUAACUAAGUUUACUGCUAUUAAUUUUUGCAUGUCAAUGUAUCUGUUCCUAAGACCAUGAGAUCAUGCAUCUCCCUCACACUGGAGGAAUACCUUGUGUGUAUCAAACGUCACAAUGUAACUUGGUGAUUAUAAAGAUGCUCUAUAGGUAUCUCCGAAAGUUUCUGUUGGGUUGGCAUGGAUCGAGACUGGGAUUUGUCACUCCGUAUGACGGACAGGUAUCUCUGGGCCCACUCGGUAGUUCAGCAUCACAAUAAUCUUGCAAGCAAUGUGACCAAGCAGUUAGUCAUCGGAUCUUGUAUUACGGAACGAGUAAAGAGACUUGUCGAUAACGAUAUUGAACUAGGUAUGGAGAUACCGAAGAUCGAAUCUUGGGCAAGUAACAUACCGAUGGACAAAGGGAAUUGUGUCGAGAUUGGUUGAAUCCUUGACAUCAUGGUUUGAUGGAUAAAGAUCUUCGUAGAAUAUGUAGGAACCAAUAUGGGCAUCUAGGUCCUGCUAUUGGUUAUUGACCGUAGAGGUGUCUCGGUCAUGUCUGCAUAGUUCGCAAACCCGCAGGAUCCGCGCUUAUCGUUCGAUGACGAUAUAGUAUUGCUGAGUUAUUAUGUUGGUGACCGAAGGUUGUUCGGCGUCUUGGAUGAGAUCCCAGACAUGGCGAGGAGCUUCAGAAUGGUCUGGAGGUAAAUAUUGAUAUAUGGCAAGUUGGUAUUCCAGUUCCGGAAGAGUUUCGGAAGUUACCAGUUUUGUGACUAAGGUUCCAAAAAGAGAUCCGGGGGUCCACUCGGAGGGUCCACCUACCCCGAAGGGCCCCAUGGGUUGUGAGAGGUGACGCACCAGCCCCUGGUGGGUUGGCCGCACCUCACACCAUAAGCCCAUGCGUCCAAGGGGUUGUGCUAGCCGAGAGGUGGCCGUCGCCCCCUUUUCUUGAGGGCCAAGGCUCCUCUUGGCCGCCGCACCACCCUAGGGUAAAUCCUAGGGCAUCGGCCUCCUUCUCCCUCCCCUUAUUUAUAGUAGAGGAGAGAAAGGGCGGCUUUGUAACAGCCUAGAUGCUUUCUUUCCUUAUUUGUAACCCUUUCCAAUUGUGGAAACCUUGUUGAACCUUUGUUAUGGAAGUGAUGAGGUGGUUAUCAUUUCAUGUGUUUGUCAUUUCAUGUGCAUCUCAUGCAUCAUGUCAUUUUUUUAUGUUGGUCUUCAUCUUGUCUACCUUGGUGUUGUGAAUUCAUGUGGCUACUCAUGUUCUUGUGGAGUGUAGUGUGGGUGCAACUAUGACCUCAAAACCAUAGUUGCACCAUAGCCCAAAACCCCCUCUCCUUUAUAUAUUUUUUUGAGACAUAUUUAAGUUGUUGUUUGGGGUUUUAGAAAUGCUCAUCUUCUUUGGAAACUCUUUCAAAUAAUUGUGGAUGACAAACCUCACUGAUUUGAAAUUAUUUCCCUUUUUGUUUUAAUUUAAACAGGGGCUUAAUUAAUAAAAAACAAUUAAUUUACUUUGCUCUAAAAUGCCUCCUCUAUUUUUAUAAAUAGGAGCAGCAUUUUAGAGACUCGUAUUUAUUUUUUUUCUUUUCUUUCCUUUAUUCUGUUUCUACCUCUCUCUUUUGUUCCAAAAACUGAUUUGAAAUAUUUGAAAAAGGAAAAAGCCUGUUUUGUUUUGGAAGAGGGUUGAGGCAGAUGAAUGGGCUCUGGCCCAUUGCUUCUCUCUGGGGCAGGAGCCCAUACCCCUUUCCUUUCUUCCUCCUCCUCACGCUGUUUCCUCAGUCCCUGCUUUCUGUCACACAGCGCAUGAGAGAGAGCGUCGCGCCAUUGCUCACGGACGUCCAGGAGCCGUCCCAUCGCGCCUAUUUAGAGCUCCCCCUCGGCGUGCAAGCCAAGGGUUCCCUCUCGCCGCCGCCAGCCUCUCAUUUCUCCCCUUCCUCUCCCUCUCAGGUAAGUUUCAGAGAGUAGAAGGUUCGGGUUCAGUGCAUCGGCUCCGGUCGCCUCUUCCCCCUCGUCGCCGGCAGCCCCUCCGGGAAAGAUGAGGAGCGCAGGGAGGAUGCUGAAUCCUCCCUCGACCCGUUCCCGCCGCUAGAGGGGUGGAUCCCCUCCUCUGCCGGCCUCUCCACGACAACCUCGUCAGGCACAGGCGAGCAGUGGUCGUCACCGGCAGCCCCACCUCUUCUUCCUCUUCUCGGCAACAAGAACGACUCCGAGUCCCUGAGGGUGAGCUUCGUGUCGCCUUCCCUCCCCGCUUCCCCGCACGGUCGCUGUAGCAUAGCCGUAGGGUGCUGCCGUCGCCGCCGUAGCAGUAGGGAACCGGGCCGUCGAGCCGCCGUUGUGGGUCUCCUCCCAGGGAGUUUACCCCGGGAAUGGAACCCCCGUGGCACCAUCUCCCUCGCGCGUAGGUUAGGAGGCUCGAUUCGUCGUCGGAGCGCGAGAUGUCGUCGUCCCCUGUUCCGGCGACGAGCUGCCCUGUUGUGGUUGAAGUGGCGACAGGUUCAGAGGAGCGAAAACCCCUCCUGGAUCACGUCCCCCCUCCUAGCUCGACUGGUUUGAGAACUUAGCUAGUUCGCCUAUGGUCUCGGGUUCGAAUCCCCCUAGCGCCCCCUUUUGUUGUUCGGUUUGUUUUCCUGUGCAGUAUCAGCAAAGGAAAUCUUAGCUUCUAUGUUGCUCCCUAUAGUGCAACAUAGGUGGUGGAAUAGUCUAGUUCCACCAGGGAGGUGGUGGGUUCGACCCCNNNNNNNNNNNNNNNNNNNNNNNNNNNNNNNNNNNNNNNNNNNNNNNNNNNNNNNNNNNNNNNNNNNNNNNNNNNNNNNNNNNNNNNNNNNNNNNNNNNNGCAAUUACUCUCGCAUGUGGUAUUUUUAUGCAGGACAAAUACAAAGCUCGUAUUAUAUCGUGAAUACGAAAGAUGCACCGUCAUCGUUCUACAAUGGUAUUUUGUCCGAGCCAUGCAGUUCGUCGGAUUCACACAUCGAUCCCGGAAUACGAAUGGCACCGUCAACUCGCCGCCCGUGUCGAUUUGUAAUGACGCGGCCAACUCUCACGACCGCGCGUCAAAACGGUUUACGAAGUACUCGCGCACCGGCUUACAACGCAGUGAUCAAACUCAACAUCACCGUCGGCUUACAAUGACGUGGCCAACUCUCACGUCGGCACAAUCAAGACGACUUACAAUGACGCGGCCAACUCUCACAUCCGCGCAACCAAGAUGGCUUGCAAUGGCGCGAGCGAUUCUCGAACCGUGCCAAAUCGCCAGACAACUCUCACAUUCAACUCAACACGCCGGUGCAGUGUCUGCUUAUAUGAGCCGCCCAACAGAAGGACACAAGAAGCCGUCCUCACGGUCCGGAUUAUAUCAACCCGCCGGUGCANNNNNNNNNNNNNNNNNNNNNNNNNNNNNNNNNNNNNNNNNNNNNNNNNNNNNNNGCUUAUACAAGCCGUCUAACAGAAGGACGCAAGUCGUCACCCUCACAGCCCGGAUUACAUGAAUCGGCCGGUGCAAUACUUGCCUGUACGAGCCACCUAACAGAAGGACGCAAAUCGCCACCCUCACGGUCCGGAUAACAUCAACUUGCUGGUGCAAUGGCUUUAUAUCUCGUAGAUGGAGCGAGUACCAGUAUCUUUGUAGCGACCCGACUCAAGACGAGUCAAGCCUCUGUGUUUCUGUGCCAUCCCUGGAUCAGUAUGCUGGCACGCACAGUACAUCAAUGUAUAUAUCAAAGUGCAGUCACAUGUAAAAUAGCGUAAAACUGAUAUAUACCUUAAAUAUCUCAGCGGAAGCGGUCAAGGGAGUGGAGUCCCAAUAAACACCAACGGCAAGUUGAGUGUAGACCGUAACCCUGAAUCGUACUCUUACUCGUCGAAGAAAANNNNNNNNNNNNNNNNNNNNNNNNNNNNNNNNNNNNNNNNNNNNNNNNNNNNNNNNNNNNNNNNNNNNNNNNNNNNNNNNNNNNNNNNNNNNNNNNNNNNAGAGCAAGGCAAGAGAUCCAUAAAAUAGUAAUUGAUGAACUUGGACCGGAGAUCACAUGGUUGGACUUUUGGAGCGUUCAGGCUGCUAUUUCUUUGUACAGCUGUUCAAUCUUCUUCCCAUGCGUUCGUGCUGUUGACUGCUUGGUCUAUUCUAGAAGGGCUGAAAUUUCAAAUAGGCAAAAUUAUCUAAGCCCGUACGUGUCUGUGUGUGUGUGUUUUAUUUUUUAUUGUAAAGUAAAGAUGGGAUGACAGUAAUAUUGGGAUUUUCUUUGCACACUGGUAGACUAUGAAAACAAAAUUAUUAUUUGGAAUCGGUUGUAUAAGGUGUAUUAUUUUUUCAAAAAGCCAAACUUCUCUAACUUUGAUCAAGUUUAUUGAUAAAAAUAUCAAUGUUUAGAAUACUAAAUCAUUAUCACUAGAUUAACCAUGAAAUAUAUUUUUAUAUUUUGUAUUUAUAGUAUUGUAAAUGUUUAUAUAUUUUACUAUAAAGUUGGUCAAACAUAGAUAUCUUUUGACUUUCUGAAAAACUAAUACACCUUAUAUUAAAAAACGGAGGGAGUAUUUGACACUUCAAACUUCUCUCUAUCUAUCAAAAUCUUAUGCAUCANNNNNNNNNNUUCAAUGCAUAUGGCUCUGUGAAAAGUCAACUUUGUAAUUGUUGCAAGUUCAAAAUAAAAUUAUUUUCCUUAGUAUAGCGUAUAUUCAUGUGGGUUGUACCUUAUAAUCAAUCCAGUAUUGCACUCUUCUACAGUAUUAUGACCAAAAGUUUCCUGGAUAGUGCUAUCAAAGUUACCAUUUUUCAAGAAUUUUUAUGGCACAUCGAUCGUAAAAGCAUCUAUAAAUUGAUCGGACAGAAAAAAAGGAAAAAAAAUGAUUUAACCAAAUCCUACAUAUUAUUCAUAUACUAUUGGCCUAUCGGCAAACCCUCGUACCCAAAUAUAGAAAGUAUACGAGGACUCGCGGACGCGUCUUGACGGUUCGCCACAUAGGAGUAGAACAUGACCCCAUCCCGGAGCAAUUUUUCCUUUUCUUUAUUUUUUUUCUUGCUCUCUUUUCGUCUUCAUAAAGCACGUGCAAGUGGCCGGACAAAUGAGAGAAAAUUGAGAAAUAUGGCUGUGCGGGAGGAUAAACAGAGACACGUCCGAUUAUUAACCGGGCGCGUCCGCGGGCGUUUAGGGGUUAUAUUUGUUAUGUUCGGUUGUAGUUGCUUAACCAUGUCUACUACUCCGAUUGCGUGACCCUGAUGAUCCUUCUAGAGUAAAUAGCAAAAAGUCUGCGUCCAAAAAGCUACUGCAUGCUAGGGCUACGAAAAACUACUUGUUUUUUAAUUUCUUGAAGUGCUAUCAUAAUUUUGAUUUGCUGAGUCAAAAAAUUUAAGUGUCCGAGUGCUUAACCCGUGAGGUCUGACAUGACAUAAAAGUCAAAGUGUUGACUUUGACUGUUAGGCUUUCUUUUCUAAUGUUGAAGCAAUACACUUUUGCAUAGUUAUGGUAGAACACAUAGGGGUCUUCCUUUGAACCAANNNNNNNNNNNNNNNNNNNNNNNNNNNNNNNNNNNNNNNNNNNNNNNNNNNNNNNNNNNNNNNNNNNNNNNNNNNNNNNNNNNNNNNNNNNNNNNNNNNNGCCCGCUAGGAGCACCGCCAACCUCCUAUGCAAAAUUAGAAAUAAAGAGAUGUAAGUUGUGGUCACUCGGUUGUUAUAUCAUUCCCUGCCGUACAAAUUAUUCACUAUACUUGGCUCGCGUUAUCAACAUAGGAUUCGUAGAGAUCGUUUUUCUCAUUGUCAACAUCAACGUCUACGUGUAGAGCUUUAAAAGUAAGACANNNNNNNNNNAGAUUCGUCGAGAUCGUUCUUCUCAUUGUCAACAUCAACGUCUACGUGUAGAGCUUUAAAAGCAAGACAUGUAAGUUCCGAGUUGCUUGUUAAAAAAACUAUCAACAAAUGCACCACUUACAUUAGCACUCUCGGCUUCGGCCUCACUGAUAUGGGUGUCCUCGGGCGGUAGGUUUUCAUAUGACGUCCAAGAUUAAUUCAAACUAGUAGAUUCAUAGCCAGCAUAUCCGAUUUCAUGCUCCAUCCAAANNNNNNNNNNGUAAGUUCCGAGUUGCUUGUUAAAAAACUAUCAACAAAUGCGUCACUUACAUUAGCAUUCUUGGCUUCGGCCUCACUGAUAUAGGUGUCCUCGGGAGGUAGGUUUUCAUAUGACAUCCAAGGUUAAUUCUAACUAGUAGAUUCAUAGCCAGCAUAUCCGAUUUCAUGCUCCAUCCAAACACCUUCAAAUGGAGUCCCGGAUCAAUCUAAACACCGCACAACAUUAUCAGUGACAUAUUCCAUUCAAAUGCAAAAUUGAUGAUGUCCUAUGACAAACAAAAUAAUAUGUCCAAAAGCAAAUUUUACGGUAGCAAUCACUGUUAAGAUGAUUUUUUCGGCACCAUAUCAAUGUUCACAAAGGGACCACCAAAUGGUUAAGUUAUAUAAACAAACUAGUGGUUUUUUUGGCACCAUUACAAUAUGCACAAAAAACAGGGGUGCUAAGAUCAAACCUUAUGUUGAUUAAGUUCCAACGUAGGCCGGGGGCCGACGUCGUCCUCGUCUUGGUCGACAAUUUGAAAGAGCGCGAAAGUGCAUCACACGACGUCUUGUGGGGAGGUGCACCAAAGACGGUGUGCUAGGCACCUCCAAUUACGGGUAGGGUGACGACGAUAGUGCCAUGUGAGAGCAGGGUUGCUGGAUGGCGCCACGUGCGACGACGUAGAUGAGCCCAACGACGAUGUGGAACUCGAGCGGGGUCGACGCUGGGGGCGGCGACAACUCAUGAUGGCCGCUGGUCAAAGUCGUGAUGACGACUAUGGAUCGGGUUGGGCCAACGUCUUUUUCUUGCGAGGGGACGGUACAUAGUUUAGCCGAAUGUAUGUUUAUUAGGGGGCGGAGAAGACGGUAGGGCAAGGUUGGGUGACUGCCUCACCUUGAUUUACUAAAAAAAGUGUUCUUGUCCGACUGGAUGGUUGUCUUCGAGCUAGUCGUGGUCUAGCUGGGAAAAUAAGACAAACGGACAAGCAACCACGGCCAUGUGUAUGAACUCCUGAUGUUAGGUUGUUGGUCAUCAAUUUAGCACUAAGCUCAAGAUGCCGUGAACUCAGUCAUGCAUAUCAGUCACACACUAUUGUGGGCAUUCGGUUUUUGCAAGUGUAUGUUCCNNNNNNNNNNNNNNNNNNNNNNNNNNNNNNNNNNNNNNNNNNNNNNNNNNNNNNNNNNNNNNNNNNNNNNNNNNNNNNNNNNNNNNNNNNNNNNNNNNNNNNNNNNNNNNNNNNNNNNNNNNNNNNNNNNNNNNNNNNNNNNNNNNNNNNNNNNNNNNNNNNNNNNNNNNNNNNNNNNNNNNNNNUUCUAUCGUUGUCCGACAUCUCAACAAACCUUAGUCUUUCGAUCCGUCAUUGUUACUUAUAGUGGCAACAACGUUUUAUGCUAGAGUUUGCCCUACCUCAUUUUAUUCCGUCCUGUGACAGCUUGUACGUAUUGCGUAUAUGUAUUGACGGUCCAUCACACAUAUGAAAAUGUUAUAUGAUCAAUAUUGCNNNNNNNNNNAUCUAGCUGGGAAAAUAAGACAAACGGACAAGCAACCACGGCAGUGUGUAUGAACUCCCGCUGUUAGGAUGUUUGCCAUCAAUUUAGCACUUAAGCUCAAGAGACCGUGAACUCAGUCAUGCACCUCAGUCACACACUAUUGUGGGCAUUCGGUUUUUGCAAGUGUAUGUUCCAGUGCAUCGACUCAGAAAAUAUGAGUCUACUCCCUAUAAAAGCUGAAUGCAUUAGUUAUAAGUCACGUCGAGCUCUAUCGUUGUCCGACAUCUCAACAAACCUUAGUCUUUCGAUCCGCCAUUGUUACUUGUAGUGGCAACAACGUUUUAUGCUAUAGUUUGCCCUACCUCAGUUUUUUUCCGUCCUGUGACAGCUUGUACGUAUGGCGUAUAUAUAUUGACGGUCCAUCACACAUAUGAAAAUGUUAUAUGAUCAAUAUUGCCCUAUGUCUGGGGUUGUCUCGUCAUUUAAUUUGAAUUGACUGAUAAGAAAGAAAUGCAUUUGUCACAAAACCAAACUGCUCGAAUAUUUAUCUUCAUUGAUGCUUGAAGUAACUUACACACGAAAUGUGAGCUUAAAACAGGGAUAAAACCGUCAAUACAUACCUCAAACAAUUCAUACUAAAGAUUACCAAUUGAUUUUNNNNNNNNNNNNNNNNNNNNNNNNNNNNNNNNNNNNNNNNNNNNNNNNNNNNNNNNNNNNNNNNNNNNNNNNNNNNNNNNNNNNNNNNNNNNNNNNNNNNAACUCACACUAAUUUUGCAUUAGAUGAGUGAUUAAUAGGGUGUUAAUUUUUGUAUUGGAACAUGAUUAAUUGAGCCGCCACACUGCAAGACGCGGGUGCGGCGCCGCUGUCUAGUGUUGUCCUUCUUUCUUAUAGGGGAAGAUUGAUUAAUUUUUUAUGUUUCUCGCGUUGUUUUAAUUAGGCGUAUUCGGCAGGGUGGGUGACCAGGUAUGCCUCGACCAUCUUGAGCAGGUCGAGGUACCCGGCGGCNNNNNNNNNNUAGCCACCUGGUCCUCCGCCGACAGCGCCCCGCCGCCGUCGAGCCUCUCGUACUCCACCCUGAGCUUCGCCACACAAGCACCGUCCCCGGCCGGCUCGAGCUUCAUCUCGACCACCUGCGACUUGAGCUGGCCGCUCACCUUGCCGCCCUCCAGCAUCUCCGUCUUGAUCACCCUGGCCGCGUUGUCGCGCGCCACCACGCGGCUCCUCAUCACGCCCGAGCCUGAUAGCUCCGCCACCGCCGGGCUGAGCGUCAUGGUGGAGACGCUGUCGGGCCCGUCGUCGCCCUCAACCUCCACGGCGUCGAUGAACCCCGCGCAGGCCUAAGUUUCUUCUUGAAUUCCCAUUUGCAUCAUAUAGGUUUGCACCCAUAAGGACAAUCAAUGAUGUCCCAAGUUUCAUUUGCCAAGAUGGAAUCCAUCUCACUACGGACUGCUUCCUUCUAGUAGUCAGCAUCUUUAGACGCAUAGGCCUCUGAAAUAGAGCUGGGAGUGUCAUCUAUGAGAUACACUAGAAAAUCAUCACCAAAGGACUUUGCAGUCCUUUGUCUCUUGCUCCUGGUAGGAACUUCAUUGUUCUCCUCCANNNNNNNNNNNNNNNNNNNNNNNNNNNNNNNNNNNNNNNNNNNNNNNNNNNNNNNNNNNNNNNNNNNNNNNNNNNNNNNNNNNNNNNNNNNNNNNNNNNNCAUAGUGGAUACUAGGGAUGAAUCCCCAUCAAAACUAACUCGAUUACAUGAUAGAUCCCAUCCUACUCAUCACCGCCCAGCGAGCCUACGAAUAGAUUACUCACGAACGACAAAGAGCUUCAUGGAAUUGGAGAGGGAAGAAGGUUGAUGAUGACAAUGGCUACGAUUUCCCCUCUUCGGAGCCCAAGACGGACUCCAGAUCUGCCCUCCGGAUGAAGAACAGGUGGUGGCUGCGCCUCCGUAUCGAAAACGCGACGAAAACUUCUCUUUUUAUUUUUUCUGGGACGAAAGACAACUUAUAGAGCUGGAGUUGGGGGCGGCAUGUGCCUAUGGGCCCCACAAGCCUGCCCACCGCCACCAGGGGGUGGUGGCGGAGCAGGGGCUUGUGGCCCACUGGCCCACCCCCUGAGGUGGAACUUGGCGCAGAUAUUUUUGAUAUUUUCCAAAACUGCUCCCCGUAAAUUUUGAGGAUGUUUGGAGAACUUUGAUUUAUGCACAAAAAUAACACCAAGGCAAUUCUGCUGAAAACAGCGUCAGUCGAGGUUAGUUCCAUUCAAAUCAUGCACAUUAUAGUCCAAAACAAGGGCAAAAGAGUUUGGAAAAGUAGAUACAUUGGAGACGUAUCAACUCCCCCAAGCUUAAAACCUUGCUUGUCCUCAAGCAACUCAGUUGACAAACUGAGAGAGAAAGAAAAACUUUGACAAACUCUGUUUGAUCUUGUUGUUGCAACUAUGUCUGACUCAUAACCAGAAUUUCAGCAAGAUCACAAGUUAACCACAUAAGCAAAUGACACAAAGGUCUCACGGUAAACUAAUAUCAAUGGCAUAAUCAGCUAACGAGCAAAUAAUUAUGAGUUUCAAAUAACAACACUUCAAUCAAAACAAGCAUGAAGCAAUAUGAAUAGCUGGUGUCUCGCUAGCUCUUUCUGAGACCGCAAAACAUAAAUGCAGAGCACUUUCAAAGAUCAAGGGCUGACUAAACAUUGUAAUUUGUAGCAACGAAGAUCCAGUCAUAGUCAUACUCAAUAUCAAUCAAAACAAAGCAUAAAAAUGACAGAGGUGCUCUCUAAUUGGGGCUUAUAUAAGAGGAGGAUGACUCGACAGGCCCUUCGCAGAGGGAAGCAUUGAUUUGCAGAGGUGCCAGAGCUCAAGCUUUCGAAACAAAGAUAAUAAUUUUGGGUGGCAUGCUUUCAUUGUCAACGCAAUGACCAAGAGUUCUCAAUAUCUUCCAUGCUACUCAUGCUAUAGGUGGUUCCCAAACAGAAAAGUAAAGUUUUAACUCCUGCACCACCAAUCAAUCACACUCCACGGCUAGCCGAAUCCUCGGGUACCGUCCAUACUAACAUCAAUAUGGGGGGAGUCUUGUUUUACAAUUAUGUUUUCGAUGUAAGCAUGGAACUGGGCAUCCCAAAUACCGGCCCCUUUCUUGUGAAUGACUGUGAAUAAACACAUGUCGAGGAUAACACUCCUAGCAUGGAAGAUACAAAUAGCCCUCUGUCACGACAUGAGCGGUUCGGGCAUGCAAAACAGAUUUAUUUCUUGAAGGUUUAGAGAGUGGCACAUGCAAAUUUACUUGGAACGGAAGGUAGAUACUGCAAAUAGGUAGGUAUGGUGGACUCUCAUGGAAAAACUUUUGGGUUUAUGGAAGUGGAUGCACAAGCAGUAUUCCCGCUUAGUACANNNNNNNNNNNNNNNNNNNNNNNNNNNNNNNNNNNNNNNNNNNNNNNNNNNNNNNNNNNNNNNNNNNNNNNNNNNNNNNNNNNNNNNNNNNNNNNNNNNNAGUGUAUCUUCUGAAAUCUAAGGAUGAGGCUUUGAACUUUUUCAAGAUUUAUGAAGCUAAAGUAGAAAAUCAACUUGAUCGAAGAUCAAGCGGCUUAGAUCCGAUCAUGGUGGAGAGUAUUUCUCAAAUGAAUUUGAUUACUUCUAUGAGGAACAUGGUAUAAUCCAUCAGAGGACACCUCCCAAUUCACCUAAGUCAAAUGGGAUAGCUGAAAGAAAGAACCAUACUCUAACUGAUUUGGUUAACGCCAUGUUAGACACAUCGGGUCUCUCCAAGACAUGGUGGGGGAGGCGAUAUUGACUGCAUGUCAUGUCCUAAACCGAGUUCUCACUAAGAAUAAAGAGAUUUCUCCAUUCAAGGAAUGGGAAAAGAAAAGGUUAAAACUCUCUUAUCUACGAACCUGGGNNNNNNNNNNCAAUUUCUUUUCCUUUCUUGAAUGCAAUGAAAGAAGAUAUGAGCACAAGUUGUUAAACCCUAACAGGGAAUACCAGGGAUGUGACAGGGUCUCUCCAAGACAUGGUGGGGGGAGGCUAUAUUGACUAAAUGUCAUGUCCUAAACCGAGUUCCCACUAAGAAUAAACAGAUUUCUCCAUUCGAGGAAUGGGAAAAGAAAAGGUUAAAACUCUCUUAUCUACGAACCUGGGGUUGUUUGACGAAAGUUAAUGUGCCAAUCCCAAAGAAGCACAAGCUAGGACCAAAAACUGUGGAUUGUGUAUUCCUGGGAUAUGCUUUUCAUAGCAUUGGAUAUUGAUUCUUGGUUUUAAAAUCUGAUGUAUCUGACAUGCAUGUCGGUACAAUCAUGGAGUCGAAUGAUGCGACUUGUUUCGAAGAUAUCUUUCCCAUGAAAGAUAUAGCUACCUCACCUAAUCAGGAUAUGCUUAAUUCAUCGAAUCAUGAAUUAGUUACAAUUCAUGAACCUAUCAUUUCGAUGGAACAGUUUGAAAAUAUUGUGGAGGAGAACAAUGAAGUUCCUACCAGGAGCAAGAGACAAAGGACUGNNNNNNNNNNNNNNNNNNNNNNNNNNNNNNNNNNNNNNNNNNNNNNNNNNNNNNNNNNNNNNNNNNNNNNNNNNNNNNNNNNNNNNNNNNNNNNNNNNNNUACAUUUGUCCAGUAAAAAAAACUGCAUAUACGUUUGAUUGCAACUCCAGUUCGUCGAAUUUUUCGUUACAAUUGAUGUUUUUUACUUUUGCUAUAACCGGCAUCAUUUCUACUGCAACCGUUCACUAAAAAAGUUGUAUACACGUUCAUGUAGAUAUUUGUUACAACCGGCGUUUGACUUUUGCUACCACGCAUCAUCAACUUUGUUUUUUUGCUACGAUCAUGUUAAUAUUAUUUUUGCUAUAAUUUUUUUUCAACCGUUGAAAGAAUUGUUGCAUUGCGUCGAAAUUUUGCUGCAUUAAAAAAAAAUGUUGCAUGAAGACAUAACGAUGUAGACGCGCGACCGUUGGCGGAUCGUGCGGCUCGUGCGGGCCGGCCGAAAGUUUCGACCGGCACAAAGCACUGACCUUCUAGAAUCAGAACCGAGCAGUCAGCAGCACGAACACAUGGAAAGAAGAUUCAACAGCUGCAGAAAGAAAUAACAGCCUGAACUCUCCAAGAGUCCAACCAUGUGAUCUCCGGUCCAAGUUCAUCAAUUACUACUGUACUAUUUUAUGGAUCUCUUGCCUUGCUCUGAAAUUUUUUUUUGCACCUACUCUAUAUAAAUCAGCCCCUUGCUUGCUCUCCCUCAUCACCGGUCUUCACUCUUCACUAGAACUUGCCAGCAGCGCUAGUGUGCAGCGAGCCAGCGACCAACCGACAAGAACAAGAUGGUCGCCGGCUGUGUCAUCACCGAGGAGUGCGCCCUGGCGGUGUCGACGGAGCGGCUGUGGAAGGUGGUCUUCUCCGGCGAGGACACGGCCGCCCUGCCCAAGGCCUGCGCGGGCUUCAUCGGCGCCGUGGACGUCGAGGGCGACGGCGGACCCGGCAGCGUCUCCACCAUGACGCUCAGCCCGGCGGCGGCGGACGGCUGUCAGGCUCGGGCGUGAUGAGGAGCUGCGUGGUGGCGCGCGACAACGCGGCUAGGGUGAUCAAGACCGAGAUGCUGGAGGGCGGCAAGGUGAGCGGCCAGCUCAAGUCGCAGGUGNNNNNNNNNNCAGAUGAAGCUCGAGGUGGCCAGGGGCGGUGCUUGUGUGGCGAAGCUCACGGUGGAGUACGAGAGGCUGGACGGCGGCAGGGCGCUGUCGGCGGAGGACCAGGCGACGUUCGCCGCCGGGUACCUCGACCUGCUCAAGAUGGUCGAGGCAUACGAGUACGUCUAAUUAUACCAAAACGAGAAACAUAAGAAAUAAAUCAACUUUCCCUUCGUUCAAAAUUAUUUAUCGCAUAAAUAAAGUAAUCUGACCAAGUAGCCUGUGUUGUUGCCUCCUGAUUGACUUCGCGAGAAAAAUCAAUUGAUAAGCUUUAGUAUAAAUUAUUGAGAUAUACAUGAGUGUUUAAUCCGUGUUUUAAGCUCGCAUUUCAUGUGUAAGUUGCUUCAAGCAUUGAUGGAGAUAAAUAUUAGAGCAGUUUGGUUUUGUGACAAAUGCACUUCUUUCUUAUCAGUCAAUUCAAAUUAAAUGGCGAGACAAGCCAAACGUAUAAAGGGCAAUAUCGAUCAUGUAACCAUUUUCAUAUGUGUGAUGGACUGUCGAUACAUAUAUGCCAUACGUACAAGCUGGCAGAGGACGGAAAAAAAACAAAGAAGGGCAAAUCUGACAUAAAAAGUUGUUGUCACUAUAAGUAAUAGCGACGGACCGAAAGACUAAGUUUUGUUGGCGAGACAACGAUAGAGCUUGACGUGACUUAUAACUAAUGCUUUCAGCUUUUAUAGAGAAUGCACUCAUAUUUUUUGAGUCGAUGCAGUAGAACAUGUGUUUGCAAAAACCAAAUGCCCUAUCGUGCGUGACUGAGGUGCAUGACUGAGUUCACAGCCACUUGAGCUUAAGUGCUAAAUUGAUGGCCAACAAUCGAGCAGCGCGAGUUCAUACAGAGGGCUUGGUUGCGUUUAUCUUAUUUUUCUAGCUAGACCAUGACUAGUUCAAAGAAAAUCAUUCAGUCAGACAAGACAUAUACCUUAAUGAACGCUUUCUUAGAAAAUCAAGGUGAGGCGGCCGCCAAACCUUGCCUUACUCGCUCCUCCGUUCUUAAAGAGCAUACGUUCGGCUUAACUUUGUACCUGCCCCUCGUAAGAAUAGUCGUCAUCACGACUUUGACCGGCGGCCAUCAUGAGUCGUCGCCGCCCCCAGCGUCGACCCCGCUCGAGUUCACUCGUCGUUGGGCUCAUCUGCGUCGUCGCACGUGGCGCCAUCCAGCAACCCUGCUCUCACGCGACACUUUCGUCGUCGCCCUACCCGUCAUUGGAGGUGCCAAGCACACCGUCUUUGGUGCACCUNNNNNNNNNNACGGCACUAUCAUCGUCGCCCUACCCAUAAUUGGAGGUGUCAAGCACACCGUCUUUGGUGCACCCCCCGCGAGACGUCAUGUGAUGCACUUUCGCGCUCUUCCAACUCGUCAACCAAGACGAGGAUGACGUCGACCCCCGGCCUACGUUGGAACUUAAUCAACAGAAGGUUUGAUCUUGGCACCCCUUUUUUGUGCAUAUUGUAAUGGUGCCAAAAAAACCACUACUUUGUUUAUAUAACUUAACCAUAUGAUGGUCCCUUCGUGCACAUUGAUAUGGUGCCGAAAAAAAUCAUCUUAAUAGUGAUUGGUACCAUAAAAUUUGCUUUUGGACAUAUUAUUUUGUUCGUCAUAGGACAUCAUCGAUUUUGCGUUUGAAUGGAAUAUGUCACUGAUAAUGUUGUGCGGUGUUUAGAUUGAUCCGAGACUCCAUUUGAAUGUGUUUGGAUGGAGCAUGAAAUCGCAUAUGCUCGCUAUGAAUCUACUCCCUCUGUUCCUAAAUAUAAGUCUUUAAAGAGAUUUUACUACGAACUACAUACGGAUGUGUAUAGAUAUAUUUUAGAAUGUAGAUUCAUUCAUUUUGCUUUGUAUGUAGUCCGUAGUAAAUUUUUUUAAAAGACUUAUAUUUAGAAACGGAGGGAGUACUUGUUAGAAUUAAUCUUGGACGUCAUAUGAAAACCUACCUCCCGAGGACACCCAUAUCAGUGAGGCCGAAGCCGAGAGUGUUAAUGUAAGUGAUGCAUUUGUUGAUAGUUUUUUAAAAAGCAACUCGGAACUUAAAUGUCUUACUUUUAAAGCUCUACACGUAGACGUUGAUGUUGACAAUGAGCAGAACGAUCUCGACGAAUCUUAUAUUGAUGACCCAAGCCAAGUAUAAUGAAUAAUUUGUACGGCAGGAAAUGAUAUAACAACCGAGUGAUAACAACUUACAUCUCUUUAUUUCUAAUUUUGCAUAGGAGGUUGGCAGUGCUCCUAGCGGGUAGUUGGCACGAUGAGUGAUGAUGAUGAAGAUAUUGGGCAAGCUGAAUANNNNNNNNNNNNNNNNNNNNNNNNNNNNNNNNNNNNNNNNNNNNNNNNNNNNNNNNNNNNNNNNNNNNNNNNNNNNNNNNNNNNNNNNNNNNNNNNNNNNACGGAUGGUGGGCUUGGGAACCCUACGCACAUCGUUUGGGGCCAUGGCGGAAACCUUGGCCGGACUUCCAUGCGGGUUACCCUUAGAUAGGUGAUAGACCUGGACUAAGUAUUAGCGUGGUUAACGACCGUGGCCGACUCCCUUGCUGGGCUUCCGCUUGAAGGUUGCCGAGGUGCAUGACGUGCACAUGGCGAUAAGUGGCGAGAGCGUGUGUGAAGAAGUACACCCUGCAGGGUUAUGAUCUAUUCGAAUAGCUGCGUUCGCGGAUAUGGACUGCUUGGAAACAUAUGUUGUUCAUAGAUAACUAUAAUGGUUACUCAUAAAAUUGUCAAGAUAAGCGUGAUUGUCGUGGACGGCAUUUCCGUAGGGAGACGGGAUGAUUCCACGAUAGAGUAUUGUGGUGGUGUUAGUGGACUCGUGUGCGAGAAACAUAGUUGUAAAAACUAUUUAAAAUCCAAGUUGUCUAGCCAAGAGUCAAAUGCUGGCUUUCCGCAUGAAACCCCACAACUCCUUGUUGAUACAUUGCAUGAGUAGAUAGAUUAUCCUAAAGUCUUGCUGAGUACUUUUGUACUCACGUUUGCUUAAUAAUUGUUGCAGAGGUUGUUAAUGACCCUAAUGGAGGGUUCUACCUAGACAUCGACCAAGAUGAGUAGCUGGUAUCCCAGCUACGAUCUGGCCCCAGCAUGGGUCUGUAGAUAGUCAGGCCAUGUGCCUUUGUCUCUCCAUCUAUCUGUACUCAGACAGUUUUUUAAUAUUCCGCUGGCUUGUAAGACUUGUGUGUAUGAAUUAUGAUGAUGGGUCGUGAGGCCCCUAUCUGUGUAAUAUUNNNNNNNNNNCCGAGCCUUCCAAAUAAAGUUUGUAUGUUUAUGGUUAUGUUGUGAUGCCAUCGAAGUAUCUAUACAUAUCGGUAUGCCAUGCAUACGUGUGUUGUACUUGAUAUGUAUGGGGUUCGAAUACCUAGUCGUAUGCUUUAGUAGCACUCCUAUGUGGAAAUGCCCCUUUGUGAUUCCAUCGAGCCCUAGUAGUUCGCUACUGCUCCGGACACAUUGGUUGACCGGCAUGUGUCCUUCUUAGCUGUUGUGUUUGUCCCUUUGGGAAAUGUCACGCGCAUGUAAUGGAGUCCUUGUAGCUUGCUACGACUCGUCUACAUUCGUUGAUGACGGACAACUACUUUGCUGGGUCAUGUAUGCAUGGUCCUGUACGGAACUACCAAUUUAGCUUAUGACUAGACAUGUCGAUCUGGGUUCUUUGACAUUGGAUUGCUAGCGACACAAUCACAUACGCGAGUAAAAAGGCGCAAACGGUCCCGGCUAAGGUAAGGCUGCAGCCGUAGGGUUAACCGUGCGUGAGACGCAAAGAGAUGCGAUGUGUUACACGCUGGAUUCCGAUGGCUUAGGAUCGGGGUCCCGACAGACCCGAUGUGUCUAACAUGGCGUUAACCAAAUGAGUUAGAGUACAGUUCUUUCUUUCAGCUACCCCAUUUGACUGAGGUGAAUAGGGAGGCGUCCUCUGAUGGAUUAUACCAUGUUCCUCACAGAAGUAAUCAAAUUCAUUUGAGAAAUACUCUCCAUCAUGAUCGGACCUAAGCCGCUUGAUCUUCGAUCAAGUUGAUUUUCUACUUCAGCUUCAUAGAUCUUGAAAAAGUUCAAAGCCUCAUCCUUAGAUUUCAGAAGAUACACUCAGCAGUAUCUAGUGGAGUCAUCAAUUAACGCCAUGAACUAUUUCUUUCCACCUUUUGUCAAAAUACCAUUCAUUUCACAUAGAUCUGAAUGUAUGAACUCUAGUAGUGCAAGAUUUCUCAUUUCAACAGUCGUGUGAAACUUACGAGGUUGCUUGGCUUGCACACAAGCUUGACACUUAGAUCCCUUGACGGUGGUGAAGCUAGGGAUUAAGUUCAAUUUGACAAGUCGGGACAUGCAACCAAAAUUAACAUGACAGAGACGUGAAUGCCACACAUUUNNNNNNNNNNNNNNNNNNNNNNNNNNNNNNNNNNNNNNNNNNNNNNNNNNNNNNNNNNNNNNNNNNNNNNNNNNNNNNNNNNNNNNNNNNNNNNNNNNNNUAUUGUUCUAAACAUGAUUAACAACUUUAUUGCAAACGUCUGCCAUGGAUAAAAGGAACAUGCCUCCUGACUCGUAGCCUUUACCAACAAAAAUUCCAUACUUGGAUAUUACAAAUUUAUUCGACUCAAAGACAAGCUUGUAGCCAUCUCUACACAAAUGAGAUCCGCUAACAAGAUUUUUAUUCACAGAGGGAACAUAGUGCACGUUCUUCAGCCGCACGACCUUCCCUGAAGUAAACUUCAGAUUGACCGUGCCAACACCGCGAACAGAAGCACUUGAACCGUUGCCCGUCAGCACAAUGGAAGUCCGUGUGGACUGAUAAGACGAAAACAUGGAAAUAUCACCGCNNNNNNNNNNUGUCAGUGUCACCAAUGACAACAUUAGCGGACUUGCCGCCUUUCCCAUGUUGAUGCUUGUCAUAACAGUUAGGGCAGUUAGAUGCCCAAUGAUCAGGAUCUCCACACACAUGACAAACACCUUUCUUCUUGUCAUUCUUGUUCUUGAAGUUGGUGUGUUGUACAGCCUUGUUCUUCCCAUCGAACUUUUCUUUACCAUCAAACUUGUCCUAGUUCUUGAAACUGUGGGGUUGGAAGUUUUUCUUCUGUACCAGAUUGGGACUAGAACCUCCCUCAAUACCUAGAGCACGUGUGUCUUUUGCUCUCACGUUUUCUUCCACAUCAAGAGUACCUAUGAGAUCCAAAACGGAAAACUCUUGCCUCUUAUGCUUCAGUAAGGUAGCAAAGUUCCUCCACGAAGGAGGAAGUUUAGUGAUGAUGCCUCCGGCAACAAACUUGUCGUGUAGCAUGCAAUUGAAGUGCUCAAAUUCUCUUGCAAAUGACUGUAUCUNNNNNNNNNNNNNNNNNNNNNNNNNNNNNNNNNNNNNNNNNNNNNNNNNNNNNNNNNNNNNNNNNNNNNNNNNNNNNNNNNNNNNNNNNNNNNNNNNNNNGAGUUCCAGCAGGAAUAGGAUUGGUGUUGGCGUUGACCAUGUUCCCGAAGAGGUGGUAAACGUCAGGGAAGUAGUCGUCGUCUGGGAAGAGAUCGUCAGUAUCCGUGAUGGAAGCCAGUAGUCACGUUGAGCGCUCCCCAAAUACCUUAUCGCCCUUCUCCCGUACAGGACUCAAAGAGACGGAGUUUCGGAGGCCUACUGUCCCGACCUACGGUGCACGUUGCAAGACGGGAUGGGAAAGAAUGUAGCAGCAUCACACAGAAAGGAAUCGGUGGCGAGAGAAAGUUCUGAUGCGUCUUCUCUGGAGAGGAGCAACCUCUCUUUUAUAGACGCAAGAGAAGGAGGCGAGAGGCCAGCGACGGAGAUGAAACAAACAGACAACAGCCGAAGAGUUCAGCUUCUCCGAGUGACCUUUCGUAUACCAGUCGUGCGUGGCAAAAAUUUAGUUCGGCUCAUUCCCGCAACCCGCGGCGCAUCGGGAUGAGGCGCGGCGGGCGAUGGAGGAGGAGGAGCACGCGUGUAUGUCUCUCUUGUUUUCAAGCUCAUACAUGUGUGGAAACAUCCUCCCUUAUAAGGAGAUCCGACUACCACUAAACUAGCAACCUGGGACUAAAUAUUUCCACCUCUUGCCUUGCACAAAUGCGCUGCGUGGGCCUCUAGGAUUUAUUAGGAUUUUUUUUUGAAAUAAUAAUUGGGUUGGCCAAAAAUUCCAGCAUCGACGUCUUCCUCGUCUUGGUCGACGAUUUGGAAGAGCGCGAAAGUGCAUCACAUGACGUCUUGCGGGGAGGUGCACCAAAGACGGUGUGCUUGGCACCUCCAAUGACGGGUAGGGCAGCGAUGAAAGUGCCGCGUGAGAGCAGGGUUGCUGGAUGGCGCCACGUGCAAGGACGCAGAUGAGCCCAACGACGACGUGAACUCGAGUGGGGUCGACGCUNNNNNNNNNNNNNNNNNNNNNNNNNNNNNNNNNNNNNNNNNNNNNNNNNNNNNNNNNNNNNNNNNNNNNNNNNNNNNNNNNNNNNNNNNNNNNNNNNNNNGAACGAAGGGAAAGUUGAUUUAUUUCUGAUGUUUCUCGUUUUGGUUUAAUUAGGCGUACUCGGCAGGGUGGGCGACCAGGUAUGCCUCGACCAUCUUGAGCAGGUCGAGGUACCCGGCGGCGAGCGCCGCCUGGUCCUCCGCCGACAGUGCCCCGCCGCCGUCCAGCCUCUCGUACUCUACCCUGAGCUUCGCCACGCAAGCACCAUCCCCGGCCGCCUCGAGCUUCAUCU
This 323671-nucleotide long non-coding RNA is filed under the name Hordeum vulgare. Its description in RNAcentral is "long non-coding RNA (HVUL_LNC011848)". The record is from RNAcentral. Lineage: Eukaryota; Viridiplantae; Streptophyta; Magnoliopsida; Poales; Poaceae.